GCUAGUUUUGCCAGCUAAUAUAAAUCUUCUUAUUGCAAAGGCUGCACUUCACCAUGACCCUCAAAUAUGGGGAGAUGAUGUGCAUCUUUUUAAACCGGAAAGAUUCGCUGAUGGGAUUGCCGAAGCUACCAAUUACAAUGCGGCUGCAUUUUUCCCCUUUGGAUUGGGACCCCGAUUUUGUGUUGGUAUGACCUUUGCAACCACAGAAACCAAAAUUGCUCUCUCCAUGAUUCUACAACGCUACUCCUUUACCCUCUCCCCUGCCUAUGUCCACUCACCAGUGCCUAUUAUCACCCUUCAACCAGAACAUGGAAUUCAAGUAAUACUUGAAUCCCUGCAUAAUGGUGCUUAAAGUUGUUGAAGCUGGCUUCCAUGCAGCACUAGGAGCAGACCAAGCUGCCGAGCCAUGCAGCUGCGACAAAAGCUCAUGCUGCUGAUUCAUUUUGGUUACUUCAAGUGUUUGUUUUGUUACUUAGUUUGAUUUGAACUAAGUUUAGUUUGAUUUGAACUAAGUUGUCAAUGUACUUGAUGUAAUUAGGUAAUGUUUGAGCCGAUAAAUCAGCUUUGCAAAGUGUACAAGUUAUGUUUAACAAUUUUCAGUGUACUUAGUGGAAGUAGGUGAUGUUUAGGUAACCAUUUUGUUUCUCUUUGACCAGCUUAUGUCUGGUAUAUGUGUUGGCAUUAUGCCAUUUUUCAAGUCAAUGAAAAUUCAUAAAAGAAUUCUUCAUCUAAUGCUCUCUUAAUUCUUUACUUUCUUUAGUUCAUCAAGAUCAAUUCUGUUUUUGUUUGUUCAUCAAGCCAUCGAGCCUUAAAGCUCAAGCUUCUGUCAGUUUUCAUUCAUCUUUGUUCUUAGUUCCAACAAAAGUACACAGUUUCUAAGAACUCAGACUUUAACUUAGUUGGUUCAUGUAGAUAGUUCAUGUUCACCUUUACGAGAUGACAUUUAAUAUGUCUAAGGUUCAAGCAUUUGCAACCUGUUUAUUAUUCCCAAGUUCUUCCCUCUUUUAUGGAAAAUGAAAUGCAUGCAAUCAAUCGAAAGAGAAUGUAUGUUUAUAGUAUUAUUGAUCAAUUUAUAGUAGUUACUAGCUAUGCCUUGCUUGUGUAAAAGCUUUCAUGCAAUUUCUCUUUUAAGGUCUGUCCUAUUUUGGUCACUUCAAAAAUUUUGUUCUCAAUUUAAUCAUUUUAAAUAAAAUAAUUGUGCGAAUUGGUCACUAUUAAAAUUUUCGUUUUUUUGACAGAUUAUUGAUGUGACACAUUAGUUCACUGAGUAAUUGACACAUGGUAUUUUUUUGUUGACUUUUGACUAAACUCUACAGACCUUGCUAUAAUUAGUCCAAAACUUUUCUCCUUAAACUUUAGUCUAAAGUUAACACAAAAUGUCAAAUGUCAAUGACCAAACAAAAGCAAAUUGAAAUUGAAAGCGGAAAUUUUAACGACAAUGACUAAUUCGCAUAAUUAACUUAUAUAGAGUGACUAAAUUGAAAAAGAAAACUGAAGUGACCAAAAUAAGACAGAUCCUAUUUUAAAGUGACAUUGUAGUUUACCCUUUUUUCUAUACGCCUUUUUCUUCCAAAUUUAUUACUGGAAAUUUUUAAAUUUUAUAUCAUGGAAAUCAAAUUAAAAAACUAUGAAAACCAAACAAAAAAAGAAAGUCAAUUAAAAGAUUUUGGGAGGUUCAAACUUAAAACUAUCAUAUGUUUAGAUAUUGAUUAAAAGGGUUAAAAUAAAAAUUGAAAAAUUUUAGACGGGACUAACAUGCUAUUAGACCGAACGUUUAGUGCCCGACCACUGCCACUCCAGCCUCACUAGAUUCGGUUUCACCCAUGUACUAUAGUAUUACUAUUUUCUUUUAUAUCCAGUCAAUGACGUAUAUUUUAUUAAAUUUUAUGAUUAGCCUUGAUUUGGUAAUAUCAAAUAAUUAUAAUAUUAAUUAUAUUAAUUAAAUUUAAUUAAAAUAUAUUUAGAAUUAUUGCUUAUAUUUCUUUGUACAUGGUUCCCAAUCAAAUUAUCGUUUACAUGCUGCAAUUGGAGAAAGAUUGAAGACCAUUUUUCUUUCUAUUUCCCAACCUUUGAAUCCAAUUGAUGACAUCGUCGGUACAUCGAUUUCUAAUCUGUUCGGUUCAUCUUAUUCAAAUCAAAUAAAUUAUUAAAAAGUUCAUAAAAUAUUUAAAAUAAAAAAUUAUAAAAUUCAGUUUAACUGAUUUUUUUAGUCUAAUUCAAUUGAUCCAUACUAGUCUAACUAGCUAUCCUACUUGUCUAAACAACAUAGUUUGAAGGUUAAUGUUUAACACAUUGAGAAUGUAUUUUCACAAUGAUCUAAUCACUUUAUUAAUCAUCGAUAUAUCCAUAGUUGGAAUAUUAAAGUUAUUGCAUGUUGCACCAAAGAUUCGAAUUUGAAUCAUGUGUAAUCUACUUUAGCAAUGUUUUUGAAUCGAAUUGAUGGAAAAAGUGGUUGAUACAUCGAUUUUCAAUCAAUUCGGUCCGUCUGAUUCAAAUUAAAUAAAUUAUUAAAAAGUUCAUAAAAAAUUAUAAAAUUAUAAAAUCCAGUUCAACUAAUUUUUUAGUCUAAUUCAACUAAUGCAUAUUGAUUUAUGGAUCAACUAAUUUUUUCCUCUCUCCAGAUUAGUUCCAUGAUCUAACUGGCCAAUCCUAUUCGGUUUAGACAAUAUAGUUUGAAAGUUAAUGAUUAACACAUUGAAAUUGUAUUUUUACAAUGAUCUAAUCACUUCAUUAAUCAUCGAUAUAGUUACUGUUGGAGUGAUAAAUUAUUGCAUGUUGGCACCAAAGAUCCGAAUUUGAAUCAUGUGUAAUCUAUCUCACUCCCAAAUUUGGAAUGAUAAAAAAAAAAAAGGCUUUUAUAAUCAGUUAAUCACUAUAUAAUUACUGAGAAAAAGAAUCAUUACAUAUAUAAUUAUUUUAAUCCUCCUAAGUACCUGCUCAUGGCCGCAGCGCAGCCCAAUUCCAAAAUAGUUUCAAGCCCAAGCCCGAAUUUGGAUCAAACCAAUCACAUUCAAGAUAUAAGGAAUCUCUGACCCAAAUCAGGCGUAAUAAUGAUGUUACGGCUGCCUGGCUAAUUUCGAUGCUAUUGGUUGGAGCGAUCAAAAAGGAAAAAGGCCACACACCCAUUUCUAGGAGUUGAAUACUCAUUGCUGCUGCGCUCUUAACUUUUUAUGUAUGUCCAUUUUUAUGAUUUGUAUAUACAGACUAAUACGAUCCGAGUUAAUUAUAAUGAUGAUAAUUAUCAAUCAUUAAAGAAACCCUUAAAUUACAAAUAACGAUGGUGACGUUAACUAUCAUUGAGAACUCAGAAAUUCAACUGUUACUGAGACUAAAAAGAAACAUCUGAAUUCAGAAUUAAGAGAACCAAAAUGAGUGCCUUGACAGAGCUUGUGAUUCUUGUCCCAUUUUGUUUCUUCCUCGUAGCUUUAAUCAAGUUCCUUUAUGAUUACUUGUGGGUGCCUCUCCGUAUACAGCGUCUCCUGAAUUCACAGGGAAUCAAAGGACCUGCUUACAAAUUCAUCCAUGGCAACAACCAUGAAGUUACCAAAAUGAAAAAGGAAGCAUUAAGCAAGCAUCUGGGCCUGACAGAUGAUAUAUUUCCCAAGGUGCAGCCACAUAUUUACACUUGGAUCAACAGAUAUGGUAAGAUCCAUCCAUGUUUUUCAGUAUGGUUUUCAAUCUUCUAGUUCUAAGAAAUGGUGGCCCCUUUUUCUAUCUUUGAUUAGGGAGGAAUUAUCUUUAUUGGAACGGUAUUCGACCUGAACUGGUUAUUUCAGAGCCUGAACUAGUCAAAGAGGUUCUCAAAAAUAGUGAAAAUACAUUUCCGAAAAAGAAGCCUUCGAUCUUUUUUAGCAAGCUACUGGGGAACGGACUUGUGCUUCUUGAGGGUGAAAAAUGGGUGAAGCAUCGGAAGCUAGCCAAUCAUGUUUUCCAUGGGGAAAGAUUAAAGGUAAAGCAUUUUAGGACGGAACAAACAAUUGUUAGCUAAAUCUUAUAUGGUUGCUUAAAUAUUUUGGAGGACUGUUUGUGCAGAACAUGACACCAGCAGUAAUUGCCAGCGUUGAAACAAUGUUAGAGAAGUGGAAAGGCCAAGAAGGCAAAGAAAUUGAAGUGUUUCAAGAAUUUAGAUUGUUGACUUCAGAAGUGAUAUCCAGAACAGCUUUUGGUAGCAACUACUUGGAAGGGGAGAAGAUUUUUGCCAUGUUGAAAGAGUUGUCUAUAAUUAUGAGCCGGAAUAAUUUCAAGACUAGUAUUCCUUUGAUCAAGUAUGUUCCAAGAUUUUAACUAGUUUUUGAAUGCAAAUGUUAGAAAGCCAAUUAAACUUCUAGAUAAAAGCUAAACUUAACUUUUUAAGAGAUAAUUUUUUUAGAACAUUCUAAAAUAUAAAAAUUAAAAAAAUAUUAUCUAGAAGAAUAGAUAUUAUACACGAACAUUUUGGUUAUUAGAUAUUCGUAAUAUUAAUGGUAAGGAUCUUGACAUGUGUCAACAAUUCAAUGGCCACUAAACUUUAUAAAUAGGGGUAGGAGUUUUCAUUUUUGGCACCUCUGUGCAACAGAGAAGCGUGUGCCAUAUUGUAAUUCUAUUGUGCAUUAAUAAAGUGUUCUUUCUCUUAUAAUUGUAAGUCUCGGCUAAGCCUUAGUUUUCUAUGCACUUAGUGCACUUGAGGAGUUAGGUUCUAUAUAUAGUUGGUUCUACCGCUUGAAUGAUAUAUGAUCGGCCUUGCCGCUUGAAUAAUAUAUGAUCGGCCUUGUUGCCUUAGUAUUAUAGUGCACUAAGAAGUUAGAAAAUAAAAGGUUAACCGACUCCAAAGAGUUGGUAUAAUAUUACUUGUAGGUCCUAGGUCUUCUAUAGUGAGUGUGUUGGGCUCAUCGAGUUCCCAACAACAAAUUUUAGGAUGUUUAUUCCUAUGGAUUUAGUUUUCUCAUAUAUGGUUGACAUUAGUUUGCUUUUACAGCAAGUUAUGGAAAGGCGUUGAUAUGCUGAAGUCAGAAGAACUUGCAAAAGGAAUACAAGAUUGUGUGAUGAAAAUUGUUAAGAAAAGAGAAGACAAAUUUGUGAAUGGAGAAGCUGACAGCUUUGGCAAUGAUUUUUUAGGAUUACUUGUAAAUGCAUAUCAUGAUUCGGACGAAAAUAACAGGCUUUCAAUGGAAGAUUUGGUAGAUGAGUGCAAAACAUUCUACUUUGCCGGGCAAGAAACUGUUAAUUCCUUACUUGCUUGGAUAGUCUUGCUUUUAGCAACUCACGGAGAUUGGCAGGAUAAAGCUAGAAGAGAGGUGAUUGACAUAUUCGGUAACCGAAAUCCAGAUUCCGAAGGCAUUUCUAAACUCAAAACUGUAAGUAAAUUGUCAAAUAUUCCAAUAUAUUUUGUAUCUCGAUCUCAAAGCUGGUGUUUCAAUCACGUCUUGUUUAUCGCAAUUACAAAUGUAACAAAUAUUAUGUGUUUAGUACAUAUUCUUUAAUUUAAUCUGACCUGUUCUUGUUUUGCAAACAGAUUACCAUGAUUAUUUAUGAAACACUAAGAUUGUAUGGUCCAUCAAAUGGCUUGCAAAGAAGAGUUACAAGAAAAGUUCAGCUGGGAAAGCUAGUCUUGCCUGCUAAUAUAGAUAUUCUGGUUCAAAAUAUUGCACUUCACCAUGACCCUCACCAGUGGGGAGAUGAUGUACAUCUUUUUAAACCAGAGAGAUUUGAAGAAGGGAUUGCCAAAGCUACCAACUACAAUGUGGCUGCAUUUUUUCCCUUCGGAUUGGGACCUCGAUCUUGUGUUGGUAUGUCCUUUGCAAUCACGGAAACUAAGGUUGCACUCUCCAUGAUUCUACAACGCUACACCAUUACCCUCUCCCCUGCCUAUGUCCACUCACCAAUGACUAUUCUCGCCAUUCGACCACAGCAUGGAAUUCAAGUAAUACUUGAGUCACUGCAUAACAAUGCUUAAAGUACACAAUAGCUAAGGGACUUGAGGUUUAACUCAAUUUGUUUAUGUAUUCACCUUUAGGUGUUAAAGCACUUUUAACAUUAGUAACCCCUUCCUAUUCCUAUGCUAUACCCUACUCAACGCAAAAACAUGGUAAAACAUGCAAUCCAUAAAUAUAUAUAUGUGUAUGUUUCAGUAUUGUUGAUCAAUAUAUAAUUUUUACUAGUUAUGCCUUAUUUCAUUUGAAUUGCAGUAUUAGCAUCCUAAAGCCUUUCCAGCAAGCAAUAGCAGCAAGAAUUAAACUAAGUUGUGAACAUCGAUACAUUGUAGGAUAGGCUUGAUCAAGAGCAUUAGUCAAACAACAGCAGCAAACAUAUCCCAUAGAUACCACUUGAUAUCAAGCACCAUAGAUACCACUCGAUAUCAAGCACCACCAUGAAUUAAACAUGGGUCUCCUCUUGAUUCUAGGUUUAACGAACGACUCUGCCAUGCCAUUCCUCUCACAAUUUACAUGAUGAAAAAAAACCGAACCAAUCUCAAUCACAAUUCAAUGAAUGUCAGAAAAAUACCCCGAAGCUUCCUGUUGGGGUUAUCAGGACAUAGAACAAGGAAGCAAGAUGUAUGAAAUAUUUUUACUUGCUCACAAUCUUGCAGCAAGGGAGAUUAUGGCUGAUAGCUCAUUUUGCUCAUUCAUUCAACUAGAAAAAACAAUACAUUUAUAACCAAAUACAUCAGUAAAUACUGCCUACUACCACUUAAAUAGCCUAGGAACUUGUAAAACAUUGCUUGUGCACAUAAACAAGCCACCUAAACUAGUCAUCCAACUACCUAAACACUUCAAGCUUUUAUCAGCUUGUUCAUUUUCAACUAAUUUAAUUACAAUGUAACUAAACAAAAAACUUGUUAAUGCAGCAUGCACAAGGGCUGCAACAUGCAAAUAACCUGCAUGCACUUUAACAUAACAACAGCAUGGUUGGCCACUUUUCAACACUUCCAUGGUCUUUCAGAUUUGUUUUUUAUACCAACAAUCAGACCAUUAGCGUAACAUCUUGUCGAUUGGAUAAAAAGAGCAAGAGUAUGCUUAAUUGCUGCAAUUUCCGCAAGUCCAUUAUCUUACCUAAAUUCUCCACGAUCAAUUAUCUCGUUAAAUUCUUUACUGCCUUCAAUAUUACCACUACAGUCUAUUCUUUCGCUUCUAUCUUGAACUACGUUAAAAUCGCCCAGCACACCCAAUUACCAUUGUGAGAGCUUCUCAGGUCCAAGACCUUCUACCAUAGCACUUUUUGAUCAAUUACAGAACACGAAGCAUAUAAAUUUUGGAUCCAACACUCAAAGAAUCAAUAUCCCAGACGACCAAGAGACCUCUUGAGCGUCCAAUUGAAGGGGAGAAAGAGAAUCCAAAAACAUCAUAAGGCCACAAAGAUCUAAUCUUCUGAUCCUUCACACUCACCAUUUUACUUCCAUGAAGACAGUUCGUGUCCAAUUUAUUAAGAACUACUGCUAGUCUCACCACUUUGUACUUAAUUUUAGCACCAAUACCCCUGAUAUUCCAAGAUAGGAUCGACAUUUGGAUCAAAGGCAAUAAAGCCACAAAAAACACUAGCAAGCAUAAACACAACCAAAAUUUAAAGAAAACAGAAACCGAUGAAAAUACCAACCAAAAACCUGCAACACACCAGACCUGCAGCAUAUUGAAUCGACAUUCUUAACCAAGUUUCUAUCGUUGCAUUCUAAAGUAAUCAACUUUACCUAGUCUUCACAAUUCGCAGACAACCCCAAAAGCUUUCCCACAUUCCAAGUUCCUUCGCCACUUGACUCAAGGUUCUUCGCCUAUUCUGCAGAUCUGAGUCAGUGAGAAUCUGACUAGCAAAUCUAUCACUCUAGUUUGAGUUUUCCAACCCCUUCUUUUACUAGUUCUUAUCCGCUCUUUCCCAAAAGAUAUCUUCAAUGUCGUCGGUGGAUUUCAACCUUCUCUCCUUCUUAGUAGCAACAACGACAAUUUCCCAAUCUAAAAGUUACCACAUAUGUCUUCACCUGGACUAGAAGAAGAGAACACCUUCUCCAUAGCCCUCCUUGCAUUAUAGUCCACCAGGCAAGAUUGGCCCACAUCAGUAUUCACCUCAUUUUUGAUCCAUUCAACUUUGGGUCAGAAGGGAACCCAUCUUGAAUGUUCUCCCCAUUUAAGUCAAAACGUUGUGUAUCUUAAAUAGUAAUUGACUAAGAUAAAUCUUCAUUUCUAGAAAUUUUUUACCCAGCUGUACUAAAGCACCUCUGAGCAUCCUCGUACAAAGAUCUUUCUUUGGUUUCUAUGCCGCCCGCAUUUGACAUCUCUAAGAACUGCUCAUCGAGUGCAUAUCCUCUCUCUCUCCCCCCCUGUGCUCUCGUCAUUUAGAAUCUAAAUCGCUAUUCUCAUUGUCAUAGUAACGACUAGCUAACUCAUCGGAACCGAUAUCGGUGAAGAAAGAAAAGGGGUCGAAGCUAUAACACAACCGACAACUCAAGGACAUCACUAAAUUCCAUUACUAUGAUGUCGAGAAAAUUCAGCAUAUUUAAUAAUACAAUGAGAUUUAUAUUAUAUAUUUUCAAUUUUUUUAAUACUCAUUUUGUACAUUGUGAUUGAAUUGUUUAAAUAUAUACGUACAUUCAAAAUUUUUAAAAUUAACUGUAUCGAGGAGUGUUUAUCACAAUUUAUUAAUGUGAUACAGUACAAAUUUUAAAUAUGUAAAAUAUCGUAGUUAUACAUAUAUGCAACAAAUUUUAUUCGAAGAAAAAAUUUAACUACUAAUUAGAUUCAUUUAAUUAUUAAUUAUGCUGUCUAUGAGACAUGUUUCCUUUCCCUUAAGAAAUAUUAAUUAAAUAAUAAAUUUAUCAAGUGUACGAUAGGUAAAUAACUAACUACUUUUCAUAAAUUCUCUUUUCUUUCAAGGGUGGUAUUGAGAACUCUAAUUGUUCUCUUAUUUGUCUAUUUCUUUCCACUUCUAGUGGCCAAAAGUAAUUAUUACUAAUAAGAUAUCCAAGAAUCAAGUAAUAAGUGUCACAAUUCACAAUGCCUAGAACUAUCUAUAGUGAUCUCUUAUCAAUCCAUAAUUAGGAGGAUAAUGCACUUCAGCACACUUAAACCAACAUACUCCUGCAUUGACAAUAAUACCUAUACUAAUCGAGUUAAGACUUAAUCGGUAAAACUUAAGUAUAAUUGAGUGACUGACGAUGUUGCUUGUUCUUCCAUAACACAAUAAUGAUUCUUUUAUUAUUUAUGCUCAAUUGAUUUUUUUUCCCUGUCAAUGCUAAUAAUUUUAUUUUGUAAUAAUAUAUUUCUAACAACCUAGGUCAUUCAUCCUAAUACUAUUCUCGCUCAAGCACAAGAGAAUUCUGAUAUAAUUUGGUGCAUUAAUAUUAGUAUCAUCUCACCCUCAAAAACGUAUAAAUAAUGACUAAAUUAUUUCAAGCCUCCUCAUUAAUGGUAAGACAUUACAGCACAGAUAUGAUAUUUUACCUUAUCUACGAAGGAACAAAAGGAAAGAUGACAACCAUAUCCCACUCAAUUACCAUUUAAAUGCUUUGUUAAAUAUGGAAAUCACAAUAGAAUAACUAAAGGAGCAACUGGAUUCAGUGUUGAGAGAAGGAAAAAUGAGUGGCUUGAUGGAGCUUGUGAUUCUUGUCGCGUGUUGUUUCUUCCUCGUAACUUUAAUCAAGUUCCUUUACGAUUAUCUGUGGAUACCUCUGCGUAUACAGCAUAUACUGAAUUCACAGGGAAUCAAAGGACCUCCUAUCAGAUUCAUCCAUGGCAACAACAAGGAAAUUGCCAAAAUGAAACAAGAAGCAUUAGGCAAACCUGUGGCCUGGACAGAUGAUUUAUUUCCCAGACUACAGCCACAUAUUUACAGCUGGAUCAACAGAUAUGGUAAGAUCCAUGCUGUUUUUUUUCACUAAGAUUUAUAACUCGUAGUUCUAUGAAAGAUUGAUCCUUUUUCUUUUUAUGUGAUUAGGGAAGAAUUUUGUUUAUUGGGACGGUGCUCGAGCUGAAUUGGUGAUUUCUGAGCCUGAACUAGUUAAAGAGGUUUUGAAAAAUAGUGAAAAUAUUUUUCAAAAAGUGAAGCUUCCAGAAAUUAGUAGGAAGCUCAUGGGGAAUGGGCUUGCGUUCACUGAGGGGGAAAAAUGGGCAAAGUAUCGAAAGCUAGCCAAUCACACUUUCCAUGGGGAAAGCCUAAAGGUAAAUCCUCCAAAUAUAUAAACUUGGUGUAAUUAAUUUACGAGAAUUAUACAUACACUACAAUAUUUUAGUAAAAUUUUGUAUUGUUUGCUAGGGAUGAGUUUCUCAUCGAAGUUGAGAAGUAUCGUGAAAAAAUAUUUUUCAAAAGUUUGAUUAUGUUUACCACAUAAAAUGUUAGAUAUAAAUUAAAAAAAGUAAUUUCAUUGAAAGCAUUAUUCCAAAAAAAAAAAAAACAAAAUAAUUAUUUUUUGGCUUUCUAGCUUAGAAUAAAAUCUAAUUUGAAUUCAUGCAUGGUUUUGUGUUGAAAAGUGUUUUCCAUCGCUACUACUUACAUAUUGGAGGAUUCUUUGGACAGAACAUGACUCCAGCAAUGAUUGCUAGUGUUGAAACAAUGCUAGAAAAGUGGAAUGGCCAAGAAGGCCAGGAGAUUGAAGUGUUUCAAGAAUUUAGAUUACUGACUUCAGAAGUGAUUUCCAAAACAGCAUUUGGUAGCAGUUACUUGGAGGGGGAGAAGAUUUUUGCCCUGCUGUACAAGUUGAAAAUACUUGUUAGUCGAAAUAUGUCCAAGACUACAAUUCCUUUCAUCAAGUAUGUUCCCUAUAACCUUAGUUAAUCCCAAGUUUUUCCUUUAUUUCAAUUAGCUUUUGAAUGCAAAUUUUGGACUUUUAUUCCCCAUAGCUUUGGUUUUCUCCUUAUAUAUAGCUUACCAUAGUUUGCUUUUCCAGCAAGCUAUGGAAAUCUGCUGAUUUGCUAGAGUCUGAAAAACUUGCAAAAGGAAUACAAGAUUGUGUAAUGAAGAUUGUUAAGAAAAGAGAAGACCAAGUUGUGAAUGGAGAAGCUGAUAGCUUCGGCAAUGAUUUUCUUGGAUUACUUGUAAAUGCCUAUCAUGAUUUGGAUCAGAAAAAUAGGCUUUCAUUGCAAGACCUGGUAGAUGAAUGCAAAACUUUCUACAUUUCCGGACAAGAAACUGUUAAUUCCCUACUGGGAUGGAUAGUCUUGCAUUUGGCAAUCUAUGGAGAUUGGCAAGAAAAAGCAAGAAGGGAGGUGAUUGACAUUUUUGGUAACCAAAAUCCUCAUCUCGAAGGCAUCACCAAACUUAAAACAGUAAGCAAACUAUCUAACCAAGAUAUUAAAUAGCCAUCACAACAUGAUGUAAUCUAACAUAUUUUCUAUUUUGCAAACUGAUGACCAUGAUCAUCAAUGAAACUCUAAGAUUGUAUGGUCCGUCAAAUGGCUUGGCAAGAACAGUUGCAAGAGAAGUACAGUUGGGAAAGUUAGUCUUGCCUGCUAAAUUAGAUAUUCUGCCUCUAAAUAUUGGACUUCACCGUGACCCUCACUUAUGGGGGGAUAAUGUGCAUCUUUUUAAACCAGAGAGAUUUGCCGACGGGAUUGCCAAAGCUACCAAUUACACCGCGGCUGCAUUUUUGCCCUUCGGAUUGGGUCCUCGAUCUUGUGUUGGUAUGACAUUUGCAACAAUAGAAACCAAGAUUGCUCUCUCCAUGAUUCUACAACGUUACACCAUUACUCUUUCCCCUGCCUAUGUCCACUCUCCAAUACUUAUUCUCACCGUUCGACCACAACAUGGAAUUCAAGUAAUAAUUGAACCGCUACAUAAUAAUUUUUGAAUUACAUAGCUAUUAAGAGAUGACAAUUAAUAUAUCUAAGGUUCUAGCUUUUACUACCCCUUCUCUAUUCCUAAGCUAUUCCCACCUUUAUAUAUAAUGAUAUGCAAGUAGCUACCGGUUUCCCAUAUGGUAAAACAUGCAAUCAAUAAAAAAGAAUGUGUUAAGGCAAGUUUUAGGAGUAGUGACUCAAGAUGUGACUGUUACACUUGGCACUACGCAAGCCACAAAAUUUUCCUUAUUGUUGGUAAUUUUGACCCAAAUAUUUUGAUUAUUUUGCUUGCAUCUUUUUUAGAAUUUGAUGCGGUCGUUGAAAGCACAAAAAUAUCUUAUCCCUAAUAAAUAAUGAAAAAGAAUAGUAAAAAGGAAGUUGGGUCAAAUCCUUAGGGACUGGACUUGCAAAAUAUCUUGCUCCGUAAAAUCCUAGGCAAAAUCUUGCCCAAGAAAACUUAGGUGCCUGAAAAAAAUAAAAUAAAAAAAUAACAUAAUAAAAUGUUUGGAUUUGAAAACGAAAAAUAAAAUAAAAACAAAUUUAAGAAUAUUGAAUCUAAAAUUAGAGAAAUUAAAAAUAGAAUUGAGAGAAAAGAAAUUCUUAUGGGAGAUUCCAGCCUCCAGUUGUCUCGUUCCGCCUUGGGUUCAAUCCUCGGCUUUUAGAUGAUCCUUCCCAAACCCAAUAAGCCAGUUAUAGUGGAAGAGGACGCCUACGACCACCAGCUCCAAGGAUUUAGACUUACGAUUUAGUGGAAUUUGACUCUAGCCAACAAUCACUUCUGUGGGAUCGUCUUAUGCUAGAUCAACGCUUCUCAAUGGCAAAUCCCACGCCAUUUUGUCUCUUGGGCUCGCCAACCUCUGACGCAGUAAGCUAACGAACCGACUGUGCAACCUUCCCAAAACAUACAAAGCGGUCAGUGAUUCAGGUGUAUUUUAGGGGGGGGGAGGAUGUGUAGCCUAUAAGCUUGGCACUCAGUGCCCAGGUGUGUUUCUGGAGGGAUGUAUAGCUACAGGCUUGGCACUUAGUGCCCAAGUGUGUUCAUGGAUGGUAUGGCUCGUUUGAGCAACCAUAUGUGUUUUAGGUGGUUACCCAUGUAUUCGUAUUUGUUCAUUAUAGUUCAUCAAGUUAAUGGUUUUUAUAAAUGGGACGUUGGUUGAAUAGUAAUAAAUAUAAUGUGAUAAAUGAUAGAUGAAUGAUGUAAAGUUUGCUUAUGUUCAAUGGUUAGUUGACAUGAUAUUGAUUUGGAUCAAUUUGUAUAAUAUGGAAUGAUAUGACUUAAAUGUGAUGAACUCACCGUUGAUAUGAAUUGUGGUAAAAGGAUAAAUCAUUUAGUUAAUUGUUUUGUCAUGUAAUUGUGGGAAUUAAGGUAAGUUACAUUGUUUUAAACCUAUGAACUUACUAAGCUUAUUUAAGGCUUACUCUAUUUCAUUUUCUAUUUCUUGUAGUUAACAUUUUGCAGAACUAGGUGAUAGGAUCAUCUCGAAGGUCAUACUAUCCAACCUCCACUUUGGUAGACUUUUAAACCAUUAAACUCAGUGAUGUGGCAUGUAAUAGGAGUUGAUUUGUAAAUAUAUGUUUUGUUGAAGUUGAGUGUUAAAUGGUGAUGUAUAAUUGUAUAUAUGUUUGUUAGCAAGUUGAUAUGCUAACUUAUGACUUGAAUGAUAACAUUUGAAUGUAAUGUUUUGGUGAUAGGGUCAUUUAUGCGUGAUGAUAAUUUGGUGUUUGGAUUUCAUAUAAGGCAUAUAUGUGAUCAUAAUCUAAUUGACAUGAGAUAGGAUUAAUUACUUGAAUUGAUGCAUGUUAUGUUAUGGUGCUAUUGAGGCAUAUUAAUUAGAUUCUAGGGAUCAUGGUUUGUGAUUUAUUUUAGCAUGAAAUUAUACAUUUUGGAUGAGUUAUCAAGUGGAUAGUUAUUAUGCAUAACUUAGGUGAUGAAUUGAUUUUGAUAGUUUGUUGAAAAAGGUACAUUUUUGGUAUAUACAGGCUAACACACGGCCAUAUGUUACACACGGGUAAGUGACAUGGUCGUAUGCUUUGUUUUUAAUUGGGAGGUUUUGGGUUACACAGUUCCAGUUUGUUACAUGGGGUGACCACAUGCCCAUGUGAUACUGUAGAUUUGGUCAUUAGAAUUUCCACACGGUUUUAGUCUCUCACACAGCCUAGCCAUGUUUGUAAGUUUUUGCAUUUAGGUCCACAAAGUUUCAUUGAGUUACACGAUCAGGUUACAUGACCAUGUGACUCCAAUUUCGCACGGUCACCUAUUGUAACACGGCCUAAGCACACAACCGUGUAACCCUGUAUUGCAAAUUUCUCCUUGAUGGUUAAAAGUUUGUAAUUAAGUCUUUAUUUGUUUCUGGGUUGGUUUAAGAGCUUUCGUAAGCUCGAUUGAGACUUGUAAUUGUUUGUAGGUCAUAUUAUAAAUGAACUAUAAAUUGUUUUGUUGUUUCAUUAAAUGUUAAAGUCAGAAAUGUAUGUGAUUUAUUCCGUUAACUAUUGUAGAUUCUAUAGCUCCGGCCCGACAGCCGGACCGGGUGAGGGGUGUUACUUACCAAUAAUGAUGAUCAAGAUGAAUGUUCCAAGAAGUAUGUUUUGAUCCUUGUUGAAAUCUCUAACCAUCAAGUUAUUUUUCAUUAUUGUGGAGCUCUUGGUCAUGUUGAAAGAUUAAUGGUGGAAGCAAGUAGUGGCAGAACCAACGCCCACUGCUCCUAUCACUGCUCGAGGUCAAGGGUAAAAAUCUAUAUGAGGGAGAAUGAGAUGUCAUCUCAUGGAUUUGAUGAACAUAAGAAGAGAAGCUAGGUUAUCUGUCAUUAUUGUAAUAUGGUUGGUCAUAUCAAAUCACAUUGUUAUAAGAUGUUGAAUGACCUGAUAUGAGAAUUGUUUGAAGACAAGUUACAACUCAAACAAGAUACAACUAGAAACAUGUAUGAGUGAGAAAAGAUUGACAAUUGAUUGAUGUAUGUUAGAAUCGUGAAGUAGAAACUGACGCAACAACUUUUGAAAAUCAAGAUGAAAAUAUUUAUGCUCUCUAGAGAUCUUGUGGUAAAAAUCCUUGUUGCUCCAUGAGUUAUAACUCUCACCUACAGAGCUAUUGAUAAGUUAGCAUCCAUUGCACCCUAUGUUGAAACACCUUAUUGAGGGGGAGUGUGUUAAUGCUACAACUAAGGGGGAGUUUCUUCUUUGCCAUGCUUUUUGUUAUUGAUUCUGUUUAUUCAUGAUGUUGCCUACAUGUUAUUACUUUAUGUAAUUGAUAAAACUUUAGCUUAUGUAGAUGUCGAGAAGAGCGGCAACCUUGGCCAAACUGCUAGGUAAUGCCAUAAUAUAACCCAUGGCCCAUCCAUUAGCACCUUUGAGUAAUCAUCGUCAUCCUGAAACUUGAUCAAGUAAAAAUCUUUCUUCAAACCCAUUAAUUGAAUGGAUUUAUUCAGCUUUCAGAGUACAUACACCUUGUUAGAGAAAGCAUUAAAAGUUAUGCGUCGGCCCAAAAGUUUGAUGUUGACAGUACCCACACAAUACGCUUCUCAAUAAAUUUGUGAACCUGAUUUGAAAAACUAAGAGAAGGUAUUCCAUCAACAUUAGUCGUUGUGAUAUCCCCCUCAUGGAACUCAAAAUCAUCAUCUUGUGAAACACUAGAAUGAUGUAAUGAAGAACCCAAAAAACGUGUUCUUAAAGGAUGUCCUAGGCAUCAUUGGUUCCUUCAUCUGCAAACCAUUCCCAUCAACCAUCGGAUCAUCAAUAUCCGGUGGCUCAUCCGGUCGCCUCCAUACCUUCUUGGUUGUCUGACCAAAGUUGACACUGGAAGUAGCGGAGUUGGAGCCAAUCACAAAAGCACCUAGAGAAAUUCUAUAACAUGUAAGUCAUUUAAUCAAUAAUCAAUAAUAAUAAUCAAUAAUCAAUAAUCAAUAAGAUAGUACCUGCUGUUCCAAAAUAAUAAUAAUUAAGCUUAGACCUGAAUUUGAUCUGCUCCAACAAUUUGUUUCAUUACUAAUCUAUUAAUAAAAUGUUGAAAAUUAUAUUUUUAUAUUAAUAUUAUCAUUAAAUUUAUAUUAUUUUUAUUUUUUAAAUUGAAUUUAGGUGAGAUGAAUGAAAACUAAUAUUAAAAAGGUCAUAAUUUUCUAUUAGAUCCUGUACUUUGCGUAAGUUAUGAAUUUAGUACUUAUAUUUUAAUUUGGUUAUUUUCAGUUCCUGUACUUUUAAAUUUGAAAAUUUUAGUCAUGGCCAAAUGAUUUAUUUUUAAAAAUUGAUGUGUCAAACAUAGUGUCACAUGUGUAAUGCUAUGUUUGUUUGUUAUUUUCACAUUUUACUCACAAAAAAUCAAUUAAUAGAUUUAACGACCGUCAUUUGCAUUAAGACUAAAAUUUUGAAAUUCAAAAAAAUCCAAUUGGUGAGCAUGGACUAAAUUUAUAACUUUAUGCAUAAUAUAUGAAUAAUGACAUAAUUUAAUCAAAUAAAUUUAACUGUUACCAUUAAAUCAGGACUACAAUAUCAAAAUUCAAAAUAAAUAAAAAUAAAAAUUGAUUAAAUUAAAGUCGAAAGUUUAAUAUCAUAUUAGACCUAUAAAAACUCUCCGGCUAAAGUCUAAUCCAAGCCCGGCGUCCUACUCCGCAUGUGAACAAAACUACUCAUAAGGCGUAAUGGACAUUGAUGUUUUAACUUAUAAUAAUAUGUCUGACAUAUACUUCCAACUAAUCUUUAUGUUGUUCGAAGGAUCCAAAAGGAAAAAAGGACACUAACCCAUAUCCAGGAAUUGCUGACACGGUUUUUUUUGUCUUUUGUUUUUUUAAAGAUUGAGAUAAGACUAAUACGACGGAGUUGAUUAUUAUGAUGAUAACUACCGACUAUUAAAAAACCCCUUAAAUUACAAAUAACGAUAGUGAUAUCAACUAUUAUUUACAACUCAGAGAGUCAUCUGUUAUUGAGACUACAAGGAACAUCUGAGUUCAGAAUUAAGACAAGCAAAAUGAGUGGCUUGAUGGAGCUUGUAAUUCUUGUCCCAUGUUGUUUCUUCCUCGUAGCUUUAAUAAAGUUCCUUUAUGAUUACCUGUGGGUACCUCUCCGUAUACAGCAUCUGAUGAAUUCACAGGGAAUCAAAGGACCUCCUUACAAAUUCAUCCAUGGAAACAAUGAAGAAGCUACCAAGAUGAGAGAAGAAGCAUUAAGCAAACCUAUGGCCUUGAGGCAUGAUAUAUUUCCUAGAGUGCAGCCACAUAUUUACACCUGGAUCAACAGAUAUGGUAAGAUCCAUGCAUGUUUUUCACUAUAGUGUUCCAAUAUAGUAGUAAAUGAAAUUUUGUAAGUAAUUAAAAGCUGACUUGGUUACUAAUAAAAGUUGUUUAUUCUGAUGAAAGAAGUUUUUUUACUUGAUUAUUAAUAAAAAAUUAGGAUUAUUUUAGUAAUAAAUAAUCAACAAUUGUAUCUAUUUUUAACAGAUGAUACUAAUCAAAUAAACUUCUAUUAAAUAGUUAUAUUUUUAUAAGUAGACAUUAGAAUUGGUAUAGAUAGGGGAGGGAUUUCAUUUUUAUGUUAUGAAAUAUUAAGACACGCUAAAAACCCAAAAACAAAAAAUUUCUCUAUUCUCCGUCAUCUUCAAAUAUUCAUAGGUUGUUUUAUCAAGAACUAUUGCAGAAGUUUUUAUAGAAUAUGAUACUUUUCCUAAUGUUCAGUGUACUAUUUUCAUUAAUGCAAAAUGUAGAUAAUUAUUGGGUUUCAUUAUAUUCUCGACACUUAUUUGUUUGUAACAUUUUUAACGCCUCAAAAUAUAAAUGAGAAGAAAUUGAAUCAUGAAAAAAGUGGCGUUGGUUAAUUUUUAUAAGUUUAUUUUUAUUCUUACCCACCAGUUCUAAGAAAAGAUGUACCCUUUUUUGUUUGAUUAGGGAGGAAUUAUAUUUAUUGGAAUGGUAUUCGAACUGUAUUAGUGAUUUCAGAACCUGAACUAGUCAAAGAGGUUCUGAAAAAUAAUGAAAAUACAUUUCCAAAAAAGAAGCCUUCGAUUUAUUUUAGCAACCUACUGGGGAACGGGCUUGUGUUGAUUGAGGGUGAAAAAUGGUUGAAGCGUCGGAAGCUUGCCAAUCAUGCUUUCCAUGGGGAAAGCUUAAAGGUCAGUCCUCAAAAUAUAUGUAUCGAUUGUAAUUAAUUUACAUGAACUAUACUUAUACUGCAAAAUUAAGGAUCUAUAAUUGUUGGCGAAAUCGUAUAUCGUUGCUUACAUAUUUUGGAGGAUUGUUUGGGUAGAACAUGACACCAGCAGUAAUUGCAAGUGUUGAAACAAUGCUAGAGAAAUGGAAAGGCCAAGAAGGCAAAGAGAUUGAAGUGUUUCAAGAAUUUAGAUUAUUGACUUCAGAAGUGAUAUCCAGGACAGCUUUUGGUAGCAAUUACUUGGAAGGGGAGAAGAUCCUUUCCAUGUUGAAAGAGUUGUCUGUAAUUAUGAGUCGAAAUAAUUUCAAGACUAGAAUUCCUCUCAUCAAGUAUGUUCCAAGAUUUUAACUAGUUUUUGAAUGCAAAUUUUAGGAUGUUUAUCCAUAUGGAUUCAGUUUUCUCCUUAUAUAUGGUUGACACAGCUGGUUUGUUUUUUACAGCAAGUUAUGGAAACCUGCUGAUAUGCUAAGGUCAGAAGAACUUGCAAAAGGAAUACAAGAUUGUGUGAUGAAGAUUGUUAAGAAAAGGGAAGACAAAUUUAAGAAAGGAGAAGCUGAUAGUUUUGGUAAUGAUUUUCUAGGAUUACUUGUAAAUUCCUAUCAUUCGAAAGAUAAUAACAGUCUAUCAAUGGAAGACUUGGUAGAUGAGUGCAAAACAUUUUACUUUGCUGGACAAGGAACUAUUAAUUCCUUACUAGCAUGGAUAGUCUUGCUUUUAGCAACCCAUGGAGAUUGGCAGGAGAAAGCUAGAAGAGAGGUGAUUGACAUAUUCGGUAACCGAAAUCCAGAUUCUGAAGGCAUUUCUAAACUCAAAAUUGUAAGUAUACUGUCCAACAUUCCAAAAUAUUUUGUAUCUCAAUCUCAGGUUUUUUAGUCAGGUCAUGUUUAUCGCAAUUGCAAAUUCAACAAAUACUAUGCAUUUAGUACAUUAUAUUCUUUAAUUUGAUUUGACAUAUUCCUGUUAUGCAAACAGAUGACUAUGAUUAUUUAUGAAACUCUAAGAUUAUAUGGUCCAUCAAAUGGCCUACCAAGAGGAGUUGCAAGAGAAGUGCAGUUGGGAAAACUAGUCUUGCCUUCUAACAUAGAUCUUCUGGUCCAAAAUAUUGCACUUCACCAUGACCCUUACCUGUGGGGAGAUGAUGUGCAUCUUUUUAAACCAGAGAGAUUUGCAAAAGGGAUUGCCAAAUCUACCAAUUACAAUGCAGCUGCAUUUUUUCCCUUUGGAUUAGGACCUCGAUCUUGUGUUGGUAUGUCCUUUGCAACCACAGAAACGAAGAUUGUGCUCUCCAUGAUUCUACAACGCUACACCUUUACCCUCUCCCCUGCCUAUGUCCACUCACCAAUGCCUAUUGUCGACCUUCAACCGCAACAUGGAAUUCAAGUAAUACUUGAACCACUGCAUAACAAUGAUUGAUGUACACAACAGCUAAGGACAUGGGAUUCAACUCUGUUUGUUACAACAUUCACCUUUAAGAGGUAACAUUUAAGAUAUCCGGGGUUUUUAGUAUUAACAACCCCUUCCCUAUUCCUAAGCUACGCCCUCCUCUAAACAAAAAGAAAUCUAUGCAUUUGCUAGUUUCCUUAGAUGGUAAAACAUGUGAUUAAACAAUACAUCCUUCAUAUGGCGCAUAUUCCAGCAAGUAAACAGUUAUAUUAUAAUGCAUUUUACUUCACCAUUCUGCUCAUAUUUCAUUUGAAUUGCAGUGUUAUCAUCCUAAAGUCACUCUAGCAAGCAAUGAGGUUGCAAGUUUCUGAUAAAUUUAGUUCUAACAGACUACUUAAGCUAAUCCACCUUGGUGCUUUGUUUUCUUUUCCUAAACUAUAUUUUUUGCUAUUCCUAGCCCAUUUAAGCAUUCAGUUGGAAGAUGGUCGAGAGUUGUUAUAGCAUUCGGAAAGAAAAGGUUAGUGUGUGUUAAGUGACUGUGUGAGGCUAAGGUUAUGAUAAUCUUCAGAUUGGUUCUGCUUACAUUAUCUAUAAUAUAAAAUUUACUUUUUAAAAAGUUGUUUAACAAGCUUAUAGCUAAGAUAGGAUAUCCAAAUAAAAUAUAUUAACAAAAAGUAACGAACAAGUGUUGGGUGGAAUGAUAAUUGCAGUAUCAAGGGGAGAAACUUUUGAUGGAAAAAAGUGCUAGGUACCCGUAAUGUUCAGGCAAACCUUCUUCAUGUAAAACUUCGCCGGAAAGAUGAUUUCAUAGGGUUCUAUUUCGUCUUCAAUCCAAUCAUUGUUCACGUUUUUUUUUCUUAUCAAUAAAUAGAUCUAUUUACUUGUAUGACUUAGAUAUCUCGUAUCUCUCAAAAUAAUGGUUCGAUUGAUGAGAUUUGUUACGAUAUUUAUGAGAUCAAUGAUAUCGAUGAUAUUGAUAUUCAAAUAUUUCUUCUUAAAUCAUAUUGAUUUAACCCCAUAAGCAAGAACACCACCCCAUAAUGUUGCCUCCAAAAGCAGAACCUCGUAUUUCCUCUAGAGAAUCUCUUAAUUGUUCAAGAGUACCUAGAAUGAAAUUCUUUAAUUAGAAAGAAUUUAGUUUAGAUGUAGGAUAUCUAUCCAGAAGUUUUCGCAACUCAUGAUAUAGAAUCAUAAAAAAAAUUCUGACUUUUUAAACAAAUAGAUCACUUGGGUGUAGAAAAGAAAUAAUUAAUAAUAAAAAUUGGUAUAAUUAGAAAAGAAUAUCUUAAGAGUUCAUUUUGUUCUCACACUAACUUUUAAUAUUUAUAUAUUAUUUUAUAAAGAAAUAUUAUAAAAAAUUCUUUUAAAAAUUGAUAUUUUUAUAAUACAUCACUCAAUGUUGAAUACAUUUCAUUAAUAAACAAUAAUUAGCUUAAUUAUUAAGAGUUGAAUUAACUAUUUUUUAAUGAAGCAUUCUCUCUCUAAAAUCUCCAUCCUCACCACUAUUCUUAUCUAAUUCACCUUCAAGUUUUAAAAUCAAUGCUCUAUCAUGUUUUGAUUUUCUUUUAAAUUUAUUUUAAAUUUUAAAAAUUCCUUUUUUAAAAUCUCAAAUAUAUUACAUUUCACACUUUUAAGAAAAUAAUGUACGUUCAAACAUUGAAAAUGACAUAAUUAAAUAAGAUAAUCACGAAUCCUGAAAAUGAACCUAAAACGAUUUGUCCAAUUCAAAAUUUGGAAUGAUAGAAUCUUAAUAGAAAAUUUAACCUAAUUUUUUGAAUAAUCUUAUUGAGGAAGAAAGAAGAUGGGACAAGAAUUACAAACUUCAUCAAGCCACUCAUUUUUCUGCUUUUGCUUCUUAUAUCAUGUUUGACGCUAUUUUGUCUUUUUUACUUGUAAAUUAGAAGAGAUGCUCCCAAUUAUUCAUUCAUCCUCUCAUAUUCAAUUGCUUAUUGUAAACUUAAUUUAAAGGAUCAAUGAUUUAUAUAAUCUCCAUGAAAUUUCUGUCACUAUUUUUUUUAUUAUUUUUUUCUAGCCAUUGUUGACUAACUGCACCUGUUAGUGGUGAAAUGAAAAAUUUUUCAUUUUACACCCUUUAUAAUUUAUAAAAUUUUAAAUUAAUAAUAAUAAAAUUAUAUUUUGACUUCUCUAAAACUGAUAAAAAUUUAAUUUAAUCUUUCAAAAAUUAUAAAAUGUAAACUAUUAAAAUAAUGAAAUUACAUUUUUAGAUUAUAUAAACUAUUAAAAUUUCGAAUAUUUUGAUGUAAUUAAAAAUAAUUGUUUAAACUAUCCUUUUAAAAAUAUAUUUAAUAUUUUAAUAUAUAAAAAAUUCCGUAUUAAAAUUAAAAUAUUUAAAUAAUCAUGUUGUAUAUAUAUUGAAACACGUUUGAAUUUUAUAUAUCAAAAUAUAUUUUAAAUUAUCACGUGAACAAGCUAUAUUCUAUAAAAAGGAAACACGUAAUAUAUACUAUUUAAAUAAUCAUGUUUUUAAAUAAAUUACACUUUUGGUCCUUUUCUUUUUGAAAAUUUGUAGUUAUGUCACCUAACUUGAGAUUUUUUAUCACCGAAAUUUGUAAACCUAUUAAUAUAUUAUUUGAAUUAGAAUUUCUUGGUUCAGUACUUAAAAUUUUGUAGAUGUUCAAUGGAAUAUAUUUAUUCCAACUUUAAAUUUAAAGAAUAAAAAUAUAAUAAAGUAAAAGUUGAUAUAUAAUCUUAAUUUUGUAUAGACUAAUUUCAAACUCAAUGCUACCAACAACUCCUAGAAAGAGUAUCCACUAAUAACAACAAACUUACAUGAGUGAGGCAUUUAUUGAAACAAUCAGCAACCAAUUUUGACUCUUUUUACCAAUUAUUUUAUAUAUUUAUUUGUAUUUUGAAGUUAACUUUAAAAUAUUCUAUAUAAAAUGAAUUUAAUAACAAUAAAUUGCCUUUUACGUUUACGAAAUUUGACCAAAUGAAAACGUUUCAAAGUGAAAGACAGUAUGGAAUCCAAAUUAUAGCUGAUGAAAUGUUAUUUCUUUUAAUUAUUAAAAACAUUAUAAUUAAGAGAUAUGAUUAUUUUAAUAAAUAGUUAUAAUUAUUAUUAAAAAAUUUCACUAUUUAAAUAGUGUUAUGAAUAUCUUAUUAAGUGGAUGUCCAUCAAGAUCAAUAUAAGUCUUUGAUGUACUUUAAAUUCUAAUAGCCAUUAGAAGUAGGUUUUGCAAAUAUUCUGAUUGAUCAAUAAAUUACGCUCUCUCUUUGUUCUCCUUCUUCUUUGUUCUUUGUCUUUUAUUUUAUAACACGUUAUCAUAACGAUUCUCUUUUAAUUGUUUUUCUCCAUAAGUCACAAAAAUAUCCAAAAAUUUAUUGUUAUCGAUUGCCUCCUAGAGUUGCUACGCGCACUAUGGGUAAUCAUUAGAGCCUUUAACCAAUGAGGUACACAUAAUUCUCUACAUUUUUUUAUGUCCUUUUAUGUAAAAAAAUUUAUAUAAUUCUUACGUGGUAUGUUUUUCUCCUUUAUUUAUUGAUUUUUGGAAAAAUUAUUUUACAAAAAAAAGUAUUAUUACUUUAAGGUUUCUUUUAAACUAAGAUUCGCAUAAUAUUUAAAUGUUUAAAGAUUUGAUUAUUAAAUUCUUGUCAUUAAAUAUUCUUGUAAUAUGAUUAAAAUUAUAGUGGAAAGUGUUAUUAACCUACCAUAGUUGAUCUAUUGAGUCUUACUAACUUUCUAAUGUUGAAUGAUUGUAUUAUAUCUUUUAAAUUGAAUUUAUAAAUAUUUGAUUAGAAGCUUCAAAAGAUUAAUUUAUAACAUAUAUGUGGUAUUGAAAUUUGGUACAAUGUGUAUCAAAUAACUUUCAAGCAUCGUACACACAAACUAAAUGAUUUUUUUACUAUUAGAUUAUAAAUGUUAUUACAAAAACAAAAUUGUUUUACUACUUGUCAUAUUGCUCGUGAUAAUAGCCAAGGUGAUACAAUGAUGUUAAAGAAUCUCAGGUAUAUUUUAUUAUAAUUUAUUUAUUAUGCCAUGUUUAUUAUAAUUGGAGACUAAUCACGACAACAUGAAUAGAUAGAUUUUGAUUUAAAAUCCACGCAUGUUUUGCAAUGGUGAUUAUGAAAUAAAGAAUCAAUGGAGGCGUUUAGAAGUAUGCCCCACUAGAUUUGUUGCAUUCCUUGAAGUGAAUGUAAACAUAAAGAAAAUAAAAGAUAUAAUCAUGGAUCACUAAAAGUGGGAACAUAGUAAUAAAUAAGAGAACAAUGAGAGUUCUCCAGAUAACUCUUCAAAGGGUAAAUAUAACUUAUGUUAUCAAUGUGAUAUGAAAUAUUAUUGGCCACAUAUGUGGCGUAUCCCAAAUAUUUUGUUUCUGUUAAUAUUUUUGAGGAAGGAUAUGAGAAUGUAGAAAUAAAUUAUGUUAUUACAGAUAUAAAAUAUUUAUCUUAUUUGAUACUGAAACAAACAAAUAUUAUUCAAAUAUUUGGUAGUACAAAAUUAGUCGACAGCUCCAGAAGAGCUAAUAUAUUAAUAUCAUCCCCAAUGGUUAAUCCAUUGGUUUUAAAAACUAUUCAUUGUAAUGGAUCUCAUAUUGAGAUUGUAAAUGAGGAAAAAAUUAUAUUUCAUAUGAAUCACUAUUGCUAUAAAUAUCUAUUUUAAAAAGAUAAAAAAAAAGGGAAGGAUUGAGUUAUUAGUUAAUCUUGUUAUUAAAUUGAAUUUAUUAUGACUAUCUUUGUGAUCUUUUGUCAUCAUCCCCAUUAAGGGGUUGAAAGCAAAAUAUUUAACUGUGAAAAAUCUACUUAUGAGCAAUAGAAUAUGGUAAUUCUAUCUAAAACUUGUUAUGGUUGGAUGCACUUGAAGUUGCAAGUUUUUUAAAACAAUGAGUAUAACUCUAUAGUAUUCAGAAUAAGAUCUUAAUUAAAAUUACGUGAAAAAAUAUUACUGAUGAGAAAUUGCAAGAGAGAAAACUUAUGUAUGAAAAAGUCAUUGGUUAUGUACCUGUUGUACACCUGGAAAAUAAAAUCCACUCUUAAAGCUUGCUAUUAAUAGAUUUUGGUUGGAUUCAAAGUCUACUACUGAAGUUUAAUUUGUUUACUUCUUGAUCAAAUCGUCAAGACUCAACGCAGAAAAAAAAAGGUACAUAUUAAAAUAUUAAAUCAACUUGAUAUAUGGUUUAAAGAUUUGAAAUGGUCUUCUUUUUAAGUUUUGAUUACAUGGCUUACAUAUUGUUUUCGGUAUCUUAUUUGUUCAUGAAAAUGACUAUUAACUGAUUUUAUAACAACCCAAAACUCGACCCAGAAGUUUUGACCAAAUUCCGGAGGUUUCAUUGGCCACCCGAAGUGGCAAAAGUAAAAACUCUGAAUUAAACAUAGAAAAUUCUUUUCGAAACCAUUUUGAUGACUAAUUAUAGCAAGUUAGAUAAAAACUUAGUUAUAUUUUGAAAACAAUGUUUACUUGGCGGCAAUGACUAAGUCAGGAAUAAACCAAAUUGGUCUUUCUUGAACAGUUUCAAAAGCAUCAAAUUUUAUCAAUCACAAACCAAAAUUCAAAACUGGAAACACAUAAUUUAACGAACAAUCCAAUUACAAAACCCAUACCACAUUUUAUAAACUCCCUUACAAAUAAACUAAAAAUAAUAAAUUGAAUUUAAGAAAUAUUGUUAAAACAAACCAAACUUUUUAAGUAUCCGAGGCCUCCAAUAUGCCGAGUCCAACCUCCAAGCUCCAAGUUAACCUAAAAGAGAGGAAACUAAGGGGAUGAGUUAUACGAGCUCAGUGUGAGACUGGAAGAGUGGUGAAGGCAAAAGACCGUAUACCAAAAUGGAUAUCUUAAAAGAAAUCUUGCAGACUAAGUGUGAAAGUCUAGUGUGAAAGUCUCGAUCCGGUACUCAGACAUAUAAACAAUGUCAUUGCCAAACAUAACAUAAAGAUAAUAUACUUAACACACUAAUUACUUAAUCAUGUCGGACUACUUAAAUUAUUUCAAGGAUGUGCUAUUAUCCUUGCAAACAGACUUAUACUCAAAUAUGAAAAUGUAUGCAGCAAACUAAACUCACCCAACCAACUGAACAUCACUUCGUCCACCCUGCACACCACACAAGACUAUAAUAAUCCUAUCUACCCAGCACACUACAUAGGACCAUGAUAGGUCCAUCCACCCUACACAUCACAAAUGUGGAACUAAGCCACUAGAAUUCAAAUGUGCAGCUGAGCUGACAUAUGUAUAAAAUCAUGCAGUAACCCGCUAGACAAAAAAUAUUGCAGUUGAACUGCCAAAUCAGUCUUUCUUCUCUUCACAACCAAAAUCCUAGAUUUUUAUGCAAAUGGAUGAAUGCACACAAUUCGCUAACAGACUCAUCGAAAUAGAGACAUAUUUUCGGUUGAAUACAUUUAGAAUCAAUUAUACUUAUAUUCAUUCACUAGGUAAUAUUUCAAAUCCAUUUAUCACAUCAUAUUAAUGCAUAAAUAAACAAUUAACUUUAAUCCUAUAAUUGCAAAUACACACACAAGUUUGAGCUGAAACAAAGUCCCAACACACUUACAGAGACCUUAACAAACGUUGGGCUACACAGAAACUAAAGCGAGUCAAUUUACAGAAAAGGACAAAAAUUUGUGAAACAGAGCCAUACAGCCGUGUGGAGGAGUUCAGACCGUAUGAGGGGUCUACAAGGCCGUAUGAAAGAGGGACACGACAGUGUGUUGGAGACACAUGCCUGUGUGAUAGGGUUACAUGGUCGUGUGAAUAACCCGUGUAACUCACUGUGCAUUUGUGUAAAAUUUAGCAAAAUUUGAGAAGCAAAACAGACACAGUUGUAUGGCCAACUCAAAUGCCCGUCUGGCUAAGAAACACGACUGCGUGUCCAAGGCAUACGCUCAUGUAGAAAAUAAUUAAAUCCCCAAACAUAGCCACACGAUCGUUUGGCACACCCCAAUUCGUAUGACAAAAAAUUACCCUAAUUUCGUAGUGACACACGGCCGUGUGGACCGCCCGUGUGGCUACCCAUGUGGUCACAAAACCACACCGAAAUAGGCUGAAAAUUGUGAAUUUGCAAUAGCAAAACAAUCCUUAAUCACUAAUAGUUUAGAAACAUACCUUAAAUUGGGACUCCGGUCACCAAUAACUGAUUGUUUCGCCUCCACAAAACUGUUCUAGAACUCAAUUACAAUUACCCACAAAAUAUUUUAAAACCUCAGUCAACAAUAUUAAAGAAUCAAGAAAAUCAAACUAAAAUUUAAAAGGAGUACUUACACAUUUCAGCACUAAAACUAAUGAACAUGCAAAUCUCCUAACAAAGCAACCGAAACCAAGGCCCCAAUGAACCGCCAAAAUAGCGCAAAACUAGCAAACCUUAAUAACCUAAUGGUGACAAGAGAAACUAAAGAACUAGAGAAUAAAGGCACCACAAAAACUCAAUGGCCAAAAAGAAUCAAAAAUUGAAACUGGAAAUGAAAUAGAGGAAAAACAACGUGUGAGAGAAAAGAGAAAAAUAAAUAAAAUCAACGAACCCACCUUAUAUGUGAAGGAAUAAGGAAAGGACACCACGCUGAUACUAUCCUUAUAUGUUGACGAUCUAUUAGAAAUUGGCAUUAGUGGAAACCUGCUAGUUGAGUUCAAGAAACAAAUGCGAGCUGAAUUUGAAAUGUUUGAUCUUGGAGACAUGACUUAUUUUCUUGGUCUAAAACUAUUUCAGUCAGAUCAAGGUAUCUUCAUCAAUCAAAAGAGCUUUGCCUUGAAGAUAUUGAACUGAUUUUGUAUGGAAAAUUGAAAGCCAGCAGGGACUCCCAUUGCUCAAGGUAAAAAACUCCCAAGCCAUGGUUAAUUUGAAAUAGUUGAUGAAGGCAAUUAUAGGAGCCUUAUAGGAUGUUUACUUUAUUUGAUAGCAUCGUGGCCAGAUAUUAUCUUUUCUGUCAGUCUUUUUUCAAGAUUUAUGCAUUGUUGUAAUGUGAUCCAUUUUAAAGUUACGAAGAGGGUUCUAAGGUAUGUCAAAGGAACUUUGAGUUAUGGAGUUGAAUAUGUGAAGGAAAAGGAGCUAAAGUUGGCUGGUUUCACAAACAGUGAUUGGGCUGGUUCUGUCGAACAUAUAUAUGAAGAGCACUUCAGGGUACUUCUUCACUUUGAGAUCAAGUGUAUUCAUUUAGAGCUCAAGGAAGCAAGAAAUUGUUGCACAAUCAGAGUACAUCACAAUAACUGCAGCAGCAAGCCAAACACUUUGGCUAAGAAAGUUAAUGUCUGAUUUAAAUCUUAAGUAAGUUGAAGCAACAGAGAUAUAUUGUGACAAUCAAUCUGCUAUUGCAAUUUGAAAGAACCCUAUCUUCCAUGACAAGGCAAAACACUUCAAGAUAAAAUACCACUUUAUUAGAGAAGUCGAGCAAUAAAAUGAAGUGAAGCUUGUUCAUUGCAGUUCAGAUAUUCAACUUGCUGAUAUUCUCACAAAACCUCUUGAAAAGUUGAGGUUCGAGAGGCUAAGACAUGAUAUUGGAGUUUGCGGCAUUAUUGCCAAGGAAGAGUGUUGUGAAGUGGCGAUUCAUACAGUGGCGAACUCAACAUGCAAAGGCACGAGCUCAAACAAGUUUGUGAGCUCUACACUUCCGAGCUCAUCCAAAGUUGUGGGCUUACCUAAAGAUGCGAGCUCAACUCAAGUUGCGAGCAUGUCAAAGUGUGAGCGUGUUAAGUUUUUUGGUNNNNNNNNNNNNNNNNNNNNNNNNNNNNNNNNNNNNNNNNNNNNNNNNNNNNNNNNNNNNNNNNNNNNNNNNNNNNNNNNNNNNNNNNNNNNNNNNNNNNGUUGCAAGUUUUUUAAAACAAUGAGUAUAACUCUAUAGUAUUCAGAAUAAGAUCUUAAUUAAAAUUACGUGAAAAAAUAUUACUGAUGAGAAAUUGCAAGAGAGAAAACUUAUGUAUGAAAAAGUCAUUGGUUAUGUACCUGUUGUACACCUGGAAAAUAAAAUCCACUCUUAAAGCUUGCUAUUAAUAGAUUUUGGUUGGAUUCAAAGUCUACUACUGAAGUUUAAUUUGUUUACUUCUUGAUCAAAUCGUCAAGACUCAACGCAGAAAAAAAAAGGUACAUAUUAAAAUAUUAAAUCAACUUGAUAUAUGGUUUAAAGAUUUGAAAUGGUCUUCUUUUUAAGUUUUGAUUACAUGGCUUACAUAUUGUUUUCGGUAUCUUAUUUGUUCAUGAAAAUGACUAUUAACUGAUUUUAUAACAACCCAAAACUCGACCCAGAAGUUUUGACCAAAUUCCGGAGGUUUCAUUGGCCACCCGAAGUGGCAAAAGUAAAAACUCUGAAUUAAACAUAGAAAAUUCUUUUCGAAACCAUUUUGAUGACUAAUUAUAGCAAGUUAGAUAAAAACUUAGUUAUAUUUUGAAAACAAUGUUUACUUGGCGGCAAUGACUAAGUCAGGAAUAAACCAAAUUGGUCUUUCUUGAACAGUUUCAAAAGCAUCAAAUUUUAUCAAUCACAAACCAAAAUUCAAAACUGGAAACACAUAAUUUAACGAACAAUCCAAUUACAAAACCCAUACCACAUUUUAUAAACUCCCUUACAAAUAAACUAAAAAUAAUAAAUUGAAUUUAAGAAAUAUUGUUAAAACAAACCAAACUUUUUAAGUAUCCGAGACUUCUGAUAUGCCGAGUUCAACCUCCAAGCUCCAAGUUAACCUGAAAAGAGAGGAAACUAAGGGAAUAAGCUAUACGAGCUCAGUGUGAGACUGGAAGAGCGGUGAAGGCAAAAGACCGUAUACCAAAAUGGAUAUCUUAAAAGAAAUCUUGCAGACUAAGUGUGAAAGUCUUGAUCUGGUACUCAGACAUAUAAACAAUGUCAUUGCCAAACAUAACAUAAAGAUAAUAUACUUAACACACUAAUUACUUAAUCAUGUUGGACUACUUAAAUUAUUUCACAGAUGUGCUACUAUCCUUGCCAACAGACUUAUACUCAAAUAUGAAAAUGUAUGCAACAAACUAAAAACUCACCCAACCAACUGAACACCACUUCGUCCUUCCUGCACACCACACAAGGCUAUAAUAAUCCUAUCUACCCAGCACACCACAUAGGACCAUGAUAGGUCCAUCCACCCUACACAUCACAAAUGUGUAACUCAGCCACUAGAAUUAAAAUGUGCGGCUGAGCUGACAUAUGUAUAAAAUCAUGCAGUAACCCGCUAUACAAAAAUAUUGUAGUUGAACUGCUAAAUCAGUCUUCCUUCUCUUCACAACCAAAAUCCUAGAUUUUUAUGCAAAUGCAUGAAUGCACACAAUUCACUAACAGACUCAUCGAAAUAGAGACAUACUUUCGGUUGAAUACAUUCAGAAUCAAUUAUACUUGUAUUCAUUCACUAGGUAAUAUUUCAAAUCCAUUUAUCACAUCAUAUUAAUGCAUAAAUAAACAAUUAACUUUAAUCCUAUAAUUGCAAAUACACACACGGAUUUGAGCUGAAACAAAGUCCCAACACACUUACAGAGACCUUAACAAACAUUGGGCUACAUAGAAAUUAAAACGAGUCAGUUUACAAAACAGGACAAAAAUUUGUGAAAUAGAGCCAUACGGCCGUGUGGAGGAAUUCAGACCACGUGAGGGGUCUACACGGCCGUAUGAAAGAGGGACAUGACAGUGUGUUGGAGACACACACCUGUGUGAUAGGGUUACAUAGUCGUGUGAGUAACCUGUGUAACUCACUGUGCAUUUGUGCAAAAUUUAGCAAAAUUUGAGAAGCAGAAUAGACACAGUUGUAUGGCCAACUCAAAUGCCCGUCUGGCUAAGAAACACGACUGUGUGUCCAAGGCAUAUGCUCGUGUAGAAAAUAAUUAAAUCCCCAAAUAUAGCCACACGACCAUUUGGCACACCCUAAUUUGUAUGACAAAAAAAUUACCCUAAUUUCGCAGUGACACACGGCCGUGUGGACCGCCCGUGUGGCUACCCAUGUGGUCACGAAACCACACCGAAACAGGUUGAAAAUCGUGAAUUUACGACAGCAAAACAAUUCCUAAUCACUAAUAGUUUAGAAACAUACCUUAAAUCGGGACUCCGAUCACUAAUAACUGAUUGUUUCACCUCCACAAAACCAUUCUAGAAACUCAAUUACAAUUACCCACAAAAUAUUUUAAAACCUCAGUCAACAAUAUUAAAGAAUCAAGAAAAUCAAACUAAAAUUUAAAAGGAGUACUUACACAUUUCAGCACUAAAACUAAUGAACAUGCAAAUCUCCUAACAAAGCAACCAAAACCAAGGCCCCAAUGAACCACCAAAAUAGCGCAAAACUAGCAAACCUUAAUAACCUAAUGGUAACAAGAGAAACUAAAGAACUAGAGAAUAAAGGCACCACAAAAACUCAAUGGCCAAAAAGAAUCAAAAAUUGAAACUGGAAAUGAAAUAGAGGAAAAACAACGUGUGAAAGAGAAAAGAGAAAAAUAAAUAAAAUCAACGAACCUACCUUAUAUGUGAAGGAAUAAGGAAAGGAAACCAUGCUGAUACUAUCCUUAUAUGUUGACGAUCUGUUAGAAAUUGGCAUUAGUGGAAACCUGCUAGUUGAGUUCAAGAAACAAAUGCGAGCUGAAUUUGAAAUGUUUGAUCUUGGAGACAUGACUUAUUUUCUUGGUCUAAAACUAUUUCAGUCAGAUCAAGGUAUCUUCAUCAAUCAAAAGAGCUUUGCCUUGAAGAUAUUGAAUAGAUUUUGUAUGGAAAAUUGAAAGCCUGUAGGGACUCCCAUUGCUCAAGGUGAAAAACUCCCAAGCCAUGGUUAAUUUGAAAUAGUUUAUGAAGGCAGUUAUAGGAGCCUUAUAGGAUGUUUGUUUUAUUUGACAGCAUCGUGGCUAGAUAUUAUCUUUUCUGUCAGUCUUUUUUAAAGAUUUAUGCAUUGUUGUAAUGUGAUCCAUUUUAAAGCUACGAAGAGGGUUCUAAGGUAUGUCAAAGGAACUUUGAGUUAUGGAGUUGAAUAUGUGAAGGAAAGGAGCUAAAGUUGACUGAUUUCACAAAUAGUGAUUGGGCUGGUUCUGUUGAACAUAUGAAGAGCACUUCAGGGUACUUCCUCACUUUGAGAUCAAGUGUAUUCAUUUAGAGCUCAAGGAAGCAAGAAACUGUUGCACAAUCAACCGCUGAAAUUGAGUACAUCGCAAUAACUGCAGAGCAAGCCAAACACUUUGGCUAAGAAAGUUGAUGUCUGAUUUAAAUCUUAAGUAAGUCGAAGCAACAGAGAUAUAUUGUGACAAUCAAUCUGUUGUUGCAAUUUGAAAGAACCCUAUCUUCCAUGACAAGGCAAAACACUUCAAGAUAAAAUACCACUUUGUUAGAGAGGUCGAGCAAUAAAAUGAAGUGAAGCUUGUUCAUUGCAGUUCAGAUAUUCAACUUGCUGAUAUUCUCACAAAACCUCUUGAAAAGUUGAGGUUCGAGAGGCUAAGACAUGAUAUUGGAGUUUGCGGCAUUAUGGCCAAGGAGAAGUGUUGUGAAGUGGGGAUUCAUACAGUGGCGAACUCAAAAGGCACGAGCUCAAACAAGUCUGCGAGCUCUACACUUCUAAGCUCAUCCAAACCAAAGUUGUGGGCUUACCUAAAGAUGCGAGCUCAACUCAAGUUGCGAGCAUGUCAAAGUGUGAGCUGUUAAGUUUUUUGGUGAAACCCUAGUUAAAGUGCGAGCAGGGUUCACAUAUCUUGAUAUCAAUGUUUUUUUUCUUUAGUCUACUUAUUUGAGUUUACUUGUCAAAGCAAAUAGAGUUAGUAUUGAUUUUAUGUUUUUAAGUAUUGAUUUGUUAACUUAUUAUUGUAAUUCAUGUGAACUGAAAGAUGACAAAUUUAUGCUCUCUCAACUUCUCAAAACACCAGCAGCAUCCCUGUCAUCAUUUUAAUAUCUUUAUAAAUUUUAAAUGAUUAAAUAAAAUUUUUAUCAAUUUUGAGAUCAAAGUACAAUUUUACCCUUAUUAAUUUAAAAUUUUAUAAAUUAUUUCACAUUAGAUUACCAUUUACAUCCUUUGUUCAGUUUGGCUAUAAAACUAAAGGCACAUAUGGAUUCAGUGGUAAGAGAAGAAAAAAAGAGUGACUUGAUGGAGCUUGUAAUUCUUGUCCCAUGUUGUUUCUUCCUCGUAGCUUUAAUAAAGUUCCUUUAUGAUUACCUGUGGGUACCUCUCCGUAUACAGCAUAUGAUGAAUUCACAGGGAAUCAAAGGACCUCCUUACAGAUUCAUCCAUGGAAACAGCAAGGAAGUUGCCAGAAUGGAACAAGAAGCAUUAAGCAAACGUGUGGCCUUAACAGAUGAUAUAUUUCCCAAAGUACUGCCACAUUUUUACGCCUGGAUCAACAGAUAUGGUAAGAUCCAUGCAUGUUUUUUCAUUAUGAUUUAUAACUCGUAGUUCUAAGAAAAGAUUGACCUUUUUCUUUUCAAGUGAUUAGGGAGGAAUUUUGUUUAUUGGAACGGUGCGCGACCUGAAUUGGUGAUUUCAGAGCCUGAAUUAAUCAAAGAGGUUCUGCAAACUAGUGAAAAAAAAAUUCAAGAAAAGAGCCUUUCAGAUAUUGGUAAGGAGUUCCUGGGGAAUGGGCUUCUAUUCAUUGCGGGGGAAAAAUGGGCAAAGCAUCGAAAGCUAGCCAAUCACGCUUUCCAUGGGGAAAGCCUUAAGGUAAAUCCUCCAGUAUGAUUAAUUGACAAGAAUUAUACAGACUACAGAAUUUUGUAUUGUUGCCUAACAACCAGUUUAUAGUCGAAGUUGAAAGUAUUCGUAGAAAAGUAUUUUUUUAACCUCAAUAGUAAGCAAAGUCUAAAUAGUAUGUGGCAACUACUUAUAUAUUGAAGGAUUGUUUGGGCAGAACAUGACUCCAGCAAUAAUUGCUAGCGUUGAAACAAUGCUAGAAAAGUGGAAAGGUCAAGAAGGCAGAGAGAUUGAAGUGUUGAAAGAAUUUAGGUUAUUGACUUCAGAAGUGAUUUCCAGAACAGCUUUUGGUAGCAGUUACUUAGAAGGGGAGAAGAUUUUUGCCAUGUUACAGAAGUUGACAAUAAUUAUGAGUCGAAAUCUUUUUAAGACUAGAAUUCCUUUGAUCAGGUAUCUUCCCUAUAAGCUUAAUUAAUCCCAACUUUUACCUUGAUUUCAGCUAGCUUUUGAAUGCAACUUUUGGACUUUCAUUCCCCAUGGAUUUGGUUUUCUCCUUAUAUAUAGCUGACCAUUGUUUGCUUUUGCAGCAAGUUGUGGAAAUCUUCUGAUUUGCUAGAGUCUGAAAAACUUUCAAAAGAAAUAAAAGAUCGUGUGAUGAAGAUUGUUAAGAAAAGAGAAGACGAAGCUGUGAAUGGAGAAGUCAAUAGCUUUGGCAAUGAUUUUCUUGGAUUACUUGUAAAUGCCUAUCAUGAUUCGGACGAGAAAAACAGGUUUUCAUUGGAAGACUUGUUAGCUGAAUGCAAAACAUUCUAUUUUUCUGGACAAGAAACUGUUAAUUCCUUACUUUCAUGGAUAGUCUUGCAUUUGGCAAUCCACGGAGAUUGGCAAGAAAAAGCGAGAAGAGAGGUGAUUGACAUAUUUGGUAACCAAAAUCCGCAUCUCGAAGGCGUCGCCAAACUCAAAAUAGUAAGAAAACUAUCUAACUGGGAAUUCAAAUAGCCAUCAACAUGAUGUAAUCUAACAUAUUUUUCUAUUUUCCAAACAGACGACCAUGAUCAUCAAUGAAACUCUAAGAUUGUAUGGUCCAUCAAAUGGCCUGGCAAGAGCAGUUACAAGAGAAGUUCAGUUGGGAAAGCUACUCUUGCCUGCUAAUAUAAGUAUUCUGCCUUUAUAUAUUGGAAUUCACCAUGACCCUCACUUUUGGGGAGAUGAUGUGCAUCAUUUUAAACCCGAGAGAUUCGCUGAAGGGAUUGCGAAAGCUACCAAUUAUACCGCGGCUGCAUUUCUUCCCUUCGGGUUGGGACCUCGAUCUUGUGUUGGUAUGACAUUUGCAACAAUAGAAACCAAGAUUGUUCUCUCCAUGAUUCUACAACGUUACACCAUUACCCUCUCCCCUGCCUAUAUCCACUCUCCGAUAUCCAUUCUCAGCAUUAGACCACAACAUGAAAUUCAGGUGAUACUUGAACCACUGCAUCAUAAUGCUUGAAGUACAUAGCUGUUAAGAACUAAGGGUUUAACGUGGUUCAUGUAUUUUAGGUUUAAGAGAUGACAUUUAAUAUGUUUAAGGUUCCAGCAUUUGCAUCCCCUUCCCUAUCCUAAGCUAUACCCACCUUUAUACAUAAUGAAAUUCAAGUAGCUACUGAUUUCCAAGAUGGUAAAACGCAAUCAAUAAAGAAGAAUAUGUUGAGGCAAGUUUCGGGAACAGUGACUUGAAAACUGACAACUGCACUCGGCACGUGUUCCUUAUUUGUUAGCAUGUUUAAAAUAAAUAUUUUAAUUAUUUGCUUGCAUCUUUUUAAAGAUUUUGUACAUUCUUAAACUAAUGGUUAUACUAAGGCUUGUUAGCGGUUUAAACUUUGGGCAAAGCACAAUAGACGUAGAUAUGUUCUCCCUGAUUGGUGUCGAAUUUACUAAAAAUAAAUUCUUCUACUUGAUACUGAAAUUAAAUUUAUAAUAUAGAGAGUAAAGUCGAUCCCACAUAAGUUAAUCUAUCCAAAUAUAUAUUCUUUAUAACUAGAACGUGUCCCAAGUAGUUUUUAUGCCCAUGACUUGUGCGAACCUGUACCAAAAAUAAGAGGGGAUAAAAUCUGAAAAAUAAAUAAACAACCGAAAUUAAUUAAAAAUAAAAAUAAAGUAGAAAUAAGUAAAAUGAAAUAAUAUUAUUGAAUUAAAUAAUUUCAGUUUUUAUAAAAAAAAAUUUAUCAUACACACCUGGAAAAUAUGAAACACAUGGUUAAAUCUUAUUGGCUUCUGGACUAAAAAUAUUAAAUAAAAGAAAGUUUUGGGUAAAAACAAUUUAAACAUGAAUGUGAGAAAGUGAGUAUAGUUUAAGAGCUAAAAUAUGAAUAAAGUCUAAAUAAAUUCCUAAAAUAUAAAAAUUCAUAAAUACAUUAAUGUGAUUAUAUAUAAUCAAAAUUAAAUAUUAAAAUCAAACUAAAUAUGAUUUAAACUUGAAUGAAACUCGUAAUUCUCGUAAAAUUCUUAUUCAAAAAUAAGUUUUUGAACUCGAAAUAAGAAAAUAAAUUUAUUAAAAGAGGCAACCACUUAACAGUGGAUGAUACAAGUCCUUGCAAGAGCAAUUACAAAAUCUGCUGAACUGCACAAUUAACAUACACCAAUAUGACAUCACCACAAGAAAAGCACACUUUACCAAUGCCAGAAAACCAUAGCCCGGAGCAGAAAACAAGAAGCGAGAGAGCAAGUUAUAUCUGAAAACAAGCACUACUACGAAACCCUUCUCAACAUGGCAAACACCACAUCAGAAACUAAGACAAACAGCAGCUCCACCCAUAAUCCAGAACCAAGCAACUAACUAUAGUGAUCGCCCUUGCUUAAAAAAAAAAAGAAAACUUUACAUAGAUCAACGAGUAAGCAUUGGACCUCACCCCAAGUAAGAAAACGAUCCAUCAAACCUUGAAAAAGCUUUAGACACCAUCACUUAUCAGUAGAUAAGAAACCUAAAACAGAGCCAACACCAGCAACACCUUAUCAAGACCAACAGCCUAGAAAAAAUCUCAAUGGAACCGAUAUCAAACGAAACUCAAUGCCAUAUCGGCUCCCAUAAAACUUUCAAACCACCCCACUGUAGCUCUUAAGACUGACGAUAACCAUACUUUAAAAUCACCAAAGCAUCCACUUCGAGAGACACCUUCAACCAUAACACAAUGAAUAGACUCAAAUUCAAUUCUAUAAUCACAACAUACAAAAAAAGACAGAAGCCAUAUUCAAUAAAAUAACAGCCUCAACCAAUCAGUAGGCCCAUAAAAGGCACAAAACACCAUAAUGCAUCAUCCAACCUCAACAACAUAGGGUUUGUUUAUCAUGGUGUUAUAAUCAAUAUUGGGUUCAAACCCACUAUAAGUAUAUUUUUAUUGAUUUUUAUUAUCUAGAAGAGUAGAUAUUAUACACGAACAUUUUAGUUAUUAGAUAUUUGUAAUAUUAAUGGUAAGGAUGUUGACAUGUGUCAACAAUUCAAUGGCCGCUAAACCUUAUAAAUAGGGAUAGUAGUUUUCAUUUCUGGUACCUAUGUGCAACAGAGAAGUGUGUGUCAUAUUGUAAUUGUAUUGUGCAUUAAUAAAGUGUUCUUUCCUCUUAUAAUUGUAAGUCCCGGCUAAGCCUUAGUUUUCUAAGCACUUAGUGCACUUGAGGAGUUAGCUUCUAUAUAUGGUUGGUUCUACAGUUUGAAUGAUAUAUGAUCGGCUCUGCCGCUUGAAUAAUAUAUGAUCAGCCCUGUUGCCUUAGUAUUAUAGUGCAUUAAGAAGUUAGAAAAUAAAAGGUUAACCGGCUCAAAAAAUUCGGUGUAAUAUUUCUUGUAGGUCUUAGGUCUUCUAUAAUGGGUGUGUUGGGCUCAUCGAGUUCCCAACAACAAAUUUUAGGAUGUUUAUUCCUAUGGAUUUAGUUUUCUCCUUAUAUAUGGUUGACAUUAGUUUGCUUUUACAGCAAGUUAUGGAAACGCGUUGAUAUGCUGAAGUCAGAAGAACUUGCAAAAGGAAUUCAAGAUUGUGUGAUGAAAAUUGUUAAGCAAAGAGAAGACAAAUUUGUGAAUGGAGAAGCUGACAGCUUUGGCAAUGAUUUUUUAGGAUUACUUGUAAAUGCAUAUCAUGAUUCGGAUGAAAAUAACAGGCUUUCAAUGGAAGACUUGGUAGAUGAGUGCAAAACAUUCUACUUUGCCGGACAAGAAACUGUUAAUUCCUUACUUGCUUGGAUAGUCUUGCUUUUAGCAACUCACGGAGAUUGGCAGGAUAAAGCUAGAAGAGAGGUGAUUGACAUAUUCGGUAACCGAAAUCCAGAUUCCAAAGGCAUUUCUAAACUCAAAACUGUAAGUAAAUUGUCAAAUAUUCCUAUAUAUUUUUUAUCUCAAUCUCAAAGCUGGUGUUUCAAUCACGUCUUGUUUAUCGCAAUCACAAAUGUAACAAAUAUUAUGUGUUUAGUACAUAUUCUUUAAUUUAAUCUGACCUAUUCUUGUUUUGCAAACAGAUUACUAUGAUUAUUUAUGAAACACUAAGAUUGUAUGGUCCAUCAAAUGGCUUGCAAAGAAGAGUUACAAGAAAAGUUCAGUUGGGAAAGCUAGUCUUGCCUGCUAAUAUAGAUAUUCUGGUUCAAAAUAUUGCACUUCACCAUGAGCCUCACCAGUGGGGAGACGAUGUACAUCUUUUUAAACCAGAGAGAUUUGAAGAAGGGAUUGCCAAAGCUACCAACUACAAUGCAGCUGCAUUUUUUACCUUCGGAUUGGGACCUCGAUCUUGUAUUGGUAUGUCCUUUGCAAUCACGGAAACUAAGGUUGCAAUCUCCAUGAUUCUACAACGCUACACCAUUACCCUCUCCCCUACCUAUGUCCACUCACCAAUGCCUAUUCUCGCCAUUCGACCACAACAUGGAAUUCAAGUAAUACUUGAGUCACUGCAUAACAAUGCUUAAAGUACACAAUAGCUAAGGGACUUGAGGUUUAACUCAAUUUGUUUAUGUAUUCACCUUUAGGUGUUAAAAUUUAAUAUAUGUGGCACUUUUAACAUUAGUAACCCCUUCCUAUUCCUAUGCUAUACCCUACUCAACGCAAAAACAUGGUAAAACAUGCAAUCCAUAAAUAUAUAUAUAUAUGUGUGUGUGUGUGUAUGUGUGUUUCAGUAUUGUUGAUCAAUAUAUAAUUUUUACUAGCUAUGCCUUAUUUCAUUUGAAUUGCAGUAUUACAUCCUAAAGCCUUUCCACCAAGCAAUAGCAGCAAGAAUUAAACUAAGUUGUGAACAUCGAUACAUUGUACGAUAGGCUUGAUCAAGAGCAUUAGCCAAACAACAGCAGCAAACAUAUCCCAUAGAUGCCACUUGAUAUCAAACACCAUAGAUACCACUCGAUAUCAAGCACCACCAUGAAUUAAACAUGGGUCUCCUCUUGAUUCUAGGUUUAACGAACGACUCUGCCAUGCCAUUCCUCUCACAAUUUACAUGAUGAAAAAGCACCGAACCAAUCUCAAUCACAAUUCAAUGAAUGUCAGAAAAAUACCCCGAAGCUUCCUGUUGGGGUUAUCAGGACAUAGAACAAGGAAGCAAGAUGCAUGAAAUAUUUUUACUUGCUCACAAUCUUGCAGCAAGGGAGAUUAUGGCUGAUAGCUCAUUUUGCUCAUUCAUUCAACUAGAAAACAAUACAUUUAUAACCAAAUACAUCACUAAAUACUGCCUACUACCACUAAGUAGCCUAGUAACUUGUUAACAUUGCUUGUGCACAUAAACAAGCCACCUAAACUAGUCAUUCAACUACCUAAACACUUCAAGCUUUUAUCAGCUUGUUCAUUUUCAACUAAUUUAAUUACAAUGUAACUAAACAAAAAACUUGUUAAUGCAGCAUGCACAAGAGCUGCAACAUGCAAAUAGCUUGCAUGCACUUUAAAAAAAAUAUAACAACAGCAUGGUUGGCCACUUUUCAACACUUCCAUGGUCUUUCAGAUUUGUUUUUUAUACCAACAAUCAGACCAUUAGCGUAGCAUCUUUUCGAUUGGAUAAAAAGAGCAAGAGUAUGCUUAAUUGCUGCAAUUUCCGCAAGUCCAUUAUCUUACCUAAAUUCUCCACGAUCAAUUAUCUCGUUAAAUUCUUUACUGCCUUCAAUAUUACCACUACAGUCUAUUCUUUCGCUUCUAUCUUGAACUACGUUAAAAUCGCCCAGCACACCCAAUUACCAUUGUGAGAGCUUCUCAGGUCCAAGACCUUCUACCAUAGCACUUUUUGAUCAAUUACAGAACACGAAGCAUAUAAAUUUUGGAUCCAACACUCAAAGAAUCAAUAUCCCAGACGACCAAGAGACCUCUUGAGCGUCCAAUUGAAGGGGAGAAAGAGAAUCCAAAAACAUCAUAAGGCCACAAAGAUCUAAUCUUCUGAUCCUUCACACUCACCAUUUUACUUCCAUGAAGACAGUUCGUGUCCAAUUUAUUAAGAACUACUGCUAGUCUCACCACUUUGUACUUAAUUUUAUUACCAAUACCCCUGAUAUUCCAAGAUAGGAUCCACAUUUGGAUCAAAGGCAAUAAAGCCACAAAAAACACUAGCAAGUAUAAACACAACCAAAAUUUAAAGAAAACAGAAACCGAUGAAAAGACCAACCAAAAACCUGCAACACACCAGACCUGCAGCAUAUUGAAUCGACAUUCUUAACCAAGUUUCUAUCGUUGCAUUCUAAAGUAAUCAACUUUACCGAGUCUUCACAAUUCGCAGACAACCCCAAAAGCUUUCCCACAUUCCAAGUUCCUUCGCCACUUGACUCAAGGUUCUUCGCCUAUUCUGCAGAUCUGAGUCAGUGAGAGUCUGACUAGCAAAUCUAUCACUCUAGUUUGAGUUUCCCGACCCCUUCUUUUACUAGUUCUUAUCCUUCAAUGUCGUCGGAGGAUUUCACCCUUCUCUCCUUAGUAGCAACAACGACAAUUUCCCCAUCUAAAAGUUACCACAUGUCUUCACCUGGACUAGAAGAAGAGAACACCUUCUCCAUAGCCCUCCCUGCAUUACAGUCCACCAGGCAAGAUUGGCCCACAUCAGUAUUCAUCUCAUUAUUUGAUCCAUUCAACUUUGGGUCAGAAGGGAACCCAUCUUGAAUGUUCUCCCCAUUUAAGUCAAAACGUUGUGUCUCUUAAAUAGUAAUUCAAAACUUGUAAAAUUAACUGUAUCGAGGAGUGUUUAUCACAAUUUAUUAACAUGAUAGGUACAAAUUUUAAAUAUGUAAAAUAUCGUACUUAUACAUAAAUACAACAAUUUUUAUUCUAAAAUAAAUAAAGUUUAACUACUAACUAGAGUCAUUUAAUUAUUAAUUAUGCUGAACCAUUUUAUAUACAUAAACAUCAGAUUUUGUGAUACUUACUCGUGUGGACAAUUUAAUAUGUAAUGAUUAUUAAAAGCCUAAGAAAUGAACUCACAAACAUUAACAAUAAUUGUCUCAAUUACACAAUCUGGAAGUUUUGUUCUUAAACUAAUCAUUAAACAAAUAAUCUCUCAAAUGAUAGAUUGCGAUUUGAUAACUCAUAUGUAAUUAUAUUGUAGAUGCAUCUACUAAAAUAAUAUUUAAACAUUCUACUUUUCAGAUAAAUGAGCUCAUAUUUCUUUCAUAAAAAUGUAAGAGAUUCAAUCUCAAUUUUUGUUAGUAAUGUUCUAAUAAAUCACCUUCAUUGAGAACAUUCGACUCAUGAUAAUUACUUAAAAUGAAGAAUCUUUAUGCUCUUUAAUAAAUAUCCAUGUAAAUUCUUAUUUAUCGUAUCAUUAUUGAUUGAGAUGGUCUAACCAAUCAUGCCAAUUAAUUAGUAUAUUUAGACCAGUAAACUUCUGGUUACUAUUCACAUGAUUCAAUGAUACUAAUGUGAACUUUUGGUUUACCAUCUCAUAUUAUUUAACCAUACUAAUAUAUACAUUGUAACAAUUAGAGGAAAAGACCAUAGUUUUUCAAUGCAAAAUUCUUACUCAAUAUAAUAGAUUUAAUUAUUUGUCUCCUCAUCCACAAUUUCAAUAUAAUAUUUGUUACAACGUAUAUCCUUUUAAAACCUGAUAAUUUAUUUGAGACUAACUAGAUUAUAUAUAGUGCAUUAAUUAUCACUUUGUUCUUUGAAUAACAAUGUAUUAACUCUUCUGGAGCCUUGAAUUAAUUUUGUUUUAUAAAAGAUUAACGUGUUCCAUUAUCACAUUAAAUACAGGGUAACAAUAUAUUAAUUUUUCUAGAGCUUUAAAUUAAUUUUGUGCCACCAAAGAUGGGUUUGUUCAUUACCAAACAAAAGAUAUGCUUCAUACCUCAGGAUAGUAUGUACUGUUGUACUGUCUAUGAGACAUAUGUUUCCUUUCCUUUAAGAAAUAUUAAUUAAAUAAUAAAUUUAUCAAGUGUACGACAGGUAAAUAACUAACUACUUUUCAUAAAUUCUCUUUUCUUUCAAGGGUGGUAUUGAGAACUCUAAUUGUUCUCUUAUUUGUCUAUUUCUUUCCACUUCUAGUGGCCAAAAGUAAUUAUUACUAAUAAGAUAUCCAAGAAUCAAGUAAUGAGUACUGUCACAAUUCACAAUGCCUAGAACUACUUAUAGUCUCUUCCCAAUCCAUAAAUAGGAGGAUAAUGCACUUCAGCACACUCAAACCAACAUACUCCUGCAUUGACAACAAUACCCAUACUAAUCGAGUUAAGACUUAAUCGGUAAAACUUAAGUAUCAUUGGGUGACUGACGAUGUUGCUUGUUCUUCCAUAACACAAUGAUUUGGUGCAUUAAUAUUAGUAUCAUCUCACCCUCAAAAACGUAUAAAUAAUGACUAAAUUAUUUCAAGCCUCCUCAUUAAUGGUAAGACAUUACAGCACAGAUAUGAUAUUUUACCUUAUCUACGAAGGAACAAAAGGAAAGAUGACAACCAUAUCCCACUCAAUUACCAUUUAAAUGCUUUGUUAAAUAUGGAAAUCACAAUAGAAUAACUAAAGGAGCAACUGGAUUCAGUGUUGAGAGAAGGAAAAAUGAGUGGCUUGAUGGAGCUUGUGAUUCUUGUCGCGUGUUGUUUCUUCCUCGUAACUUUAAUCAAGUUCCUUUACGAUUAUCUGUGGAUACCUCUGCGUAUACAGNNNNNNNNNNNNNNNNNNNNNNNNNNNNNNNNNNNNNNNNNNNNNNNNNNNNNNNNNNNNNNNNNNNNNNNNNNNNNNNNNNNNNNNNNNNNNNNNNNNNAACCUGUGGCCUGGACAGAUGAUUUAUUUCCCAGACUACAGCCACAUAUUUACAGCUGGAUCAACAGAUAUGGUAAGAUCCAUGCUGUUUUUUUUCACUAAGAUUUAUAACUCGUAGUUCUAUGAAAGAUUGAUCCUUUUUCUUUUUAUGUGAUUAGGGAAGAAUUUUGUUUAUUGGGACGGUGCUCGAGCUGAAUUGGUGAUUUCUGAGCCUGAACUAGUUAAAGAGGUUUUGAAAAAUAGUGAAAAUAUUUUUCAAAAAGUGAAGCUUCCAGAAAUUAGUAGGAAGCUCAUGGGGAAUGGGCUUGCGUUCACUGAGGGGGAAAAAUGGGCAAAGUAUCGAAAGCUAGCCAAUCACACUUUCCAUGGGGAAAGCCUAAAGGUAAAUCCUCCAAAUAUAUAAACUUGGUGUAAUUAAUUUACGAGAAUUAUACAUACACUACAAUAUUUUAGUAAAAUUUUGUAUUGUUUGCUAGGGAUGAGUUUCUCAUCGAAGUUGAUAAGUAUCGUGAAAAAAUAUUUUUCAAAAGUUUGAUUAUGUUUACCACAUAAAAUGUUAGAUAUAAAUUAAAAAAAGUAAUUUCAUUGAAAGCAUUAUUCCAAAAAAAAAAAAAACAAAAUAAUUAUUUUUUGGCUUUCUAGCUUAGAAUAAAAUCUAAUUUGAAUUCAUGCAUGGUUUUGUGUUGAAAAGUGUUUUCCAUCGCUACUACUUACAUAUUGGAGGAUUCUUUGGACAGAACAUGACUCCAGCAAUGAUUGCUAGUGUUGAAACAAUGCUAGAAAAGUGGAAUGGCCAAGAAGGCCAGGAGAUUGAAGUGUUUCAAGAAUUUAGAUUAUUGACUUCAGAAGUGAUUUCCAAAACAGCAUUUGGUAGCAGUUACUUGGAGGGGGAGAAGAUUUUUGCCCUACUGUACAAGUUGAAAAUACUUGUUAAUCUAAAUAUGUCCAAGACUACAAUUCCUUUCAUCAAGUAUGUUCCCUAUAACCUUAGUUAAUCCCAAGUUUUUCCUUUAUUUCAAUUAGCUUUUGAAUGCAAAUUUUGGACUUUUAUUCCCCAUAGCUUUUGGUUUUCUCCUUAUAUAUAGCUUACCAUAGUUUGCUUUUCCAGCAAGCUAUGGAAAUCUACUGAUUUGCUAGAGUCUGAAAAACUUGCAAAAGGAAUACAAGAUUGUGUAAUAAAGAUUGUUAAGAAGAGAGAAGACCAAGUUGUGAAUGGGGAAGCCGAUAGCUUCGGCAAUGAUUUUUUUGGAUUACUUGUAGAUGCCUAUAAUGAUUUGGAUGAGAAAAAUAAGCUUUCAUUGCAAGACCUGGUAGAUGAAUGUAAAACUUUCUACAUUGCCGGACAAGAAACAGUUAAUUCCCUACUGGGAUGGAUAGUCUUGCAUUUGGCAAUCUAUGGAGAUUGGCAAGAAAAAGCAAGAAGGGAGGUGAUUGACAUAUUUGGUAACCAAAAUCCUCAUCUCGAAGGCAUCACCAAACUUAAAACAGUAAGCAAACAAUCAAACCAAGAUUUUAAAUAGCCUUCACAACAUGAUGUAAUCUAACAUAUUUUCUAUUUUGCAAACAGAUGACCAUGAUCAUCAAUGAAACUCUAAGAUUGUAUGGUCCGUCAAAUGGCUUGGCAAGAACAGUUGCAAGAGAAGUACAGUUGGGAAAGUUAGUCUUGCCUGCUAAAUUAGAUAUUCUGCCUCUAAAUAUUGGACUUCACCGUGACCCUCACUUGUGGGGGGAUAAUGUGCAUCUUUUUAAACCAGAGAGAUUUGCCGACGGGAUUGCCAAAGCUACCAAUUACACCGCGGCUGCAUUUUUGCCCUUCGGAUUGGGUCCUCGAUCUUGUGUUGGUAUGACAUUUGCAACAAUAGAAACCAAGAUUGCUCUCUCCAUGAUUCUACAACGUUACACCAUUACUCUUUCCCCUGCCUAUGUCCACUCUCCAAUACUUAUUCUCACCGUUCGACCACAACAUGGAAUUCAAGUAAUAAUUGAACCGCUACAUAAUAAUUUUUGAAUUACAUAGCUAUUAAGAGAUGACAAUUAAUAUAUCUAAGGUUCUAGCUUUUACUACCCCUUCUCUAUUCCUAAGCUAUUCCCACCUUUAUAUAUAAUGAUAUGCAAGUAGCUACCGGUUUNNNNNNNNNNNNNNNNNNNNNNNNNNNNNNNNNNNNNNNNNNNNNNNNNNNNNNNNNNNNNNNNNNNNNNNNNNNNNNNNNNNNNNNNNNNNNNNNNNNNGCAAUCAAUAAAAAAGAAUGUGUUAAGGCAAGUUUUAGGAGUAGUGACUCAAGAUGUGACUGUUACACUUGGCACUACGCAAGCCACAAAAUUUUCCUUAUUGUUGGUAAUUUUGACCCAAAUAUUUUGAUUAUUUUGCUUGCAUCUUUUUUAGAAUUUGAUGCGGUCGUUGAAAGCACAAAAAAUAUCUUAUCCCUAAUAAAUAAUGAAAAAGAAUAGUAAAAAGGAAGUUGGGUCAAAUCCUUAGGGACUGGACUUGCAAAAUAUCUUGCUCCGUAAAAUCCUAGGCAAAAUCUUGCCCAAGAAAACUUAGGUGCCUGAAAAAAAUAAAAUAAAAAAAUAACAUAAUAAAAUGUUUGGAUUUGAAAACGAAAAAUAAAAUAAAAACAAAUUUAAGAAUAUUGAAUCUAAAAUUAGAGAAAUUAAAAAUAGAAUUGAGAGAAAAGAAAUUCUUAUGGGAGAUUCCAGCCUCCAGUUGUCUCGUUCCGCCUUGGGUUCAAUCCUCGGCUUUUAGAUGAUCCUUCCCAAACCCAAUAAGCCAGUUAUAGUGGAAGAGGACGCCUACGACCACCAGCUCCAAGGAUUUAGACUUACGAUUUAGUGGAAUUUGACUCUAGCCAACAAUCACUUCUGUGGGAUCGUCUUAUGCUAGAUCAACGCUUCUCAAUGGCAAAUCCCACGCCAUUUUGUCUCUUGGGCUCGCCAACCUCUGACGCAGUAAGCUAACGAACCGACUGUGCAACCUUCCCAAAACANNNNNNNNNNNNNNNNNNNNNNNNNNNNNNNNNNNNNNNNNNNNNNNNNNNNNNNNNNNNNNNNNNNNNNNNNNNNNNNNNNNNNNNNNNNNNNNNNNNNACAUGGACGGAAGCGUCAGCCCCGUAGUGCGGAGAAACGAAGAAUACUCAGCGAGGAGGCUAAGUACGAAUUCUAAGCCUCAUGAACUCUUUUGGGGAUUUUUGACAACCUUCGGCUAGAUGGGUUUAGUGGCUCAUGGUUGUGGUAGAAAAGAAAAUAAAUAAAUAAAAAUAAAGAUUUUAUUAAAAAGAAAUAUGAGAAGAACAAAAGCCUAAACUUUUGGGGAGAAAGUGUUUUUAGAAAAAUAUCUGGAUCCCCUUUUGAGUCACUUCACCCCCUAUUUAUAGUGCUAGGGGAGAUAGUCUAAUCCUACUUAAAUUCCUAAAAGAUAAAUACAUUUAAUUGAAGAUAAAUAAAGAUAAAAUAAAAUCCUAAAAAUAAUCCUUAAUAAUUAUCUCAAUAUUAAUUAUCCUAAUAUAAUUAAAAUAAAGUUUAAUAGAAUAAAAUCUCUUCUUUUUGCAUUUCAACCCUUGUGUCCUCCAUGCUUGCACUUUUGGCACCAACUUUUCCUCUUGUGUCGCACAUUGGCCCAUUUUAUCUCUAAAUUCACGCUUUUGGCCCUAAAUUUUGCUUUUGCCUCAAAUUUAGUCCCUAUGAGAUAAAAGAUCAUAAAUAGCUCAAAUUAGCAAGAUCAUACUCAGAAUAAAUACAUAAUUAAUACAUAAAAAUACAUUAUUCUAGAGUGUUAUCAGAAUAUUGUUUAGAUAAUCUCGUGUUUAUUAUUAAAGAAGAGAUUGAAUCAAAUAAAAUUACUUUUCAAGGAUUCUUAUGUGGCCUACUUACCUUAUAUACUAAGAUAUGCAAUCCAAGAAGAUGUAGACUAACUUUAUGAUAUUUUAUAUCCUUAUAUUAAUGAUAAUUGAUUUGAUGAGAUUUUGAUAAAUCAAGAUGAAUUAAAAGUUACUUUGUGAAGGUGGGUUUGUGCUCUAAAUAUGGAAGGUGUAAGGCCCAAUAUUUGCCCGGCUCAUAAACCAAAAAAUAAGCCAGUUAAAAGCCCAUGAAUCAAAAAAUAAUAAUACAAAAACAAAAUUAAUAAUAGUCUAAAUGUCCAUUUACAGACAUCAAACCCAAUCAACCCAAUUGGCCUAGAUCCUAGCCCAAACCUAAACCCGAUUCUAAUGCCCAUCAGCCAACCCCAGCCCAAUGGCCCAAAUCCACCGAAACCCUAGCCUUCUUUAGCAGCAUUCACCCCCCAACCGCCGCAACAGUGGCCUCCUCUCCCUAGCCACGCGCACCUCACGCACGUAGCGCCAUCACGAGCCUCCAGUUGGCCUCGUACGGCCUCGCACCUGCAACAACCUGCAGCGAACGCAACAAACAAAGCAGGGGCAGAGCAAAACAACAGAAAAUGAUAGCAAAAAGGGCAGAAAUAGUAGGAUAUUCUUGGGGAACUUUUUUCAUUUUUUCGGCAAUAAAAAUGCCAUUUUCCAGCAUUUGUAAGGGAGGGGGGAACGCAUAUUGUAGAACAUACGCAGAAAAUCAAUACAAAAGAAAGAAAAAAAAAAGGUUUUCUUUUCCUUCCACUUUCUUUUCUUCUCCGAUGGUUUUUUUCUUAUCGUUUGUUAUUAGCCUCAUAUAAGUCUAUAUAUAUAGAGCAAAUAACAGAAAGAGGGAGAAGUUAGAACUCUUACCUGGCCGCCGGAUCUCUGACCAUCUCCGUCGCCAUCGGAGUCUCGGCAGGGGUCGAGAGCGCAAGAGAGGCGCAGAGAGGAGAGCGUUUAAGUUCUCUAUUUUUUUGUUUUUUUAUUUAUUUUAUUUUUCUUUUAUUUUUUCUCUUUCUUUUCGUUUUGAAAGAAUGAAAGGAUGCCUAUCAGAUUAGGGUUUUAACUUUGGCCCUUAUGAGAUGUGAAACGACGCCGUUUGGAGUCUGAUCAGUGGCUCCAAAACGGUGCCAUAUUGGAGCCAUGACCCGAUAACCCGAUCCGAUCGUGGCUUGACCCGCAUGUUUUGAAAAGGGAGGGUUAUUUGCGCUCCAAGUCCUCCUUGUUUGUGUUUGGUUUCAAGUUGGUUUAUGCUGCUUCUUUUAAAUUUGGCCUAUCAUUUCAUUUCUGUUUCAUUUUAGUCCGUGUUGAAACGCUGGGUGUUAGGGUGGGGAUUAUUUCCUGAUUGGUCAUUCGCCCUUUUAGCGCAUUUUAUUUUGGUCCCUGGACCAUUCUUUUAGUUAUUUACAGCUUUAAUCUCGAAAUUCAUCUUAAUUUUUAAUUUAGUCUUUUUAUUAUUCUGUUUAUUUUUUAUUUAUUUUUAUUUAAAAUUAAUAAGUUUAAUAUUAUCACCAUUGGUAUUACCUAUUAUUGCCAUAUUUCUAUUUAUUUGUUUAGCUAAAUGUAAAUAUCUUUAAAUAUCUUUAUUAUUAUUAUUUUUUACCCACUUAUACUGUUUUUAAACUUUGUUUUAUAUAUAUAUAUAUAUAUAUAUAUAUAUAUAUAUAUAUACUUAUAUAUAUUUUUAUAUUCUAUAAUCUAUAUGCAUUUUUAUUUAUAUAUAUGUAUAUACAUGCGACUUCUAUACUUUAUAAUUUUUUUAAAUAUAUAUAUAUAUGCACGUAUACAUUUUUAUAACCUAUACAUAUAUUUAACAAUUCCUAAAUAUAUAUUUUUAUGUUCUAUUGUUUUAAAUAUGUACAUACUUAUAUUUUCAUAUAUAUUUCUAUAAUUUAUAUAUAUUAAUAUAUCAAUACACAUUUUAAUUUCACGAAUAUAUAUAUACUUACAUGCUUUUUUAUCUUACAAAUUUUUUAUACCUAUAUAUACAUAUAUAUAUAUUACUCUUGUAAUUUUAUUCAUUUCUUUAUUUAUCUUUUAUUUAUAUUUUCAUCAUCAUUUAGAAUGAAUGUUAUAAUUUUAUUGCUUAUAUGUUUGCAAUUGUGUAUUUUAUUAGUUUGUCUUUGUAUUUAUUUUACUUCGUAGCCCUCGUUUGUAUUAUUUUGCUUACAUCAUCAUCAUUCCAUUACGCCCAUUUUAUUUAGAUUUUCAAAAAAAAGAAAUUUAAAAAAAUAUAAGUAAUAAUCAGUAUUUGGGAUCUUCGAAAGAAUCAAGCCCUAACGUAUUGGGUUCCGAUUUUCUUCGUUGAAUCUAAAUAAUCGAGAUUUUCUUUACAUACAAAUUUCAAAUAACCCAUUCUCGGGAAUUCGACACGUUGUGUCCUAACGCAUUGGAUAUGACAUGUUAUUUUCUCGAGACGAGGAUUUUUCUAACAAAGGCAAUAUUCGAUAUUUAGGGAUAUUGUGAAAUCAAGCCCUAACUUACUGGGUCUUGAUUUUCUCAUUUAAUUCAAAUAAUCGGAUAACCUUCUCAAAACGCAUGGGUUUUAAAAGUCAAGAGAUAAAUUUAAUUUUGAAGAUUUAAAAUGUUGCACUCUAACUUACUGAGUGUGACGAUUUAUUUCUUUGAAAUAAGUGAAUCUCAUCGUCUAAUUCAUUUUAUCCAAAAGAAAAGGAUCGUAUUUUAAAAUCUUUUCAAAAUUUCGACAUUAAGACGUUAAACUAUCAAUUCGGUACCAAUUUUGGGCGUUACGAGGGUGCUAACCCUUCCUCGUGCGUAACUGACUCCCGAACCUAUUUUCUCAGAAAUUCGCAGACCUAAAAUUAUUUUCAAGGUGACCCGAUCACACCUUAAUAAUAAAAGAUCGGUGGCGGCUCCCAAUUUUCAUUUUCAAAAGUCGAUCCACGGUUUUCUAAAAUGGUUUCGAUAGAAGGCUUGUUCAACCUUGAUAAAUGUUUUAUCAUUGAGGUAGACUUUUUUGAAGUAGUUGCCAAAGUGCCAAUGGUAGUGUCCUUCGUAUCUAGCACUACAACAAGCAACAAAACUUGUCAUUUUUGGUGUUGAAAAUCUUUUCCACAAAAUCAAUUGUGCAAUGACUUGUGGACGUGUGCUGGUACACGGUUUACAAAUUGAUUUUCAUGAUAUUUGAAUGUAUUUGAAAAUGUUUACAAAUUGGUACCAAAGAUGAGAAAGGAUCGAAUUGUAAAAUGAUGUUUAGAAAUGUGUACUAAGCCCGAAUGAACAUAUGAUAGGAUACAAUUGGCAUGCCAAUAGGGGUAUUUCGCACGCUGUAUGGGUUUGAUAUGUGAUGAGGUAAUGAUGUGCUGAUCACACUGAUUGUAUCAAAAUUUAGCAUUUAUUGCGAAUUAUUAAGUUAUAGUUACAGUGAUUCAGGUGUAUUUUGGGGGGAGGAUGUGUAGCCUAUAAGCUUGGCACUCAGUGCCCAGGUGUGUUUCUGGAGGGAUGUAUAGUCUACAGGCUUGACACUUAGUGCCCAAGUGUGUUCAUCAAUGGUAUGGCUCGUUUGAGCAAUCAUAUGUGUUUUAAGUGGUUACCCAUGUAUUCGUAUUUGUUCAUUAUAGUUCAUCAAGUUAACGGUUUUUAUAAAUGGGACAUUGGUUGAAUAGUAAUAAAUAUAAUAUAAUAAAUGAUAGAUGAAUGAUGUAAAGUUUGCUUAUGUUCAAUGGUUAGUUGACAUGAUAUUGAUUUGGAUCAAUUUGUAUAAUAUGGAAUGAUAUGACUUAAAUGUGAUGAACUCACUGUUGAUAUGAAUUGUGGUAAUAGGAUAAAUCGUUUAGUUAAUUGUUUUGUCAUGUAAUUGUGGGAAUUAAGGUAAGUUACAUUGUUUUAAACCUAUGAACUUACUAAGCUUAUUUAAAGCAUACUCUGUUUCAUUUUCUAUUUCUUGUAGUUAACAUUUUGCAGAACUAGGUGAUAGGAUCAUCUCGAAGGUCAUACUAUCCAACCUCCACUUUGGUAGACUUUUAAACCAUUAAACUCAGUGAUGUGGCAUGUAAUAGGAGUUGAUUUGUAAAUACAUGUUUUGUUGAAGUUGAGUGUUAAAUGGUGAUGUAUAAUUGUAUAUAUGUUUGUUAGCAAGUUGAUAUGCUAACUUUUGACUUGAAUGAUAGCAUUUGAAUGUAAUGUUUUGGUGAUAGGGUCAUUUAUGCGUGAUGAUAAUUUGGUGUUUGGAUUUCAUAUAAGGCAUAUAUGUGAUCAUAAUCUAAUUGACAUGAGAUAAGAUUAAUUACUUGAAUUGAUGCAUGUUAUAUUAUGGUGCUAUUGAGGCAUAUUAAUUAGAUUCUAGGGAUCAUGGUUUGUGAUUUAUUUUGGCAUGAAAUUGUACAUUUUGGAUGAGUUAUCAAGUGGAUAGUUAUUAUGCAUAACUUAGGUGAUGAAUUGAUUUUGAUAGUUUGUUGAAAAAGGUACCUUUUUUGUAUACACAGGCUAACACACGGCCAAAUAUUACACACGGGUAAGUGACAUGGUCGUAUGCUUUGUUUUUAAUUGGGAGGUUUUGGGUUACACAGUUCCAAUUUGUUACAUGGGGUGACCACACGCCCAUGUGAUACUGUAGAUUUGGUCAUUAGAAUUUCCACACGGUUUUAGUCUCUCUCACAGCCUAGCCACACGGCCGUGUGAUUGUUUGUAAGUUUUUGCAUUUAGGUUCCCACGAUUUCAUUGAGUUACACGGCCAGGUUGCACGACCAUGUGACUUGAAUUUCGCACGGUCACCGAUCGUAACACGGCCUAAGCACACAACCAUGUAACCCUGUAUUGCAAAUUUCUCCUUGAUGUUUAAAAGUUUGUAAUUAAGUCUUUAUUUGUUUCUAGGUUGGUUUAAGAGCUUUCAUAAGCUUGAUUGAGACUCGUAAUUGUUUGUAGGUCAUAUUAUAAAUGAACUAUAAAUUGUUUUGUUGUUUCAUUGAAUGUUAAAGUUAGAAAUGUAUGUGAUUUAUUCAAUUAACUGUUGUAGAAUCCUGUAGCUCGGGCCCGACAACCGGACCGGGUGAGGGGUGUUACUUACCAAUAAUGAUGAUCAAGUGGAAUGUUCCAAGAAGUAUGUUUUGAUCCUUGUUGAAAUCUCUAACCAUCAAGUUAUUUUUUCAUUAUUGUGGAGCUCUUGGUCAUAUUAGACCUAAAUACUUUAACAUGUUGAAAGAUUAAUGGUGGAAGCAAGUAGUGGCAGAACCAACGCCCACUGCUCCUAUCACUGCUCCAGGUCAAGGGUAAAAAUCUAUAUGAGGGAGAAUGAGAGGUCAUCUCAAGGAUUUGAUGAACAUAAGAAGAGAAACUGGGUUAUCUAUCAUUAUUGUAAUAUGGUUGGUCAUAUCAAACCGCAUUGUUAUAAGAUGUUGAAUGACCUAAUAUGACAAUUGUUUGAAGACAAGUUGCAACUCAAUCAAGAUACAACUAGAAACAUGUAUGGGUGAGAAAAGAUUGACAAUUGAUUGAUGUAUGUUAGAAUCGUGAAGUGGAAACUGACGCAACAACUUUUGAAAAUCAAGAUGAAAAUAUUUAUGCUCUCUAGAGAUCUUGUGGUAAAAAUCCUUGUUGCUCCAUGAGUUGUAACUCUCACCUACAGAGCUAUUGAUAAGUUAGCAUCCAUUGCACCCUAUGUUGAAACACCUUAUUGAGGGGGAGUGUGUUAAUGCUACAAUUAAGGGGGAGUUUCUUCUUUGCCAUGCUUUUUGUUAUUGAUUCUGUUUAUUCAUGAUGUUGCCUACAUGUUAUUACUUUAUGUAAUUGAUAAAACUUUAGCUUAUGGAGAUGUCGAGAAGAGCGGCAACCUUGGCCAAACUGCUAGGUAAUGCCAUAAUAUAACCCAUGGCCCAUCCAUUAGCACCUUUGAGUAAUCAUCGUCAUCCUGAAACUUGAUCAAGUAAAAAUCUUUCUUCAAAUCCAUUAAUUGAAUGGAUUUAUUCAGCUUUCAGAGUACAUACACCUUGUUAGAGAAAGCAUUAAAAGUUAUGCGUCGGCCCAAAAGUUUGAUGUUGACAGUACCCACACCAUACGCUUCUCAAUAAAUUUGUGAACCUGAUUUGAAAAACUAAGAGAAGGUAUUCCAUCAACAUUAGUCGUUGUGAUGUCCCCCUCAUGGAACUCAAAAUCAUCAUCUUGUGAAACACUAGAAUGAUGUAAUGAAGAACCCAAAAAACGUGUCCUUAAAGGAUGUCCUAGGCAUCAUUGGUUCCUUCAUCUGCAAACCAUUCCUACCAACCAUCUGAUCGUCAAUAUCCGGUAGCUCAUCCGGUCGCCUCCAUACCUUCUUGGUUGUCUGACCAAAGUUGACACUGGAAGUAGCGGAGUUGGAGCCAAUCACAAAAGCACCUCUGGAGAAAUUCUAUAACAUGUAAGUCAUUUAAUCAAUAAGAUAAAUCAAUAAUCAAUAAUCGCUAUAUGAUUAUUUUAAUACUCGUAAGUACCUGCUGCUCCAAAAUAAUAAUAAUUAAGCCUAGACCUGAAUUUGAUCUGCUCCAACAAUUUGUUUCAUUACUAAUCUAUUAAUAAAAUGUUGAAAAAUAUAUUUUUUAUAUUAAUAUGAUCAUUAAAUUUAUAUUAUUUUUAUUUUUUAAAUUGAAUUUAGGUGAGAUGAAUGAAAACUAAUAUUAAAAAGGGCAUAAUUUUCUAUUAGAUCUUGUACUUUGCGUAAGUUAUGGAUUUAGUACUUAUAUUUUAAUUUGGUUAUUUUCAGUUCUUGUACUUUUAAAUUUGAAAAUUUUAGUCAUGACCAAAUGAUUUAUUUUUAAAAAUUGAUGUGUCAAACAUAGUGUCACAUAUGUAAUGCUAUGUUUGUUUGUUAUUUUCACAUUUUAUUCACAAAAAAUUAAUUAAUAGAUUUAACGACUGUCAUUUGCAUUAAGAUUAAAAUUUUGAAAUUCAAAAAAAUCUAAUUGGUGAAUAUGGACUAAAUCUAUAACUUUAUGCAUAAUACAAGAAUAAUGACAUAAUUUAAUCAAAUAAAUUUAACUGUUACCAUUAAAUCAGGACUACAAUUUCAAAAUUCAAAAUAAAUAAGAAUUAAAAUUAAAGUCUGAAGUUUAAUAUCAUAUUAGACCUAUAAAAAAAAACUCUCCGUCUAAAGUCUAAUCCAAGCCGGGCGUCCUACUCGGCAUGUGAACAAAACUACUCAUAAGGCGUGAUAGACAUUGAUGUUUUAACUUAUAUAAUAAUAUGUCUGACUUAUACUUCCAACUAAUCUUUAUGUUGUUCGAAGGAUCCAAAAGGAAAAAAGGACACUAACCCAUAUCCAGGAAUUGCUGACACGUUUUUUUUUUGUCUUUUGUUUUUUUAAUGAUUGAGACAAGACUAAUACGACGGAGUUAAUUAUUGUGAUGAUAACUACCGAUUAUUAAAAAAACCCCUUAAAUUACAAGGAGCAUCUGUUAUUGAGACUACAAGGAGCAUCUGAGUUCAGAAUUAAGACAAGCAAAAUGAGUGGCUUGAUGGAGCUUGUAAUUCUUGUCCCAUGUUGUUUCUUCCUCGUAGCUUUAAUAAAGUUCCUUUAUGAUUACCUGUGGGUACCUCUCCGUCUACAGCAUCUGAUGAAUUCACAGGGAAUCAAAGGACCUCCUUACAAAUUCAUCCAUGGAAACAAUGAAGAAGCUACCAAGAUGAGACAAGAAGCAUUAAGCAAACCUAUGGCCUUGAAGCAUGAUAUAUUUCCUAGAGUGCAGCCACAUGUUUACACCUGGAUCAACAGAUAUGGUAAGAUCCAUGCAUAUUUUUCACUAUAGUGUUCCAAUAUAGUAGUAAAUGAAAAUUUGUAAGUAAUUAAAAGUUGACUUGGUUACUAAUAAAAGUUGUUUAUUCAAAAGUGAUGCAGUUACUUGAUUAUUAAUAAAAAAAAUUAGGAUUAUUUUAGUAAUAAAUAAUGAACAAUUGUAUUUAUUUUUAACAAAUAAACAUCUAUUAAAUAGUUAUAUUUUUAUAAGUAGACAUUAGAAUUCGUAUAGAUAAGAGAGGAAUUUCAUUUUUAUAUGCUAAAAACCCAAAAACAAAGCAUUUAUCCAUUCUCCUUCAUCUUCAAAUAUUCAAAGGUUGUUUUAUCAAGAACUAUUGCAGAAGUUUUUAUAGAAUAUGAUACUUUUCCUAAUGUUCAGUGUACUAUUUUCAUUAAUAUAAAAAAGUGGCGUUGGUUAAUUUUUAUAAGUUUAUUUGUAUUCUUACCCACCAGUUCUAUUAAAUAGUUAUAACAAAAUUGACCCGUCAAAAGUCUUUGCUUCAUUCUCGUUACACGACAAUGAGGAAAGAGAAACAGCUGUAACAGGUCAAUUUUGACCUAGGCCUAAAGACCCAAAACAAAUGAAAAUAACCCAAAAAUUACAGCCCAAAGCCCAGUAAAUUAAAAUUUGUUUCAGCAAAAAAACCUAGCCCUAGCCGCAUGCACACCUCUGCCAGGUGCGCCGCUCCAGCUCCUCACACGCCGCCGCCGCCCAAGGCUCGCCUACCACCGGUCGUCCACGCGUCUGACACCUGCGAAAAUUAAAUAUAAUGGCAAAAAGGAAGCACACGAGCAAUAAUAAUAGUUAACAGAUAAUAAAGAAGAAGAAAUCAUUUUGAUUCGGCUAUAAAAGCCCGAAUCUCACCGUUGUUUUUUUUUACGAACACACAUCAGUGAAUCAAGAAAUACAGAACUGAGAUUCUAAAAGGUUGAUAGAAAUCUGAUUAUUUUCUUUAGUUUUUUCUGAUUUCCGUUUCUUAUCAUCUAUCAUUUAUUUAUUUCAUUUAUUUAUCUACGCAUUUUUUACGAAAUUUUUACAAAGAAAACGUGAAAAUAAAAAGGGAAGAGGGGACUUACCGAGGAAGCGCCGGGAUCCGGCUCACGGAGGGUUCUCCUCCUUUGCGACCGCCGGAUCUAGAGGGUGCUGAGAAUCUUCCUCUUUUCUUUUUUAAGGUUGAAGGGUUCAGCCCUCGGGGUAUUCUAAGGCCGAGGUCUUUGACCUCUUUUUCUCCGUCGUCGGCCACCGGUCUUCAUGGCUGCGGCGGCGGUGCACUGGAGGCUAAGAAACCCAAGGGUCGGUGUUUGAAAAAAAGGGAAUGAUUUUGAAACUAAAAAAGGAAAAAGAAAACAGAGGCAAGAAUGAGAAUUUUUCUUAAAUGCACCAAAUAAAAAGGCGCCAUUUGAGGGGAAGACCUGCGCAUUCUUACCCUAAUGGGUAAUUUGCGCGUUUGGUCCCUCCAUUCGUCGCUGAGAUGCAAUCUGACCAUUUUUUUUCUUUCGAUUUGGCCCGCGAGUUUUGUCUCCGCUUCAAGCAGGUCCUCUGACUAUGCGCGAUCACUUGCCUUGAAAUGCCGCGUCUAAGGGGUUUAGGAUAUUUUCUUCUUCGCUCCCUGAUACUUUCAGCGCGUGGCGAAUUGGUCCCUUUUUCCUCUUUGUUUUUUUAUAUUUAUCCCCUUUGUUUUAUUAUGAUUUCAAUUGCACCCUUGAUCCUUUUAACACUAUUUUUAUAUAUUUUUAAACUGUCUUUUUUAUUAUUUAAGACUUUCUUUUAUAUAUUUUAUUUUAAACUAUUUUAGAUUAACUAGUAUUUAUCUCAAGUUUUUUAUUUUAUUUAUUUAUUUAUUUGGUUUAAAUUUAUAUGUCAUCAUCUUAUAUAUUAUUAUAUUAAAAUAUUUUAAUAUUCAUAAUUUCAAAUUGUUGAUACAUUUUUAUAAUAUAUAUUUACGUACAUACUUUUCAUUUAUUAUAAAUAUACUUUUUAUAUUUUAUAUUUCAUAUUUUUAUGUAUACAUAGAUAUAGGCAUAAAUACAUACAUCUUAAUUCAUAUAUAUGUAUAUAUACGUACUUAUACAUACUUAAAUAUAUUUUUCAUAUUUCAUAAUUCUUAUAUACUUACAUAUAUUUAUACAUAUUUUACAUCAUAUACAUACUUAUAUAUAUUCUUUAUAUUCUUAAAAAUACUUUUUGUAUAUUUCACAUAUUUUAUAAUUCACAUACAUAUAUUUUAUAUUAUUACAAUUUGUAAAUAUAUAUAAACACAUAUUUACAUUUUUAUUUUUAUAAUACUUACCGAUUUUUUAUAUAUGUAUAUAUUUAUCUAUGUUUUCAUACUCUAUAAUUUAUAUGCAUUUCUUAUUUUUAUGGCUUAAAAUUAUACAUGCAUAUACAUUUUUACAUAAUUGUAUUUAUUGUCAUCAUUGUUAUUUGGUGUUUGUUUAUUUAUUCAUGUACACUUGUGCUUUUCUAAAAUGUUAGUUCUAUUUAUUUAUUUGUUUGCUUUGUUUAUGUAAUCGCCUCGUCAUUUCAUUUUGCCUAUUGUAUUGUUGUUACUCACUUUACUUUGCUUACCUUGUCGUAUUCGUUAUUGUUUUGUCAAGCAUUAACACCAAACAUCAAAAGGAAAGUUUUUCUAAAUAAGGCAAUAUUUCGCGUUUGGAAAAUCGAGAAAACGUGCCCUAACGUGCUGGGUUUCGAUUUCUCGUUCGACCAAAUAGCCAAAUAUCCUUUUUAAACUUUUAAAUAAGGCAAUAUUUCGCGUUUGGAAAAUCGAGAAAACGUGCCCUAACGUGCUGGGUUUCGAUUUCUCGUUCGACUAAAUAGCCAAAUAUCCUCUUAAAGCUUCAAAGUAUGGUUUCAUUAAACUAUAAGGUGAUCUUGGUUUCGAUGGUUUAGAGUAUCGUGUCCUAACGUGCUGGAUGUGAUAUUCCUUCGGAACAAGAGAAUCUUAUAUUUCAAUUCACGUUAUCAGAGUUUCUUUUAAGGAUUGUAUUUUUAAAACUCUUCAAAUUUUUAAUUUUCGACACUAAGACACUAAUUAAUCAACUAUGUACCAAUUUUGGGCGUAUCGAGGGUGCUAAUCCUUCCUCGUGCGUAACCGAUUCCGAACCCUUUUUUUGAAUUUUGUAGACCAAAAUCUUUGUUUUAAUAAAAAUUAAAUCGUUUAUUAAAAACAACCACUUUUCGAGGUGACCCGAUCACACCUCAUCAAAAAAGAUUGGUGGCGACUCCCGUUUUCAUUCUAUUUUCAAAAUCUAAGUCGACCCCGUUUUCAUAAAAAAAAAAUGGUGUCAACAAUCAAUAAUAAAAAUUGGUAUAAUUAGAAAAUAAUAUCUAUUUGUUCUCACACUAACUUUUAAUAUUUAUAUAUUAUUUUAUAAAGAAUUAUUAUAAAAAAAUCUUUUAAAAAUUGAUAUUUUUAUAAUACAUCACUCAAUGUUGAAUACAUUUCAUUAAUAAACAAUAAUUAGCUUAAUUAUUAAGAGUUGAAUUAACUAUUUUUUAAUGAAGCAUUCUCUCUCUAAAAUCUCCAUCCUCACCACUAUUCUUACCUAAUUCACCUUCAAGUUUUAAAAUCAAUGUUCUAUCAUGUUUUGAUUUUCUUUUAAAUUUAUUUAAAAAUUCCUUUUUAAAAAUCUCAAAUAUAAUCAAUAACUAUUGAGUACAAUGGUAAAAUAUAUUGUAUUUCACACUUUUAAGAAAAUAAUGUACGUUCAAACAUGAAAAAUAACAUAAUUAAAUAGGAUAAUCUCGAAUCUUGAAAAUGAACCGUAAAACGAUUUGUUCAAUUCAAAAUUUAGAAUGAUAGAAUUUUAAUAGAAAAUUUAACCUAAAUUUUGAUAUAAUGUUUUGAGAGGAAGAAAGAAGAUGAGACAAGAAUUACAAACUUCAUCAAGCCACUCAUUUUUCUGCUCUUGCUUCUGAAUUACAGCCUGAUGUUCCUUUAGUAAUUAUAUCAUGUUUGAUGCUAUUUUGUCCUUUUUACUUGUAAAUUAGAAGAGAUGCUCCCAAUUAUUCAUUCAUCCUCUCAUAUUCAACUGCUUAUUGUAAACUUUAUUUAAAGGAACAAUGAUUUAUCUAAUCUCCAUGAAAUUUCUGUCACUAUUUUUUUAUUUUUUAUUUCUAGCCAUUGUUGACUAACUGCACUUGUUAGUGGUGGAGCGGGUGCCGGGUACUGUACUUAAAAUGGAAAUUUUUUUAUUUUACACCUUUUAUAAUUUAUAAAAUUUUAAAUUAAUAAUAAUAAAAUUAUAUUUUGACUCCUCUAAAACUGAUAAAAAUUUAAUUUGAUCUUUCAAAAAUUAUAAAAUAUAAACUAUUAAAAUAAUGAAAUUACAUAUUUUAUAUUACAUAAACUAUUAAAAAUUUAAAAUAUAUUUCGAAUAUUUUGAUAUAAUUAAAAAUAUUUGUUUAAACUAUCCUUUUAAAAUAUAUUUAAUAUUUUAAUAUAUAAAAAAAUCCGUAUUAAAAUUUUAAAAUAUUUAAAUAAUCACGUUUUAUAUAUAUUGAAACACGUUUGAAUUAUAUUUUAAAUUAUUACGUGAACAAGCUAUAUUCUAUAAAAAUGCUUUUAAACAAAUUACACUUUUGGUCCUUUAUUUUUGAAAAUUUGUAGUUAUGUCACCUAACUUGAGAUUUUUUAUCACCGAAAUUUGAAUUAGAAUUUCUUGGUUCAGUACUUAAAAUUUUCUAGAUGUUCAACAGAUUUGAUAAUGGAAUAUAUUUAUUCCAACUUUACAUUUAAAGAAUAUAAAUAUAAUAAAGUAAAAGUUGAUAUAUAAUCUUAAUUUUGGAUAGACUAUUUUCAAACUUAAUGCCACCAACAACUCCUAGAAAGAGUAUCCACUAAUAACAAUAAACUUACAUGAGUGAGGGAUUUCUUUUUGAAAGUUUGUAGUUAUGUCACCUAACUUGAGAUUUUUUCCAACUUUAAAAUUAAAGAAUAUAACUAUAAAUAGACUAAUUUCAAACUUAACGCUACCAACAACUCCUAGAAAGAGUACUAUCCACUAAUUAUAGCAAUAAACUUACAGGAGUGAGGGAUUUCUUGAAACAAUCAGCAACCAAUUUUGACUCUUUUUACCAAUUAUUUUAUAUAUUUAUUUGUAUUUUGAAGUUAACUUUAAAAUAUUCUAUAUAAAAUGAAUUUAAUAACAGUAAAUGGACUUUUACGUUUACGAAAUUUGACCAAAUGGAAACGUUUCAAUGUGACAGACUAUAUGGAAUCCAAAUUAUAGCUGAUGAAAUGUUAUUUCUUUUAAUUAUUAAAAACAUUAUAAUUAAGAGAUAUGAUUAUUUUAAUAAAUAGUUAUAAUUAUUAUUAAAAAAUUUCACUAUUUAAAUAGUAUUAUGAAUAUCUUAUUAAGUGGAUAUCCAUCAAGAUCCAUAUAAGUCUUUGAUGUACUUUCAAUUCUAAUAGUCAUUAGAAGUAGGUUUUGCAAAUAUUCUGAUUGAUCAAUAAAUUACGCUCAUUCUCAUUCUCCUUGUUCUUUAUUCUUUGUCUUUUAUUUUUUAACACGUUAUCAUAACGAUUCUCUUUUAAUUGUUUUUCUCCAUAAGUCACAAAAAUAUCCAAAAUUUUAUUGUUGUCAAUUGCCUCCUAGAGCUGCUACGCGCACUAUGGGUAAUCAUUAGAGCCUUUAAACAAUUAGGUACACAUAAAUCUCUAAAAUUUUUUUAUGUCCUUUUAUGCAAAGAAAUUUAUAUAUUUCUUACGUGGUAUGUUUUUCUCCUUUAUUUAUUGAUUUUUGGAAAAAUUAUUUUACAAAAAAAAAGUAUUAUUACUUUAAGGUUUCUUUUAAACUAAGAUUCGCAUAAUAUUUAGAUGUUUAAAGAUUUGAUUAUUGAAUUCCUGUCAUUAAAUAUUCUUGUAAUAUGAUUAAAAUUAUAGUGGAAAGUGUUAUUAACCUACCAUAGUUGAUCUAUUGAGUCUUACUAACUUUCUAAUGUUGAAUGAUUGUAUUAUAUAUUUUAAAUUGAAUUUAUAAAUAUUUGAUUAGAAGCUUCAAAAGAUUUUAUAACAUAUAUAUGGUUUUGAAAUUCGGUACAAUGUGUAUCAAAUAACUUUCAAGUAUUGUACACUAAAAUUUUGAUUUUGUUUAUUAAAUGAUUUUUUUACUAUUAGAUUAUAAAUGUUAUUACGAAAACAAAAUUGUUUUACUACUUGUAAUAUUGCUCGUGAUAAUAGCCAAGGUGAUACAAUGAUGUUAAAGAAUCUCAGGUAUAUUUUAUUAUAAUUUAUUUAUUAUGCCAUGUUUAUUAUAAUUGGAGACUAAUCACGACAACAUGAAUAGAUAGAUUUUGAUUUAAAAUCCACGCAUGUUUUGCAAUGGUGAUUAUGAAAUAAAGAAUCAAUGGAGGCGUUUAGAAGUAUGCCCCACUAGAUUUGUUGCAUUCCUUGAAGUGAAUGCAAACAUAAAGAAAAUAAAAGAUAUAAUCAUGGAUCACUAAAAGUGGGAACAUAGUAAUAAAUAAGAGAACAAUGAGAGUUNNNNNNNNNNNNNNNNNNNNNNNNNNNNNNNNNNNNNNNNNNNNNNNNNNNNNNNNNNNNNNNNNNNNNNNNNNNNNNNNNNNNNNNNNNNNNNNNNNNNNNNNNNNNNNNNNNNNNNNNNNNNNNNNNNNNNNNNNNNNNNNNNNNNNNNNNNNNNNNNNNNNNNNNNNNNNNNNNNNNNNNNNNNNNNNNNNNNNNNNNNNNNNNNNNNNNNNNNNNNNNNNNNNNNNNNNNNNNNNNNNNNNNNNNNNNNNNNNNNNNNNNNNNNNNNNNNNNNNNNNNNNNNNNNNNNNNNNNNNNNNNNNNNNNNNNNNNNNNNNNNNNNNNNNNNNNNNNNNNNNNNNNNNNNNNNNNNNNNNNNNNNNNNNNNNNNNNNNNNNNNNNNNNNNNNNNNNNNNNNNNNNNNNNNNNNNNNNNNNNNNNNNNNNNNNNNNNNNNNNNNNNNNNNNNNNNNNNNNNNNNNNNNNNNNNNNNNNNNNNNNNNNNNNNNNNNNNNNNNNNNNNNNNNNNNNNNNNNNNNNNNNNNNNNNNNNNNNNNNNNNNNNNNNNNNNNNNNNNNNNNNNNNNNNNNNNNNNNNNNNNNNNNNNNNNNNNNNNNNNNNNNNNNNNNNNNNNNNNNNNNNNNNNNNNNNNNNNNNNNNNNNNNNNNNNNNNNNNNNNNNNNNNNNNNNNNNNNNNNNNNNNNNNNNNNNNNNNNNNNNNNNNNNNNNNNNNNNNNNNNNNNNNNNNNNNNNNNNNNNNNNNNNNNNNNNNNNNNNNNNNNNNNNNNNNNNNNNNNNNNNNNNNNNNNNNNNNNNNNNNNNNNNNNNNNNNNNNNNNNNNNNNNNNNNNNNNNNNNNNNNNNNNNNNNNNNNNNNNNNNNNNNNNNNNNNNNNNNNNNNNNNNNNNNNNNNNNNNNNNNNNNNNNNNNNNNNNNNNNNNNNNNNNNNNNNNNNNNNNNNNNNNNNNNNNNNNNNNNNNNNNNNNNNNNNNNNNNNNNNNNNNNNNNNNNNNNNNNNNNNNNNNNNNNNNNNNNNNNNNNNNNNNNNNNNNNNNNNNNNNNNNNNNNNNNNNNNNNNNNNNNNNNNNNNNNNNNNNNNNNNNNNNNNNNNNNNNNNNNNNNNNNNNNNNNNNNNNNNNNNNNNNNNNNNNNNNNNNNNNNNNNNNNNNNNNNNNNNNNNNNNNNNNNNNNNNNNNNNNNNNNNNNNNNNNNNNNNNNNNNNNNNNNNNNNNNNNNNNNNNNNNNNNNNNNNNNNNNNNNNNNNNNNNNNNNNNNNNNNNNNNNNNNNNNNNNNNNNNNNNNNNNNNNNNNNNNNNNNNNNNNNNNNNNNNNNNNNNNNNNNNNNNNNNNNNNNNNNNNNNNNNNNNNNNNNNNNNNNNNNNNNNNNNNNNNNNNNNNNNNNNNNNNNNNNNNNNNNNNNNNNNNNNNNNNNNNNNNNNNNNNNNNNNNNNNNNNNNNNNNNNNNNNNNNNNNNNNNNNNNNNNNNNNNNNNNNNNNNNNNNNNNNNNNNNNNNNNNNNNNNNNNNNNNNNNNNNNNNNNNNNNNNNNNNNNNNNNNNNNNNNNNNNNNNNNNNNNNNNNNNNNNNNNNNNNNNNNNNNNNNNNNNNNNNNNNNNNNNNNNNNNNNNNNNNNNNNNNNNNNNNNNNNNNNNNNNNNNNNNNNNNNNNNNNNNNNNNNNNNNNNNNNNNNNNNNNNNNNNNNNNNNNNNNNNNNNNNNNNNNNNNNNNNNNNNNNNNNNNNNNNNNNNNNNNNNNNNNNNNNNNNNNNNNNNNNNNNNNNNNNNNNNNNNNNNNNNNNNNNNNNNNNNNNNNNNNNNNNNNNNNNNNNNNNNNNNNNNNNNNNNNNNNNNNNNNNNNNNNNNNNNNNNNNNNNNNNNNNNNNNNNNNNNNNNNNNNNNNNNNNNNNNNNNNNNNNNNNNNNNNNNNNNNNNNNNNNNNNNNNNNNNNNNNNNNNNNNNNNNNNNNNNNNNNNNNNNNNNNNNNNNGAAACCCCAGUUAAAGUGCGAGCAGGGUUCACAUAUGUUGAUAUCAAUGUUUUUUUGUUUAGUCUACAUAGGGUGAGUUUGGAUGAGCGGUGCGUUUAUCUGCGGUUAGUGUAGAAACAGUGGUGGUGAGAUUAGAUACUGUAGCGAUACUGUAGCGUGAGACAAAAAGUAAGCUAAACGCACCGCACCGCACCGCACGCAAUCGCCCAUCCAAACCCACCCUUAUUUGAGUUUACUUGUCAAAGCAAAUAGAGUUAGUAUUGAUUUGAUGUUUUUAAGUAUUGAUUUCUUAACUUAUUAAUGUAAUUCAUGUGAAUUGAAAGAUGACAAAUUUGAUAGCAGUUCAUAAAUUAGCCAAGUAUUUUUCCUUAUUUUCUCUCUUAUUUUGUUAUGCUCUCUCAACUUCUCGAAACACCAGCAGCAUCCUUGUCAUCAUUUUAAUAUAUCUUUAUAAACUUUAAAUAAUUAAAUAAAAUUUUUAUCAUUUAAAUAAAUUUUUUAUCAUUUUUGAGAUCAAAGUACAAUUUUACCCUUAUUAAUUUAAAAUUUUAUAAAGUAUAUCACAUUAGAUUACCAUUUAAAUCCUUUGUUAAGUUUGGCUAUAAAACUAAAGGCGCAUAUGGAUUCAGUGGUAAGAGAAGAAAAAAAGAGUGACUUGAUGGAGCUUGUAAUUCUUGUCCCAUGUUGUUUCUUCCUCGUAGCUUUACUAAAGUUCCUUUAUGAUUACCUGUGGGUACCUCUCCGUAUACAGCGUAUGAUGAAUUCACAGGGAAUCAAAGGACCUCCUUACAGAUUCAUCCAUGGAAACAGCAAGGAAGUUGCCAGAAUGGAACAAGAAGCAUUAAGCAAACGUAUGGCCUUAACAGAUGAUAUAUUUCCCAAAGUACUGCCACAUUUUUACACCUGGAUCAACAGAUAUGGUAAGAUCCAUGCAUGUUUUUUCAUUAUGAUUUAUAACUCGUAGUUCUAAGAAAAGAUUGACCUUUUUCUUUUCAAGUGAUUAGGGAGGAAUUUUGUUUAUUGGAACGGUGCGCGACCUGAAUUGGUGAUUNNNNNNNNNNNNNNNNNNNNNNNNNNNNNNNNNNNNNNNNNNNNNNNNNNNNNNNNNNNNNNNNNNNNNNNNNNNNNNNNNNNNNNNNNNNNNNNNNNNNAAUUAAUCAAAGACUUAUCUUCGAGCGAAAAAAAAAUUCAAGAAAAGAGCCUUUCAGAUAUUGGUAGGGAGUUCCUGGGGAAUGGGCUUCUAUUCAUUGCGGGGGAAAAAUGGGCAAACCAUCGAAAGCUAGCCAAUCACGCUUUCCAUGGGGAAAGCCUUAAGGUAAAUCCUCCAGUGUGAUUAAUUGACAAGAAUUAUACAGACUACAGAAUUUUGUAUUGUUGGCUAACAACCAGUUUAUAGUCGAAGUUGAAAGUAUUCGUAGAAAAGUAUUUUUUUAACCUCAAUAGUAAGCAAAGUCUAAAUAGUAUGUGGCAACUACUUAUAUAUUGAAGGAUUGUUUGGGCAGAACAUGACUCCAGCAAUAAUUGCUAGUGUUGAAACAAUGCUAGAAAAGUGGAAAGGUCAAGAAGGCAGAGAGAUUGAAGUGUUGAAAGAAUUUAGGUUAUUGACUUCAGAAGUGAUUUCCAGAACAGCUUUUGGUAGCAGUUACUUAGAAGGGGAGAAGAUUUUUGCCAUGUUACAGAAGUUGACAAUAAUUAUGAGUCGAAAUCUUUUUAAGACUAGAAUUCCUUUGAUCAGGUAUCUUCCCUAUAAGCUUAAUUAAUCCCAACUUUUACCUUGAUUUCAGCUAGCUUUUGAAUGCAACUUUUGGACUUUCAUUCCCCAUGGAUUUGGUUUUCUCCUUACAUAUAGCUGACCAUUGUUUGCUUUUGCAGCAAGUUGUGGAAAUCUGCUGAUUUGCUAGAGUCUGAAAAACUUUCAAAAGAAAUAAAAGAUCGUGUGAUGAAGAUUGUUAAGAAAAGAGAAGACGAAGCUGUGAAUGGAGAAGUCAAUAGCUUUGGCAAUGAUUUUCUUGGAUUACUUGUAAAUGCCUAUCAUGAUUCGGACGAGAAAAACAGGUUUUCAUUGGAAGACUUGUUAGCUGAAUGCAAAACAUUCUAUUUUUCUGGACAAGAAACUGUUAAUUCCUUACUUUCAUGGAUAGUCUUGCAUUUGGCAAUCCACGGAGAUUGGCAAGAAAAAGCGAGAAGAGAGGUGAUUGACAUAUUUGGUAACCAAAAUCCGCAUCUCGAAGGCGUCGCCAAACUCAAAAUAGUAAGAAAACUAUCUAACUGGGAAUUCAAAUAGCCAUCAACAUGAUGUAAUCUAACAUAUUUUUCUAUUUUCCAAACAGACGACCAUGAUCAUCAAUGAAACUCUAAGAUUGUAUGGUCCAUCAAAUGGCCUGGCAAGAGCAGUUACAAGAGAUGUUCAGUUGGAAAAGCUACUCUUGCCUGCUAAUAUAAAUAUUCUGCCUUUAUAUAUUGGAGUUCACCGUGACCCUCACUUUUGGGGAGAUGAUGUGCAUCAUUUUAAACCCGAGAGAUUCGCUGAAGGGAUUGCCAAAGCUACCAAUUACACCGCGGCUGCAUUUCUUCCCUUCGGGUUGGGACCUCGAUCUUGUGUUGGUAUGACAUUUGCAACAAUAGAAACCAAGAUUGUUCUCUCCAUGAUUCUACAACGUUACACCAUUACCCUCUCCCCUGCCUAUAUCCACUCUCCGAUAUCUAUUCUCAGCAUUAGACCACAACAUGAAAUUCAGGUGAUACUUGAACCACUGCAUCAUAAUGCUUGAAGUACAUAGCUGUUAAGAACUAAGGGUUUAACGUGGUUCAUGUAUUUUAGGUUUAAGAGAUGACAUUUAAUAUGUUUAAGGUUCCAGCAUUUGCAUCCCCUUCCCUAUCCUAAGCUAUACCCACCUUUAUACAUAAUGAAAUUCAAAUAGCUACUGAUUUCCAAGGUGGUAAAACGCAAUCAAUAAAGAAGAAUAUGUUGAGGCAAGUUUUGGGAGCAGUGACUUGAAAAAUGACAACUGCACUUGGCACGUGUCCCUUAUUUGUUAGCUUGUUUAAAAUAAAUAUUUUUGAUUAUUUGCUUGAAGAUUUUGUACAUCCAAUUUCAUGUUUAUUAAUGGAUUGGUUUUUCUUAAACUACUGGUUAUACUAAGGCUUGUUUAAACUUUGGGCAAAGCAUAAUAGAUGUAGAUAUGUUCUCCUUGAUUGGUGUCAAAUCUACUAAAAAUAAAUUUUUCUGCCUGAUACUGAAAUUAAAUUUAUAGUAUAGAGAGUUGAAUCGAUCUCACAAAAGUUAAUCUAUCCAAAUCUAUAUUCUUUAUAACUAGAACGUGUCCCAAGUAGUUUUUGUGCCCAUGACUUGUGCGAACCUGUACAAAAAAUAAGAGGGGUUAAAUCUGAAAAAUAAAUAAACAACCGAAAUUAAUUAAAAAUGAAAAUAAAGUAGAAAUAAGUAAAACGAAAUAAUAUUAUUGAAUUAAAUAAUUUCAUUUUUUAUUAAAAAAUUAUCAUACACACCUGGAAAAUAUGAAACACAUGGUUAAAUCUAAUUGGCUUCUAGACUAAAAAUAUUAACUAGAAGAAAGUUCCGAGUAAAAAAAAUUUAAACAUAAAUGUGAGAAAACGAGUAUAGUUUAAGAGCUAAAAUAUGAAUAAAGUCGAAAUAAAUUCCUAAAAUAUAAAAUUUCAUAAAUACAUUAAUGUGAUUAUAUAUAAUCAAAAUUAAAUAUUAAAUCGAACUAAAUAUGAUUUAAACUUGAAUCAAAGAAUGAAACUCGUAAUUCCCGUAAAAUUCUUAUUCAGAAAUAAGUUUUUGAACUCGAAAUAAGAUAAUAAAUUUAUUAAAAGAGGCAACCACUUAACAGUGGAUGAUACAAGUCCUUGCAAGAGCAAUUACAAAAUCUGCUGAACUGCACAAUUAACAUACACCAAUAUGACAUCACCACAAGAAAAGCACACUUUACCAAUGCCAGAAAACCAUAGCCCGGAGCAGAAAACAAGAAGCGAGAGAGCAAGUUAUAUCUGAAACAAGCACUACUACGAAACCCUUCUCAACAUGGCAAACACCAUAUCAGAAACUAUGACCAACAGCAGCUCCACCCAUAAUCCAGAACCAAGCAACUAACUAUAGUGAUCGCCCUUGCUUAAAAAAAAAACUUUACAUAAAUCAACGAGCAAGCAUUGGGCCUCACCCCAAGUAAGAAAACGAUCCAUCAAACCUUGAAAAAGCUUUAGACACCAUCAGUUAUCAGCAGAUAAGAAACCUAAAACAGAGCCAACACCAGCAACACCUUAUCAAGACCAACAGCCUAGAAAAAAUCUCAAUGGAACCGAUAGCAAAGGAAACUCAAUGUCAUAUCGGCUCCCAUAAAACUUUCAAACCACCCCACUGUAGCUCUUAAGACUGACGAUAACCAUACUUUAAAAUCACCAAAGCAUCCACUUCGAGAGACACCUUCAACCAUAACACAAUGAAUAGACUCAAAUUCAAUUCUAUAAUCACAACAUACAAAAAAAGACAAGCCAUAUUCAAUAAAAUAACAGCCUCAACCAAUCAGUAGGCCCAUAAAAGGCACAAAACACCAUAAUGCAUCAUCCAACCUCAACAACAUAAAGUUUGUUUAUCAUGGUGUUAUAAUCAAUAUUGGGUUCAAACCCACUAUAAAUAUAUUUUUAUUGAUUUUUAUUAACUUGUGAUUUUUCGUCCACCAGAAACGGCGGUCACCGUCGCCGACGACCGGCGGCCACGACGGAGGUCCGCCGUCCCCAUAGCCUGCCUAAGAAAAAACAUCAGAGAGAAAAAAAAAAGGGAGGGGUUUUUUAAAAAAAAAAACAAAUGAAAAAUGAAUUUUUUGGGAAAAUUUUAACUUAAAUAGAGUAUUGAAACGGCGUCGUUUUGGCCUGGUUCCAUAAAACCAAAACAGCGUCGUUUUGGUCCAGAUUCGCCGACCCGACCCGACCCCCUCAGGAUCCGCGCUUUUUAUGGGGGGUCUAAUUCCUUCUUUGGCCCUUCCAGUUUUUUGUAAUUUUCAAUUUAGUCCUAUCGAUUUUUAUUCGUUUUAAUUUUCGCCCCAUAAUUUAAAUCCUUGUGCAAUUUAGUUCCCUGACCCACUAUAAACCCAUUGGGGGAGUGACACGUGUCUAUAUAUGGGGGAUAAUUUCCAUAUAACCCCCUAAUUUUUAUCUUAUUUUAAUUUAAUCCUUCAAAUUCUUUUUCUUUAUAAUUUAGAAUGUUAGUUUUGUUAUAUUUUAAAUUUAGUUCUUUAUUCCGUUUUCUUUAUUUAUUUUGCGAUUUAUGCUUCAAGUUUCUCUUAAAUUUUGAUUUAAUCCCUUAUUUGGUUAAUUUUGCCUCUUUAUUUACUAUAUUAUUUAUUUUAGUAUUUAACAUUUAUGUUAUUUAUAUUUUCUUUUAUUUACACAUUUUAUUUUUAUCUUAUCAUAGUUAUUAUUAUUUUAUUUACUCCUGUUAUUAUGAUAAUAGUUACGAUAUGAUUAUCACUAUUAUUAUUAUAAAUCGAUAUUCUUAUUACUAUUAUAGUUGCAUUAUUAUUAUUUACCAACAUGUUUCUUUUAUUUUAUUUUUAAUUUUUAAUUUUCUCAUUUAUUUUAUUUCAUUUUAUUUAAUUUUUUUGCUUAUUAUCCUAAUAUCGUCAUUUCUUUUUUUUUUACCUACAUGACUAUUUCAUUUUAUUUUGCUAUCACUAUUCCAUGGGUCAUAUCACAAUGUAUUUAUCAUUUUUUACUUUGCCCAAAUAAAUGUAUAUCGUUUUAAAAGUUACAUUCGUUUUACGUAAUACAUAAUAAAUUUUUAAAAUCAAGGCAAUGUUCAUUAUUUUUUGGAUUCGAGGAGUUGUGCUCUUAACUUACGGAGAAUGACAUCUUUCUAAAACCAAAGUAAUCGAAUAUCCAUUUUAUUUAUUUAUUUAUUUAUUUUUCUAAAAAAAUAAAAACAAGACUUAAAAUAAGAUCAAAUGGUGAUUGUUCUGGUUUCCGAGGAUUCCAAGCAUCGUGUCUUAACUCAAGGGUUACGAUCUUUUCUCCUCAACUAACUCAUAAUAAUGCCUUUUCGUAAAAUUUAAUUUAGCUAAUUGGUUUUAAAGAACAUCAUGCAAACAGAGAGGGAUCAUAGUUUAAUUUCUCUUCGAAUUUUCAACUUCCGACAUCAAAACAUCAAGUAAUCAACUAGGUACCAAUUUUGGGCGUUAUGAGAGUGGUAAUCCUUCCUCAUACGUAACUGACUCCUGAACCCUUUUUUUCCAGAUUUGUAAGACUGGAUAUUAUCGUUUUAACAAAUCUAACGUUUUAUUAAAAUGGCUGAGUUUUGAGGUGAUCCAAUCACACCUAAGUAAAAAAUGUUGAUGGCAACUCCAUCUUCGUUUUCAAAAUAAAGUCAAUUUCAAAAAAAAAAAAGUUUCGACAAUAAUUAUAGAUACAAUUGAUGAAUAUAAUAAAAUAUGCAUAUUAAAAUAAAAAUACAUAAACAAUAUUAAAAUAAUGUUUUGAUGGUGAUAAACUUGAAGUUUUAUUAUUGUGAUUGUUAUAGGUUCAAAUCCCCUCAUAUUCGUUUUUAAUUAUUUUUUUAAAAUAAAAAGAUUAAACUACCCUCGAACAAUAUAACUUAUUCUAAUUAUGGAAGAAUAUUUUCGUAAUUUCUCUAACUGAAUUGGUGUUCGGUUGACUCGUGACACCAAUUCAGUUAGAGACUUAAAUAAUAGUAUAGAUAAUAUAAUUUUUGGCCCUCAACUUGGCAAUUAGAUGCACUUUAAUAUUGUAUUAUUUUUGUCCAAUUUUAUAACUAAGCUUGGCAAGUAAAUUCAAGUGGUCACUGAACUUGAAUUCUAUCAAUUUUUGAAGAUGUGAUCGGUGUUAUUGAAGCAAAAUCAGAUCAUUCGGUCAAAUUAAUUAGACUGAAAAGCGAUUGGUAUAACGGUCCAAACAAAGGGGUUGAAUUGAUUGAAUCGGGAAUUAGUUAAAAAUCGACAAUUUAAAAAAUUAUUUUAAAAUUAUUUUUAGAUUUUUAGGAAUUUUUAAUUAAUUAAUUAAUUAUUAUUGGUCUAGUAGUCGAACCGAUUGAAUAAGAAAUCAAUGGUUUGAUCUUUUAACCAUUGGUCCGAUUAUUAAAACACUGAAUGCAAUACUGUGAGAUUGUAUCAUAUCAUCACCUGAAAAUUUAUAUAAUUUUUUUUAAUUUUCAAGUAAUAUAUAUAAUCAUGUCACAUCAUCAAACUUUUAAAAUUUUCAUGUUCAAAAAUUAAAAUAGACCUAAUUGUUAAAUUCAAAUGACAAAGUGGGCCGAAAAAAUCCUAGUAGCCAAUAAUAGAAAAUAUAUAUUAUUUAAAAAAAAUAAAAAUAUUAAAGCGCACCCACGUGGUGAUAUUGCUCUUUGUCCAUAGUUCCCGACAAUAUUGUUUCCGUCUAUCUCCAGCAAAAUGUGUUUUCUAAUAUUUGGCAACUUUUACUUGCAAGACAACGAUGAAAAACACUUAAAUAAUUAGUUCAGUCCUCCUCAUUAAUUGUAACUCGUAAUAGACCUGAUAUUUUGGCUCAUAAUAAUGUCUCACAUUUACUUUCACAUCUAAUCUUGAUGUUUUUAACAAUGGCGUAGCGUAAUGGACAUUCAGGUGCCAUCACAAAAUUACAUUUUUCAAAAAAAAAAAAACAAAAAAACAAAAGGACCAUCUGGAUUCAGUGUUAAGAGAAGAAACAUGCAUGGAUAGUCUUGCUUUUAGCAACCCAUGGAGAUUGGCAGGAGAAAGCUAGAGGAGAGGUGAUUGACAUAUUCGGUAACCGAAAUCCAGAUUCUGAAGGCAUUUCUAAACUCAAAAUUGUAAGCAUACUGUCAAACAUUCCAAAAUAUUUUGUAUCUCAAUCUCAGGUUUUUUAGUCAGGUCAUGUUUAUCGCAAUUGCUAAUUCAACAAAUACUAUGCAUUUAGGACAUUAUAUUCUUUAAUUUGAUUUGACAUAUUCCUGUUAUGCAAACAGAUCACUAUGAUUAUUAUGAAACUCUAAGAUUAUAUGGUCCAUCAAAUGGCCUACCAAGAGGAGUUGCAAGAGAAGUGCAGUUGGGAAUACUAGUCUUGCCUUCUAACAUAGAUCUUCUGGUUCAAAAUAUUGCACUUCACCAUGACCCUUACCUGUGGGGAGAUGAUGUGCAUCUUUUUAAACCAGAGAGAUUUGCAAAAGGGAUUGCCAGAUCUACCAAUUACAAUGCAGCUGCAUUUUUUCCCUUUGGAUUAGGACCUCGAUCUUGUGUUGGUAUGUCCUUUGCAACCACAGAAACGAAGAUUGUGCUCUCCAUGAUUCUACAACGCUACACCUUUACCCUCUCCCCUGCCUAUGUCCACUCACCAAUGCCUAUUGUCGACCUUCAACCGCAACAUGGAAUUCAAGUAAUACUUGAACCACUGCAUAACAAUGAUUGAUGUACACUAACAGCUAAGGACAUGGGAUUCAACUCUGUUUGUUCCAACAUUCACCUUUAAGAGGUAGCAUUUAAGAUAUCCGGGGUUUUUAGUAUUAACAACCCCUUCCCUAUUCCUAAGCUACGCCCUCCUCUAAACAAAAAGAAAUCUAUGCAUUUGCUAGUUUCCUUAGAUGGUAAAACAUGUGAUUAAACAAUACAUCCUUCAUAUGGCGCAUAUUCCAGCAAGUAAACAGUUAUAUUAUAGUGCAUUUUACUUCACCAUUCUGCUCAUAUUUCAUUUGAAUUGCAGUGUUAUCAUCCUAAAGUCACUCUAGCAAGCAAUGAGGUUGCAAGUUUCUGAUAAAUUUAGUUCUAAUAGACUACUUAAGCUAAUCCACCUUGGUGCUUUGUUUUCUUUUCCUAAACUAUAUUUUUUGCUAUUCCUAGCCCAUUUAAGCAUUCAGUUGGAAGAUGGUCGAGAGUUGUUAUAGCAUUCGGAAAGAAAAGGUUAAUGUGUGUUAAGUGACUGUGUGAGGCUAAGGUUAUGAUAAUCUUCAGAUUGGUUCUGCUUAUAUUAUCUAUAAUAUAAAAUUUACUUUUUAAAAAGUUGUUUAACAAGCUUAUAGCUAAAAUAGGAUAUCCAAAUAAAAUAUAUUAACAAAAAGUAUAUUCUUAAAAUCUUAAAAGAGUAACCAACAAGCGUUGGGUGGAAUGAUAAUUGCAAUAUCAAGGGGAGAACUCAAGUUCCAAUUUUAAGGACGACAUUGUUUGAAGGAAUAAUCACAAACCCCAAAAAAGUUAGUCUCAUUGGAUCAUAAACCGAACAUGAGGAUACAUUGGUUCCACAAAAACAUAAUUUUAACAAGUUAAAAUCAUCAAAUUGUAAUAAUAUGAUUCUUUUUACAAAUAUUCAAAUAUCAAGUUAUCUAAAGUCACCGAUUGAGUCUUAACUCGAUUGGCAUUGGCAUGCAGGAGAAUGCGAGUUCGAGUGCGCUGAAGUUAUUAUCCUCUUAAUUAAGGAUGGGGAGGGACUAUGAAUAGUUCUAAAGAUGAAUUAAAUUAAAUUAAAUUAAAUAAUAAAUAUGUUAAUUCAUUUAAUUAAUUCAUUUAUAUUUUUAUACGAAAUUUUUGUAUAAGUGGAAUAUCCACCUUUCUGCUAAACAAAAUGUAUUGAAUUCAUAAUUUAGUAGAUACUUUUUAUGAAUGCCAACUAAGUAUUGUAUGUAAAUUGUCAACUGCUCCUAUCAAAAAUAGGAUUGACUAGAUAUUCGAGUCAUAUACACAUGGUUUCAUAAAACCGUAUGAUUCUCUGAUCUAAAUCAAGCAAGUUUUACAUGAAGAAGGUUUGCCUCAACAUGUUCAAUUCGAUAAAAGUAGAAGCGGUAUUCUUAAAAAAAAAAAGUAGAGAAAUCAAAACCAAGUCAAGAUAACACAGAUCAACCCCUUCUUCGUGCGCCAAAGAUCUUACCAUUUCGGAAGAAAUUGGAAUUACAUCUCUUUUUCAAUUCUAUUCAAGCUCUUAUGUGUUUCUACGACCAUUUAAGACAUCAAAAUUUUGACAAAUUUAUUUUCUUUUAUUAGGAACACAUACAAGAUUCGUCACUUCAAACAAGAUAAUGGUAACCCCACAAUUAAUUACUUCAUUUAUGACUUUCAUAGUAAUAGAAAUAUAUGUCCUACCAGAACACAAUUUUUAACUUGCUACCCUCUUGCAUAGUGGGCAAGGAUUUACUUCGCGGGAAAGAUGAUUUCACGGGGUUCUAUUUUGCCUUCAAUCCAAUCAUUGUUCACGUUUUUUUUCUUAUCAAUAAAUAGAUCUAAUUACUUGUAUGACUUAGAUAUCUCGUAUCUCUCAAAAUAAUGGUUCGAUUGAUGAGAUUUGGUACGAUAUUUAUGAGAUCAAUGAUAUCAAUGAUAUUGAUAUUCAAAUAUUUCUUCUUAGAACGUAUUGAUUUAACCCCAUAAGCAAGACCACCACCCCAUAAUGUUGCCUCCAAAAGCAGAAUCUCGUAUUUUCUCUUGAGAAUCUCUUAAUUGUUCAAGAGUACCUAGAACGAAAUUCUUUAAUUAGAAAGAAUUUAGUUUCGAUGUACGAUACCUAUCCAGAAGUUUUUGCAACUCAUGAUAUAGAAUCAUAAAAAUUUUUUGACUUUUUAAACAAAUAGAUCACUUGGGUGUAGAAAAGAAAUAAUCAAUAAUAAAAAUUGGUAUAAUUAGAAAAGAAUAUCUAUUUGUUCUCACACUAACUUUUAAUAUUUAUAUAUUAUUUUUAUAAAGAAUUAUUAUAAAAAAUUCUUUUAAAAAUUGAUAUUUUUAUAAUACAUCACUCAAUGUUGAAUACAUUUCAUUAAUAAACAAUAAUUAGCUUAAUUAUUAAGAGUUGAAUUAACUAUUUUUUAAUGAAGCAUUCUCUCUCUAAAAUCUCCAUCCUCACCACUAUUCUUAUCUAAUUCACCUUCAAGUUUUAAAAUCAAUGUUCUAUCAUGUUUUGAUUUUCUUUCAAAUUUAUUUUAAAUUUAAAAAAAUUCUUUUUAAAAAUCUCAAAUAUAUUACAUUUCACACUUUUAAGAAAAUAAUGUACGUUCAAACAUUGAAAAUGACAUAAUUAAAUAGGAUAAUCAUGAAUCCUGAAAAUGAACGGUAAAACGAUUUGUCCAAUUCAAAAUUUAGAAUGAUAGAAUCCUAAUAGAAAAUUUAAACUAAAUUUUGACAUAAUUUUUUGAAUAAUCUUAUUACAAGUUCUGAUCAUAUUUUUUUUAACACAAUAUCUAAAACUAAGCAUAACCGCUCCCAAACUCAUAAAAAGGAAGAUAAUGCGCUUCAGUGCAUAUCCUCCUACAUUGACAACAUACCCAUAUCAAUUGAGUUAAAGACUCAAUCAACACUUAAAAAAUAUUUAAAUACAUUAAAAUUAAUUAUUAUAUUGACAGUAAAAGUAUAAAAAAAAAAACUAAAUUUCCAGAAGAAUUCAAAAAAUAUCAUUAAAUAAUAAACGUGUUAAAAUCGACCCACGUGGUAAAGAUGCCGAUUCUAGUGUUUGCCACGAUACGUUGUCUAUAUGGCGCCAAGGCCAUUUUAUUUUCAACAUAGUUACACGCCGUUAAUUGUAAGUUUUGGCUUUAAAUAGUUAUUCAUCCUAUUUAUUUAUUCGUUAAUAUUGUUAAAUUUGUUAACUGUUUUAUUUUAAAAUUAAAAGAAAUUAUUAAUUUAAUAGUUAUGUAACAAAAUAUGAUGUUUGUGAAAUAUUUGUAUUUAAAGAAAGAAUUUUAGCAGUAUUAUCUAGUAGACUUACAUUUUUAAAUUCGAAAAAUAAGAUAAAAUUCUUAAAAAUAAAAAUAAAAGAGUAAAUUGCAAAUUCACGAUAAUUUUUCAAUAAUUUCUUUAGAAAAUUAAUUUUUAGAAAUGAAAAAUAAUUUUAUGAAAGAAGUACAACUUUAUUUUUUCAUAUUUCACAUUGCAUAAUUUUUUUAAAUAUGAAAUAAAAAAUUUCUUCAAAAUUUGAGAAACUUUUAUAAUCUUCAAUUUUUUUUCACUUUACUUUUUAUUGAAUUUCAAAGAGUUUUUACUUCUUUCAUAUUUUUUGAUUUUUUUUUUAAAAGAAAACCUUUUAGAUAUUUUAGAACCUUUAAUAUAUAUUUUAAAAAAUUAUAGUAGUUAAAUAAAUUACACAUUUGGUCAUUUUAUUUUUGAAAAUUUGUAGUUAUGUGACCUAACUUGAAAUUUGUAAAACUAUUAAUAUUUUAUUUCAAUUAAAAUUUCUUGGUUCAUUAAAUUUUUUUAGAUGUUCAAUAGAUUUGAUAAUGGAAUAUAUUUAUUCCAACUUUAAAUUUAAAGAAUAUAAUUAUAAUAAUGUAAAAGUUGAUGUAUAAUCUUAAUUUUGCAUAAACUGUUUUCAAACUUAAAUGAGCUAAAAAUAUAGUUGAAAAAUAGAAAUUAAUGCUACCAACAACUCCUAGAAAUAGUAUCCACUAAUAACAAUAAACUUACACGAGUGAUGGAUUUAUUAAAACAAUCAGCAACCAACUUUUGACUCUUUCUAUCAAUUGAUUAAUAAUUAUUAAAAAAAUUAUAAUUGUAUCUAUCGAUUAAUAAUUAAGAGAUAUGAUUAUUUUAAUAAAUAGUUAUAAUUAUUAUUAAAAAUGUCACUAUUUAAAUAGUGUUAUGAAUAUAUUACUAAGUGGAUGUCCAUCAAGACUAAUAUAAGUUUUGAUGUACUUUAAAUUAUAAUAGUCAUUAGAAGUAGGCUUUGUAAAUAUUCUAAUUGAGUCAUUAAUAAAAUACGCUCUCUCUUUGCUAUCUGACUCUCAUUCUCAUUCUCCUUGUUCUUUAUUCUUUGUCUUUUAUUUUAUAACACGUUAUUAGCACGAUUCUCUUUUUAAUUAUUUUUCUCCAUAAGUCACAAAAAUAUCCAAAAAUUUAUUGUUGCCGAUUGCCUCCUAGAGCUGCUGCGCACACUAUGGGUAAUCAUUAGAGCUUUUAACCAAUUAGGUACACUAAAUCUCUAAAUUUUAUUUAUGUCCUUUUAUGCAAAGAAACUUAUAUAAUCCGUGGUAUGUUUUUCUCCUUUAUUUAUUGAUUUUCGGAAAAUUUAUUUUAUGAAAAAAAGUAUUAUUACUUUAAGGUUUCUUUUAAACUAAAAUAAUAUUUAGAUGUUUAAAUAUUUGAUUGUUAAAUUCCUGUCAUUAAAUAUUCUUGUAAUUUGAUUAAAAUUAUAGUGGAAAGUGUUAUUAACCUACCAUAGUUGAUCUAUUGAGUCUUACUAACUUUCUAAUGUUGAAUGAUUGUAUUAUAUCUUUUAAAUUGAAUUUAUAAAUAUUUGAUUAGAAGCUUCGAAAGACUUUAUAACAUAUAUGUGGUAUUGAAAUUUGGUACAAUGUGUAUUAGAUAACUUUCAAGCAUUGUACACAAACAUUUUGAUUUUGUUUAUUAAAUGAUUUUUUUACUAUUAGAUUAUAAAUGUUAUUACGAAAACAAAUUGUUUUACUACUUGUAAUUAAUAGUGCUCGUGAUAAUAGCCAGGGUGGUAACAAUGAUGUUAAAGAAUCUCAGGUAUAUAUUAUUAUAAUUUAUUAUAUCAUAUUUAUUAUAAUUGAAGACUAAUCAUAACAACAUGAAUAGAUAGAUUUUGUUUUGAAAUCUAUGCCUGUUUGUGAUGGUGAUUAUGAAAUAAAAAAAAUCAAUGGAGGCGUUUAGAAGUAUGUCCUACUAGAUUUGUUGCAUUCCUUGAAGUGAAUACAAACAUAAAGAAAAUAAAAUAUAUAAUCACAGACCACUAAAAGUGGGAACAUAGUAAUAAAUAAGAGAACAAUGAGAGUUCUAAAGAUAACUCUUCAAAGGGUAAAGAUAACUUAUGUUAUCGAUAUGAUAUGAAAUAUUAUUGGCCACAUACGUAUAUCAAAUAUUUUGUUUCUGUUAAUAUUUUUGAGGAAUGAUAUGAGAAUGUUGAAAUGAAUUCUAUUAUUACAGAUAUAAAAUAUUUAUCUUAUUUGGUACUGAAAUAAACAAAUAUUAUUCAAAUAUUUUGUAGUACAAAAUUAGUCUACAGCUCCAGAAGAGCUAAUUUAUUAAUAUAUUGUGAUAAUUAAUCCAUAGGUUUUAAAAGAUAUUCAUUGUAAUGGAUCAUAUAAAGAUAUUUAUCUUAUAUUUCAUAUGAAUCAUUAUUGCUAUAAAUAUCUAUUUUAAAAGGAUUAAAAAAAAGGGAGGAUUGAGUUAUUAAUUAAUCUUGUUAUUAAAAUGAAUUUAUUGUGACUAUCUUUGUAAUCUUCUUUUGUCAUCAUCCCCAUUAAGGGGUUGAAAGCAAAAUAUUUAACUGUGAAAGAUCUAUUUUUGAGCAAUAGAAUAUGGUAAUUCUAUCUAAAGCUUGCUAUGGUUGGAUGCAACUGAAGUUGCAAGUUUUUUAAAACAGUGAGUAUAACUCUACAGUAUUCAGAAUAAGAUCUCAAUUAAAAUUACGUGAAAAAAAUAUUACUGAUGAGAAAAUUUUAAUUUAACCCUUUAAAAAUUACAAAGAUAUAGACUAUUAAAAUAAUAAAUUUAUUUUUUUAUUAUUAUAAAAAUAUACAGUUUAAUUUCGACCUCCCAAUAAAAAUUUCAAAAUCCGCCACUCGAAGGAUACAAAUAAAAAGACCACAGUGAAUUCAAUUAAAUUUAAAUUCUCACUUAAAUCCAAAUUCAAAGUAAAACAAAUGCGACAGAAUGAAUAAAAUAAUGGGAGAAAGUUUUUCAAGAAGUAGAAAUGCAAAAAUAGCUUCAAAAUCUACUCUUACUAAAAAAAAAAAAAAACAAGAAAGAAUUUAUUAUCUUUUAUAAUAUUAAUUUCUCACAUAUAUACGGCCAAGCUACUCUGAACGUACAACGCACCCAUUUGCGUCAUUGCAAACGCAAUUUUGGUCCUUAUGCAAUAAUAAAGGGGGAAAUGGUUCUGGUUUAGACAAGAAAAAUGAAUGCGUUGAUGAAGCUUCUAAUUCUUGCUCCAUGUUGUUUCUUCUUCAUAGCUUUAAUAAAGUUACUUUAUGAUUACCUAUGGAUACCCCUCCGUAUUCAGCAUAUGCUGAAUUCAGAGGGGAUCAAAGGACCUCCUUACAGAUUCAUCCAUGGCAACAACAAGGAAGUUACCAAAAUGAAACAAAAAGCUUUAAGCAAAUCUGUGGGCUUGACAGAUGAUCUAUUUCCCAAAGUACAUCCACACAUUUACACCUGGACCAACAGAUAUGGUAAGAUCCAUGCUUGUUUUUGUCACUAUGAUUUAUAACUUGUAGUUCUAAGAAAAGGUAGACCUUUUUUCUUUUCAUGUUAUUAGGGAAGAAUUUUGUUCAUUGGAACGGUGCUCGACCUGAAUUGGUGAUUUCAGAGCCUGAAUUAGUCAAAGAGGUUCUGAAAAAUAGUGAACAAAUUUUUCAGAAAAAGAAACUUUCAGAUAUUGGUAGGAAGUUCUUGGGGAAUGGUCUUAUAUUCAUUGAGGGGGGAAAAUGGGCAAAGCAUCGGAAGCUGGCCAAUCACACUUUCCAUGGGGAAAGCCUAAAGGUAAGUCUUCCAAAUAUAUAAACUAGGUGUAAUUAAUUUACAAGAAUUAUACAUAGACUACAAUAUUUUGGUAAAAUUUUGUAUUGUUAGCUAAGGAUAAGUUUAUUAUGGACGUUGAAAAAGUGUAGUAAAAACCUACUUUUGAAAAAUUUAACACCGUUUACUACUUAAGAGGUCAAUUUUAAACUUGAUGUUGUAAAAUAAAAGAUUAAAUCAGAGAUUUAAAAAAAGAUUAAAAUCUAGUUUGAAAUAAGAUUUAGUUUGAAAAGGUGUUUAUUUGUCAAAUUUUUUAAUUUGAAAUCAUGAUUUUGUGUUGACAAUUAUAUAUGUCACUACUACUUACAUAUUGGAGGAUUGUUUGGGCAGAACAUGACUCCAGCAAUAAUUGCUAGUGUUGAAACAAUGCUAGAAAAGUGGAAAGGCCAAGAAGGCAAAGAGAUUGAAGUGUACCAAGAAUUUAGGUUAUUAACUUCAGAAGUGAUUUCCAGAACAGCAUUUGGUAGCAAUUACAUGGAAGGGGAGAAGAUAUUUGCCAUCUUGAGAAAGUUGACAGUAAUUAUGAGUCGAAAUCUUUCCAAGACUAGAAUUCCUUUGAUCAGGUAUCUUCCCUCUAAGCUUAAUUAAUCCCAACUUUUACCUUGAUUUCAACUAGCUUUUGAAUGCAACUUUUAGACUUUCACUCCCCAUGGAUUUGGUUUUCUCCUUAUAUAUAGCUGACCCUGGUUUGCUUUUGCAGCAAGUUGUGGAAAUCUGCUGAUUUGCUAGAGUCUGAAAAACUUUCAAAAGAAAUAAAAGAUCGUCUGAUGAAGAUUGUUAAGAAAAGAGAAGACAAAGCUGUGAAUGGAGAAGUCAAUAGCUUCGGCAGUGAUUUUCUUGGAUUACUUCUAAAUGCCUAUCAUGAUUCGGAUGCGAAAAACAGGAUUUCAUUGGAAGACGUGGUAGCUGAAUGCAAAACAUUCUAUUUUGCUGGACAAGAAACUGUUAAUUCCUUACUUGCAUGGAUAGUCUUGCAUUUGGCAAUCCAUGGAGAUUGGCAAGAAAAAGCGAGAAGAGAGGUGAUUGACAUAUUUGGUAACCAAAAUCCACAUCUCGAAGGCAUUGCGAAACUCAAAAUAGUAAGAAAACUAUCUAACUGGGAAUUCAAAUAGCCAUCAACAUUAUGCAAUCUAACAUAUUUGUCUAUUUCCUAAACAGAUGACCAUGAUCAUCAAUGAAACUCUAAGAAUGUAUGGUCCGCCAAAUGGCUUGGCAAGAACAGUUGCAAGAGAAGUACAAUUGGGAAAGUUAGUCUUGCCUGCUAAAUUAGAUAUUCUGCCUCUAAAUAUUGGACUUCACCGUGACCCUCAAUUGUGGGGAGAUGAUGUGCAUCAUUUUAAACCCGAGAGAUUCGCUGAAGGGAUUGCCAAAGCUACCAAUUACACUGCGGCUGCAUUUAUUCCCUUCGGAUUGGGACCUCGAUCUUGUGUUGGUAUGACAUUUGCAUCAAUAGAAACAAAGGUUGCUCUCUCCAUGAUUCUACAACAUUACACCAUUACCCUCUCCCCUGCCUAUGUCCACUCUCCAAUACCUAUUCUCACCCUUCUACCACAACAUGGAAUUCAGGUAAUACUUGAGCCGAUACAUAGUAAUGCUUGAAGUACAUAGCUGUUAAGAAAUAAAGGUUUAACAUGGUUCAUGUAUUUUAGUUUUAAAAGGUGACAUUUAAUAUGUAUAAGGUUCUAGCAUUUGCAACCCCUUCCCUAUCCUAUAGUAUGCCCACCUUCAUACAUAAUGAAAUGCAAGUAGCUACUUAUUUCCAAGAUGGUAAAACACACAAUCAAUAAAGAAGAAUAUGUCGAGGCAAGUUUUGGGAACAGUGACUCAAGAAAUGACAACUGAAUUUGACACGUACAGAUCACAUAACUUCUCUUUUUUGUUAGCAUAUGUUGGUGAUUAGAACUCGAACUUUGAUGAUUGAUCGAGAGAUUUGAAGCAAAAAGAAGAGAAAGGAAGUUUUAAGAUAGAAAGUAAUUGAAGACUGAAAUAAUAAUGGAUUUGCUCCUCAAUGACUUAAAUACAAAAGUUGAAGACUAAAAAUAGAAAAAAAAAGGUUCUAAAAAUCUGCUAAGAAUCUGGUAACAAUAAACCAAACAAAUCGUAAAACUAAGCUCCUAAAGUAAAGGAGAAUUAUUCAAACUUAGCAACAAAAAAUUAAAUGGCAGCAAUUUUAAACAUGUGAUCUCAACACUUUCUUUAUUUAGAUGCUGCAAACUCCAAGUUUCUUCCUGAAGCUUUCAAACUUGCUAAGUGGCAAUGGUUUGGUGAAGAUAUCUGCAAUUUGAUCUUCAGAUUUGCAGUAACAAAGAGACACAUCACCACUCUUUUGAACUUCUCGAACAAAAAAUAACUUGAUGUUGAAAUGCUUAGUCUUCCCAUGAAAGACUGGAUUGUUAGAGAUUGCAAUGGCAGCUUGGUUAUCAACUAGAAUCUCUGUGCUUUGCUUCUGCUCCAUGUUUAGAUCAACAAGAAUCUUCCUUAACUAGAGAGUUUGGUUAACUGAUGCUGUUGCAGCCACAAAUUCUGCCUCAGCAGUGGAUUGAGCUACAAUUUCUUGCUUCUUCAAGCUCCAAGAGAACAUGCCUGAUCCAAGGCAAAAACAAUAACCAGAGUUACUCUUCAUAUCAUCAGUUGAGCCACCCUAAUCAUUGUCAGAGAAACCAAUUAACUUUAAUUCCCUGUGCUUUAAAAACUUCACUCCAUAACUCCAGGUCCCCUUGAUGUAUCUGAUAACUCUUUUUGCAGCUUUCAUGUGAGUCUCAUUAGGACAAUGCAUGAAUCUAGAGAGAAUACUUACAACAUUCAAGAUGUCGGGUCUGGUUGCUGUUAAGUACAUUAGACAACCUACCAAACUCCUAAACUCAGCUUCAAUGACUUUGGCAGAACCAUCAUCUUUGAUUAGCUUCUCUUUUUUAUUCAUAGGAGUGCUCAUUGCUUUUCAAUAUUCCAUAAGAAAUUUUUUAAGUAUCUCCUUUGCAUAGUUUCUUUGACAGAUGAACACUUCAUCUUGGCAUUGUUUGAUCUCAAUGUCAAGGAAAUAAGACAUCAGACCAAGAUCUGUCAUUUCGAAGACCUUUUUCAUUUCCAAUUUGAACUGAUUAACUUGAUCGAGAUUGCUGCCUGUAAUCAAUAAGUCAUCUACAUAAAGAGAAAUGACUAAAGUGUUUGUACCUUCAUGCUUUACAUAUAGUGUGAGCUCAGAUUGACUUUUCUGAAAGCCAAUGCCCACCAAAUGAUCAUCAAUUCUGCUAUACCAUGCUCGUGGAGCCUGUUUUAGGCCAUACAGAGCCUCUUCAGCAAGUAAACUUUGUCUUCAUUGCCUCUGUUUACAAAACCUUCAGGUUGCUCGACAAAGAUUUCUUCUUGCAAGACUCCAUUUAGGAAUGCAGAUUUAACAUCUAACUGAAAAACUUUCCAGUUCUUUUGUCCAGCAAGAGCAAGCAGUAACCUUACAGUGUCAAGCCUGGCAACAGGUGCAAAUGUUUCUGAAUAAUCGACUCCAAAGACUUGUGCAUAUCCCUUCACAACAAGUCUUGCUUUGAAUUUGUUAACUGAACCAUUGGGAUUUAGUUUCGUUCUGAACACCCAUCUUACUCCAAUUAUCUUUUUGUCCAAAGGUUGAUCAACCAGCUCCCAAGUUUUGUUUUUCUCAAUCAUCGAAAGCUCCUCUUCAUUGCAACCAUCCAAUGUUGACUGUUUUUUGCAUCAUGAUACCCUGCAGGCUCACAAAUAGCUACGUUACAUCUUUGGUAAAUGUCGGAAAGCAGCCUUGUACCUCUGACAGGUGUAUCAUCAGCCAAAACAUCUUGCCCUUCAUCUUCAAGCUCCUCUAAUGUGCUGCCAAUGGUAAAAUGAUCUGGUGCACUAGAAGCUUGGUUCGUCUUGGUCGAGUCUUCCCAAUUCCAUUGCUCAUUUUCAACAAAAUAAACAUCUCUGCUCACAAUAACAUGUCCAGUGUGUGGUUGAAAUACUCUGUAAGAUUUAGAUACAGUGCUAUACCCAACAAAAAUGCCAGCUUCUGCCUUUUUGUCAAGCUUAUCACGCUUGACCUGUGGAAUGUAAGUGAAACACAGGCAACCAAACACUCUAAGGAACUUUAAAUAAGGUUUGUAACCCUACCAAGCUUCAAAUGGCAUCUAAUCCUUCACAGCUUUUGUUGAAAUCUGAUUUUGCAAGAACACAGCAGUGUUUGCAGCUUCUUCCUAAAAGCCUUUUGGAAGAUUCUUCUCAUAAAGCAUACACCGAGUCAUCUUCAUUAUGAAUCUGUUCCUCCUUUCACUGACUCCAUUUUGUUAUGGAGUGUAUGGCACCGUCAACUGAUGCUCAAUUCCAGCCUCUUCACAAAACCUAUUAAAAGUUUCUGAAGCGUACCCCUUGCCAUUAUCAGAUCUUAAAAUCUAAAUCAUGCAUCCACUUUCAUUCUCAACUUUGGUUUUGAAUUUCCAGAACACACCAGCAACUUCUGAUUUUUAUUUCAAUAAGAAAAUCCAACACAUUCUUGUUAGAUCAUCAAUAAAGGCUAUGUAAUAGAGGUUACCGUUUAACGAUGGCAUUCUCUGAAGACCACAAAGAUCGGUAUGAACAAGCUAUUCGAGGCUCUCCAGGCUUGUUUAGGAAAGGGUUGUCUAUGUUGUUUCCCAAAUUUGCAAGAUCGACAAUGAGGUAGAUCAUCAUCAAUGUCUAUAAGUCCUUCUACCAGCUUCUUUGACUGCAUUUGAAGCAAUCCUCGAUGGUGAAAGUGCCCAAGUCUCUUGUGCCAAGUCUCAGUGGCACUAACUCUGGAUUUAAAAGCCAUUUGCUCCUUUUCCAUUGGAUUAAGAUAAAAAAAUUUUCCCUUCAUUUUGACAUUAAACAAGUCUCUGCCAUUAGCAUCUCUGAUCAAGCAUUGCUUAUUCUCAAAUAGCACUUUAUAGCCUUUAUCCAGUAACUGACCAACACUGAGGAGAUUUUGAUCAAUUUAGGUGCAAACAAAACAUCUGAAAUGAAUUUUGUACCUUUAUAGCUUGUAAUAGCUAUGCGCCUUUUCCCUUGACUUCCAAGUACUCAUCAUUUUCAAUCCUCACUAUUUUGACUUCAGUGUUUCUCAAUUCCUCGAAGAGCUCCUUGUCAUACGUCAUGUGAUUUGUGCACCCACUAUCAAUCAACCAUCUCUCACUUGAUUCUCUGCCUGAGAAACAAGUAACCACAAACAAUCGAUCUUCUUCUUCUUGAUCAGCUACCUGUGCAUCUACUUCUUGCACCUGGCCUUUGACCUUGCAAACCACUGUUUUAUGUCCAAGUUGAUUGCAUUUGGAGCAUUUAACGUCAGGUCUUUUCCAACAUUUGAAUGGUAAAUGACCUUUCUUCUCACAAUGGUAAUAAGGUGGGUAGGAUUUCUUGACACCUCCUCUUUUGCUCUUCUGAUAAUUGCCUGAUGAAUUUUCUCUACUCGUCGACUGGUUCCUAAAAUUUUUCUUCUUUUUAUACCUGUUGUUGUCUUGAUGCUUGACAAGUAAGGCACCUUCUAUCACUCCCUCUUGCCUCAUUAGUCUUCUUUGCCCUUGUGCUUGUAAAGCAUUCAAGAGCUCUGCAAGAGAGAUCUUUGACAGGUCCUUGGUGUUCUCCAGAGUAGUAAUGGUGGCUUCAAGCUUCUCUGGAACAGUAACCAGCAGCUUUUCUACGAUUCUAGAGUCAUUCAACUCAGAACCAAGCAAUCUCACCUUGUUGGCAAUGCUGAAAAGUCUGUCAGAAUAUUCUUUCACUGACUCAGACUCCUUCAUCUUCUGCAACUCAAAAUCCCUGAUUAGAUUUAGGACUUUCAUUCCACAAAUCCUCUCAUCUCUUGCAUACUCAGCCUUUAAGUAAUCCCAGAUUUCCUUUGCUGAUUUCAGAGACAUUAUUCGUGUGAAAAUCAUUUGAGACUCAGCUGCAAAUAAGCAAGCUUUUGCCUUUGAUUUCCUUGUCUUCUUUUCCUUUUAUGCUUUAAUCUGUGCCACAGUAGGAUUUGCUGAAAGUGGUGGGACCUCGUAAUCCGCUUCUACAGCUUCCCAAAGAUCCAAAGCCUCCAAGCAAGUCUCCUUACGAACUGCCUACAUCUGGAAAUUGUCUCCAUUGAAGACUGGUAGUGCAGCAACUGAAAAACUAGACUCUCCUUCCAUCUUAACACGCAAAUAACCUCAUAGAUCCCUUAAGAAAAUAGCUCCGAUACUAAUUUGUUGGUGAUUAGAACUCGAACUUUGAUGAUUGAUUGAGAGAUUUGAACUAGAAAGAAGAGAAAAGGAAGUUUUAAGAUAGAAAGUAAAUGAAGACUGGAAUGGUAAUUGAUUUGCACCUCAACGAUUUAAAUAAAAAAUUCAAGACUAAAAAUAGAAAAAAAAGGUUCUAAAAAUCUGCUAAGAAUCUGGUAACAAUAUACCAAACAAAUCGUAAAACUAAGCUCCUAAAGUAAAGGAGAAUUAUUCAAACUUAGCAACAGAAAACUAAAUGGCAGUAAUCUUAAACAUGUGAUCUCAACAGCAUGUUUGAAAAAAAAAAUAUUUUGAUUACUUACUUGCAUAUUUUUGAGGAUUUUGUGCAUCCAAUCUUGUGUUUAUUAUUUGAUUAAUCUCAGAUUGAUUUUUCUUAAACUAGUGGUUAUACUAAGGCUUGUUAGCGGAUUAAACUUUGGGCAAAGCAAUAUAGAUGUAGAUCUGUUUUCCGUGACGGGAUUUGAAUCUACUAAAAAAAAUUCCUACGCUUGAAACCAAAAUUAAAUUUUAGUAUAUAGAAUAGGGUCGAUCCCACAAAGGUUAAUCUAUCUAAAUCUAUAUUUCUUUAUAACUAGAACAUGUCCCAAGCAGUUUUUAUGCCCAUGACUUGUGCCAACUUGUACGAAAAACAAAAGGGAAUUAAAUCUGAAAAAUGAAUAAACAAAAAAUAUAAAUUAAUAAUGAAAAUGAAGUAGAAAUAAGUAAAACGAAAUUAAAAUUGAAUAAACCGAUAAAACAAAAGCUCUAGCUUCAAGCUUGAAGCUCGAUUUUGACUCUGUCUUCAAACUAAUCACAAAGAAUGAAUUUUUUCCUUCAUUAAUAAGUCAAUUGUAGAUACCAAGAAACAAGCUCAAACCACCUAAUUCUUUCAUAGUGGUAAAUUAAUUGCUGGAACAGCUCGACGACUAAGCCUUAUAAAGUGAAUAACCUUGAAAGCAGCAUUCGUGAUUUAAUUCAUUAGUAGCCUUGCGAACUAGAAGAACCUGGCUUAAAUCAACGACCUCAAUUGUAUGAGUCAUUUAAAAUUAAUUAUUAACUUCCUUGAUGGAUCCAACCACUCAUGUCAAUUUGUUCUUCAAUGGAUCUAAUACAACAAUUACAAUCACAUUGAUUCUCUAACUGUAUGUCCUUCAACACUAAACCAAGGGACUCUUCUUGAUUUUGAUGCUAAAAUAACAUUGAGAAGUAAUUGAGUUUAUCUUUUAAUUGGAGAAUUAACAAAUACCGAAAUGGAGAAUAUAAACACGAUUUUGAAAUUUCACCGUUCAAAUAUCGGAUCAAUUAUCAAUCUAAAACUAGGUUAAAUUUAACUUCUCAUAAAUUAAAAAACAAGAAAAGAAAAUCGUUGAAGGAGAAUAUUUAAUUGAAAUAAAAAACACUAAAAUAAAAUCAAAACAAUAGUUAAAUGAUAAGGUUGCUUUGAAACUGGAGUUGCCAUUUUCGUUGGAGGAGAUAAAAAAGGCAGUGUGGAGUUGCGAUGAGUCGAAAGCAUCUGGGUCGGAUGGCUUAAAUAUGUGCUUUUUUUAGAAAAUGUUGGGAUGUUGUAAAAAAUGAACUUUUUAGAAUGAUACUAGACUUUUUUAGAUCUAGAAAGCUUGAGAGGAGCAUCAAUUCUUCAUUUAUUACACUCAUAUCCAAAACCAAAAAUCCAAAUAAAAUAUCAGAAUUUAGACCAAUUUUUUUGGAGAGCUCGUUGUACAAGAUAGUGGCAAAGGUGUUAUCUCGAAGAAUUAGGGAGGUUGUUGGAGAGGUAGUGAGAGAAACACAAUGUGCAUUUAUCAGAGGUAGACAAAUAUUCGAUGAAAUUUUAAUUCUAAAUGAAAUUAUCCAUUCGAUUAAAAAGAAAAAUGGUAUGGGGGCAAUCUGAUUUUUAAACUGGAUUUUUCUAAAACAUAUUAUUGUGUUUGUUGGGAUUUUUUUGAGUUAGUUUUACUCAAGAUGAGAUUUGGCCAGAAAUGGAUAGGAUGGAUUAUGGAGUGUGUAUCUAUGGUGAGAGUAGCAAUAAUUAUCAACGGGUCAACCACAAAUUAAUUUAGAUUCCGCCGAGGUCUCCGUUAAGGACAUCUGUUAUCUUUAUUUUUAUUUAUCCUAGUGACGAAAGUGCUAUAUUUGUCGAAGGAUAAAGUAGUGGAGAUGGGGCUAAUUUAGGGCAUUCAAGAUGUUAUUCCCGUGCAGAUUUUUUCUCAUUUACAAUUCGUGGACGAUACUAUACUAUUCUUGAGAGGAGAUGAAGAAGACGUGAGAAAUGAUAAGUAUAUUUUACGGUGUUUUAAGAUCUUUUCAAGUCUUAGUAUCAAUUUCAAAAAAUCAUGUUUAGUAGGAUUUGAUGAGAAUGAAGAACUCUUAUAUCAAAUGGCUACAAUAUGUUAGUGUAAGAUAAGAUUUUUGCCUUUUAAUUAUCUAGGGAUUCCAUUGGGAGCAAAUCUGAGGAGAGUAUCCACUUGGGAUGCAAUUGUAGAGAGAUUCAGGAAGAAAUUAUCGGGAUGGAAAUGCCAUAUGCUCUCGUGGGCUGCAAGGAUUGUGUUGAUUAAUGUUGUUUUAUCUACCUUGUUGAUUUAUUUCAUGUGUAUAUUCCAAGCUCCAGUGACAGUUAUUAAAAGGACCGACAAGAUAAGGAGAAAUUUUCUUUGGGGGGGAGUAUAAAUGGUAAAAGGAAGAUGGCGAAGGCAAGCAGGAAACAUAUAUGUAAGCCAAAGGAGAAGGGAGGAGCGGGAGUGGUGAAUCUCAUAAUUAAAAAUAGAGCUUUAUUAGAAAAAUGGAGUUGGAGAUUCGCGGUUGAAAAAGAUGCAUUGUGGCAAAAACUCAUCCUAGCAAAGUAUGGUUCGCGCCCGCAACAAUGGCACUUUAGGACGACUAAUCUAAAAGUUAUGUCGAUUGUAUGGAGAGGUAUUGUAGAAAAUUCUAAAGACGCUAAUGGUUCUAAAUGGGUGGGGAACGAAGCUUUUAGAUGGAUGGUUGGGAAUGAAAGGAUGGCGGUGUUUUGGGAGGAUAUUUGGUCCUGUAGUCAACCACUAAAAAUGGAAUUUCCUAGAGUGUUCCGCUUAGCAAGACGAAAGAAAGGUAUGGUAGCAGAUUGCUCGAGCAACAAUGGUUUCACCACCAAGAGUGUGAAGUUUUCUAUGGAUGCUUGCUAUUGAUAGAAUUCCUACAAAGGAAUUUCUCGUUAAAAGAGUAGUGUAGCUUCAACACAUUUCGAUCGAAUGUCCAUAGUGUGAAAGAGUACCAGAGAGAGCAUAUUAUCUAUUCUUCAAAUGGAAAUAUAUUGAAAGGUUCUGGUAUAAAUUUUUCAAAUGGUGGGAGGUUGAAUGGAAUUCGAUAGAAGGAUUUGCUGAUUUUUAUUCUUUGUGUUAUAACGUGAAACUGUUAGGAGCCCGAAAAAGUUUAUGGUUGUUAUCGAUUUCGAUAGCUUGCUAGUCAGUGUGAAUAGCAAGAAAUGAAAUUGUCUUCGAAAGAAAGGUGACGACUAUGGAAGCUUUGAUAUUUCAAUCCAAGAUGAGGGCAAAGUUGUGGAUAAGGUUUGUAUAUAUAUGAUGAGUAAAUGGUGCAAGAGAGCUCUUGGUGGAUUUGUCCGAACAAGUGCAAAUUUGAUACAAUUAAACCAAAUCCUCUUCGUCGAUAUGACGCCCUCCUCCACAAGGCUAUCCAAGUUUCAAUGUAUGUGGGAUAGAAAAUGAGGAAGUUACAGGUUGUGGUGGAGUACUAAGAGAUAUAGAGGGUGUUGCAAGAGCUUUAUUUUCGGGUCCUAUUGUAGCUAAUGACACAAAUUCAACAGAGGUAGGGGUAGUGUUUAUAGCAUUGGAUUUGUUCUUAUCCAUGGGAUGGAAGAUUAAUAGCUCUCUUAUUGUAGAAAUUUGUUCAAAAAUGGUGUACAAUUGGUGUCUGAACAAGGAUAUGAGACCGUGGUUGUUACAAACAACAUUUUCAGUUAUUGAGAGGAAAAUUGAGCAGGUUGGUAGUGUAGUAUUCUCGAUGGCAGAUCAAAAACGUAAUGAAAUGGCUUCAACCUUGGCAAUAGCAGGUAUUAAUCGUGGUGACAUGUUCAAAGCUUGUUAGUGAGUAUUAGCUUUGAUGUUGAAUAUUAGUUUUCGAUUGUAGGAAAUGUUUCAUUGUGGUAUUUUGUAACUUGUUUCUUUUAAGUGUUGUUCUUGUUGUAUUUACAACAGAUUAGUUUGAAUGAAGCAAAAAAAAAAAAUUUUGGUGGGUACCGUGUGCCCCCUCUCUUCACGCCUUACUAUAUAAUAAUAAUAAUAAUAAUAAUAAUAAUAAUAAUAGACAAGCUUAAGAAUAUAAGAAGCCUUUACUCAUUCCCUAAGAUAAAAUUUAAUCCUCAUUAAUAUCUUAAAGAGAAACAUUUUUCCAUAAAAAUAAAAAUAAAAAAUAAAAUAAUCCUAAAUUUUAAAUGUCUUAUAUGUCAACUUCUCAAUCCAACUAUAAAUUUACUUUUUUAUAUUGUACUCUAACACUUCGAACAUGUGCUAUAUUUAUAUAGAAAAUAGUCAACAAAGUACCAAAGUAGUAGCAUCCAUGUCCAAAAUUAAUCAGAAUAAAUCAUUAAAAAAUAUCUAUUAAGAACAUUAUCACCCCCCUUAAUCAAUACUUGCCCUUAAACAUUUCAUGCAUUCAUCAUCUAAACAUAUCACAAUCAUCCAAGCCAUUUCUUGCAUUCAUCAUCUAAACAUAUCACAAUCACCCAAGCCAAUUCAACUUUCACAGUCCUCAGUUCAAUAAAAAAAUAAGCAUUAUCAAAAUUUUGACCGUACAACCGUCUCCCUCAAGCAAGCACAUAGAUUAACAAUUUAUGAUAAGUGCUAAAAGUAACAUAUUUUAACCUCGUUUUGUAACAUCUUGGAAUUUGGGGUUAGAAGUUUUGAGGUUUGUAGUGAGGGUCAGCAAGUAGGUUGAACAAUUGGGUUUAUUUUCGCGUUUUAACAUCAAAAUGAGUUUACUAAUUUGGUGGUAGAGUAUGUUACUAGUUUGCCUUGGUCUAGUGUUUGAAUCCCGAUGUGAGAAUAAAGGAAGUUUUAUUUUAAAUUUGUUUCUUUUUGUGUUAACUUAUUUUUAUUUAGAUUUUUUAUUUGAAAAAAAUAGAAGAAAAUCCCAAAAAUUUCUCACGUUUUCCACUUUCUCUUCACAUCAGUCUUUCUCCUUCUUCCAGUAAAUAAAAAUUAUAGAUUUUGAUUUUCUUUCUUUUUUUAUUGGGUUUCAAUACUUUUGUAAACCGCUGCCUUCAAAUACUAGUGGUGCUUUUGUUCUUCGUUUGAUCAGACGUCGAAUCGGGUGAGUGUAGGGAUCAUUUUGUAUUUAGGUUUAUGCGAUUAAUUCUUGGUAAUUUGAUAUAAGGUUUAGGUCGGAAAUUUUUGUAGCUUUAGUAUGUUUGCGGAACUGAGUUUCAGGUUGUUACAGUAAAGGCCAAGUGGUCGAUUCUUGGUGCUCUAAAACAUCAUUCAGGUGUGUGUUUUGAAACUGUUUAAUUUCAGUAUUGAAUUACUGUUGGAUUUUAUGGAAUUCAGCAGUUUCUAGUGUGUUUCUAAAAUUGUGUGAAUUCAGUAAUGAAUUGCUGCUGGAUUUUGGGAAAAUCUACAAAAUUCUUAUGUGUCUUGAAUGGUUUGUGAUUAGGGUUCAUUUUGCUAUUGCAAAAUUGCGAUUUCAACUUGUUUCAAUGUGGUUUCAUGACCAUACUGGUGGGCACACGAGUGUGUGCAGCACACAGGUGUGUGUAGCACAUGGGUAGUCCACACAGUCAUGUAACAUUGGGAAUUAGGGAUUUUGGAUGUUUUUUAGUGCCACACGGUCGUGUGGUGGCUAUUUGGGGAUUUUUUUCAUUUUUCACAUGGACAUGUGCCUUCGACACACGGUCGUGUCCCUUAGCCACACGGGUAUGUGAGAUUCCCACACAAGCGUGUCUACUAUGCUCCUUAUUUUGACACUUUUGGACAAUGAGUUACGCGGAUUAUCAACACGGCCAUGUAACUCGGUCACACUGAUGUGUCUCCUCCAUACGAGCUUGUGUAGCUUGCACAUGGGCGUGUAAACCACCACAUGGCCUAGUAGACCUCCACACGACCUAGUCACUCCCACACGGACGUGUGGCUCUGUUUUGGAAAUUUUUGUUUUGUGUUAAAAUUUGGCUCGUUUUGUGUUUCUGUAUGUUUCGACCCUCAGUUAAGCCUUGGUAACUGUAUUGAGGACUCCGCUAUGAUAUGGAUUUAAAUGUGUAUGUGUGUGUUCAGUUUAGGUAAUUGGGAAAUGUAUUAAUGUGUAUGUGUAUGUGUAUGUGUGUUUUGCAAAUUUUUGUUCUGUGACAAUUGGUAUUGGACUAAGUUUUAAAGCUACUAGUUGAGAUGAAAAAAGGAGUAAAAGAGCAGAUUGAACCCAGAGAGACCCAUGAGAGGGGCAGAAAAGAUAGUAGAUCGAGGGAUAUGCUGUCGACUUUGAAAGGUCAAGUGACUAAUCUCGAGGAAUCCAUAAUUUGAGUUCUUGAACUCAAAAUAAGAGAAUUUAACGUGCAUUUUGAAAUUAAGAAAUCGAUAUUUUAUUAGUCAGAAAAAAUUUUAACCCAAAAAUACUUAAACCCUAUCUAAAAUUAUAUUAUAAAUAAACUAAUUUUUCAAAUUUAAAAACUGAGUAGUUCAAUAAACUUGAAUUAAUAAAUUUUCCCUAUUUGUACAUUUAUGACCACACAUGAUAAUGGGUAAGAUAAGGUCCUAACGGACUUUGUUUAAUAUAUAAAGGUAAGUGAUAAUUGUAGCAAUUCUUGCUACUGGAGCAUAGGUAUCAAUGUAAUCAAUACCUUGUUUUUGUGUAAAACCUUUGGCUACCAACCUUGCUUUAAAUUUAUCAAUGGUUCCAUCGACCUUCAUUUUCUUUUUGAAGAUCCAUUUACAACCUAUUAGUUUGGAACCUGGUGGAAGAUCAACUAAGAUCCAUGUUUGAUUUCCCAUUAUUGAAUCCAUCUCAUCAUUUAUUGCUUCCUUCUAAAAAGUAGAGUCUUGAGAUUUCAUUGCCUCUUCAAAUAUAAUAGGAUCAGAUUUCGUAUUAUAAAAAUAAGGUAUCUUAUUGCAUAUACAUUCACCUUUACCUUCUACAAGAAACAUAAUGAAAUCUGGUCCAAAAAUUUUUGACCUUUUAAUCCUCUUACUUCUUCUUAAUUCUUGAGAAGAUUCAUCAUCAUUAUCAAUUUGUUCCAAUGGGAUCUUUUUCUCAUUUGAACAAUGAAUCAAUUGUUGUGGCUGUAAUUGUAACAACUCGGUUUUAGUUAAAUUAGAACAAUGGUUUUGAAACCACAAAUCUGAGGUCAAAAAUUCAUUUUAAUAUUAUUUUUGGUAUUUACAGCAUGUGAUUAUAUAUGUGUAAAAGUUUCGUCAAGAAAUUUUACUGUUUGAAUGCUUAAUUCGGCAAAAGGACUAAAUUGCGUAAAAUGUAAAAGUUGUGUUCUAUAAGCUAAAGGUGUCUAAGAGCUAUAGAACAUUAAAGUAAAGGUCCUUAAGUGGUAAAUAGGAUAUUUAUGAGUUAGUGUAUGAUAGUGGAGUGACAUUUGGUAUAAUUACUAAUGUUUUUAAUGGUAAAAUGGUAAAUAAGUAAAUUAAUGAUAAAAAAAAAAAUUUAAAGCCACCAUCUUUAUUCAUCUUCCCCAACCGAAAUUUACAGCAAUAAGGAAGGCUUUGGGAGCUUGAAACUUUUGGUUAAUAAAUCUCUUGUGUGUAAGUGAUUUUUAAGCCCGUUUUUGAUAAUUUUUAUGUUUUUGAGAUUGUUGCUUCAUGUUCUAGCUAGCCCAUGCCCUAAUUUUUGAAUUGGUUUGAUGAAUUUGUGAGUUACCAUUGAUGAUAGAUUGAUGUUUUUGAAUGUUGAUGAUGGAAAAUGAAUAAUUGUUGAUAGAUAAAUAUGUUUUGUAAAGUGAUUUUUGGCAAAAAUGUCAAAUGGAGAUAAAUUGUGAAAUAUGCCAGUUGAGUGGUUCAAAUGUGAAAUAAAUAAAAGUUUUGGUCUGCUAGGGGCACUAUAGUAAUUCGGCUAAGCUUGGGUUAUAUUGAAUUGUGUAAAUUUUGUAUAUUUGUCAAAUAGGUACUAAAUUGAAUAAAUGUGAAACUUUAGGGGCUAAAGUGCAAAAAUUUUCAAAUAGGUAUUUUUGGAUGAAAUUGAAUGAAUAGGUGAUUAAAUGAGUUAAAUUUGAAUUCACGUAAAUCAACAAAGAAAGAAAUCAGAUUUAGAUCGGGGGAAAUCGAAAGUUGACGAGUAGUUGAUCCGAUCCGUUCGUUUCUGUAUGAGGUAAGUUCAUAAGUAAAUAAAUAUUUUUGAAUUCAAAUAUAUAUGUUUUGUAUAUUGCCGAAUUGAUUUAUAUGUAUAUAUAUACAUUGUCGAAUUGAUUUGUCUAUGUAUAUAUAUAUUGCCGAAUUGAUUUGAGCAUUGGAUGACUGGUUUCGUGCAUGUAUUGAUUUAAUUACGAAGUCGAAAGCUCCGAAUGAAUCUUAGGAAAUGUAUAGGAUGAUGAUUUCAUGAUAUUAGGACUUCCGAGGUGUGAUUUCGUGUAAGACCAUGUUUGAGACAUUGGCAUCGAAGUGAGAAAAUCUAUAAGACCAUAUCUGGGAUAUGGCAUCGGCAUUGAUUUAAGAUCCCGUAUAAGACCAUAUCUGGGAUAUGACAUCGACAUCGAUUCGAGAUCCCAUAUAAGACCAUAUCUGGGAGAUGGCACUGGCAUUGAUUUGAGAUUUCGUAUAAGACCAUAUCUGGGAUAUAGCAUCGUUAUGAGACUUCGUGUAAUACCAUAGCUGGGAUAUUGGCAUCGAUAUGAGAUUUCCAUGUAAGACCAUGUCUGGGACAUGGCAUUUGUACGAUACAUUAUGUACGAGUUUUCCCGAGUAUCCUUAGUAUUCCAAGUGGUUCAACAGGUAAUCCAAAGAUUAUGUCAAAGAAAAGACAAGGUAUGAUCAUAUUGAAUGGAUACAGGUAUGUACGAAAAAUUCAUGAGUAAUGAACUCAAUGUAUUUUGGACAUUUGAUAAGAAUGUAAAUGAGUAAGUCAUACUUGUAAGAAUGAUAUUGUGAUGACCUUGUGAUUAUAGGUCUAUACUUAUGAGGUAUAGAUUUGUGGUAAAUUUGAUUGAUGAUUGUGCGAGGCUUUUAGGCCAAAUUAAAUUGAGACAUGAUAUGUUUAAGUCUUUGUUGUUGAUGUAUAGGUGAAAUUGGCCAAUGAUUGGCAUGUAAAUAUAUGAUAAUGAUUAGCUAUUGGAAUGGCUAGUUAUGGAUAUGUUUUGGUGUUAUGUGUGUCUAAAUAAAUGUUAAUACAAAGAAAUCAUGAAAGAGUAAAAUUUGCAAUAAAAUAGUUUUGGACAACAGCUGUUGUAUAAAUUUGAAAAAUCACCAAAAAUUGUAGGAAUUGCAUUAGAGGUUGAAUAAGACAUUAAAAUGAAUAUUAUUGAGUCUAGUUUCACAUAGAAGAAACGGUGUAAGCAAAAAAAUAUGAUAUUAUGAGAUAUUUGAAUUUUUGUGAGAUAAGGUUAGAAUGAUUUCGGAAUCCCCAAUUCUGAUUUUGGAAAAUUAUUAAACAUUGUAUAAAAACAAUUAUGGGUUAUAAUUUAUAUGAUUAAAAUUCUUAAUGAGUCUAUUUUCAAUAGAAACAAACGGGAAUAUCAUUCUUAAUUUUGAAAAUUUUAUGGUAAGAAGAUAUGUGAGUCUAGUUUUGGUAAAAUCAAGUGGAUCUUAAUUUGGAGUUCUGUAGCGCAAGAUAUAAAUAAUUUAGGUAAAAUCAAGUGGAUCUUAAUUUAAAGUUCUGUAGCACAAGAUAUAAAUAAUUUAGUGACUAUCACUUGAGUAGACAGCUUGAUGUAAACAUGAGUAAAUAGUGCAACUCUGUGCAAUUUUGAUUGUAUUACCUUGAGAUAUGUUGUGAGGAUUGGUAAAAGCAUGCUAACAGAUUUCUUAUUGUUUACUUACCAACUUACUAAGCUAUAUAGCUUACCCCCUUUCUUUCUUUUUCCUAUAGUGUCACAGAUACUAGCUCGGGUUGGAGAUCGUCGAAGAUUCUAUCACACUAUCAAGCUAUUGAUCGAUAUCAACAUAUUCAAACAUUUUAAGUUUAUGGCAUGUAUAGGGACUCAGUCAUUUUGUGUAUGAGUUAUUAUGUUUUGGCCAAAUGUUUUGGUUUGUAAUGGUUAAAGGUUUGAUUUUAUGUGUAGCCAUGUAACUUGACUUAUAUUGGCUAAUUGGUUGUAAGCCUAUAUAUAUAUUAAUUAUAUGCCAAUGUCUUGUGAUGUGAGUUGCGUUUGCAUGAUACAUGAUGAGUUGUGGGUAUGGCCUAAAUUCCUAAUGGUUGUAUGUGCUGCAAGUCUUGAUGUCCAAUGGCUAAGUUUUACUCAAUGGUAUGGUAUGUUAAUUAGAUAUAAUUAUGCUAGUAUAAGAGUUGUUGAUGAUGUAUAUGUAUAAAUAGUUUUAAAUUGAAUGAAAUUUUAUGGCCCGGUUUUGUAUGGUUGCUUAUGUUUAAGACAGGUAAUGCCUCGUAUCCUGUCCCGACGUCGGACACAGGUAAGGGAUGUUACAGUAAUUGUCUUGAUAUAAAAUUAAAUCUAUUUUAAUCAAAAAUAGCAUCUCUUGAUUCAAUAACAGUAUUAAUUGAAACUGAAUCAUUUGGUUCAAUUACCAUGAACCUAUAUGCCUUGCUAUUAUGUGCAUAACCUAUAAAUAUGCAUUCAAUUCCUCUUUCACCUAACUUUUUACAUUUAGGUGUUGGAACUUUGACAAUAGCUCUAUAACUGCAAACCGUCAAAUAAUUAAUGUUUGGUUUCCUUUUCUUCCAUUGUUCAUAGGGGGUUAUUUUAGUUUCCUUAUUAGGAACUCUAUUCAAUAUAUGACAAGCUGUUAGAACAGCUUCUCCCCAAAAACAUUAUCCAAGACUUGAAUAUGAUAACAUUGAAUUUACCAUUCUAGUUAAGACUUUAUUUUUCCUCUCAAGUACGCCAUUUUGUUGUGGGGUGUAAAGGGAUGAAACUUGAUGGACAAUUCUAGUGGAUUCAAAAUAACUUGGAUUAUAGUAUUCUCCACCUCUAUCUGAUCUUAAGCACUUGAUAAAUGAUUCACACUGAAGUUCAACUUCAGAUUUAUAACUUUAAAUUUAUCAAACGCUUCAUCUUUUGAAUGCAAUAAAUAUGCAUAACAAUAUCUAGAACAAUCAUCAAUAAAAGUAACAAAAUAUUUCUUUCCACCUAACGUAGGAGUAUUAUGCAUGUCACAUAAAUCAUUAUUUAUCGAAUCAAGCAAUUUUGUUUUCCUUUUAACCUUAGGGAAAGGGUUUCUUGUAAUUUUAGUCAACAUACAUGUAUUACAUUUUUCAAUAUUAUUAUUAAAAAUAUGAAUUAAAUUUAACUUAUACAUGUCAUUCAAUUUUCUAUAAUUCAAAUGACCUAAUCUAUAAUGCCACAAAUAAAAAGAUUCAACCAUUUAAGUAGAAAUAGUAUUUUUAUUCUUGAGUUUGAACAUACUCAUACAUAUACCCUUUCCCCAUAAAAAUUCCUCCCUUAGACAAAAUAAACUUAUCUGCCUCAAAAACAAGUUUGAAACCAAACUUAUUCAACAAACUUUCAGACACUAAAUUCUUCCUAACUUCUGGUACAUAAUAUACAUCAUUUAAGGUUCAAACUUUUCCAGAAGUGAAUUGUAGUUCAAGAAACCCUUUGUCUUUGAUUGCUGCGGUGUAAGAAUUUCCCAUGUACAAGACAUUGUCAUUUUCACAUUGUGUGAACUUUGUGAACAUGCUUUUGUCUUUCACACAUGUUUGGUUACUCCGGUAUCAAUCCACUAUGUAUUAUCAUCUUGUGCCAUAUUAAUUUCAAAUAUCAUUGCAACGAACUUUUCGUUAUUAUCAGCAUUAGAAGAUGAUUUCUUCCUUAAAAAUCGACAUGCAUUCUUGAAAUGUCCUAGCUUUCUACAAUGAUAGCAUGAGCCUUUUUGUUCCUUUUUGAACUUAGGUGCUCUAUCAGUCUGUUUGAACUUUCUCUUCAAUGGUUUAGUAGUUUGAACUUCCUCCGUAACAUGCACUUUGGCAUUUUCAAAAUUUAGGUUAUGAUCUUGUUUUUGAUAUUCUUCUUCAAUACGAAGAUGAUUUGCCAAAGCCUCAAGAGAUAUUUCCUCUUUCUUAUGUUUUAGACUUCUUUUAAAGUCUUUCCAAGAUGGAGGAAGUUUGUGUAUUAUGGAGGAUACAACAAUCAUUUCAUCCAUUUUCAUAUCAUAUUGUUUGAACUGAUUUAGCAUCUUUUCAAUAUCAUGGAAUUGUUCCAUAACAGAACGACCAUCAACCAUUUAAUAAUUAUUGAAACGACUGACAAGAAAUUUCUUACUUGUAACAUCUUCGGUCAUGUAUCUUGUCUCCAAUUUUUCCCAUAAUUCUUUAGCGAUGACCUCGUUUUGGCAGGUGUCGAACAAACCAUCAAAUAAACCAUUCAAUAUGUGGCCCAUGCACAUGUAAUCAGCAUUGUCCCAUUUUUGUUUUUCUAUAAUUGUAGCAACAGAUUAGUUAUCAUUCUCUUUAGGUUUAGGAGUAUCCAAAACAUAAGCAAUCUUCAAAGUUGAUAAUAAGAAGUGCAUCUUUUUUUGCCAUCAUCGAAAAUUGCCACCAUCAAACCGAUCAAGUUUGACAAAGUUGGAAGCCAACUCCCUUAGUAUUCCACUUUCAUGUGUUAUGGUAGUCAUCAUGAAUUAUAGAACCUUAAAAUUGUUAGUACAAAACUCUGGUGAAGAAAAUCUUGAACACACGAACAAAACUCGAACAAAAAAAAGAAAUAGGACAAGGCUCCAAGGCGUGUAUCAAGUCACUAUCUUUAAGGUUAUAUUCACCCCCACCUAUAUUCGGUGUGCAAAUGAGUUCCAAGAAAAUUAACCUCAAGGAUACAAUGAAGCUAAUGACUAUUUACAUUUUGGACUGACGAGAACAGCCCACUACACACUGAGCAAUGUAUGACAAGAAACUCAAUUUCUAUAAAGGAUUUCUAUUGAACUGCACAAUUAACAUACACCAAUAUGACAUCACCACAAGAAGAGCACACUUUACUAAUGAUAGAAAACCAUAGCCCAAAGCAGAAAACAAGAAGUGAGAGAGCAAGUUAUAUCUUAAAACAAACACUACUACGAAACCCUUCUCAACAUGGAAAACACCACAUCAGAAACUAUGACAAAUAGCGGCUCCACCCAUAAUCCAAAACCAAGCAACUAACUAUAGUGAUCACCCUUGCUAAAAAAACCUUUACAUAAAUCAACGAGCAAGCAUUGGACUUCACCCCAAGUAAGAAAAUGAUCCAUCAAACCUUGAAAAAGCUUUAGACACCAUCACUUAUCAGUAGAUAAGAAACCUAAAAUAGAGCCAACACCAGCAACACCUUAUCAAGACCAACAGCUAGAAAAAAUCUCAAUGGAACCGAUAUCAAAGGAAACUCAAUGUCAUAUCGGCUUCCAUAAAACUUUCAAACCACCCCACUAUAGCUCUUAAGACUGACGAUAACCGUACUUUAAAAUCACCAAAGCAUCCACUUCGAGAGACACCUUCAAUCAUAACACAAUGAAUAGACUCAAAUUCAAUUCUAUAAUCACAACAUACCAAAAAAGACAGAAGCCAUUUUCAAUAAAAUAACAGCCUCAACCGAUCAGUAGGCCAUAAAAGGCACAAAACACCAUAAUGCAUCAUCCAACCUCAGCAACAUACAAAUUGUUUAUCAUGGUGUUAUAAUCAAUCUUGGGUUCAAACCCACUAUAAGUAUAUUUUUAUUGGUUUCUGUUAAAAUAAAAAGACUAAAAUACUCAAUUAACUUGUGACACCAACUUAGUUAGGAGCUUAAAUAAUAAUAAGUAUAGAUACAAUUGAUGAAUAUAAUAAAAUAUGCAUAUUAAAAUAAAAAUAUAUAAACGAUAUUAAAAUAAAGUUUUAAUGGUGAUAUACUUGAAGUUUUAUUAUUGUGAUUGUCUUAGGUUCAAAUCCCCUCAUAUUCAUUUUUAAUUAUUUUUUUUAAAAUAAAAAGAUUAAACUACCCUCGAACAAUAUAACUUAUUCUAAUUAUGAAAAAAUAUUUUCGUAAUUUCUCUAACUGAAUUGGCGACACCAAUUCAGUUAGGGACUUAAAUAAUAGUAUAGAUAAUAUAAUUUUUGGCCCUCAACUUGGGAAUUAGAUGCACUUUAAUAUUGUAUUAUUUUUUUCCAAUUUUAUAACUAAACUUGGCAAGUAAAUUCAAGUGGUCAUUGAACUUGGAUUCUAUCAACAUUUGAUGAUGUGACUGGUGUUAUUGAAACAAAAUCAGAUCAUUCGGUCAAAUUGACUGAACUGAAAAGCGAUUGGUAUAACGGUCCAAACAAAGGGGUUGAACUGAUUGAAUCGGAAAUUGGUCAAAAUUGACAAUUUAAAAAAUUAUUUUAACUUUAUUUUUAGAUUUUUAGGAAUUUUUAAUUAAUUAUUUAAUUAUUAUUGGUCUAGCAGUCGAACCGAUUGAAUAAGAAAUCAAUAGUUUUAUCUUUUAACCACCGGUCCGAUUAUUAAAACACUAGAUGCGAUACUGUGAGAUUGUAGCACAUCAUCACCUAAAAUUUUAUAUAAUUUUUUAAUUUUCAAGUGAUAUAUGUGAUCAUGUCACAUAAUCAAACUUUUAAAUUUUGUAUGUUCAGGGAUUAAAAUAGACCUAAUUGUUAAAUUCAAAUGAUAAAGUGGGCUAAAAAAAUCCUGGUAGCCAAUAAUAGAAAAAAUAUACUAUUUAAAAAAUAAUAAUUAAAGCGGACCCACUUGGUGAUAUUGCUCUUUUUCCAUAGUUCCCGACAAUAUUGUAUCCGUCUAUAUGUCUUAAAUAUGCUGCAACCAGCAAAAUUUGUUUUCUAAUAUUUGGCAAUUUUUACUUGCAAGACAACGAUGAAAAACACUUAAAUAAUCAGUACAGUCCUCCUCAAUAAUUGUAAGUCGUAAUAGACCUGAUAUUUUGGCUUAUAAUAAUGUCUCACAUUUACUUUCAUAUCUAAUCUUGAUGUUUUUAACAAUAGCGUAGAGUAGUGGACAUGCUCUUAAAUUAAUAAUAGUAAAAUUAUAUUUUAUCCUUAAAAAAAAUAAAAUUUAAUUUAAUUCAAUUCUUUAAAAAUUAUAAAGAUGUAUACUAUUAAAAAUUAUAUUUUGUUUAUUUACGUUAUCACGUGUUACCUGUGUAGAAAAUGAAGAUUUUGACAAUAAAAAAGAAUAGUGUGGUGAGAAUGGAGGGUUAGAAAGGAAUAAUGCUUCAUUAUUUUAUUCAUUCCCAAAAAGAGGGAUAUAUGAUAUAAGUAAAUGCAAGGAAUGAACGCGUAUAAAAUUUAGACAUGUUACUUAUCCACCUGAAUGGCAUCAUAGACUGGUGUUUUGGCUUUUAUAAUAUUAAUCUCUCACAUAUACGACCAACCUACCCUGAACAUAUGACGAACCCAUUUGCGUCAUUGCAAACGCAAUUUUGGUCCUUAUGCUAUAAUAAAGGAGGAAAUGGUUCUGGUUUAGAGAAGAAAAAUGAAUGCGCUGAUGAUGCUUCUAAUUCUUGCUCCAUGUUGCUUCUUCUUCAUAGCUUUAAUAAAGUUACUUUAUGAUUACCUAUGGAUACCCCUCCGUAUUCAGCAUAUGCUGAAUUCACAAGGGAUCAAAGGACCUCCUUACAGAUUCAUCCAUGGCAACAACAAGGAAGUUACCAAAAUGAAACAAAAAGCUUUAAGUAAAUCUGUGGGCUUGACAGAUGAUUUAUUUCCCAAAGUACAGCCACAUAUUUACACCUGGACCAACAGAUAUGGUAAGAUCCAUGCUUGUUUUUUUCAAUAUGAUUUAUAACUUGUAGUUCUAAGAAAAGGUAGACCCUUUUUCUUUUCAUGUUAUUAGGGAAGAAUUUUGUUUAUUGGAACGGUGCUCGAGCUGAAUUGGUGAUUUCAGAGCCUGAAUUAGUCAAAGAGGUUCUGAAAAAUAGUGAACAAAUUUUUCAGAAAAAGAAACUUUCAGAUAUUGGUAGGAAGUUCUUGGGGAAUGGGCUUAUAUUCAUUGAGGGGGAAAAAUGGGCAAAGCAUCGAAAGCUGGCCAAUCACACUUUCCAUGGGGAAAGCCUAAAGGUAAGUCUUCCAAAUAUAUAAACUAGGUGUAAUUAAUUUACAAGAAUUAUACAUAGACUACAAUAUUUUGGUAAAAUUUUGUAUUGUUAGCUAAGGAUAAAUUUAUUAUGGACGUUGAAUUUUAGACUUAAUGUUGUAAAAUAAAAGAUUGAGUAAGAGAUUUAAAAAAAUAUAUAAUUUCAUUAAAAAGCACUCUUUUAACUUAUUGACUUGGAUUAAAAUCUAGUUUGAAAAGGUGUUUAUUUGUCAAAUUGUUUAAUUUGAAAUCAUGAUUUUGUGUUGAAAAGUGUUUUUCUGACUCCAAUUAUAUAUGUCACUACUACUUACAUAUAGGAGGAUUGUUUGGGCAGAACAUGACUCCAGCAAUAAUUGCUAGUGUUGAAACAAUGCUAGAAAAGUGGAAAGGCCAAUAAGGCAAAGAGAUUGAACUGUACCAAGAAUUUAGGUUAUUAACUUCAGAAGUGAUUUCCAGAACAACAUUUGGUAGCAAUUACAUGGAAGGGGAGAAGAUAUUUGCCAUCUUGAGCAAGUUGGCAGUAAUUAUGAGUCGAAAUGUUUCCACGACUAGAAUUCCUUUGAUCAGGUAUCUUCCCUCUAAGCUUAAUUAAUCCCAACUUUUACCUUGAUUUCAACUAGCUUUUGAAUGCAACUUUUAGACUUUCAUUCCCCAUGGAUUUGGUUUUCUCCUUAUAUAUAGCUGACCCUGGUUUGCUUUUGCAGCAAGUUGUGGAAAUCUGCUGAUUUGCUAGAGUCUGAAAAACUUUCAAAAGAAAUAAAAGAUCGUCUGAUGAAGAUUGUUAAGAAAAGAGAAGACAAAGUUGUGAAUGGAGAAGUCAAUAGCUUCCGCAGUGAUUUUUUUGGAUUACUUCUAAAUACCUAUCAUGAUUCGGAUGCGAAAAACAGGAUUUCAUUGGAAGACGUGGUAGCUGAAUGCAAAACAUUCUUUUUUGCUGGACAAGAAACUGUUAAUUCCUUACUUGCAUGGAUAGUCUUGCGCAUUUGGCAAUCCAUGGAGAUUGGCAAGAAAAAGCGAGAAGAGAGGUGGUUGACAUAUUUGGUAACCAAAAUCCACAUCUCGAAGGCAUCGCCAAACUCAAAAUAGUAAGAAAACUAUCUAACUGGGAAUUCAAAUAGCCAUCGACAUGAUGUAAUCUGACAUAUUUUUCUAUUUUCCAAACAGAUGACCAUGAUCAUCAAUGAAGCUCUAAGAUUGUAUGGUCCAACAGGUGUCCUCCAAAGAACAGUUACAAGAGAAAUUCAGUUGGGAAAGCUACUCUUGCCUGCUAAUAUAGAUAUUCUGCCUUUAAAUAUUGGACUUCAUCGUGACCCUCACUUUUGGGGAAAUGAUGUGCAUCAUUUUAAACCUAAGAGAUUCGCUGAAGGGAUUGCCAAAGCUACCAAUUACACCGCGGCUGCCUUUUUCCCCUUCGGAUUAGGACCUCGAUCUUGUGUUAGUAUGACAUUUGCAAUGAUAGAAACCAAGAUUGCUCUCUCCAUGAUUCUACAACGCUACACCAUUAUCCUUUCCCCUGCUUAUGUCCACUCUUCAAUACUUAUUCUCAACUUUCAACCCCAAAAUGGAAUUCAAGUAAUACUUGAGCCGAAUACAUAGUAAUGCUUGAAGUACAUAGCCGUUAAGAACUAGAGGUUUAACAUGGUUCAUGUAUUUUACUUUUAAGAGAUGAUAUUUAAUAUGUUUAAAGGUUCUAGCAUUCAUCAUUAAAGACAAACGACUUGUGGCCAUGUUUACUUUUUAUCUAUCAUGCAAUGUCGAUAAGAAGAUAUCAUUUACCUUUUAGUUGGGUUAUGAAUUCUACUAUUGUGAAUGAUGUUACAUACUAUACAAGUUCUAUACCCAAUGCACCAACUUUCGGUUCUUUAUCUAUUUGAACUUAGCCUUUUACUUGCAUCAAAGUAUACGAGUCAUGCUUGUAUAGUCCACCAUCCACUCAAGAUUAAGGUAUAUCACACAAUGAACAUCACAAGUAAAUAGAUCCAUAAAUGGAUCUAGAAUCUAUUCUACUUGGGUCUUUUCUGAUGUAUUGUCAGUCCAGUCAAUCACAUCUAUGUCUUUAUCUUUUAGGAGUUAUCUGUUCCAUUUAAGACAAAGCAUCUCCACAAUUGGGUUUGAUAGACGACAUCUUAGUUUUUCAAUCGAUUUGCUCAAUUUUGAUUAGACUAAGGACAUAUUUAGGUUUAUAUACUAAUACAAGCUAUCUUUCCAUAUCAAGAUCUGACCACGUAAUACCGCUUAGUAUUAAUUUAAACAAUAGAUAACCAAUGAGCCAAUAUUUGCUUCCAUUUUGCUUUGUGUGCAAAAACAUUGAGGACAAUAUGCAAAGGGUAUUAAUGUAAUUAAUAGAUAUUAUUAAACCAAUUUGUUUGAAAAAUACAAUUAUAUAAAACGAAUAUAGUACACUUAGUGUACCAAAUCCAACAAUGGCCACUACAGCUAGCAUUGCCAUAAGCAACAUAACUUGACAUUUUUGGAGUUGAAAUCUUUUUAACAAAAUCAGUUGGGCAACGACUUAGAUGAUUUUGUGGACAUGUGUUGGCUCAUAUUUGAAGAUCCAUUUUGUGGAGCAAUCAAUCUGUUAAGAUUAAAUCAAUCUGAAUCAAGCAAAUCGGAUCACUUAUUUUGUGGAGAUUGGCUUGACUUAUUUUAAAAUUUAUUUUCGAAAUCUUUGAUUUAUUCUUAACUUUCAGGAUAUUUGUAAAAUUUGAUAACACUCUAGAAUAACGUAUUUUUAUGUAUUAAUUAUGUAUUUAUUUUGAAUAUGAUCCUGCUAAUUUGAGCUAUUUAUGAUAUUUUAUCUCAUAGGGACUAAAUUUGAGACAAAAGCAAAAUUAAGGGCCAAAAGUGUGAAUUUAGAGAUAAAAUGGGCCAAUGUGCGACACAAAUAAAAGUUGGUGCCAAAAGUGCAAGCAUGGAGGACACAAGGGUUGAAAUGCAAAAAAAAGAGAUUUUAUUCUAUCAAACUCUAUUUUAAUUAUAUUAGGAUAAUUAAUAUUAAGAUAAUUAUUAAGGAUUAUCUAAUUUUAGGAUUUUAUUUUAUUUAUCUUCAAUUAAAUGUAUUUAUCUUUUGGAGUUUAAGUAGGAUUAGACUAUCUCCCCUAGCACUAUAAAUAGGGGUAAAGUAACUCAAAAAUGAUGUAAACACUCUCUCCCCCAAAAGUCUAGGCUUUUGUUCUCCUCAUAUUUCCUUUCAAUAAAAUCUCUAUUUUUAUUUUAUUUAUUUUCUUUUUCACCACAACCAUGAGCCACUAAACUCAUCUAGCUGAAAGUUGUCGAUAUUUUCCAAAAAGGGUUCUCGAGGCCUAGAGUCCGUACUUAGCCUCCUCGCUGAGUAUUCAUUGUUUCUCUGCACUACGGGGCUGACGCUUCCGUCCAUGUCCCUUAAGAAGUAAGAUUUUCAAUGUAUGCAAAGGCGACUGCUUUGUAUGUUUUAGGAAGAUUGCAUAGUCAAUUCGUUAACUUACUGCGUUAGAGGUUAGUGAGCCCAAGAGACAAAAUGGCAUGGGAUUCACCAUUGAGAAUCGCUGAUCUAGCAUAAGACGAUCCCAUAGAAGCAAUUGUUGGCUAGAGUCAGGUUUCACUAAAUCGUAAGUCUAAAUCCUUAGAGCUGGUGGUCGUAGGCGUCCUCUUCCACUAUAACUGGCUUAUUCGGUUUAGGAAGGAUCAUCUAAAAGUUGAGGAUUGAACCCAAGGCGGAACGAGAAAGCUGGAGGUUAGAAUCUCCCAUAAGAAUUUUCUUUCUCUUAACUUUAUUUUUAAUUUCUCGAAUUUUUGAUUCAAUAUUCUUAAUUUUGUUUUUAUUUUAUUUUUCGUUUCCAGACCCAAACCUUUAAUUCUAUUUUUUUUAUUUUUUUUCCAGGAACGCAGGUUUUCUCGGGAAAGAUUCUGCCUGGGAUUUCACAAAAUAAGAUAUUGUGCAAAUCCAGUCCCUAAGGAUUUUACCUUACUUUCCUUUUACUAUUCUUUUUCAUUAUUUAUUAGGGAUAGGAUAUUUUUUGUGCUUUCAACAACCGCAUUAGUAAAGUUUUUUUUACGAGGCUAUUUUUUGUGGGAUAUUGAUUCGAAUUGAUCUUUAUCUUUGCAAACAUUAAAUUCUUAUAUAUUAGAGGCUUGUGUAAGUUAAAAUAAGAUAGAGUUUCUAUUGCACUUAUUUUUUUCAUUGAGGAACUUGUAAUUGAUAGUGCAUUAAGAGUGUAAAAUAAGUUUGUUGCUUGGUUUUACAGCCAAAAUUCUCAAGGGAAGAACUUAGUGGUGAAUGAUUUAGAUAUUUAGAUACAAAAGUGAGGUUGCUAUACCGAGUUGUGAUAGGACUUAAAUAACUUGUUGUCUUGGGAUUAAAAAUAAUGGAUUUACUCAUUAAGUUAGGUUCCAUAGACAUAGAAAAAUCGAUAUGCAUAAACAAUCAUUUGUGUUCUAUUUUUUGUUGUUGUGUUCAUCAUAGUGGCAUCAAAGGUUGCCAUUACAACCAUCACUUUGUCAUCAAUUACUCACUUUAUUUUUUUAAGCAAUUAUCAACUACAUGCGCCAAGAGAAUGCUUGUUUCCAGUACUAUUGAUCAAAAUUUUGUAGGAAGCAUAAUGACAAAAAAGGAAAUGAUUACAAUCAACCCCUUAUGUAACAAUUCCAUUUGUAUGUUUGCAUGUUAUAAAAUGGUGGUUGUUAUAUACUACAACAUGUUGUUAUAAAAAGAUAAUUAUUGUAAACCUAAAAUAGAAUUUACAUUGCGAAUUACUAUCAUAUAAAGAAGGUGGGAAUUAUAUUAAAAAAGGAAAGUAGAAACCAAUUCAACAAAAUUAAAAGAUGUAUAAUAGGUGCAUGCAUUAUUACCUUUAUAUUUUAUUUUACAUUUUUCACAUGAUUAAUCGAUAUGAGUUUAAAUUAAAUUAAUUAAUUUAUCAUGUGUCAUUAAAUUCAAGUAAUUAAUUUAUAAGAUUAUGAUGUUCCAAAUUUAUAGUAGAAUAUUUAAUUAGAGAACUUAAUAGUUUAUUGAAUUGAUAUCUUUAAUUCCACUCAUUGAAGAUUUUGUCAUGUGAAAUUUAAACAUUUUAUUAAAAUAAUAUUUUAUGAUUGUUUAUGAUAAACUUAGGAUUUUUAAUAGUGUUUAUAUAUGUAUUAUGUUAAGAUACAUAAUGAUAAAACUAGAGUUUGUGGUAUGUUUUGAGAUGAUAGGCUUCACGAUUAUGUGAUUUAUUGUCCUUAGCUAAUUCAAAUAUAGAUUAAUGAGGUUGGUUUAAUAUAUGUUGUAGGGAACAACGAAAAUGGGAAAAAAUUAAAUAUUACCCUAAAACAAAUUGAUAAUUAAUAUAGUUAAAUUAAAUCCAUUUUGUUUUGGCAAAUGAAAAUCAUUGGUUUAAAAGGUUUGAGAAUUGAGGAACCUUUGCAAAACAUAAUGCGAUAUCAUCACUGUUUAUAGGAGCUGAGUAUAAAUAUUCUCUUUUCAUGUCUUUGUUGUUGGGUUUUUAGGUCUUUUUGUGACAAUUAUCAUUCCUCUCAUUUCAAUAUUUAUGAUAAUAAUACCUGUAAAGCACGUUGGUCAUGUCUUAUUUUUACUAUUUAUGUAAACAUGAUUCCCGUAUAAACUAUACUAAAAUUCGUAUUAUUGUAGUACUUAUUAUUAAAGUUUCAGUCCUGUGACAAUUGGUAUUGGACUGAGAUUUGAAGCUACCAGUUGAGAUGACAAAAGGAGUAGAAGAGCAGAUUGAACCCAGAGAGACCAUGGGAGGGGCAGGAGCUAUUUAUAUAUUUUUGAGAUGUUGAUAUCUUCCAGAGCCAUUUAUGACCACACACGAUAAUGGGUAAGAUAGGGUCCUACCUGACUUAUGGUUUAUCUGUUUUGAAGGGGGAAAUGGUUUUGUUUUAGAGAAGAAAAAUGAAUGCGUUGAUGAAACUUCUAAUUCUUGCUCCAUGUUUCUUCUUCAUAGCUUUAAUAAAGUUACUUUACGAUUACCUAUGGAUACCUCUCCGUAUUCAGCAUAUGCUGAAUUCACAGGGGAUCAAAGGACCUCCUUACAGAUUCAUCCAUGGCAACAACAAGGAAGUUACCAAAAUGAAACAAAAAGCUUUAAGCAAAUCUGUGGGCUUGACAGAUGAUCUAUUUCCCAGAGUACAUCCACAUUUUUACACCUGGACCAACAGAUAUGGUAAGAUCCAUGCCUGUUCUUUCACUAUGAUUUAUAACUUGUAGUUCUAAGAAAAGGUAGACCCUUUUUCUUUUCAUGUUAUUAGGGAAGAAUUUUGUUUAUUGGAACGGUGCUCGAGCUGAAUUGGUGAUUUCAGAGCCUGAAUUAAUCAAAGAAGUUCUGAAAAAUAGUGAACAAAUUUUUCAGAAAAAGCAGCUUUCAGAUAUCGGUAUGAAGUUCUUGGGGAAUGGACUUAUAUUCAUUGAGGGGGAAAAAUGGGCAAAGCAUCGAAAGCUAGCCAAUCACACUUUCCAUGGGGAAAGCCUAAAGGUAAGUCUUCCAAAUAUAUAAACUAGAUGUAAUUAAUUUACAAGAAUUAUACAUAGACUACAAUAUUUUGGUAAAAUUUUGCAUUCUUAGCUAAUUUAUUAUCGAAGUUGAAAAGAUUCGUGAAAAGUAAUUUUGAAAAAUUUGACAGCAUUUACCACUUAAGAUAUCAAUUUUAGAUUUAAUGUUGUAAAGUAAAAAAUAAUUCAGAGAUUUAAAAAAGAAGUCAUUUCAUUGAAAAACACUAUUUUAACUUUUUGACUUAGAUUAAAAUCUAAUUUGAAAUAAAGUUUAGUUUGAAAUUUUGUUUGUUUGCGAAUUUUUCUAAGUUGAAAUCAUGAUUUUGUGUUGAAAAGUGUUUUUCAGACUCCAAUUAUAUAUGUCACUACUACUUACAUAUUGGAGGAUUGUUUCCGCAGAACAUGACUCCAGCAAUAAUUGCUAGUGUUGAAACAAUGCUAGAAAAGUGGAAUGGCCAAGAAGGAAAAGAGAUUGAAGUGUACCAAGAAUUUAGGUUAUUAACUUCAGAAGUGAUUUCCAGAACAGCAUUUGGUAGCAAUUACAUGGAAGGGGAGAAGAUAUUUGCCAUCUUGAGAAAGUUGACAGUAAUUAUGAGUCGAAAUCUUUCCAAGACUAGAAUUCCUUUGAUCAGGUAUCUUCCCUCUACGCUUAAUUAAUCCCAACUUUUACCUUGAUUUCAACUAGCUUUUGAAUGCAACUUUUAGACUUUCAUUCCCCAUUGAUUUGGUUUUCUCCUUAUAUAUAGCUGACCCUGGUUUGCUUUUGCAGCAAGUUGUGGAAAUCUGCUGAUUUGCUAGAGGCUGAAAAACUUUCAAAAGAAAUAAAAGAUCGUGUGAUGAAGAUUGUUAAGAAAAGAGAAGACAAAGUUGUGAAUGAAGAAGUCAAUAGCUUUGGCAGUGAUUUUCUUGGAUUACUUCUAAAUGCCUAUCAUGAUUCGGAUGCGAAAAACAGGCUUUCCUUGGAAGACGUGGUAGCUGAAUGCAAAACAUUCUAUUUUGCUGGACAAGAAACUGUUAAUUCCUUACUUGCAUGGAUAGUCUUGCAUUUGGCAAUCCACGGAGAUUGGCAAGAAAAAGCGAGAAGAGAGGUGAUUGACAUAUUUGGUAACCAAAAUCCACAUCUCGAAGGCAUCGCGAAACUCAAAAUAGUAAGAAAACUAUCUAACUGGGAAUUCAAAUAGCCAUCAACAUUAUGCAAUCUAACAUAUUUGUCUAUUUCCUAAACAGAUGACCAUGAUCAUCAAUGAAACUCUAAGAUUGUAUGGUCCAUCAAAUGGCCUGGCAAGAGCAGUUACAAGAGAAGUUCAGUUGGGAAAACUACUCUUGCCUGCUAAUAUAGAUAUUCUGCCUUUAAAUAUUGGACUUCACCGUGACCCUCACUUUUGGGGAGAUGAUGUGCAUCAUUUUAAACCCGAGAGAUUCGCUGAAGGGAUUGCCAAAGCUACCAAUUACACCACGGCUGCAUUUUUUCCCUUCGGGUUGGGACCUCGAUCUUGUGUUGGUAUGACAUUUGCAACAAUAGAAACAAAGGUUGCUCUCUCCAUGAUUCUACAACGUUACACAAUUACCCUCUCCCCUGCCUAUGUCCACUCUCCAAUACCUAUUCUCACCCUUCGACCACAACAUGGAAUUCAGGUAAUACUUGAGCCGAUACAUAGUAAUGCUUGAAGUACAUAGCUGCUAAGAAAUAAGGGUUUAACAUGGUUCAUGUAUUUUAGUUUUAAAAGAUGACAUUUAAUAUGUAUAAGGUUCUAGCAUUUGCAACCCCUUCCCUCCUAUGGUGUGCCCACCUUCAUACAUAAUGAAAUGCAAGUAGCUACUUAUUUCCAAGAUGCUAAAACACACAAUCAAUAAAGAAGAAUAUGUCGAGGCAAGUUUUGGGAGCAGUGACUCGAGAAAUGACAACUGCGUUUGGCACGCGCAGGUCACAUAACUUUUAGCAUGUUUGAAAAAAAAUAUUUUGAUUACUUGCUUGCAUCUUUUUUAGGAUUUUGUGCAUCCAAUCUUGUGUUUAUUAUUUAAUUAAUCUCAGAUUGAUUUUUCUUAAACUAGUGGUUAUACUAAGGCUUGUUAGCGGAUUAAACUUUGUGCAAAACACUAUAGAUGUAGAUGUGUUUCCCGUGAUGGGAUUUGUAUCUACUAAAAAUAAAUUCCUACACUUGAAACCAAAAUUAAAUUUGUAGUAUAUAGAGUAGGGUUGAUCCCACAAAGGUUGAUCUAUCCAAAUUUCUAUUUCUUUAUAACUAGAACGUGUCCCGAGCAGUUUUUAUGCCCAUGACUUGUGCCAACCUAUACGAAAAACUAAGGGGAAUUAAAUCUGAAAAAUAAAUAAACAACAAAAAUAAAUUAAUAAUUAAAAUGAAGUAGAAAUAAGUAAAAUGAAAUUAAAAUUGAAUAAACCGAUAAAACAAAAGCUUUAGCUUCAAGCUCGAUUUUGACUUAGUCUUCAAACUGAUCACGGAGAAUGAAUUUUUUUUCCUUUAAUUAAUAAGUCAAUUAUAGAUGCCAAGGAACGAACCUCAAAGCACCUAAUUCUUCCAUAGUGGUAAAUUAAUUGCGGGAACAGCUCGACGGCUAAGCCUUAUCAAGUGAAUAACCUUGAAAGUAGCAUUGGUGAUUUAAUUCAUUGGUAGCCUUGCAAACUAAAAGAACCUGACUCAAAUCAACGGCCUCAAUUGUAUGAGUCAUUUAAACUUAAUUAUUAACUUCUUUGAUGGAUCCAACCACUCACGCCAUUUGUCAUGUCAAUUUGUAAUUCAGUGGAUCUAAUACAACAAUUACGGAUAGCAUCGAUUCUCUAACUUUAUGUCGUUCAACACUAAACCAAGGGACUCUUCUUGAUUUUGAUGCUAAAAUAACAUUGAGAAGUGAUCAAGUUUAUCUUUUAAAUUGGAGAAUUAACGAAUACCGAAAUGGAGAAUAUAAAUACGAUUUUAAAAGUUCACUGUUCAAAUAUUGGAUCAAUUAUCAAUCUAAAACUAGGUUAAAUUUAACAUCUCAUAAAUUAAAAAACAAGAAAAGAAAAUAGUUGAAGGAGAAUAUUUAAUUGAAAUUAAAAAAACACUAAAAUAAAAUCAAAACAAUAGUUAAAUGAUGAAGUUGCUUUGAAACUGGAGUUACCAUUUUCGUUGGAGGAGAUAACAGAGGCAGUGUGGAGUUGCGAUGAGUCGAAAGCAUCUGGGUCGGAUGGCUUUAAUAUGUGCUUUUUUAGAAAAUGUUGAGAUGUUGUAAAAGAGGAACUUUUUAGAAUGAUGUUAGACUUUUUUAGAUCUAGAAAGCUUGAGAGGAGCAUAAAUUCUUCAUUUAUUGCACUCAUAUCCAAAAUCGAAAAUCCAAAUAAAAUAUUAGAAUUUAGACCAAUUUUUUUGGUGAGCUUGUUGUACAAGAUAGUGGAAACGGUGUUAUCUCGAAGAAUUAGGGAGGUUGUUGGAGAGGUAGUGAGUGAAACACAAUGUAAAUUUACCAGAGGUAGACAAAUAUUCGAUGGAACUUUAAUUGUAAAUGAAAUUAUCCAUUCGAUUAAAAAGAAAGAUGGUAUUGGGGGGCAAUCUGAUUUUUAAACUAGAUUUUUCUAAAGCAUAUAUAUGAUUGUGUUUGUUGGGAUUUUUUGGAGUUAGUUUUACUCAAGAUGGGAUUUGGCGAGAAAUGGAUAGAAUGGAUUAUGGAGUGUGUAUCUAUGGCGAGAGUAGCAGUAAUUAUCAAUGGGUCAACCAAAAAUGAAUUCAGAUUCCGCCGAGGUCUCCAUCAAGGAUAUCCGUUAUCCCUAUUUUUAUUUAUCCUAGUGACGGAAGUGCUACAUUUCUCGAUGGAUAAAGCAGUGGAGAUGGGACUAAUUUAGGGCAUUCAAGAUGUUAUUCCCGUGUAGAUUUUUUCUCAUUUACUAUUCGCGAACGAUACUAUACUAUUCUUGAGAGCAGAUGAAGAUGAGGUGAGAAAUUCGAAGUAUAUUUUAUGGUGUUUUGAGAUCUUUUCAAGUCUUAGUAUCAAUUUCAAAAAAUCAUGUUUAGUAGGAUUUGAUGUGAAUGAAGAACUCUUAUAUCAAAUGGCUACAAUAUGUAAGUGUAAGAUAAGGUUUUUGCCUUUUAAUUAUCCAGGGAUUCUAUCGGGAGCAAAUCUGAGGAGAGUAUCCACUUGGGACGCAAUUGUAGAGAGAUUCAAGAAGAAAUUAUCGGGAUGGAAAUGUCGUCCGCUCUCAUGGGCUGCAAGGAUUGUAUUGAUUAAUGUUGUUUUGUCUGCCUUGCUAAUUUAUUUCAUGUCUAUAUUCCAAGCUCCAGUGACAGUUAUUAAAAGGAUCGACAAGAUAAGGAUAAAUUUUCUUUAGAGGAGUAUAAAUGGUAAAAGGAAGAUGGCAAAGGUAAGCUGGAAACAUAUAUGUAAGCCAAAGGAGAAGGGAGGAGCAGGAGUGGUGAAUCUCAUAAUUAAAAAUAGAGCUUAUUAGCAAAAUAGAGUUGGAGAUUCGCGGUUGAAAAAGACGCGCUGUGGCGAAAACUCAUCCUAGCAAGGUAUGGUUAGCGCACGCAACAGUGGCGCUUUAGGACGACUAAUCUAAAAAAUAUGUCGAUUGUAUGGAGAGGUAUUGUAGAAAAUUCUAAAGACGCUAAUUGUAAUACCCCUAACCCUUAUCCAUCACCAGAAUAGGGUUAUAAAGCUUUACCAGACUUUUCAAAAUCAAACACGAUCAUUUCAUAACAUUUAGUAUACAUAUUAAAAACUAUUCAUAUAAUACUCAUAUUGUCCCUUAUAUAGGCCCUCAAGGCCCAAAAUACACUUUAGAAGUGAGUCGGGAUUAAACCGGACACUCUAGAAAUUUUUCGCGAAAUGUCAAAAUUUUCCUUAGAAAUAAGGAACACACGCCCGUGUGGCCAAGCCGUGUGGCUCACAUGGCCUGAAGACAUGCCCAUGUCCUAAGCCGUGUGGGCAUUCAAUGUGAGGCACACGGCCGAGUCCCAGCCCGUAUCCUUACCCGUGUAAUUCUCUGACUUGUGUCACAUGGCCAACCACACGCCCUUGUGCUAGGCUGUGUGCAAAGUACAGGGGUCACAUGUCUGUGUGCUAGGUCGUGUGUAAAAACCUAGGCAUUCUGUUUUGAAAUUUCAAGGUGCAGGGGACACACGGCCAGAUCACAUGCCCAUGUGCCAAGCCGUGUGUCACACACGGCUGAGACACACGCCCGUGUCUCUGCCCGUUUGGACGAAAAUAGGCCAUUUUAAGGCCACUUUUCUCACCUUUUUUGACAUCAACCUAUAGACAGCAAUUCAAUAUACCAAAUAUCCCUAAUCAAGCAAUAAACACAAGCCAAAAAUCAUGUUUUAAGCAUAAUAAGCUAUCACGAAAUUCAAUUGUCUAAAUUUGCCAAACUAACUUCAUUCAUUGAUUUACCAAAACCUACUCCUAGCUAUAUACAUACAAACACACGCAUAUAUAUAUAAUUGUCAUUCAUAAUUAUACUCCAAGUAUAGCCUUUUUCAAUCCAUCCCUAUACAUGCCGUAUAAACCAUAAAAUGUACAACAAAAUCUACCGGAGUAAUCUAGAUAGUGUGACCCGAUGUGUUGAUUCGAACUUCUUGAAAAUCUACAAAGAACAUUAAACAACACAAGUAAUCUUAAUGAAGCUUAGUAAGUUCGUUGGCUUAAUACAUAAAUCUUACCGAACAUACCAUGACAAUUCAUUUAAGUAAAUCGUUCAUUACACAUUUCCUGCCAACUACAACUUUAAUCGAUGAAUUCGCUUCUUUGAGCUCAAUAUCAAUAAUAACCUAAAUUCUUCCACAUUAAUUCCAUAUAGCACUUGCCACUUCUUGUCAAUCAAAGAACGAUUUACGGAUUUGAGUACAUCGUAAACAAAAGCCCAAAGGUUGCACGAAAGAACAUAAGUGCUAAACUGAAACCUAUAAGGGUUGAACGAAAGCUCAUAAGAGCUAAAUGGAAACCCAUGAGGGUUAAACUGAAGCUCAAAAGAGCUGAACUAAAACUCAAAAGGGUUAUACUAAAGCUCAAAGAGCUAAACGGAAACCCAUUAAGGUUAAACGGUAACUUGUAUAAGUUAACUAAAGCUCAUGAGAGCUAAACGGAAAGUACACACGAAAUUUUGCAACAAAUGCUGAACCUUGAUUUACUUGGGUAAUUUACCGUCAAUUCCUCAUUUACACAGAACGACCUUACUCAAUCCGGCAUUCUGUUUGCUUCAAACAUUCAAUUCAAUUUCAUAACUUUAACAAUAAUAUUAUUUUCAACAAAUGACAUGAAUAAAUACAUAAUGUCAUUCAUCAAUUUAACAGUUAACAUUUAAAUUUAACCAUACGAACUUACUUGGGCUAAAUUGUAGAAUUCGUAGUAAUUCGGGGACUACUCAGCUAAUUUAUCUUUUUCACGAUUUUCUUCAGGCUCUUGAUCUAUAAUAUAAAAUUGUUCAUUUCUCAGUAUCUAAAUCAAUUCUAAUUCAUUUCAGAACUUAUGCCCUUUAAUUUUUGAAAUUACACAUUUGCCCCAACUUUUACAUUUUUUACAAUCUAGUCCCUCAUCAAUUUACCCAUCAAUUAAGCUAAUUUUUCUCAAUUAACACUUUAUCUAAUUAUUUUAAGUUACCAUAUACCCUUGAUAUUUAGAAUUUUAACACCAAACCCUAAUUCUUAACCUUUUUACAAUUUGGUCCUAAUAUCAAUAUCUAUCAAAAUUACUUAUUAAAAUCAUUAUAUAACAAAAUUAAAGCUUAAAUUCCAUGAUAAUUCAUCAUAAAAAUCCAUCAAUCAUCAAUGGUAACUUUUGAAAUUACCCAUAGAAUCAAAAACUAAUGAAAUAAGUAGUCGGACCUAAUUGUAAAAGUCUCAAAAACACAAAAAUUUCAAGAAAAGAGCAAGAAUUAAACUUACAUGAAGAUAAAAUAUGAAAACCAGCCUUGAGAGCUUUUCAAUGGUGUUUUUGGCUAAAGAAAAGUGAAGAAAUGUCUAGAGAUUCAAUUUAGUCCAAUUUUAACUAUUUAAUUUUAUUUCUUUUCCAAUUUUGCCCCUUGUUCACACUUAUCCUUUGAUUUUUUUCUGCUUGUACCGUCCAAGCCUUUCACUUUGGGCUAAUUUUCCCUUUUAGUCCUCCCUUAUUAAACACUUAAGUUAUUUAAUCAUUUUAGCAAAUUUUGCACAUUUUUCAAUUUAGUUCUUUUUAAUUAAUUAACCAUCAAAACGUUAAAAUUUUCUAACAAACUUUUGAUAGUAACUCAAUGACACUCCGUAAAUAUUUCUAAAAUUAUUUACAGCUCAGUUUAUAAAUUUUAGGCCUCGAUACCUCGUUUUCAAAACCACUUUUCUUAAAAUUCUUCUAAAACACAAACCACCAAAUCAAAAAUCUUUCUAAAAUCACACUUGACUCGUAAAUAAUAAUUAAUAAAAUUUUCAAACUCACUCGUCAGAUUUAGUGAUCUCGAAUCACUAUUUUUGACACCACUAAAAGUUGGACUGUUACACUAAUGUUUCUAAAUGGGUGGGGAACAAAGCUUUUAGAUGGAUGGUUGGGAAUGGAAGGAUGGCGAUGUUUUGAGAGGAUAUUUGGUGUUGUAAUCAACCACAAAAAAAAAAGAAUUUCCUAGAGUUUUUCGCUUAGCAAGAAAAAAGAAAGGUAUGGUAACAGAUUACUCGAGCAACAAUGGUUUCAGCAAUAUGAAUUACGGUGAAUUCUAACGAAGCUUUUAGAUGGAUGGUUGGGAAUGGAAGGAUGCGAUGUUUUGAGAGGAUAUUUGGUGUUGUAAUCAACCACAAAAAAAAAAGAAUUUCCUAGAGUGUUCCGCUUAGCAAGAAAAAAGAAAGGUAUGGUAACAGAUUACUCGAGCAACAAUGGUUUUAGCAAUGUGAAUUAUGGUUAAUUCUUUACACGAACAUUAUUGGAUAGAGAGGUUGUGAUGCUUCGUAGAUUGGAGGAUAUGGUGAAAAGCAUGGAGUUAGUUCUAGAGGUGAAGGAUCAGCUAAAUUGGGUGCAUGAUAGUAAUGGGGAGUUCACGGUAAAGAAGUUAUCUAACUUAUUAAUUAAGGUUGGAGGGGAAGACAUAAGUUUUGCUUUUGAAAAAAAUUGGAAGUUAAAGGUACCACCGAGAGUGCGAAGUUUUCUAUGGAUGCUUGCUAUUGAUAGAUUCCUACAAAUGAAUUUCUUGUUAAAAGAGGGGUAUAGCUUCAACACAUUUCAAUCAAAUGUGCAUAGUAUGAAAGAGUACCAGAGAGAGCAGAUAAUCUAUUCUUCAAAUGCAAAUAUAUUGAAGGGUUUUCGUAUAAAUUUUUCAAAUGGUGGGAGGUUGAAUGGAAAUCGGUAGAACGAUUUGCUAAUUUUAUUCUUUGUGUUAUAAUGUGAAAUUGUUAGGAAUCCGAAGAAUGUUAUGGUUGCUAUCAAUUUCGGCAGCUUGCUGGUCAGUGUGGACAGAAAGAAAUGAAAUUGUCUUCGAAAGAAAGGUGAUGACUAUGGAAGCUUUGAUAUUUCAAUCCAAGAUGAGGGCAAUGUUGUGGAUAAGGGUUGUAUAUGAUGAGUUAAUGGUGCAGGAGAGCUCUUGGUGGAUUUGUCCGAACAAGUGCAACUUUAAUACAAUUAAACCAGAUCCUCUUCGUCGAUAUGGCGCCUUCCUCCACAAGGCUAUCUGAAUUUCAAUGUAUGCGGGAUAGUAAAUGAGAAAGUUGCAGGUUGUGGUGGAGUACUAAGAGAUAUGGAGGGUGUUGCAAGAGCUUUAUUUUCGGGUCCUAUUGCAGCUAAUGACGCAGAUUCAGUAGAGGUAGAGGCAGUGUUUAUAGCAUUGGAUUUGUUGUUAUCCAUGGGAUGGAAGAUUAAUAGCUCUCUUAUUGUAGAAAUUAGUUCAAAAAUGGUGUACAAUUGGUGUCUGAACAAGAAUAUGAGACUGUGGUCGUUACAAACAACAUUUUCAGAUAUUGAAAGGAAAAUUGAGCAGGUUGGUAGUGUAGUAUUCUUGAUGGCAGAUCAAAAGGUAAUGAAAUGGCUUCAACCUUGGCGAUAGUAGGUAUUAAUCGUGGUGACAUGUUUAAAGCUUGUUAGUGAGUAUUAGCUUUGAUUUCGAAUAAUAGUUUUCAAUUGUAGGAAAUGUUUCAUUGUGGUAUUUUGUAAGUUGUACCUUUGAAUGUUGUUCUUGUUGUAUUUACAAUAGAUUAGUUUGAAUGAAGCAAAAAAAAAGUUGGUGGGUACCGUGUGCCCCCUCUCUUCACGCCUUACUAUAUAAUAAUAAUAAUAAUAAUAAUAAUAAUAAUAAUAAUAAUAAUAAUAAUAGACAAGCUUAAGAAUAUAAAAAGCCUUUACUCAUUGCCUAAGAUAAAAUUUAAUCCUCAUUAAUAUCUUAAAGAGAAAUCUUUCUAAAUAAUAAUAAUAAAAUAAUCCUAAAUUUUAAAUGUCUUGUAUGUCAACUUCUCAAUCCAACGAUAAAUUUACUUUUUUAUAUUGUACUCUAACACUUCGAACAUGCGCUAUAUUUAUAUAGAAAAUAGUCAAUAAAAUACCAAAGUAGUAACAUCCAUGUCCAAAAUUAAUCAGAAUAAAUCAUUAAAAAAAUGUCUAUUAAGAACAUUAUCAAAUCCCCCCUUAAUCAAUACUUGCCCUUAAACAUUUUAUGCAUUCAUCAUCUAAACAUAUCACAAUCAUCAAAGCCAAUUCAAUUUUCACAGUCCUUAGUUCAAUAAAAAAAAUAAGCACUAUCAAAAUUUUAACCCUACAACCGUCUCGCUCAAGCAAGCACAUAGAUUAACAAUUUAUGAUAAGUGCUAAAAGUAACAUAUUUUAACCUCGUUCUAUAACAUCUCAAAAUUGGGGGUUAGAAGUUUUGAGGUUUGUAGUGAGGGUCAGCGAGUAGGUCGAACAAUUGGUUUUAUUUUCGCUUUUUAAUAUCAAAAUGAGCUUGUUGGUUUGAUGGUAGAGUAUGUUACUAGUUUCCCUUGGACGAGUGUUUGAAUCCCAAUGUGAGAAUAAAGGAAGUUUUGUUUUAAUUUUAUUUAUAUUUUUUAUUUGAAAAAAAUAGAAGAAAAUCCUAAAAAUUUCUCACGUUCUCCACUUUCUCUUUCACAUCAGUCUCCCUCUUUCGGUAAAGAAAAAUUAUAGAUUCUGAUUUUCUUUCUUUUCUUUAUUGGGUUUCAAUACUUUUGUAAACCGCUGCCUUAAAAUCCUGGUGGUGCUUUUGUUCUUCGUUUGAUCAGACGUCGAAUAGGUUUAUUCGGUUAAUACUUGGUAAUUUGAUAUAAAUUUUAGGUCGAAAUUGUUUAUAGCUUUAGUAUGUUUGCAGAACUGAGUUUCAGGUCGUUAGAGUAAAGGCGAAGUGGUCGGUUCUUGGUGCUCUGGAACAUCAAUCAGGUGUGUGUUCUGAAAAUGUUUAAUUUUGGUAUCGAAUUGCUAUUGGAUUCUAUGGAAUUCAGCAGUUUCUAGUGUGUUUAUGAAAUUGUGUGAAUUCGGUAACGAAUUGUUGUUGGAUUUUAGGGAAAUAUGCAAAAUUCUGAUGUGUCUUGAAUGGUUAGCGAUUUGGGGUUUGUUUUGCUGUUGUGAAAUUGCAAUUUUAGCUUGUUUCGGUGUGGUUUCUUUACCACAUGGGCGUGUGCCGCACACGAGUAGUCCACACGGUCGUGUGACAUUGGAAAUUUGGGAUUUUGGACUUUUUUUAGUGCCACACGGUCGUGUGGCAGCUAUUUAGGGAUUUUUGUGUGCCUUGGACACACGGUCGUGUCCCUUAGCCAUACGGGCAUGUGAGAUUCCCACACAGCCCUGUUUACUUUGCUCCUUAUUUUGACAUUUUUGGACAGUGAGUGACAUUAAUUAUUCACACGACCAUGUAACUCGGUCGCACGGGUAUGUGUCUCCUCCACACGAGAGUGUACAGCUUGCACACGGGCGUGUAGACCACCACACGACCUAGUAGACCUCCACACAACCUAGGCACUACCACACAGCCGUAUGGCCCUGUUUUGCAAAUUUUUGUUCAGUGUUGAAAUUUUGCUCGUUUUGUGUUUCUGUAUAUUUCAACCCUUGGUUAAGUCUUGGUAACUGUAUUUGGGACUCCGCUGCAAUAUGGAUUUAAGUGUGUAUGUAUGUGUUCAGUUUAGGUAAUCAGGAAAUGUAUUAAUGGAUUAUGAUGAAUGAGCUUGAAUUGCUUACUUGUUGUCGUAAUUCUGAAAUAUGUACAAACGCUAUUGAUUUUGAAAUUGUUCGGCUGAAUGUGAGUGACGGUCUCUGUGAGUCUAUUAGCGUAUGUUGUGCAUUCAUGCAUUUGCAUAAAAUCGAGGUUUUUAGUUGCGAAGAGAAGGAAGGCUGAUUGGGUAGUUCAACUGCAAUAUUUUUGUACAGCAGUUUACCGUAAUGAUUUAUACAUUUGUCAGCUAAGCUACAUAUUGUUAUUCGAGUGGCUUAGUUCCACAAUAUGUGGUGUGUAGGGUAGAUGGGCCUAUCAUGGUCCUAUGUCGUGUGCAGGGUGGACGGGCUUGAUAUAGCUCAUAGGUGGUGUGCAGGGUGGUCGAAGUGGUCUUCAGAUGGUUGGGGUGGGUUUUUGACUCGUUACAUUCGCUACGCAUCUAAAUAUAUGUUUGUUUAUGUGAGCAUUGAGGUGUUGGAGAUAUGACCAUUAUAACUUGAUGUGUUUUAUCUAAUAUGUGGUUUGGUAUGCUUUAAAAGCACCAUGUUAUUGAAUUACCCAUUGAGAUUUCCAUUUAUGAUUUGUGCUCAUAUACUGUUUUGGAAUACUCGAUGUGUUACUCCGUUUUGUUGAUUGCUUUUGAUUUCAGACUCACAUUGAGCUCAAGUAGCUCACCUCACCUUAGUGUUUCAUUCUUCGAGGUACUUUUCGUGUUCGAAAGCUGGACUCGGCAUGCCGGAGGUUUCAGACUAUCGAGUAAAUUGAUUUUGGUUCAAAUGAUGCUACUUAAAAAUUCAGUUGUUAUUUUCAAAUGGUUCGUAGGAAAGAUUAUAAAAAAUGUGGUAUGAGUUAAGUCUGGAUUUUCGAUCAACUAGUUGUUACGGUUUUAAACAAUUUAUAUGUUCCGUUAUAUCAAGGUUUCGAAAUUUUGGUUUGUGAAUGACAAAUUUAUGCUUUCAGAACUGUCAAAUGAUUCCAUAAGAAUUACUUCCGACUUGCGUCGAAUGCCAUUUAAAUGAUUCCAUAUGAAUUACUUCCGACUUGCGUCGAAUGCCAUUUAAACUUUGUUUCAAAAUUUAAUUAAGUGUUAUCUAACUUUCUAAAAUUACAUGCUUGUGACAGAGUUUUUAUCUCAACCACUUUAGGUGGUCAAUGUGACCUCCGAGAUUCGGUCUAAACUUUUAGGUCGGGUUUUAGGGUGUUACACAUUCUUAGUGUGUUUUUGGGUGAUUAUUCAAUGUUAAUGGUGAAUUUUAUGCUUCUAAUCCUUCAAAUUCUUAUUUUUAUGCUUAAAAGGGCAUUUGGGAGUAAAACAAGCAAAAAUUGGAGUAAGGUACAAGAGACACACGGGUUGACCCCUUCCACACUUCCUGAUAUUUAAAAUAAUCUAGAAAUAUAACCGAUUUUGAAAUAAAAUUUAAACAGAUUCUGAAAAAAAUUUUAACAGAUUCCCUAAAAAUCGUGGUUUUUCGCAUUUCAAAGUGCAAUUCUGCAAAAUUGACAUGACCUGCCACAUUGAAGCUGAUUUUGAAGUAGAUUUCUGUCAAGAUUGAAGACUCCCAGUUGAUUUCUUUGGAGAUUAUCAUUUCUUUAUUUCUUUCGGUUAUAUUAUAUCUUUGAUGUUUUUAUUUUCAAGCAUGAACUAAUUUUCUAAAUACAUAGGGAGAUGAACCCUAGGAUGGAUUCUGUCGUUUGAUUUUUAUUUUGCUCAAUAAAUACUUAGAUCUUAAUUCUUGAUAUAAUAUUUCUAGAUUAUUUAUCCAUGUUUGGUGUGCUUAAAUCAGAGGAGGAAUAGACCCUGUUUAAGAGUAGAUCUUGCGUAAUUGAGUGGAUUUGCAUGCAAUCCUAGACAUAAGACAACAUAAAUCUAUCGAAUUAGAGUCAAAUCUAAUAAGGGAAUUCAUAGCACAAGUUAAUGCGAUAAUAGGGGUUUUAAUUAGAAAGAAAUUUCAAUUAAUCAAUCUUGAGUUAGUUGCUCUUAUUCUCGAAAGAAAUAUUUGUAUAAUCUAGGGAUUUUUACAAAUCAAGUUGCUAAGUAAAGAAAUUGCGUAACUUAGAUUGAUAACGACAGAUGAAACCUAGAUGAGUAUUGUUUCGCUUCUUGGUUGUUAAUCGCUUAUUUUUCUGAUAUAUUUUUUGUCACAUUCUUUAGUUAGUUAAUUUAGUUAAUUUUAAUUUUAAUCAAUCACUCAAAUUUAUCGGUUAAAUAAUAAAAAGACAGUAUUUACUAGUACUUUUAGUCUUCGUGGAAACGAUAUCUUUAUUCACCGUAACUAUAUUGUUAAUUGAUACGUACACUUACCUUAGUCAAAUUUUUAGUUGUUCACGACACAUCAAUUCAAUUAAGCAUACAAUUAUUAAAUUAUCUCAUAAUUAAGCUGCACAACAUUAACUUACGUUAAAUUGUCAAGACACCAAAAUUAACAACCAUUUGUCCCAUAUUUUUGUGUUCAUUUUUUUUUCUUUUAAAAGUUUAUCUAGAGUGUCACGAGAUCUUUUUCCAUGAAAAAGGAUGACAAUCCAAACACUCCACUCCGAUUAAUCAAUUCACCACAUGUUGACUAACUUUAGUCAAAAUUGUUAAGAUCAAUAGAAUAGCUGAAUAGCUUAGAAUGUCACUAAAUCUUUUGACGUGAAGACAAAUGACAACCUAAGCACUUGACUCAAGUUACUCAAUCGAUCACAAUUCUAAGACUUUACUCAUAAUUUAGGCAAUUAAUGAGUAUUUAUUAAAUUAUUUUAUUGAUUAUUUUUUUCAAUUUUUUUUUGUUCGAAUGCAAGAUGAAACAUGUUUUAAGAGUAUUAAUCUCGUUAAAAAUUGCGUGAGCCUAAUUUUUUUUUUUUUGGUGAGUGCUUCAGCUAAGUAAUUAAUAAUUAUUAUUAUUUACUUUAAAAUAAAAUAAAAUUCAUGUAAAAGAGUAGCAUAUAUAGGCAGAGUAUUUAAACAUGCUUAAUAGAAAAUAUUCUAUCAAUUUUUGAAUCGCUUAAACAAUAAAAUGAUAUCUAAAUUAUAUUAAUUUUUUAAAAUUGGUAUUUAAAUUUUUCUUAAGUCAAAAUGGUACCUAAACAAUUAAUCUAUUAUCUAUUUAAUUCAGCCAAUCAAUUGCCACGUAAAUAUCUAUUUAUUUUUUUCAAAAUAUUACUAAAAUUUGAUAAAUAAAAUUAAAAAUAGUUAAAAAUAAAACAUCAUAAAUUUAAUAAAAUUUAAACCUUACGAAAAAAACAUUUUACUGAUUGAAAAAACAUCAUAAAUUAAUGCUACCAACAACUCCUAGAAAGAGUAUCCACUAAUAACAAUAAACUUACAUGAGUGAGGGAUUUAUUGAAACAAUCAGCAACCAAUUUUGACACUUUUUACCAAUUAUUUUAUAUAUUUAUUUUUUAUUAUUAUUAAAAAAAUUAAUUUAACUCUUUAAAAAUUACAAAGAUAUAGACUAUUAAAAUGAUGAAAUUAUUUAUUAUUAUUAUAAAAAUAUACAAUUUAAUUUCGACCUCCCAAUAAAUAUUUCAAAAUCCGCCACACGAAUGAUCCAAAUAAAAAGACGACAGUCAAUACAAUUAAAUUUAAAUUCUCACUUAAAUCCAAAUUCAAAGUAAAACAAAUGUGACAGAAUGAAUCAAAUAGUGGGAGAAUGUUUUUCAAGAAGUAGAAAUGCAAAAAUAGCUUCAAAAUCUACUCUUACUAAAAAAAAAGAAAAAUAAGAAAGAAUUUAUUAUCUUUUAUACUAUUAAUCUCUCACAUAUACGGCCAAGCUACUCUGAACGUACAACGCACCCAUUUGCGUCAUUGCAAACGCAAUUUUGGUCCUUAUGCUAUAAUAAAGGGGGAAAUGAUUCUGGUUUAGACAAGAAAAAUGAAUGCGUUGAUGAAGCUUCUAAUUCUUGCUCCAUGUUGUUUCUUCUUCAUAGCUUUAAUAAAGUUACUUUAUGAUUACCUAUGGAUACCUCUCCGUAUUCAGCAUAUGCUGAAUUCACAGGGGAUCAAAGGACCUCCUUACAGAUUCAUCCAUGGCAACAACAUGGAAGUUACCAAAAUGAAACAAAAUGCUUUAAGCAAAUCUGUGGCCUUGACAGAUGAUCUAUUUCCCAAAGUACAUCCACAUAUUUACACCUGAACCAACAGAUAUGGUAAGAUCCAUGCUUGUUUUUUUCACUAUGAUUUAUAACUUGUAGUUCUAAGAAAAGGUAGACCCUUUUUCUUUUCAUGUUAUUAGGGAAGAAUUUUGUUUAUUGGAACGGUGCUCGAGCUGAAUUGGUGAUUUCAGAGCCUGAAUUAAUCAAAGAGGUUCUGGAAAAUAGUGAACAAAUUUUUCAGAAAAAGAAACCUUCAGAUAUUGGUGGGAAGUUCUUGGGGAAUGGUCUUCUAUUCAUUGAGGGGGAAAAAUAGCCAAAGCAUCGAAAGCUGGCCAAUCACACUUUCCAUGGGGAAAGCCUAAAGGUAAGUCUUCCAAAUAUAUAAACCAGGUGCAAUUAAUUUACAAGAAUUAUACAUAGACCACAAUAUUUUGGUAAAAUUUUGUAUUGUUAGCUAAGGAUAAGUUUAUUAUGGACGUUGAAAAAGUGUAGUAAAAACAUACUUUCGAAGAUUUUAACACCAUUUACUACUUAGGAGGUCAAUUUUAAACUUGAUGCUGUAAAAUAAAAGAUUGAAUCAGAGAUUUAAAAAAAGUAAUUUCAUUAAAAAGCACUCUUUUAGCUUUUAGACUUGGAUUAAAAUCUAGUUUGAAAUAAGAUUUAGUUUGAAAAGGUGUUUAUUUGUCAAAUUUUUUAAUUUAAAAUCAUGAUUUUGUGUUAAAAAGUGUUUUUCAGACUCCAAUUAUAUAUGUCACUAUUACUUACAUGUUGGAGGAUUCUUUGGGCAGAACAUGACUCCAGCAAUAAUUGCUAGUGUUGAAACAAUGCUAGAAAAGUGGAAAGGCCAAGAAGGCAAGGAGAUUGAAGUGUACCAAGAAUUUAGGUUAUUAACUUCAGAAGUGAUUUCCAGAACAACAUUUGGUAGCAAUUACAUGGAAGGGGAGAAGAUAUUUGCCAUCUUGAGCAAGUUGGCAGUAAUUAUGAGUCGAAAUGUUUCCACGACUAGAAUUCCUUUGAUCAGGUAUCUUCCCUCUAAGCUUAAUUAAUCCCAACUUUUACCUUGAUUUCAUGUAGCCUUUGAAUGCAACUUUUAGACUUUCAUUCCCCGUGGAUUUGGUUUUCUCAUAUAUAGCUGACCCUGGUUUGCUUUUGCAGCAAGUUGUGGAAAUCUGCUGAUUUGCUAGAGUCUGAAAAACUUUCAAAAGAAAUGAAAGAUCGUGUGAUGAAGAUUGUUAAGAAAAGAGAAGACAAAGUUGUGAAUGGAGAAGUCAAUAGCUUCCGCAGUGAUUUUCUUGGAUUACUUCUAAAUGCCUAUUAUGAUUCGGAUGCGAAAAACAGGCUUUCAUUGGAAGACGUGGUAGCUGAAUGCAAAACACUCUAUUUUGCUGGACAAGAAACUGUUAAUUCCUUACUUGCAUGGAUAGUCUUGCAUUUGGCAAUCCUUGGAGAUUGGCAAGAAAAAGCGAGAAGAGAGUUGGUUGACAUAUUUGGUAACCAAAAUCCACAUCUCGAAGGCAUCGCCAAACUCAAAAUAGUAAGAAAACUAUAAAACUGGGAAUUCAAAUAGCCAUCGACAUGAUGUAAUCUGACAUAUUAUUCUAUUUUCCAAACAGAUGACCAUGAUCAUCAAUGAAGCUCUAAGAUUGUAUGGUCCAACAAAUGUCCUCCAAAGAACAGGUACAAGAGAAAUUCAGUUGGGAAAGCUAAUCUUGCCUGCUAAUAUAGAUAUUCUGCCUUUAAGUAUUGGACUUCACCGGGACCCUCACUUUUGGGGAAAUGAUGUGCAUCAUUUUAAACCUGAGAGAUUCGCUGAAGGGAUUGCCAAAGCUACCAAUUACACCGCGGCUGCCUUUUUCCCCUUCGGAUUAGGACCUCGAUCUUGUGUUGGUAUGACAUUUGCAAUGAUAGAAACCAAGAUUGCUCUCUCCAUGAUUCUACAACGCUACACCAUUACCCUUUCCCCUGCCUAUGUCCACUCUCCAGUACUUAUUCUUACCCUUCAACCCCAAAAUGGAAUUCAAGUAAUACUUGAGCCGAUACAUAGUAAUGCUUGAAGUACAUAGCCGUUAAGAACUAGAGGUUUAACAUGGUUCGUGAAUUCUACUUUUAAGAGAUGAUAUUUAAUAUGUUUAAAGGUUCUAGCAUUUAUCACAAAGACAAACGACUCGUGGUCAUGUUUACUUUUCAUCUAUCAUGCAAUGUCGAUGAGAAGAUACCAUUUACCAAUUAGUUGGGUUAUGAAUUCUACUAUUUUGAAUGAUGUUACAUACUAUAGAAGUUGUGUAUCCAGUGCACCAACUUUUAAUGGUUCUUUAUCUUAGCCUUUUACUUGCAUCAAAGUAUACGAGCCAUGCAUGCAUAGUCCAUCAUCCACUCAAGAUUAAGGUAUAUCACACUAUGAACAUCACAAGUAAAUAGAUCCAUAAAUGGAUUUAGAAUCGAUUCUCCUUGGGUCUUAUCUGAUGUACUGUCAGUCCAGUCAAUCACAUCUAUGUUUUUAUCUUUUAGGAGUCAUCUGUUCCAUUUGAGACAAAGCUUCUCCACAAUUGGGCUUGAUAGACGACAUAUUAGUUUCUCAAUCGAUUUGCUCAUUUUCAAUUAGACUAAGGACAUAUUUAGGUUUAUCUACUAAUACAAGCUAUCUUUUCAUAUCACGAUCUGACCACGUGAUACCGCUUAGUAUUAAUUUAAACAUUAGAUAACCAAUGAGUCAACAUUUGCUUCCAUUUUGCUUUGCAUGCAAAAACAUUGAGGACAAUAUCCAAAGGGUAUUACUUUAAUUAAUAGAUAUUAUUAAACCAAUUUGUUUGAAAAAUACAAUUAUAUAAAACGAACAUAGUACACUUAGUGUACCAGAUCCAACAGUGGCCACUACAGCUAGCAUUGCCAUUAUAAGCAACAUAACUUGACAUUUUUGGAGUUGAAAUCUUUUCAGCAAAAUCAGUUGGGCAACGACUUAGAUGAUUUUGUGGACAUGUGUUGGCUCAUAUUUGAAGAUCCAUUUUGUGGAAUCAAUCUUUGAAUAUUAAAUCAAUCUGAAUCAAGCAAAUUGGAUCACUUAUUUUGUGGAGAUUGGCUUGACUUAUUUGAAAAUUUAUUUUCGAAAUCUUUGAUUUAUUCUUGACUUUGAGGAUAUUUGUAAAGUUUUUUUUUACAAGGCUAUUUUUUGUGGGAUAUUGAUUCUAAUUGAUCUUUUAUCUUUGCAAACAUUAAAUUCUUAUAUAUUAGAGGCUUGUAUAAGUUAAAAAAAGAUAGAGUUUUUAUAGCACUUAUUUUUUUCAUUGAGGAACUUGUAUUUGAUAGUGCAUUAAGAGUGUAAAUUAAGUUUGUUGCUUGGUUUUACAACCAAAAUUCUCAAGGGAAUUUAGUGGUGAGUGAUUUAGAUCUUUAGAUACAAAAGUGAGGUUGCUAUACCGAGUUGUGAUAGGACUUCAAUAACUUGUUGUCUUGGGAUUAAAAAUAAUGAAUUUACUCACUAAGUUAGGUUUCAUAGACAUAGAAAAAUCGAUAUGCGUAAACAAUCAUUUGUGUUCCAUUUUUUGUUGUUGUGUUCAUCAUAGUGGCAUCAAAGGUUGCCACUACAGCCAUCACUUUGGUCAUCAAUUACGCACUUUAUUUUUUUAAGCAAUUAUCAACUUUAUGCUCCAAGAGAAUGCUUGUUUCUAGUACAAUUGAUCAAUUUUGUAGGAAGCAUAAUGACAAAAAAGAAAAUGGUUACAAUCAACCCCUUCUGUAACAACUCCAUUUGUAUCUUUGCAUGUUAUAAAAAGGUGGUUGUUAUAUACUAUAACAACAUGUUGUUAUAAAAAGAUAAUUAUUGUAAACCUAAAAUAGAAUUUAUAUCGUGAAUUACUAUCAAAUAAAGAAAUUGAGAAUUAUAUUAAAAAAAGGAAAGUAGAAAUCAAAUCAACAAAAUUAAAAGAUGUAUAAUAGGUGCAUGCAUUAUUACCUUUAUAUUUUAUUUUACAUUUUUCACAUGAUUAAUUAUAAAAUUCAUCAAUCUAACAAAUAAUUAAUCGAUAUGAGUUUAAAUUAAAUUAAAUUAGUUAAUUUAUCAUGUGUUAUUAAAUACAAGUAAUUAAUUUAUAAGAUUAUGAUGUUCUAAAUUCAUAGUAAAUUAAUAUUUAAUUAGAGAACUUAAUAGUUUAUUGAAUUGAUAUCUUUAAUUCCACGAAGAUUUUUCAUGUCAAAUUUAAACAUUUUAUUAAAAUAAUAUUUUAGUUAAGAUCAUUUUUAUUUAAUAAAUUAGAAUUCAUAUAAGCAAUAUAAUUAAUCAUAAUAAAUUAUAAUUAAUAGGCUUGUAUAUCGGUCCAGUGUAAUUAAUAGACUUGCUUAAAUGAGUUUUAAAAUAUAUUUUUAAAUUUAAAAUUUUAUUUCUUGAAUAAUGAAUUGUUACCUGCUUAAUUUAUGAAAUAUCUUUAUUGACUUAUUUGAUUGCAUUGGUGAAACAAUUAUUUUAGUAUUUUUAAAUUUUAUGUAUAUAAAAUUUUUAAAAAAAUAAUAAUAAAUCUAAAAUGACACAUCGAAACAGCUGAAUAUUGGCACAUGCGAAUACCAAUAAAAAAAUCAACAUCCACCAAUUUACCCGUUACUUUUUGGUAUUAGGUAGUGGGAGAUUUGGUUUUUGCUUUUGUUUUUGAGAUGUUGAUAUGUUUCACAUCAUCCAUAAGAUGGGCUCUACCUCACCUUUUGUUUGUCUGUUUCCCAUGCUUUCCAUACAAAUCACUAAAAGAAUGGGCUAAAAUGUCAAAUAAACUCUUCAAAAAUAAUUUUUAAAAAACUUAAUUAAGUCUCUUAUAAUAAAGUGCACCAAAUUGAGCUUUUUUAAAUCACAAUUUGCACUUAAUUAAUCCCCUUGAAUUCAUUUUCCCAUUGAAUCCCUUUACGUUCAGUUAACUGCUGACGGGGCAGGUGAUGUGGAAAAAUGAUGGUGUGUUAAUUAGUUUAUAUGGCAAGCUAACAUGGAGGGCUUAAAUGAUUUUUUAUUAUUUUACAAGGGUUUAAUUAAUUAUUUAAAUAAAAAUUAUUAAAAUUUUAAAAAAUCUAAUUUUAAAAUAUAAAUUAUAAAAAUCAUAAAAAAUAUUUUAAAAAUAUUAAAAAUGAUAGAAAAUUUUUAAAUGUUAUAAAUAGUUUAUAAAAACACAGGAAAUUUAUUAAAACAUCGUUAAAUAUAAAUACAUUAUCAUAAAAAUAGCAUAAAAUUUUAGAAAUUAUUAAAAAAUACAAAGAAAUACGAGUAAGUUAGAGAAAAUUAUUAAAAAUACAAAAAAUAUUAAAAAUUAGUAGUAACUUUUAUAAAAAUUAUUAAAUAGAUUUUUUUAUUGGUUUGGAGUGUUUGGCAUUUUCAAUUUUAUUUUUUUGGACAUUAGAGUCUUUGGUUUUAGUAAUAAGGAAAUGGGGAGAUUGAAGUGCGAUGAUCAAACUUGUGAGGGGUUUGAGUGACCAUGGGUUUAGUACUUGAUGGCUUAAAGUGAGCGAUCAAUAGAGGUGUUCAUGGACCGAUCCUGUUCAAAAAAUAAAAAAAAUGUUAAAGAAAGCUUUUCUAAAUAUUUUAUAUAUCUUAUAAUUAAGUUAAAAAUAUAUUUUUAUUAUUUUUAAAAUGGCGAAACGAAUCAUUUUGGCGAGCUAGGUCUAGUUGGGCUCAAGCCUAGAAAGUUUUAUGAAAUUAGGCUUAAGCUCCACCCAACUCAUGAAUACCUCUAGUGAUAUAUAAUGAUGUUGUAUUUGAGGAAAGAUGAUGCGAGGGACAUUAAUAAGGAAGGGUUGAUAUAUGAUGUAUGACAAUGCGUGAGAGAAAACAAAAAUGUGUAAUAAUUUUAAAUUUUUUAUAACUUUUUCUUUAAUUUUUAUAUUUCUUUAUAGUAUUUGAAUAGUUUUAAUAAAUUUUAUAUAUUUUUUCUAAAAAAAUUUAUAACAUUUUAUAUUUUUCUAUAUUUUAAUGUCUUAUAAUUGUUUAUAAAUUUAUAAUAAUUUUUAUGAAUUUUUAAUUUAUAUUUAAAAACUAGAUUUUUUUUUUAGAAUUUAAAAAUCGAAACAAUUGAAUAGGUGGAAUCGCUUCUUUAAAAAAUAUUUUUUUAUAUUUUUAUGAAAUUUUAAUUAUUUAUUUAAUCGUUGUUAGUUUAAGAGCCGAUUGAAUUAAGAAUCGAGAAUUUUAGACAUUGUGUCCUAACUUACGGGACGUGAUUCUUCUUCUGGAUUAACGUAGAAAUAUGCUUCUCUCUUUAAAGUUUAUUUUUCAAAAUUUUGAUAAAGGAUCGUAUUUUGAAUCUUUUUCAAGUUUUCAAUAUUCGACACUAAGACAUUAAUUAAUCAACUAGGUAUCAAUUUUGGGCGUUACGAGGGUGCUAAUCCUUCCUCGUGCGUAACCGACUCCCGAACUUAUUUUUCUAAAUUUCGUAGACCAAAACCGUUGUUUUAAUAAAAUCAAAUCGUUUAUUAAAAACAACUACUUUUCGAGGUGACCCGAUCACACCUCAUAAAAAAAAAGGAUUGGUGGGGACAUUUGUUUUCGUUUUCAAAAUCCAAGUCAAGCCCGUUUUAUCAAAAAAAUGGUUACUAGCUUUAGUCAAAAUUGUUAAGAUCAAUAGAAUAAGCGAAUAGCUUAGAAUGUCACUAAAUCUUUUGACGUGAAGACAAAUGACAACCUAAACACUUGACUCCAGUUACUCAGUCGAUCAGAAUUCUAAGACUUUACUCAUAAUUUAGCAAUUAGUGAGUAUUUAUUAAAUUAUUUUAUUGAUUAUUUUUCAAUUUUUUUCUUUUGUGAUCGAAUACAAGAUGAAACAUACUUUAAGAGUGUCAAUCUCGUUAAAGAUUGUGUGAGCCUAAUCGUUUUUUUUUUUUUUGUGAGUGCUUCAGCUAAGUAAUUAAUAAUUAUUAUUAUUUACUUUAAAAUAAUAAUAAAAUUCAUGUAAAAGAGUAGCAAUGGCAUAGUAUUGAAACAUGCUUAAUAGAAAAUAUUCUAUCAAUUUUUGAAUGGUUUAAACAAUAAAAUGAUAUCUAAAUUAUAUUAAUUUUUUAAAAUUGGUAUUUAAAUUUUUCUUUAGUCAAAAUGGUAUCUAAACAAUUAAUCUGUUAUCUAUUUAAUUCAGCCAAUCAUUUGCCACGUAAAAUAUUUAUUUAUUUUUUUCAAAAUAUUACUAAAAUUCGAUAAAUAAAAUUAAAAAUAGUUAAAAAUAAAACAUCAUAAAUUUAAUAAAAUUUAAACAUUAAGGGAAAACAUUUUACUGAUUGAAAAUACCCUUAAUCAGAUUUUACUAACAAUCCCUAUUUUUUUCAAACAAAUCACAAACUCUUUUAGUUCAAAAAAUUGCAAAUCAUCUUUUUACAACCUUCAUUAAUCCUUUGUGGAAUUGAUAGAAGGGUACGUUUGAAGAAUUAAUUUGUUUUUCUUGAAACCCUUGUUUGUCAAUUUCAUUGAUGAAACCUUUCUAAUUUCAUCAGUAUUUGAUUUUUAUUUUAGGUUAAUCGUAAAACUUUAAUUGAUUUGGGCAAACCGAAGGAGUUGUAAAAAGGUUGAAAGGUAUGAUUUAGGCUUAAGGGUUCUUUUAUAGUUAAUAUGUAGAAUCGAAUGUAUGUGACUUUUGGCAAGUUGUCGGUUCUUGAAAUUUUAUAUUGAGAAAGUAGAACACACCUUUUAAGGGGAAGUUCUUUGUUUGACUCGAGAUUAUUAGUCUGUUGACAAAAAGCCAAAAAAAUGUGCCAUUUGCUUUGAAGUUAUUUAUGAUUGUUUACGAUAAAUUGAGGGUUUUUAAUGGUGUUUAUAUAUGUAUUUUGUUAAGAUACAUAAUGAUACAACUAGAGUUUGUGAUAUGUUUUGAGAUGAUAGGCUUCUCGAUUAUGUGAUUUAUUGUCCUUAGCUAAUUCAAAUAUAGAUUAAUGAGGUUGGUUUAAUAUAUGUUGUAGGGAACAACGAAAAUGGGGAAAUAUUAAAUAUUACCCUAAAACAAAUUGAUAAUUAAUAUAGUUAAAUUAAAUCCAUUUUGUUUUGGCAAAUGAAAACCAUUGGUUUUUAAAGGUUUGAGAAUUGAGGAACCUUUGCAAAACAUAAUGCAAUAUCAUCACUAAAACACUGUUUAUAGGAGCUGAGUAUAAAUACUCUUUUCAUGUCUUUGUUGUUGGGUUUUUUAGGUCUUUUUGUGACAAUUAUCAGUCCUCUCAUUUCAAUAUUUAUGAUAAUAAUACCUGUAAAGCAUGUUGGUCAUGUCUUAUUUUUACUAUACUAAAAUUUGUACUAUUGUAGUACUUAUUAUUAAAGUUCUAGUCCCGUGACAAUUGGUAUUGGACUAAGAUUUGCAGCUUUCUGUUGAGAUGAGGAAAGGAGUAGAAGAGCAGAUUGAACCCAGAGAGACCCAUGGGAGGGGCAGGAACUAUUUAUAUAUUUUUGAGAUGUUGAUAUCUUCCAGAGCCUUUUAUGACCACACACGAUAAUGGGUAAGAUAGGGUCCUACCUGACUUUUGGUUUAUCUGUUUUGAAGGGGAAAAUGGUUCUGGUUUAGAGAAGAAAAAUGAAUGCGUUGAUGAAGCUUCUAAUUCUUGCUCCAUGUUGUUUCUUCUUCAUAGCUUUAAUAAAGUUACUUUAUGAUUACCUAUGGAUACCUCUCCGUAUUCAGCAUAUGCUGAAUUCACAGGGGAUCAAAGGACCUCCUUACAGAUUCAUCCAUGGCAACAACAACGAAGUUACCAAAAUGAAACAAAAUGCUUUAAGUAAAUCUGUGGGUUUGACUGAUGAUUUAUUUCCCAAAGUACAGCCACAUAUUUACACCUGGAUCAACAGAUAUGGUAAGAUCCAUGCUUGUUUUCUUCACUAAGAUUUACGACUUGUAGUUCUGAGAAAAGGUAGACCCUGUUGGUGCUGUAACUGAAACUAACAGACUCAGCACAGACUUGUCGAGCAAGUCUCGAGACUUGCUGAGCAAACAAGAGAAUUCGAGCAAAAGAAAGGAAGAAAAGCUAAGAAAAAAUGAAUAGGAAAAUUGAUGAACAAAACUGAACUAUAUUCAUAAAAUUGAAUAAUGGCAUAAUGCCAAUACAUAAAUCAAGCACUAAGCUUGUCAAAAACAGCAAGUAAUUACCUAAACAUCACCUACUCCCACUAAUUACAUGGAAACUUGAAAUUUUAGCUUGUAAACCUAUACAAAGUUGUGUUUACAGCUCAUACAUAAGCUAAUUACAUCAGUCAACAACCUAACUUAGUUAGAAAUGAACUAAGAUUACAUUUCAUUGACUAGAAAUUACAAAAUAAACAAAAUAAGCUUGCAUCAGCAGCUCCUGUAUGUCUUGGUCUUCAUGGCCUGCAUGCUGUCGAGUUUGUUGCAUGCUGAACCAACUUCAUCACUCCUCCUUGGUUUGCAUGGAGCAAACACCUAGCUUCUUUCUUAGACAUUCGAACCUUGUGACACUAAGGGCUUUGGUUAAAAUGUCUGCAAGUUGAUCCUCUGAAUUACAGUGGAUCAGCUUUACUUCCUGAGCUUGCUCCAUUUCUCGAACAACAUGCAGCUUGAUGCUGAAAUGCUUUGUUCUUCCGUAGAACACUGGAUUUUUAGCAAUUGCUACAGCAGAUUGGUUGUCACAGAAGAUCUCAGUAGCUUCCUCUUGAUGCAUAUUCAAGUCAGCUAAGAUUUUCCUUAGCCAUAUGGCUUGGUUGACAGCACUUGCUGCGGCCACAUACUCUGCUUCAGCAGUAGAUUGAGCCACUAGACUUUGCUUCUUCGAGCUCCAGCAAAACAUGGCUAAACUAAGAUUAAAAGCAUACCCUGAGGUGCUUUUCAUGUCAUCUAUCGAGCCAGCCCAGUCACUAUCAGUGUAGCCAACCAGCUUCAGAUUUCCUUCUUUGCUAUACUUCAAACCAUAGUUCAAAGUGCCUUUGACAUAUCUCAGCACUCUCUUUGCAGCUUGGAAAUGCUUCUCAUUGCAGCAAUGCAGGAAUCUUGAGAGCAAUCCUAUAGCAUACAUGAUGUCUGGUUUAGUGGCAGUCAAGUAUAGCAAACAACCAACUAGACUCCUGUAGGUUGUUUCACAUACCUUCUCAAAAACACCUUGGCUCGAUAGUUUUUCUCUAACAGCAACAGGUGUUUUAGUUGCCUUGUUGUUUUGCAUGGAAAACUUGGUCAGAAUCUUUGUGGCAAAGCUUCUCUGGCUUAGAAAUAUCUCAUUCUGUACUUGAGACACCUCCAUUCCAAGAAAAUAGGACAUCUCCCCAAGAUCAGACAUUUCAAACACUUCCUGCAUCUUGGUCUUGAAAUCAGCCAGCACUGCUCGAUCUCCUCCUGUCACCAGAAGGUCAUCAACAUACAGGGACACAAUGAGUUGUGUUUGUGUCCAUUGUUUCUUGACAUACAGUGUUGGCUCACUCUUGCUUCGAUCGAAUCCCAGAUCAGUCAAGUAGCCAUCGAUUCUGCUGUACCAGGCCCUUGGAGCCUGUUUUAAUCCAUAUAGGGCUUUCUUCAGUUUGUAGACCAUAUGCUCUUUGCCAGCUAUUUCAAACCCUUGUGGUUGUUCAACAUAGAUGUUUUCAUCUAGGAAACCAUUCAGAAAGGCUGAUUUUACAUCGAGCUGAUGGAUCUUCCACUCGAGCUGUACUGCUAAGCCAAUCAGUAGUCUGAUGGUGUCGAGCCUGGCCACUGGUGCAAAGGUCUCCAAGUAGUCCAGGCCAUAUCUCUGACUGAACCCCUUGACUACUAGCCUUGCUUUCAGCUUAUUCAAGGUACCAUCAGCAUUCUGUUUGGCUUUGUACACCCAUUUCACCCCAAUCACCUUCCUUUUGACUGGCCUUUCAACCAAUUCCCAGGUCUGGUUCUUCUCAAUCAUGUUGAUCUCCUCAGCCAUUGCCUGCUUCCACCCUUGCUGAGCCUCAGCCUCUUCAAAGUUGCUUGGUUCAGCUAUGGCUACAUGAGCCCUUUCAUAAAUCUCAGUCAAUGGCCUUGUUCCUCUGACUGGUUCAUCAUCAAUGUCCAUUUCUGGAACAUUUUGGUCUGGCUCAGCUUGGUCUGUUGCUAGUUCUUCAGAAACUUCUUCAGGUUCAUGUCUUUCCCAGUUCCAACAUGACCUUUCAUCAAAUACCACAUCCCUACUAACUGACACUUUGUUUGUUGAAGGAUCCAAGAUCCUAUAGCCCUUCUUAACAGUGCUGUAGCCCACCAGUACAGCAGGUUGAGCCCUUUCAGACAAUUUGUCCCUUUUAACAGCAGGUACAUGUGCAUAACAAAUGCAUCCAAAGACUUUCAGAUGAGCCAGUGAUGGCUUGAAGCCAAAUCAGGCCUCGAAUGGGGUCUUCUGAUCCAAGGCCUUUGUUGGUAGUCUAUUUUGAAUGUAUGUUGCAGUGUUAACUGCUUCUGCCCAUAGUAUUCUAGGCAAAUUCUUCUGAAUCAUUAAGCAUCUGGCCAUAUCCAUCAAACUCCUGUUCUUCCUUUCACUUACACUAUUCUGCUGAGGUGUAUAUGUGUUGGUAAGUUGAUGUUUGAUGCCUGCCUUAUCACAGAAGGCUUGGAACUGAGCUGAGGUGUACUCAGUCCCAUUAUCAGACCUUAUGGUCUUCAGCUUGCAGCCUAUUUCAGUCUCAGAAGCAGUCUUGAACUUCCAAAACACUGAGGCCACCUCUGAUUUUUGUUUUAAGAAGUAAAUCCAACAAUAUCUUGAAAAAUCAUCAAUGACCAGUAUAAAAUACCUAUUUCCACUUAAUGACUCAGUCUUCAUAGGGCCACACACAUCAGUAUGCACCAGUUGGAGUUUUUCAGAGGCUCUCCAGGCUUGAUUCGAGGGAAAUGGGAGUCUGGCCUGCUUUCCUAGCUGACAUACUCCACAUACAUCAUCAUGGUCCACUGAGUUGAUGAAGUUUUUAGCCAGGUCUUCUCUGACCAUUCGGGCCAUCGAUCUGAAGUUGGCAUGUCCCAGCCUUUGAUGCCACAACUUGGAUUCAUCUGAUGUGGCUGUGUAGGCAAUGUCUGACUUCUUUGUCCAGUCAACCACAAAGCUCUUAUCAGCCAUAGGGACUGCCAUCAGUUUGGAUCCACUUGGAUCACUGAUUUGGCACUGGUUGUCUUUGAACACAACAGAAUACCCUUUCUCCAGCAAUUGAGCUAUGCUAAGCAGGUUUCUGUCAAUUUCAGGCACCAAGAGCACAUUUGAAAUCACUUUGGCACCUGUAGAAGUGCAUAUCAGCACAUCACUCUUGCCUUCAGCUUGAAUGAAAUGACCAUUUCCUAUUUUGACCUUAGUUCUGCAGCUUCUGUCUAAAGACUUGAAGAUUGCAGCAUCAGGUGUCAUGUGGUUGGUGCAUCCACUGUCUAGGAGCCAACCAGAUGAGAACCUUUCCUGAGCAGCUGAGCAUGACAUAGUAAAAACUUGCUCCUCUUAGUCACUGUCCUCCUUAGCUACUCGAGCCUCAGCUUUCAUCUGUUGAAACUGAUUGUGCCUUGAUUUGGCCUUGCUCUUGCAAACUCUCUCAACAUGACCCUUCUUCUUACAAUGCUGACAUACAGUUUCUGGAUUAAACUAGCACUUUUCUUCUAGAUGACCAACCCUUCUGCAGUGCUUGCAAGUCUGACCUUCUCUCCUUGCAGCAUCAUUCUUUGGCUUGUCUCUCCAGGCCUUCUUGCCUUUAUAGGCAGUGUUUAUUCUUUCCUGAAAGGCACCUUCUUGAUGCUCCUCCAGCCUGCUUGCUCUCCUCUACUCUUGAGCAUAUAGAGCAUUGAUCAACUCUGUCAGGGAGAUGGUGGACAGAUCCCUUGAGUCCUCGAGAGAUGAGAUUUUUGCCUCAUACCUCUCAGGCAGAGUUGCUAUAACCUUCUCCACUAUCCUAGCUUCAUUGAACUGCUCUCUAAGGAGCCUGAUGCUGUUAACCACAGCCAUAAUCCUGUCAGAAUAUUGCUUGACAGUUUCUUCUUCCUUCAUCUUCAAAUUCUCGAAAUCUCUCCUCAAGUUCAACAACUGUUGCUGCCUUGUCAUCUCUGUCCCUUGAAACUCUUCCUGCAACUUGUCCCAGGUCUGUUUUGGUGAUUCACAGGCCAUAAUCCUUGUGAAAAUCACAUCAGACACUGAGUUCUAGAUGCGAGACAUGGCUUUGUGCCUCUUGGUCCUCUCAUCAGCAUGCUGCCUGAUCUGAGCCACUGUUGGAUUGCCUCUAAGUGGUUCUGGUUCAACAUCUGAGUUGACCACCUCCCACAGAUCGUAUGCCUGCAGGUAGGUCUUCAUUUUGACCACCCAUAUGUGAUAGCCUUCUCCAUUGAAUACUUGAGGUGCAGCUGGUGAAAAGCUUGAUGAAGCCAUGUAUUUGUAUAACAGAUCCCUUAAGAAAUAGGCUCUAGAUACCAAUUGUUGGUGCUGUAACUGAAACUAACAGACUCAGCACAGACUUGUCGAGCAAGUCUCGAGACUUGCUGAGCAAACAAGAGAAUUCGAGCAAAAGAAAGGAAGAAAAGCUAAGAAAAAAUGAAUAGGAAAAUUGAUGAACAAAAAAGAACUAUAUUCAUAAAAUUGAAUAAUGGCAUAAUGCCAAUACAUAAACCAAGCACUAAGCUUGUCAAAAACAGCAAGUAAUUACCUAAACAUCACCUACUCCCACUAAUUACAUGGAAACUUGAAAUUUUAGCUUGUAAACCUAUACAAAGUUGUGUUUACAGCUCAUACAUAAGCUAAUUACAUCAGUCAACAACCUAACUUAGUUAGAAAUGAACUAAGAUUACAUUUCAUUGACUAGAAAUUACAAAAUAAACAAAAUAAGCUUCCAUCAGCAGCUCCUGCAUGUCUUGGUCUUCAUGGCCUGCAUGCUGUCGAGUUUGCUGCAUGCUGAACCAACUUCAUCAGACCCUUUUUCUUUUCAUGUUAUUAGGGAAGAAUUUUGUUUAUUGGAAGGGUGCUCGAGCAGAAUUGGUGAUUUCAGAGCCUGAAUUAGUCAAAGAGGUUCUGAAAAAUAGUGAACAAAUUUUUCAGAAAAAGAAACUUUCAGAUAUUGGUAGGAAGUUCUUGGGGGAAUGGUCUUAUUUUCAUUGAGGGGGAAAAAUGGGCAAAGCAUCGAAAGCUGGCCAAUCACACUUUCCAUGGGGAAAGCCUAAAGGUAAGUCUUCUAAAUAUAUAAACUAGGUGUAAUUAAUUUACAAGAAUUAUACAUAGACUACAAUAUUUUGGUAAAAUUGUGUAUUGUUAGCUAAGGAUAAGUUUAUUAUGGGCGUUGAAAAAGUGUAGUAAAAACAUACUUUUGAAAAAUUUAACACCAUUUACUACUUAGGAGGUCAAUUUUAAACUUGAUGUUCUAAAAUAAAAGAUUGAAUCAGAAAUUUUAAAAAAAAAGUAAUUUCAUUAAAAAGCACUCUUUUAGCUUUUUGACUUGGAUUAAAAUCUAGUUUGAAAAGGUGUUUAUUUGUCAAAUUGUUUAAUUUGAAAUCAUGAUUUUGUGUUGAAAAGUGUUUUUCUGACUCCAAUUAUAUAUGUCACUACUACUUACAUAUAGGAGGAUUGUUUGGGCAGAACAUGACUCCAGCAAUAAUUGCUAGUGUUGAAACAAUGCUAGAAAAGUGGAAAGGCCAAUAAGGCAAAGAGAUUGAACUGUACCAAGAAUUUAGGUUAUUAACUUCAGAAGUGAUUUCCAGAACAACAUUUGGUAGCAAUUACAUGGAAGGGGAGAAGAUUUUUGCCAUGUUAGACAAGUCGACAAUAAUUGUGAGUCAAAAUCUUUCUAAGACUAGAAUUCCUUUGAUCAGGUAUCUUCCCUCUAAGCUUAAUUAAUCCCAACUUUUACCUUGAUUUCAACUAGCUUUUGAAUGCAACUUUUAGACUUUCAUUCCCCCUGGAUUUGGUUUUCUCCUUAUAUAUAGCUGACCCUGGUUUGCUUUUGCAGCAAGUUGUGGAAAUCUGCUGAUUUGCUAGAGUCUGAAAAACUUUCAAAAGAAAUAAAAGAUCGUCUGAUGAAGAUUGUUAAGAAAAGAGAAGACAAAGUUGUGAAUGGAGAAGUCAAUAGCUUCCGCAGUGAUUUUUUUGGAUUACUUCUAAAUACCUAUCAUGAUUCGGAUGAGAAAAACAGGAUUUCAUUGGAAGACUUGGUAGCUGAAUGCAAAACAUUCUAUUUUGCUGGACAAGAAACUGUUAAUUCCUUACUUGCAUGGAGAUUGGCAAGAAAAAGCGAGAAGAGAGGUGGUUGACAUAUUUGGUAACCAAAAUCCACAUCUCGAAGGCAUCGCCAAACUCAAAAUAGUAAGAAAACUAUCUAACUGGGAAUUCAAAUAGCCAUCGACAUGAUGUAAUCUGACAUAUUUUUCUAUUUUCCAAACAGAUGACCAUGAUCAUCAAUGAAACUCUAAGAUUGUAUGGUCCAACAGGUGUCCUCCAAAGAACAGUUACAAGAGAAAUUCAGUUGGGAAAGCUACUCUUGCCUGCUAAUAUAGAUAUUCUGCCUUUAAAUAUUGGACUUCACCGUGACCCUCACUUUUGGGGAAAUGAUGUGCACCAUUUUAAACCUGAGAGAUUCGCUGAAGGGAUUGCCAAAGCUACCAAUUACACCGCGGCUGCCUUUUUCCCCUUCGGAUUAGGACCUCGAUCUUGUGUUGGUAUGACAUUUGCAAUGAUAGAAACCAAGAUUGCUCUCUCCAUGAUUCUACAACGCUACACCAUUACCCUUUCCCCUGCCUAUGUCCACUCUCCAAUACUUAUUCUCACCCUUCGACCCCAAAAUGGAAUUCAGGUAAUACUUGAGCCGAUACAUAGUAAUGCUUGAAGUACAUAGCCGUUAAGAACUAGAGGUUUAACAUGGUUCGUGUAUUGAACUUUUAAGAGAUGGUAUUUAAUAUGUUUAAAGGUUCUAGCAUUUAUCACAAAGACAAAUGACUCGUGGCCAUGUUUAAUUUUCAUCUAUCGUGCAAUGUUGAUGAGAAGAUAUCAUUUACUCAUUAGUUGGGUUAUGAAUUUCACUAUUUUGAAUAAUGUUACAUACUAUAGAAGUUGUAUAUCCAAUGCACCAACUUUCGGUAGUUCUUUAUCUUUUUGAACUUAGCCUUUCACUUGCAUCAAAGUAUACAAGUCAUGCAUGUAUAGUCCAUCAUCCACUCAAGAUUAAGGUAUAUCACGCUAUGAGCAUCAAAAGUAAAUAGAUCCAUAAAUGGAUUUAGAAUCUAUUCUACUUGGGUCUUAUCUGAUGUACUGUUAGUCCAGUCAAUCACAUCUAUGUCUCUCUCUUUUAGGAGUCAUCUGUUCCAUUCGAGACAAAACAUUUCCACAAUUGGGCUUGAUAGACGACAUAUUAGUUUUUCAAUCGAUUUGCUCAUUUUCGAUUAGACUAAGGACAUAUUUAGGUUUAUUUACUAAUACAAGCUAUCUUUCCAUAUCUAAUUCAAAUAUAGAUGAAUGAGAUUGGUUUAAUAUAUGUUGUAGGGAACAACGAAAAUGGGGAAAAAUUAAAUAUUACCCUAAAAUAAAUUGAUAAUUAAUAUAGUUAAAUUAAAUCCAUUUUGUUUAGGCAAAUGAAAACCAUUGGUUUAAAAGGUUUGAGAAUUGAGGAACCUUUGCAAAACAUAAUGCGAUAUCAUCACUAAAACACUGUUUAUAGGAGCUGAGAAUAAAUACUCUCUUUUCAUGUCUUUGUUGCUGGGUUUUUUAGGUCUUUUUGUAAUUAUCAUUCCUCUCAUUUCAAUAUUUAUGAUAAUAAUACCUGUAAAACAUGUUCGUCAUGUCUUGUUUUUACUAUUUAUGUAAACAUGAUUCCGGUAUAAACUAUACUAAAAUUUGUACUAUUGUAGUACUUAUUAUUAAAGUUAAGAAAUUAUUUAAGGUCGUGCGAUUUGUAAAAUUAAAGUUCUAGUCCCGUAAUAAUUGGUAUUGAACUAAGAUUUGAAGCUACCAGUUGAGAUGAGGAAAGGAGUAGAAGAGCAGAUUGAACCCAGAGAGACCCAUGGGAGGGGCAGGAGCUAUUUAUAUAUUUUUGAGAUGUUGAUAUCUUCAGGAGCCUUUUAUGACCACACACGAUAAUGGGAAAGAUAGGGUCCUACCUGACUUUUGGUUUAUCUGUUUUGAAGGGGAAAAUGGUUCUGGUUUAGAGAAGAAAAAUGAAUGCGUUGAUGGAGCUUCUAAUUCUUGCUCCAUGUUGUUUCUUCUUCAUAGCUUUAAUAAAGUUACUUUAUGAUUACCUAUGGAUACCUCUCUGUAUUCAGCAUAUGCUGAAUUUAGAGGUGAUCAUGAGUUGGGCGCCCUGGCCCAGCCUGACGGCCCGCCUGAAAAAUGAGAGGGUUUGGGUAAAAAAAAGAGACCCGUUUAAAAAAUAGGCCAAGCCUCAGGUAAAAUUUUUUUGGCCCCGGCCCAGCCCGAAAUAUAUAUUAAAUAUAUUUUUUUAAUCAUAUAUAUAUAUUAAAUAUAUACUUUUUUGGUGUUGUAAAAUUUAAUAUGGGCCAGGCCGGGCAGGGCUUAGCAAUUUUUUUCAGGUCGAGCUUGGACAAAUUUUUAGGCCCAUAUCUUGGGCCGGAUCAAGCCCGGGCUUAGAAAACGGGCCUAAAAUUUUAUCUUGGGCCGGUCCUGCCUGGCCAAUGAUCAUCUCUAGCUAAAUUCACAGGGUAUCAAAGGACCUCCUUACAGAUUCAUCCAUGGCAACAACAAGGAAGUUAUACUUUAAUUAUUAUUAUUUAUUUAAUUAUUAUUGGUCUAGUAGUCGAACCGAUUGAAUAAGAAAUCAAUAGUUUUAUCUUUUAACUGAUACUGUGAGAUUGUAGCACAUCAUCACCUAAAAAUUUAUAUAAUUUUUUUAAUUUUCAAGUGAUACAUAUGAUCAUGUCACAUCAUCAAACUUUUAAAAUUUUCAUGUUCAAAGAUUAAAAUAGACCUAAUUGUUAAAUUCAAAUGACAAAGUGGGCCAAAAAAAUCCUAAUAGCCAAUAAUAGAAAAAAUAUAUUAUUUAAAAAAAUAAAAAUAUUAAAGAAGACCCACGUGGUGAUAUUUCUCUUUUUCCAUAGUUCCCGACAAUAUUGUUGCCGUCUAUAUGUCGUAAAUAUGCUGCAACCAGCAAAAUUUGUUUUCUAAUAUUUGGCAACUUUUACUUGCAAGACAACGAAGAAAAACACUUAAAUAAUUAGUUCAGUCCUCCUCAAUAAUGGGAGAAUGUUUUUCAAGGCAAAAAUAGCUUCAAAAUCUACUCUUACUAAAAAAAAAAAAUUAUUAUCUUUUGUCCAUUUAAUUCAUCCACUAUUUAUAAUUAAAUAAUUAAAUUUCAAUUGAUAAUACCAAUUCCUUCAAUUCAAUCAUGUGUUGUUUUUUUUUAAAAAAAAAAACCUUACACGAAAUUCAUAUAAGAUAUAUAUGUAUAUAUCGAUUUUCAUUCUAUCUUUUUAAAAUAGAUUUGAAGAAUCUUACAAUUCGAGAAUUAAUAUUUUCAUUUGCUUAUUUGACUUUCCACGUGUAUGUAUUAGCUAGAUGAGUAUGAUUUUUUAUUUCGUAAGUGCCAAAUAAAUAUUACUUUAACAAAGGUUUUUUUUUUAUUACAAUGUUAUGAAUUGAAUUUCAAAAGUGCAAAUGAUACAGGGAGUGAAAGCAUAGUUAGACCUAAAAGAAACUAAGAAGUCAGUUGUUAUUGAGAAACGUCCUAAAUCCACUAUAUAAAAACAAAAGGACCAUCUGGAUUCAGUGUUAAGAGAAGAAACAUGAGUGAUUUGAUGGAGCUUGUGAUACAGCAUAUGCUGAAUUCAUAGGGAAUCAAAGGACCUCUUUACACAUUCAUCCACGGCAACAACAAGCAAAUUACCUAAAUGAAAAAGAAAGCAUUAAACAAUCCUGGCGUUGCAGUGGAACAGAUUAAAGCUACAAAUUAUGGUAGUGGAGCAGAUUAGAGCUACCAGCCUUAUCUCCCUGAAGUUGUAGCGGAGCAGACUGAAGAUAGAGAAUCUUAUUUCCCUAGCGUUGCAGUGGAACAGAUUAAAACUACAAGUUAUGGCGGAUCUUAUCUUCCUAAAUUUGCAAUGGAGCAGAUUAAAGCCACCAGCCUUAUCUCAUUGAAGUUCCAGCGGAGUAGAUCAAAGCUACAAGUCUCUUCUCCCUAAAAUUACAUUGGAGCAUAUCAAAACACCAAUUCCUAUACCCCUGAAGAUGCGAUGAAAUGGAAUGAGACUACUUGAAAGAAAGAAGCACCAUAAAGUCAAGAUUCGGCAAGACCAGGCAAAAUUAGCCUCUUUAAAGUCUUUCUACCAUUCUCAUUACACGAGAAUGAGCAAAGAGGGACAGUUGUAAUAGGCCAAUUUUGGCCCAGGCUCAAAACCAAAUAAAUAAAACCAAAACCUGAGAGAUUCGCUGAAGGGAUUGCCAAAGCUACCAAUUACACCGCGGCUGCCUUUUUCCCCUUCGGAUUAGGACCUCGAUCUUGUGUUGGUAUGACAUUUGCAAUGAUAGAAACCAAGAUUGCUCUCUCCAUGAUUCUACAACGCUACACCAUUACCCUUUCCCCUGCCUAUGUCCACUCUCCAAUACUUAUUCUCACCCUUCGACCCCAAAAUGGAAUUCAAGUAAUACUUGAGGCGAUACAUAGUAAUGCUUGAAGUACAUAGCCGUUAAGAACUAGAGGUUUAACAUGGUUCGUGUAUUUUACUUUUAAGAGAUGAUAUUUAAUAUGUUUAAAGGUUCUAGCAUUUCACAAAGACAAACGACUCAUGGCCAUGUUUACUUUUUAUCUAUCAUGCAAUGUCGAUAAGAAGAUACCAUUUACCCAUUAGUUUGGCUAUGAAUUUCACUAUUUUGAAUGAUGUUACAUACUAUAGAAGUUGUAUAUCCAGUGCACCAACUUUCGGUUCUUUAUCUAUUUGAACUUAGCCUUUUACUUGCAUCAAAGUAUACGAGUCAUGCAUGCAUAGUCUAUCAUCCUCUCAAAAUUAAGGUAUAUCACACUAUGAACGUCACAAGUAAAUAGAUCCAUAAAUGGAUUUAGAAUCUAUUCUACUUGGGUCUUAUCUGAUGUACUGUCAAUCCAGUCAGUCACAUCUAUAUUUUUAUCUUUUAGGAGUCAUCUGUUCCAUUCGAGACAAAGCAUCUCCACAAUUGGGCUUGAUAGACAACAUAUUAUUUUUUAAUUGAUUUGCUCAUUUUCAAUUAGACUAAGGACAUAUUUAGGUUUAUCUUCUAAUACAAGCUAUCUUUUCAUAUCACGAUCUGACCACGUAAUACCGCUUAGUAUUAAUUUAAACAUUAGAUAACUAACGAGCCAUUAUUUGCUUCCAUUUUGCUUUGCAUGCAAAAAUAUUGAGGACAAUAUCGAAAGGGUAUUAAUGUAAUUAAUAGAUAUUAUUAAACCAAUUUGUUUGAAAAAUACAAUUAUAUAAAACGAAUAUAGUACACUUAGUGUACCAAAUCCAACAGUGGCCACUACAGCUAGCAUUGCCAUAAGCAACAUAACUUGACAUUUUUGGAGUUGAAAUCAUUUUAACAAAAUCAUUUGGGCAACGACUUAGAUGGUUUUGUGGACAUGUGCUGUCUCAUAUUUGAAGAUCCAUUUUAUGGAGCAAUCAAUCUUUGAAGACUAAAUCAAUUUGAAUCAAGCAAGUCAGAUCACUUAUUUUAUGGAGAUUGGCUUGACUUUUUGAAAAUUUGUUUUCGAAAUAUUUGAUUUAUUCUUGACUUUGAGGAUAUUUGUAAAGUUUUUUUUUACGAGGCUAUUUUUUGUGGGAUAUUGAUUCUAAUUGAUCUUUUAUCUUUGCAAACAUUAAAUUCUUAUAUAUUAGAGGCUUGUGUAAGUUAAAAUAAGGUAGAGUUUCUAUAGCACUUAUUUUUUCAUUGAGGAACUUGUAUUUGAUAGUGCAUUAAGAGUGUAAAAUAAGUUUGUUGCUUAGUUUUUCAACCAAAAUUCUCAAGGAAAGAACUUAGUGGUGAGUUGUGAUAGGACUUAAAUAACUUGUUGUCUUAGGAUUAAAAAUAAUGGAUUUACUCACUAAGUUGGGUUCCAUAGACAUAGAAAAAUCGAUAUGCGUAAAUAAUCAUUUGUGCUCUAUUUUUUUGUUGUUGUGUUCAUCAUAGUGGCAUCUAAGGUUGCCAUUACAACCAUCACUUUGGUCAUCAAUUACGCACUUUAUUUUUUUUCAGCAAUUAUCAACUUUAUGCGCCAAGAGAAUGCUUGUUUCUAGUACCAUUGAUCAAUUUUGUAGGAAACAUAAUGACCAAAAAGAAAAUGAUUACAGUCAACCCCUUCUGUAACAACUCUAUUUAUUUGUUAAGAUUUUGCAAGUUAUAAAAAGGUGGUUGUUAUAUACUAUUACAACAUGUUAUAAAAAGAUAAUUAUUGUAAACCUAAAAUAGAAUUUAUAUCGUGAAUUACUAUCAAAUAAAGAAAGUGAGAAUUAUAUUAAAAAAAGGAAAGUAGAAAUCAAAUCAACAAAAUUAAAAGAUGUAUAAUAGGUGCAUGCAUUAUUACCUUUAUAUUUUAUUUUACAUUUUUCACAUGAUUAAUUAUGAAAUUCAUCAAUCUAACAAAUAGUUAAUCGAUAUGAGUUUAAAUUAAAUUAAUUAAUUUAUCAUGUGUUAUUAAAUUCAAAAUGGUACCUAAACAAUUAAUCUGUUAUCUAUUUAAUACAGCCAAUCAUUUGCCACGUAAAAUAUCUAUUUAUUUUCUUUUAAAAUAUUACUAAAAUUCGAUAAAUAAAAUUAAAAAUAGUUAAAAAAUAAAACAUCAUAAAUUUAAUAAAAUUUAAACGUUAAGGAAAAACAUUUUACUGAUUGAAAAUACCCUUAAUCAGAUUUUACUAACAAUCCCUAUUUUUUUCAAACAAAUCACAAACUCUUUUUGUUCAAAAAAUUUCAAAUCAUCUUUUUACAACCUUUAAUCCUUUGUGGAAUUGAUAGAAGGGUACGUUUGAAGAAUUAAUUUUUUUUCUUGAAACCCUUGUUUGUCAAUUUCAUUGUUGAAACCUUUCUAAUUUCAUCAUUAUUUGAUUUUUAUUUUAGGUUAAUCGUAAAACUUCAAUUGAUUCGGGCAAAUCGAAGGAGUUGUAAAAAGGUUGAAAGGUAUGAUUUAGGCUUAAGUUAACACCAUUUGUAAAGGGUUCUUUUAUAGUUAAUAUGUAGAAUCUAAUGUAUGUGACUUUUGGCAGGUUGUGGGUUCUUGAAAUUUUAUAUUGAGAAAGUAGAACACACCUUUUAAGAGGGAAGUUCUUUGUGACUCGAGAUUAUUAGUCUGGUGACAAAAAGCCAAAAAAUGUACCAUUUGCUUUGAAGUUAUUUAUGAUUGUUAAUGAUAAACUUAGGAUUUUUAAUGGUGUUUAUAUAUGUAUUUUGUUAAGAUACAUAAUGAUAAAACUAGAGUUUGUGAUAUGUUUUGAGAUGAUAGGCUUCACGAAUAUGUGAUUUAUUGUCCUUAGCUAAUUCAAAUAUAGAUUAAUGGUGCCACUGCCACAGGCAGCACAACUCCCCUUAUAAUGGGGGGACCAUUCGGCUGGUGGGUGGAAAAGAAAAGGAGAGGGAAAGAAAUGGAAAGGAGAAGAAAGAAAGAAAAGGAAAGGAGAACACUACACCAGAACAGGCUUUUAGCGGCAUAUUUUGUGGCGUUUUGAUAACAAACGCCGCUAAAAAUCAAGCAUUAGCGGCGCAAAGAAUAAAACGCCACUAAAGAUCUAGCAUUAGUGGCGCUUCUUAUAAAACGCUGCUAAAGAACAUAAUUCGCGGCGUUUACCACACAGCGCCGCAAAAUCUCAAGACCAACACGCAGCGUUCUGGUCUUGAUGUAUAUUAGCAUUAGUGGUGCUUACGAACAAACGCCGGUAAUGUAUAGUAUUAGCGGCGCUUAGCGGAAGCGCCGCAAAAGAUGUUAACCAAAACGCAGAGUUUGGUCUUGAUGUAUAUUGCAAUUAGUGGCGCUAAUGUAUAGUAUUAGCGGCACCGAGCGUUAAACGCCGCAAGACAUCUUAAUCAAAACGCAGCGUUUUGGUAUUGAUGUAUACUAUAAUUAGUGGCUUUUAAGGAAAACGCCAGUAAAGGAUAGUUAUAGCAGUGUUUGGUGGUAAGAUCCUCAAAAUAUCUUAACCAAAACGCAGAGUUUGGUCUUGAGGUGUAUUAGAAUUAGUGGCGCUUGCUGAAAAACGCCGCUAAAGUAUAGUAUUAGUGGCGCUUGUGGAACGCGCCGCAAAGUGUCUUAACCAAAACACAGCGUUUAGUUCUUGAUGUAUACUGGAAUUAGUGGCGCACAUGGGAAAACGCCAUUGAAGCAUAGUAUUAGCGGCGCUUGUACCGAAACGCCACAAAAAACCUAAGCCAGACGGCAUCGUUUCGAAACUUUUUAGUGCUUUAGCGGCGUUUUUCCUUAAAGCGCCACAAAUCAUUUUAUAUGUUUUUUAUAUUUAAUUUGUUUAUUUAUAUUAAUUAAAAUUUAAUUUAUUUUUAAUUGAAUAUUUGUUAAAAAUGGAAAACUUGAAAUAGUAUUAUUUAAAAUAAUUUUAAAAAAUGUUAGGUACAUGACUGAUUGAUUUGUAAUUUAUAUAUUAAAUAAUUUCAUAUAUAAUUAUAAAAGAUAGUUUUUAAAAUAUUUAAUUAUUUAUCAUUAUAGUUUAGGGUUUAAUAUAUAUGCAGUUUAGGGUAUACGGUUAAUUUAAGAUUUAAGGUCGGUUUAAGAGCUACAAUUUUAACGUUUAUAUAGAUUAUGGAAUUAUGGAUUCUGGUUAAUUUAAGGGUUGUAAUUUAGGGGUUAUAGAUUAAGAGUUAGGGAUUUAAGGUUUAUGGAUUCGGUGUCAGGUUAGGCUUUAGGGUUUAGAUUAAUUAGUGUGUUUUAAUUUUUAUAAAAUAUGGUUUAAGGGUUAGGGGGUAGGGGGUAGGGAUUUGGGUUAGGAUUUAGGGUUUUGAUUAAUUAAUAUUUUUUAAUUUAUGUAUUAAAUAAGGUUUAGGGUUAGUACAAGUUAGGGUCGGGGUUAGUGGUUUAAGGGUUAGAAGAUAAGAGUUAGUGAUUUAGGGUUUAAAAAUUCGGGGUCAGGUUAGGCCUAUUGGGAACUUUAGUGGCGCUGCAAAAUUUUUAUUUUAUUUAAGGGUUUACGUUAUAGAAUAUAUGAUUUAAUGUCCAUGGUUUAGAGUUUUAGGGAUUACAGUUUAAUGUUUAUUAUUUUGGGUUAAUAGUUUAUGUGUUAGAGUUUGUGUUUAGGGUUUAAGGAUGCUGUUUAAAAAUUGAAGAACAUUUAGAUUUUACUAAAGAUUCAUGCAAUUUAAUAUAUGAAUAUAAAAUAUAUGUUUUGUACAGUAACAUUGGCCACGCAAUUACCCUAAAAUAUGGUUUAGGAAUAUUACGGUUUGGGACUUUUGGUUUUGACUUUUACUGUUUGGGGCUUUAGGGUUUGGGGUUUGAGGUUUGGGGUUUUUGGUUUGGGGUUUGGGGUUUGGUUUUUGAGGUUUAAGGUUUAGAAAUUAUAAUUUAAGCAGGUUUAAAACGCGAAUUUAUUUUCUUUAAAUGUAUUACUCUCUCAUUUUUUUAUUAUUAAUUUUUCCAUUUUAUAACUUUGGUUUUAAUUUUGGAUCAAUUUAACUUCAAUCUUGGAUGACACUAUUUUGACAACUCACGUGCUAGUAUAUUUGUAUUCUAUUCUUAGCGUAUAUAUAAUUUAAAAUAAAUUAUAAAUAUUUUUAAAUUUUGUAGAAAUUUUAAACUUUUUUUGCAAUGAAAGCCGUUAGAGGCAUUUAUCUCAAAACGCUGGAAAGAUUAUUUAACGUUAAGUAAAACUGCAUCGUUUCCUGUCACUGGGAAGGGGAACGGCGCCGUUUUGUUCAUCCGUAUUCGCGGCACUUUGAAAAAUGCCGCCAAGUUGGAUUAGGAGCUAAUGAAACUGCGUCGUUUUACGUUGCUAUUAGUGGCGCUUUCCAUGAAACGCCGCAAAAUUGUAUUUAUGUUUAUUGAAAUGUUGUCGUUUUUGUCUAUUGUAUUAGUGGCAUUUUUCGGAAACGCCACAACAUUGGGUAAACUGUUGGGGAAACGGCUUCGUUUUGACUUAUAGUUAGUGGCGCUUUACUUGAAACGCCGCAAAAUUGUUCUAACAUUUGUUGAAACGUUGCCGUUUUGUAAAUGUAAUUAGUGGCGUUUUUGAGAAAACGCCAGGGGUUUGAGGUAAGUGUUGAUGAAGCGACCGCGUUUUGAGUUAUUGUUAGUGGCGCUUAGUUUAAAACGCCGCAAAGUUUUGACCUAUAUUUUAUGGCGCUUUGCUUAAAACGCCGCAAAAAUGUUUUUCAAUGUUUGAUUCGAUGCCGUUUAUCUAUAUUAUUAGUGGCGUUUAUAGGGAAACGCCACAUUUUUCAGCUGUUUGUUGAUGAAACGACCGCUUUUCAAUUAAAUUUAGUGGCACUUUGAUGUAAACGUCGCAAAUGGAUAUUUUUUUAGAUGAGAACGGCGUCGUAUUUUUUCCAUCAGUCUGACCAAAUAUUACACCCGAUAUUUCUCCAUCACUUAUCCCCCAAAUACUCAUUCUCCCCCAAAUCCCUAAAAUUUCCCCUAAUCCCUAACAGCCCCCCAAACCCGACCACCUGCUACUCUGCCAUCUUCUGUGCUGCAUCACUCCGUCCGUCCGUUUCUGGCGCCGCAACCAUCGGUAAGUUUGAGUACUUCGUUCUUCGUUCUUUUUCUUCAUGCGUUAAUGUCUCUCUGUUGCUUCUUCAUUGCUGUUGUUUUGACUCCUUCCUCAUAGCAACCCACGCUUUCAAUCUUUCAACUUUCCCAGAAACUCCAAGACUGAAACCGAGGAGAAGACGCUGCACUUAGUAAUUUCGGAUUCCAUCUUCAGUUUUGGGCAAUACCCUUUCCAAGGUAUAACGCUGUCGGUAUUAAUUUCAUCAUUUAAAAUUAGUGGCUUUGGGUCCUUAGUUCUGAUAUGGUUACUUUUAUUGGACUCGUUGAUGCUCAAAAAUCGGUCCUUUAUGCGUAAAUGGGUCGAUGCUUUUGAUUAGUUUGAUAGUGGGUUUAGGGUACCACGUGUUUCUUUUAUGUGAAAUGCCUUUAGUUUGCUAUAUAUAUAUGGCGUGGAAAAGUUAUUGGCAUCUGUUAUAUCUAAUGAAUUUCUUUUAAAAACUUUUCAAUGGGAAUCUUUUUUGUUAAAGAAAAACCAUUCUUCUGUUUGAUUAUAAUGAAUAUAUAUAGGCUUCCUUUUAUCAUUUCUGAUUUGGUUUGAUUUUGUUGUAACUUGUUAUAACCAAACUGAAAUCCGAAUUCAAUUGCUAUAAGUGCCUAACUGUUAUUUUGUAGUAAUGGAUUUAGAGUUAAAGUGUUUUAUUUUUUUCCUGUUUAUUUGGGUGUAAUUUUCAUAUGUUUUCCUUUUUUUUUGUAGUAUUUACUCCUAUUUUAAAUUUAUUUUGCAUGCAUUCCAAUUUUAGAUGAAGUGGUUGUAUGUUUGAAAUCGAAGUCAAUAUUUACUUUCAUAUUUCUUUCAUGCCAUUCCCAUCAAUCAUUUCAGCACUAGGCAUGAAUUCAAAAUUGUUCAGGUAUCCUGCAAAUGGCAUUGUUGAUAAGGAUGCAAAAUUUGUUUUCUGAUGUUAAUAUAGCCUUGAUUUUUCUCAUGUAUAGUUGUCAGUUGUUAUGGGUAAAUUUUAUAUAAUUUUAUUUAAUUUUAUAAUUAUUCGAAUAUAUAUUCAUAAUUAUACUGUAUUUAUAAUUAUCGAUUUUCAAUUUAUCAAUUUACAAUUUUAUUUCAAUUAAUAAAUGUUUAAUAAUCAAUUAAUAAAUUGAUCGAUUAAUUGAUUGAAUGUCAAUGAAUUAUCAAUUUUGGUUAGUUAAUUGAUUGAAUGUUUAAUAAAUUCAUUAUAUAAUGAAUUCUCAAAAAAUUAUUACUUGAUUGCAUGUUUAAUAUAAAUAACUUAUUAUGAUAUAUAUUUUAAAGUUAAUAUAUAAUUUCAAUAUUUAUUAUAUUUUUAAAUAUAUUUUUACAAUUUAAUUUAACUUAUUGAUAAUAUAUAUAUUGUUAAGUAAUAUUUUUUUAAAAUUGAUAUCUUACAUUACUUAAAUAUAUAUUUUUAAGUAUAUUCUACAUGACUUACAUAUUACUUACUAAAACAUAUUUUUUACUAAAAUUUACUUUAAUAUAUUACUUGAAUAUAUUACUUAAAUAAUUUACUUAAAUACAUUACUUACUAAAAUUUUUUUAAAUUUUAAAUACAUUACUUGUUUAAUAUAUUACUUACUAAAAUUUAAGUAUAUAUUACAUUCCUUACAUAACUUGUUAAAAUAUAUUAUAAUUUCAAUAUUUAUUAUAUUUUUAAAUAUAUUUUUACAAUUUAAUUUAACUUAUUAAUAAUAUAUAUAUAUUCUUAAGUAAUAAUUUUUUAAAAUUUAUAUCUUACAUUACUUAAAUGUAUAUUUUUAAGUAUAUUUUACAUGACUUACAUUACUUACUAAAACAUAUUUUUUACUAAAAUUUACUUGAAUAUAUUACUUAAAUAAUUUACUUAAAUACAUUACUUACUAAAAUUUGUUUAAAUUUUAAAUACAUUACUUAAAUAUAUAUUACUUACUAAAAUUUAAGUAUAUAUUACAUUACUUACAUAACUUGUUAAAAUAUAUUAUAAUUUCAAUAUUUAUUAUAAAUAAGAUACAUAAAAGUGACUGACUAUUAAUAUUUACUUACAUAAUUUAAUUUUGUAUUUACAAGAACUUACAUAACUUAUUAAUAUUCAAUAAACUUAUAUAACUAUCACACAUACACUUAUUAAACUUACAUAAUACAUGACUUAUAUAAAAUUCUCAAAUAAACUUACAUAAUACAUUAGUUAUAUAAUAACUUAUAUAAACUUACAUAAUACACAUUACUUACAUAGCAUACAUAACUUACAUAAUACACAACUUAAAUAGCUUACUUAAUACAUAACUUACAUAACUUAGACACGUACAUAACUUACAUAAUUUACUUAAUACAUAAAUAUAUAUCAUAUGAUAUAUAUUUAAAAAAACUCAUUUGUAGUUACCACUGAACAACUUACCCUUGUAAUUUCUGGUGAAAAUCAAACAUCAAGAAAUAAGAAAUGGACCGGUCUUGGAUGAAUUUGUCAAGGGUAAGCGACGGUUAUCGAAAUGGAGUACAGACUUUUCUAAAUUUUGCAUUUCAAUAUGCAAGCCAGGAGAACAUGAUUCUUUGCCCAUGUAAGAAGUGUGUCAACAUAAACUGGCAUUAUCGUGAAGUUGUAUACGAGUAUCUAAUUGUUGAUGGGUUUGUUCGGGGUUAUAAACAAUGGCUUUUUCAUGGAGAAUGCCCGCCUAGUACUUCCUCUUCAAGGAUGGAUGUAUCUUAUGACAGUACUACUUACCACCAGUCUGUUAGAGGGGAUGACAUGGAAGGGAUGUUGCGGGAAGCAUUUAAUAUUCACAAUCAUGGUUUACAGUCGUUCCCAGCCGACUUUGUUGCAUCUGAUGAUUGUAAUAUUGGUGGAAAUGCUUUUACCGAACCUGGAAGAAGUGUACAUCAUGAAGAGCCGAAUGGAGAAGCGGUGAAGUUCUACGCGCUACUUAAUGACAUGAAUGAAGAACUGUUUGAGGGAUCAAAAUUCUCAAAAUUAUCUUUUUGUAUUCGUCUUUUCCAGUUAAAGUGUUUGGGAGGGUGGACCGGGAACUCUUUAACAAUGCUGUUAGAGUUUUUGAGAGAGAUGUUUCCGUUUGCAAAAAUCCCUUAAUCAUGCAAAGAUAUGAAGACUAUGAUAAAAGACUUAGGUCUUGGGUACACCAAAAUCCAUAGUUGCCUGAAUGACUGCAUGUUGUAUUGGGGCGAUCGAAGAAACCAGUAGUGCUGUCACAUAUACGGCCAAUCACGUUGGAUAAAUAGAAACACAGAAGAUAGGAACGACGAUGAAAAUGAUGCACAGCCAAGAAAGAAGCCGGUCAAGAUUUUACGGUAUUUUUCGCUCAUACCAAGGGUUCAAAGGCUUUUCAUGUCGUCGAAGAUAGCGGAGUCUAUGACGUAGCACCAUGAUGGACGAACCGAUGAUGGGAAGAUGAGGCAUCCGGCAGAUUCUUUAGCUUGGAAAUCAUUUGACAAUAAAUUUCCAAGCUUUGCAAGUGAUCCUAGGAGUGUAAGGCUUGGCUUAGCAUCUGAUGGAUUUAAUCCGUACAAGAUCAUGAGUACUGCGUACAGUACUUGGCCAGUAGUGCUUGUUCCUUACAAUCUGCCUCCGUGGAUUUGCAUGAAGCAAUCUUCCCUUAUCUUAUCUAUGAUUAUCCCUGGAGAGAAAGGGCCCGGGAAUGAUAUCGACAUUUAUCUACAGCCACUUAUUGAAGAGUUAAAACAAUUGUGGACUGGUGUCGAGACAUACGAUGUGCUGAGAAAGGAGAACUUUAAUUUACGUGCAGCUUUGAUGUAGACCAUUAAUGACUUUCCCGCUUAUGCCAAUUUAUCUGGUUGGAGUACCAAGGGUCGUUAUGCGUGUCCUUGUUGUGCUGCACAAACAUGUUCGCAAUGGUUGUACAAUGGGAAGAAGUUCUCUUACAUGGGGCACCGUUGGUGGUUACCGAAAAAUCAUAGAUUUAGAUUUCAGAGUUCUGUAUUUGACGGCACUGAAGAGUUCAGAGAAGCUCAUUCGCAGACCAGUGGCUCUGAAAUCUUGUUCAUGUUGGAAUAUAUGAAUUUCAUUUAUGGGAAGAUGAACCAACCGUCAGACACGCAAAGAAAUAGAAGAUCCAAUGAUGAAGCUGAUGAUGACUCUGAUGAAGAGGACGAUCCUAAUGAGGCGGACUUGUGGAAAAAAAGAAGUAUUUUUUUUGAGUUGCCUUAUUGGGAGCAUCACCUUCUACGACACAAUCUUGAUGUUAUGCACCUUGAGAAAAAUGUCUGCGAGAACAUUGUGGGUACAGUUUUGAAUGUCGACGGAAAAUCAAAAGACAAUCUUCAAAGUCGACUUGAUUUAGUCCAAAUGGGAAUCUGACCUGAUCUUCAUCCCAAUCCACUUCCGAAUGGGAAAUAUCGGUUGUCACCUUCUAUAUUUUCAAUGUCCAAGACGGAAAAAGAAGUGUUCUGCAAGGUGUUGAAGGAUAUAAAGGUUCCAGAUGCGUAUGCAUCGAAUAUAUCUCGAUGUGUUAGUGUUAAAGAUCGAAGAUUAUAUUCGCUAAAAUCACAUGACUAUCACAUCUUGAUGCAAGAUUUACUGCCAGUGGCUCUACGAUGUUGUAUGUCCAAGAAGGUGACGUCUUGUAUAAUUGAACUAUCCAACAUAAUGAAAGCCAUUUGUGGUAAAGUUUUGGACGUUCAAGAACUUCAGAAGGUACAGGAUCGAGCCGCUUUGACUUUAUGCAACCUGGAGAAAAUCUUCCCACCUUCCUUCUUCACUGUUAUGGUUCACUUGAUAAUCCAUCUCCCGCACGAAGCAAUUCUUGGCGGACCCGUUUUCUAUCGAUGGAUGUAUCCCAUAGAAAGGUGUUAAUUAAAAAAGUAUAAGUUUUCCUUCAUUCACCUCUAUGCCUUUACUUUCAAUAAUUAAGAAAUGUUGUAUAUUCUGUUUAGGUUUCUAUCCAAAUUAAAGUNNNNNNNNNNNNNNNNNNNNNNNNNNNNNNNNNNNNNNNNNNNNNNNNNNNNNNNNNNNNNNNNNNNNNNNNNNNNNNNNNNNNNNNNNNNNNNNNNNNNNNNNNNNNNNNNNNNNNNNNNNNNNNNNNNNNNNNNNNNNNNNNNNNNNNNNNNNNNNNNNNNNNNNNNNNNNNNNNNNNNNNNNNNNNNNNNNNNNNNNNNNNNNNNNNNNNNNNNNNNNNNNNNNNNNNNNNNNNNNNNNNNNNNNNNNNNNNNNNNNNNNNNNNNNNNNNNNNNNNNNNNNNNNNNNNNNNNNNNNNNNNNNNNNNNNNNNNNNNNNNNNNNNNNNNNNNNNNNNNNNNNNNNNNNNNNNNNNNNNNNNNNNNNNNNNNNNNNNNNNNNNNNNNNNNNNNNNNNNNNNNNNNNNNNNNNNNNNNNNNNNNNNNNNNNNNNNNNNNNNNNNNNNNNNNNNAUCUUUUUAUGAAUGGUUAAGCCAAACGGUAUGCAGUUCGAGCUUCCGCUUACAAAUAAUAAUGUUUUCUCAUAACAUUUUUAAUUACUCAGUUUACUUUCCAUUCAAUAGGUUUGGAGUGGGAAGAACGUAAACGACGAUGUUAAAUGGCUCUCCCAAGGUCCAAAUCGAGUGGUUAAAAGAUAUAGUGCGUUCCUCAUCAACGGAUUCAGAUUUCAUACAAAAUAUCACGAGAGGUUGAGGAGAACGCAAAAUUGUGGAAUAGUUGUCAAUUCUGCAAUUACAAGUUAUGCUAGUGCUAGGGACAAUAAUCUUGUCGAGGGAAAUGUGGAAUAUUUCAGACAUCUUACUGACAUAAUUGAGUUGGAUUACUACGGCAAAUGGAAAGUUGUCUUAUUUCGUGGUGAUUGGGCCGAUGUUAAUACAGCUCGUGGAAUUAAGCAAGAUCAAUUUGGUUUUACAAUGGUGAACUUUGACCUAUUGAUUCACACAGGACAACAACUGAUAAAUGAGCCGUAUGUAUUCCCAUCUCAAGUCAAACAAGGUUUUUACUCAAAAGAUCCAACUGAUGAGGGUUGGUACGUUGUACUCUAUAACAUCCCUAGAGACUUGUUUGACAUGGGCAGUGGAACUAGAGAUAACAUCGACAACAGAUCAGUAACUUUGCCCUUUCCAGAACAAAACUUAAACGAUAAUAUCCCUAGUACUAGUGCACAAUUUCAAUGGGUUCGUCAGGAUACCGAUGCAGAUAUUUACGAAUAAUGAUGUAGUAAGAUUUUACGAUUGUUUAAUUAUAUGUAAUAUCAUAAUUUAAAUCUUGGUCUUAUUAUAUAUUUCAACUAUUUUAUAUGUGCUGUUAUUGUUGUAAUUAGUUAUCCCGUUGUCAACUAUUUUAUGUGUAUUGCAGAUAAAAUGCCUAGAAGAAAAAUUCUAAGGGGAAGCAUUGUUCAAAAUAAUCCAAACUCGACAGAAACAAAUAGUACUGAACAACAGACAGCAGUUGGAUCUUCGAAUGCUCCGAUUACAGCUGAGGAUCCUACAGAAGUUCAAAGUAAGUUUACAUUUAAUUUACAUGCGUGUUGACUUAUAGUUGAUUUAUUUUUCAAAUUCUUAUGUUAUAAUAUACCAUUUGUAGCUGAAAAUGGUGGGACGCGCAGAGGUCGAGGACAUACGCUACUUAGAGAGUUAUAUGAGUUAGAUCCAGUCGAGCGUGUCAAAGUUGGACGAAACAGUUUUGGUCAACCUGUUGGAUCAGAAGCUCGACUUUUAGCAGGAUACAUGGGCAUUUUAGCACGAAAUCCGAAUAUGUUGCCUAUCAACUACGAGUCAUGGCAUCAAAUGCCCGAUAGCAACAAAAACCAAGCCCUCGAUAAUAUUAAGGUAACAAAAUAUUAAUGCCAUCUGUAAUGCUUGGGAAAUAGUUUCAUUUAUAUUUACUUUAUUAACUUGUGUUUUUUGUUUUUUGUAGGUGAGGUUUGCUUUAGAGGUCUCGGAUGAUUACGUAAAGAAGGCAUUGGGAAAAAUAUGGAGAGACAAUAAAAGUACUUUGAAGAAAAAUUAUUAUAAAACAAAAACAACCCUCGAUGAGAAAUUGCAAAAUGUCCCGCCGGGUAUGUUGAGGUACCAAUGGGAAGAUGCGGUUAGAUUUUGGCAUUCGAAGAAAGGCGAGGUAUGACGUACUUCCAAACUAUUGUAAUUAUUUUGGUUUAUAGUAUUUUCUAUUUACGUACUAAAAUUUUGAUAAUGUAGGAUCAUGAAAAAGUUGGAAAAAGCAGCAGGCAGAAACAAAAAUUCACCCACACAGCCGGGUCAAGAAGUUUUGCAUGUGUAGCUGAGGCGGAGGUAUUUUUAAUUUAUUUAAUAUUGUCGAAUAUGUAUAACAUUCUAUUAAAUAAUAUUUAUACUACCAUAUUGUAGGAACUGUCGUCCGGUCAAAAAGUUGGACGCCUUCAACUUUUUGAAAUUACACAUAGGAAGAAAGAUGGAUCUCCCAUGACUCCUGAAGCCGGUGAAAUAAUGGUACGUUUACUUAAUACGAUUUGACUUAUUUUAGUUAUUUUUAGUGUUUAUUUUCUAAUGGUUUAAUUCAUUGCUUGUAAUGCGACUAUUGUUAUGUUGCAUAUGUUUUUUAAUAUAUAAUAUUGCGUUCCUAACUAUGUGAUUUAUUUAUUAGGAAAAACUAAAGGAUAAAAAGGCGGAGUACGAAGCGAUUGCUUCUAGUGAUAGUUCUAUUCAUCUUGAAGACAUUGAUAACCGAAUUAUUACUGAAGUUUUGGGUCCUGAAAGGUAUGGUCGGGUUCGAUUUCAAGGAUCUUUUGUUAGCCCAACCCAAUAUUUUGGAUCCAGCUCCCACCAAUACAUGGCUUCGGGGAGUCAGGCUCAAGCUGAAGUUCAGAGGUUGAAAGACCAGAUGGCUGAGAUGCAAGCGACCACAGUUGAGGUUCAAAGGAAAUAUGAAGAACUCCAGCUACAACUUAAAGCAGAGGCGGCAGCGAGGGAAGCAGAGGCCGCAGCGAGGGAAGCAGAGGCUGCAGCCAGACAAGCAGAGCAGACCAAAAAGUACGACGAACUCCAGCAACAGCUUCAGACUGUGAUGAAGAUGUUUCAGUCGUAACUUCCGCCUUCAUAGUGUAUGACAUAAAUAUUUUUAUCAUUUUAACAUUUAAAAUUUUUGCAAAAAUACUAUGAAUUCACUUUUAUUUAUUGAUAUUAAUAUUAUAUAAAUUCACUGUGAUGAAUUCACUUUUAGCGGCGUUUUUUUUCUAAGCGCUGCUAAAGAACAUGGUCUUUACCGGCGUUUUUGUUUGUAAACGCUGCAAACGUUUGCGACGUUUUCGUUAGCGGCCUUUUUUGCGGCGCUUAGUGGCGUUAAAAAGCGCCGCUAAAGGCCUAAAAAAACGCCGCUAAAGACCUGUUUUGGUGUAGUGGAAGAAAGAAAAAGAAAGAAAGAAAAGGAAAGGAGAAGAAAGAAAAAAAAAAAGGAGAAGAAGAGGGAAGGAAGGAAAAAGAAAGGAAAAAAGAAGUAAAGGUAAUUUUUUUGUAUUAAUUUUUUUUUGUAAUAUUUGUGUAAAAAAUGUAUGUGUUUUAUUAUUUUAUUUAGAAUAUAUAUUUUAUGAAAUUUAUUUAGCAUGAAAAAAUCCAUGUUAUAUACAUUCUAUGUUGAUUAGAAUUUUUUUUGUGAAAUUUAUUUAGGAUGUUGUAAUUAGUUUUUUUUAGGAAAAUAGCAUUAAAAAUAAAAUUAUAAAAAAAUAUGUUUAAGAAAACAUAAAAUACGAAAAGAAAAAAAACGGAAAUUGUAUAUUCAACGAAAGUAAUAAAAUCCGAAAAAAAUUGUAUAUUUAAAAAACACACUAAAUUAAUAAAUUUCAAACAUAAUGUACUAAAAUAAUGUAAAAUAAUAAAAUUAAAAAAUAUGAUUUUUUUAAAGUAAUAAAACACGGGAGAAAAAUACGAACAAAGGGCCGAAGUAGGGGUUUUUUACUAAAUUUUAAAAAAAUAAAAAAAAAAUUAAUACAUUUCAAACAUAAUGUACUAAAAUAAUGUAAAAAAUAAAAUACAAAAAUAAUAUAUUUUAUUAAAAGUAAAAAUAGGGAAAAAAAAUACGAGCAAAUGGCCGAAAUAAGGUUUUUUUUAAAUUUAUUUAAAAACACAUUAAAUUUAUUUAAAUUUCAAACAUAAUGUACUAAAAUAAUUUAAAAUAAUAAAAUUAGAAAAUAUGAUAUAUUUUAAAGUAAUAAAAUUCGGGAAAAAAUACGAACAAAGGGCUAAAAUAAGGGUUUUUUAUUAAAUUAAAAAAAGAAAUAAUUAAUACAUUUCAAGCAUAAUGUACUAAGAUAAAUUAAAAUAAUAAAAUAUGAAAAUAAUAUAUUUUUAUUGAAAGUAAUAAAAAUCGGGAAAAAAUAUGAGCAAAGGGCCGAAAUAAGGGUUUUUUAAUUUAUUUAAGAAACACACUAAAUUUAUUUAAAUUUAAAACAUAAUGUACUAAAAUAAUAUAAAAUAAUAAAAUUAUAAAAUAUAAUAUUUUUUUAAAGUAAUCAAAUUCGGGAAAAAAAUACGAACAAAGGGCCGAAAUAAGGAUUUUUUACUAAAUUUUUUUAAAAAAGAAUUAAUUAAUACAUUUAAAACAUAAUGUACUAAGAUAAAGUAAAAUAAUAAAAUACAAAAAUAAUAUAUUUUUAUUUAAAGUAAUAAAAUUCGGGAAAAAGUUCCGAGCAAAGGGCCAAAAUAACGGUUUUUUUUAAAUUUAUUUAAAAAACACACUAAAUUUAUUUAAAUUUCAAACAUAAUGUACUAAAAUAAUGUAAAAUAAUAAAAUUAGAAAAUAUGAUAUUUUUUUUAAAGUAAUAAAAUUCGAGCAAAAAAUACGAACAAAGGGCCGAAAUAAGGGUUUUUUUAAAUUUAUUUAAAAAACACACUAAAUUUAUUUAAAUUUCAAACAUAAUGUACUAAAAUAAUUUAAAAUAAUAAAAUUAGAAAAUAUGAUAUUUUUUAAAGUAACAAAAUUCGGGAAAAAAUACGAACAAAUGGCCGAAAUAAGGUUCGUUUACUAAUUUUUUUUUGAAGUUGCAGGCAUCGCAAUGGCUUCAUUGAUUAGCAGGGAUACACACAUCUGAUGCGGCUAAUGAGAUGGUAAUAUAUUAUUAUUUGUUAAUCACGGGUUCUAUUAAAAAAGGAUAUAAGUAAUAUAUAGAAAUAAAUCAUGGUAUCCUAAUUGUUUCUGUAAUUUAACACUAUCAGGACUCGUAUCGAGUAAUAAGGGGUCGGGUGAAUGGUUUAAAGCAUCCCCCGAAUUCACUAUUGAUGUCGUACUUGGAGCAAGCCUGAUUUGGGUCAGCAGCAUUGAUCCGGACGUUCGACUUGCGGUAUGAUUUAUUAUCUGCGAUAGUGGAGCGGUGGCGCCCGGACACCCACACUUUUCAUUUUCUGUGUGGGGAGUGCACGGUGACCUUAGAGGAUGUUACGCUGCAGCUUGGACUCCCAAUCGACGGAAGUCCCGUAAAGAGAGUAAGUUCAUUUACUGAUCCAGCUGCACUAUGUAAUCAGCUAAUAGAAGACUCGCCAAACGACGAUGACGAAAAUUUUACGAGCUUGAAAUUUACAUGGCUGAAAGCCAAAUUUGGACAGUUAUCAACGAAUGCCACUGAAGGUGAGUUGAUGUGCACUGCUCGAGCGUACAUCAUGCAUAUCCUAGGGGGAGUACUGAUGCCCGAUGCAAACAACAACAAGGUGCAUAUGAUGUACUUGCCCCUAUUAGCUGAUUUGUCCAAUGUUCGCUCGUAUAGCUGGGGCUCCGCCGUUCUAGCAGUGUUAUAUCGGAAGCUUUGUCGGACGACAAAGCCUUCUGUUGUAGACAUGGGCGGAUGCCUUACAUUGCUGCUGUCCUGAGCGCUCCAUCGGAUGCCAUUUUUGGCAUCGGUUACUCACCAACCGUAUGUUUAUCCACUAGUGAACAGGUGAUAAAAUAUAGCUUGUCAUUAUUUGUAGUCAUAGUAUAUUGAAUGAUGUUACCAACCCUAAACCCUAUAUUUCUUUUUGUAGGUGAAGUAUUUAUCCGGGUAUUGGGAGGUCGCACACUAUCCCGAUAUACCGACUCAUGAUCAAAUAGCAUGCCGGGAAAGGGGUAAGCUAUUCUAAUAUUAGUCUAUUUACCUUACUCACACCGUGUUAAAUUUAUAUGGAUGCCAUAUAUGGAUGCAGUUUAUAUGGAUGCCAUAUCGUCGCCCGAAAAUUACAGCUGUGAUACCCUCGUCUGCACACGUUCAUUCUGAAAUGUGGUGCACUAAUGCACCAAUUAUAAAUUUCAAUGUAGUCGAGUGGUAUCACGGGGAUCGGGUGCUACGACAGUUUGGUUGCAUCCAAUAUAUAUCCUGGAUCCACCAUGCGAGGUGGGGGCGGUUCACGGCAUGAAUAGGAGAGGAAAACCACAGUUGGAUUGGGGGUUAAGCACUAAAAAUUUAUUGCGCUGUGGAACGAUCGGAUAGUUCGAAGACCUCAGAUGGUUUUGGCAUAUUCAUUGCAACCAUUAUUAGAGUACAUACAAUGGUACUAUAAUUGCGGAAAGCAAUAUAUACUUGGAGGCCAGUCGACUGUAGCCCCCCGCACAUGCAGCUACCUGGGGGAUCGUGAUCCUGAACCAGAUCCCGAGCCGUAGCCCGAGCCAGAUCCCGAGCAGUCACAUUCACAUAGGGAUUCACAAUCCUAUCAUCCGAAUUUGGUGGGCGAUGAGUAUAUUCCGAGCUUCUUAGGGGGUGAAUACGCAUACGAGUUUGAUCUCUUUGGAUCCUACCCGCCGCAGUACGACACUCCCAGCCCGUACCUACAGCAUCAUGGGACUUCUUUAGGUUCAAGUUCAUCGAUGCCGAUUGAGCCACAUGAUUUUUCUUCUAUGUUUACCAUACCCCCUGCGCCAAAUGAGGACGUUGGUCGUCGCCAACACCCAGAACGUGACCGUCGACCUCCGCAUAGGUAUACCCCUAGGACCACACCAUCAAACCCUCAGUUCUAAGGGUUUAUUGCACUUUUUUGUACAUUACAAAGUUUGUACUUAUUGUAUAAAUUUAAUUACUUAAUUUAUUACACUUUUUAUAACUUAAAUUGGAUACAAUUUAAGCAUAAGCAUAAGCUGAAUAAUUUUAAUUAUUCCAAAUGAAUCAUGUUUUUAAUACCUUAAUUUGGAUACAAUUUAAGCAUAAGUAUAAGUUGAAUAAUUUUAAUUAUUCCAAAUGAAUUAUACUUUUUACAACAUUAGGUCAAUUCUGACCCGAUCCUGAUGACUGUCCGACAUGAUAGUUUCGCUGAGGGCAUUUAUUUUGACUAUGACCACUUAACCUGCAUAAUCCACAACGCUUACCGUCGAAUUUCUCCCUAAUGUCCAUUUCAUUAUGGAUUCUGGUUGAUUGCGAACGACCUCUUGGAUUCCUGCGUAGCCCUCUGUCUAGGAUAAACUUGAAAGUCGUUAGAGGCAACUCUCACGUAGACAGGUCAGGCAAGACGGGGAACUCAUUUUCCUAGACACGUAAUGUGCGCUCGAGCGUGUACACAUCAUCGACAUAUUUUUCAACAUUAAGGUUCACUUUAGCACACGCUGCCACGACAUGCGCACAUGGAUAAUGAAGUGUUUCGAACUCCUGCACUCGCACCUUCUGUUCCAGAUAUCAACUCCAUAAGACCUAGGUGGUAUACCAGGUCGACGACCGAUGGUCUCAGUAACUCGAAACGUUUCCAGACGUCGUGAAUAUAUUUCUACAUUCAUGGACCUCGCCAUCCGACGGUUUGCAACCAUUGCAUCCCUGACAUCUUCGACAAACACAUGUCCUGCCUCCAUCUAGUCAACUUGUUGCUGACUCAUUCUUGGCAUCAAGGUAGCCAACCUGUAGAAUAUAGCAGAGAAGACAGAUGCAAUCGGAUGAUGACGUGUUUUUAACAAUACAUCGUUUACCCCCUCCACUAAGUUUGUGGUCAUUUUUCCAUAACGAAAGCCCUCGUCAAAACAUUAAGCCCAUUGCCAACCCAGAAAGAUGUGUUUAUUUGCCCCUCUAUGUCACUCUCAAGUCGAAUCAUGCUUUGGCGGAAAAUAUGUGGCUCUAACUCGUACGCUGUAUAUAGGGGUGAGCAUUCGAUCGAAUCAAAUCGAAUCGAAUCGAAAAUUUUCGAGUUAAUCGAGUUUUCGAAUAUCAUUUUAUCAUCCUAACUUUAUUUGAAGUUUUAUCGAAUCGAAUCGAGUGAGAUGGAGAUCGAAUCGAAUCGAAUUAUUUGUUCGAGUUAAGUUUAAAAAUAAAAUAAAAUUAUUGUUGUUUAUUUUUAUGUAAUUUUUUAAAAAAUAAUUUUCUUUAAAGUUUUUAAACAUAAUCAUACAACAAAAAAUUGAAGUAAAUAAGUGAAUAAAUAAAAGUAACACAACAUCAACCCAAAUAAACAACAUGAUUCCAAAUAAACAACAAAAAUAAUACAAAAAGAUUAUAAUAAAAAACAUACGUAAAAAUCCAAGUAAAUAGCAUGAGUCAAAAUAAACUAAAUUAGAAAGAACAACAAUAAAUCUGCAGCUUCAAAAUGAUGGCUAUAGUUUGAUGAUGAUUGGUGCAUACAAAAAUAAUUGACUGCAAACUUAAGAACUAAAAGAUUCUUAUUUUUUGUGUUGGUUAUGUUUAGUACCAGAGAUGAUAUCAGUUCUUUCUCACCACCCCCACAAGAAAAGCUUAAGAACUAAACAAUAAGUAGUGAAAAUAAAAGGGAAUUCCACUCUCUCCCUGCAAACUUAAAGAAAACUCAAGCCUGCUCUGCUUUGAUAUACCUUAGAAAUCAAAAAAAUGGAAAAACAGUAGCUCUACUGAACUUUGUAACUAGUUGUUAAAACAGUGUUUUAAUGUUCAAAUAGUUAUUUAUAAGCACUUGAUUAGGUAAAAAAUGCCAAAUACAAAGAUGUGAAAUAUGUAUAGAAAUGAUAUUAAAUACACAAUUGAAAACUGCUCCCACUUUCCAUUACGUGUGGCCUAAGUUCUCAAAUUCCACAGAUAAUAUAGAUGGUAUUGCCCUAGGGUUUAUGAAUUAAAAUUGAAAAACAACCUAUCACAAAAUGAAGAUGAAAAUCAUGAACACACACACAUAUACAAACCUCCUAAAUUCAAUCACUAAAAUAGUAAAGUCCAUAGCUAGAAUGAACUAAAGAAAAAAAGAUUAAAAAAGAACCCUCUGAUAUCUACUUAAAAUCCCAUUUUUUCAUGGAAAGAAGUAACAAAUAAUAAUUAUUAAAAAUAACCCUUCAAUAUCUAUUUAAAUCCCAUUUUCCCCCAUGAAACAAAACACCCAAUGAUCAUUCAAUCAAAAGAAAUACGAAAUAAAACAAGAAUUAACACCAAGAGAGAAACAAAAAAAGGGGUAUAGAGGUAUACCUUAUGUGAAGAAUCUCAGAUCCUGAAAGCCUGAAUCCAAAAACAAACAGCAAAAAANNNNNNNNNNNNNNNNNNNNNNNNNNNNNNNNNNNNNNNNNNNNNNNNNNNNNNNNNNNNNNNNNNNNNNNNNNNNNNNNNNNNNNNNNNNNNNNNNNNNAAUAGGUUUAAGUUCAGGAAAGAAGAAACCUGUGGCAAAAGAAAGGUAUUUUGGGUGAUGGGUUUAAAGGAACUGAUUUUGCUUUGUUAAGUAGAGCUACUGUUUUUCCAUUUUCUUAAGAUUAUACUUGGGUUGUUUUCAGGCUUUGGUUUAUUUUUGUAUUGUUAUGGGGAAGAAAAGAUAUUACCAAACUGAACAUGUUAAAGAAAAUACAGUGUAAGGAAAGGAAUAAAAGUUAAUAUACCUUAGAAAUCCAAGGUAGAAGACGUAAAAGCACUGGCGGUGGAGCAGUCAGCCGUGGAGGACCCUGGACUGGAGGUGGAUCGGUGGAGAAGGGUGGACGGAGGUGAAGAUUUUUGAAUUGGGAAAAAAGGGAGGAGGGAGGGCACGAGCUUAGUUAGGGAUUUUGGAAGUGAUUUUGUUUUAAAUGUAGUGUAUUUUAAAAAUAAAAAAUAUAUGUAGUAUAUUUUAAAAAUAAAAAAUAUAGUUUUUAUUCGAAUUAUUCGAAUUAUUCGAGUUAUUCGAAUUCGAAAAUUCAACUCGAUUCGAACUCGAAAUUCGAAAGAAAAAAUUUGAAUUGAUUCGAUUAAUUCGAUUAACUCGAUUCGAAUAAUUCGAAAUUCGAAUUUUUUUCGAUUUUUUCGAAUCGAAUCGAAUUUUGCUCACCCCUAGCUGUAUACGUAUUAAGAAAAAAUAAGUUCCAGUAACUCGAUAACAUAAAACAUUACAACUUAUAUUGAAAAGAUAAGUUUAUCAUUUAGCCAUUGCCACGACUUGUCUCUUCCAGUCUGCAUUCUUAUAAUCUUUAUGGAAGUUGGACGCAAUGUGAUGGAUGCCGUAAAUGGAUCUCUAUGGCACACCUAAACGCCUAAUUGCUACAAUUAAACCUUUCCCUCUAUCGGAGAUGAUGCAAAUGUUAUCGUUGCUAAUAACAUACCUCCACAGGUUAGUGAGGAAGAAUUCCCAAGAUUUCAAGUUCUCCUUAUCUACGAUGGCAAAUGCUAUUGGGAGCAUGUUUCUAUUACCGUCCUGAGCAACUGCAAGAAGUAGGAUCUGUGUAUAUUUUCCAUAUAGCCUGGUCCCAUCCACCUGCACAAGUAGCUUGUAGUAGGGAAAUGCCCGCACACAUGAAUCAAAUGUCUAGAACAUCUGAUGGAAAAUCUUUUUUCCCUACUGUAACUGGUCGUCCGGGCCGUAAUAAGGCUUUGUCUGUAACUCAAUCACAGUCCCCAGUACGUACUCCCGCAUAGUAGCUAUCCAUCCUUGUAGCUCGUUAUACGACGAAUCAUAAUUCCCAUACAAUUGCUCCAAUGCCAUCUGUUUAGCUAUCCACGUCUUUCGAUAUGAUACUCGAUAUUGGAAUCGUGCUUGCAUUUUGGCAAUCAGCACCGAAACUUUAAUGGUCAGCAUGUCCUUCACCAUUGGCAUGAUACACAUAUAGAUAGUUUUCGAAUCAAGUUUUCCAUGAUCUUCUGUCAUACGUGUUGAUGUGCAUGUAUGAGGACCAACAAAUUAAGAAAUUGAAAGGAAUUUUCAAAAUGAAAGAAACUGGGGGAGGUGAGGAAGGAAGAAACAUAGAAAUAAAAAUUGUUUCCAAAGGGGAGGGGCUAACCAGAAAUAGGGGAUCGAAGAAAAUACUUCUUCUUCCCUUUUUUCGGAGGAAAAGGUGGGUCCAAGUAAAAUCGAUGAAACAGAAAAACUACGAGUAACUAGAAAGAAAAAAAAUAAAAUUAAGAGUGAACUCAACUUUCGUUUUAAAGAGACAUACUAUAAAAAUAGACCAGUUUAUGAAACUUUUUAUCUGGAUGAGAAUUAAAAAAAAUUGAAGUUAGAAAUAAAAAAAAGAUAAAUAUUUAUAGUAUGGGAUUAUGUGAAUACAAAAUUUGAAAUUAUUUAAUUUUUCAAGAUUCAUGAUUCUCCGUCUCAACAACAUCGUUUUUAAAAAUUCAUGUAUAAAUUCUCUCUCAAAAUGUGAUAUAACUUAUCACGGCAUCCCGUAUUUAUUAGUAUCUUUAAUUAAUAUUUAAUAUUUAUAAACACUAUUUAAGAAAAAAACCAAAUAAUAAUAAUAAUAAUAAUAAUAGUAAUAAUAAUAAUAAUAAGGGUCUCAAUCAUACCAUUUGUGGAAUGACUGUCUUUUUACUAGUAGACAGUGGCACAUUAAGCCUCUCCCAUCAUUCAUGGCAAUGCACUAACUAGCUUAAAAGCUAAAAAACCAAGAGCAGUCACAUUAUUAAAAUUUCAUUUAAUAAUUUAAUUGAUUUAUUGAGUCACUUAUAAAAAUUAUAUAAUUUUCUUUCAUUUUCAAACUAAAGACUCUUUUAAAUAAAAGAAAUAAUUGAUUUUUUAUUUGAAUAAUGAAAAUUUUUAAAUGAGAAAAAUAUAUCAAUUAUUUGAUUUUAUUGUUCUAGAAAGCAUGUAAAAUAAUUUGUGUUUAACAAUUCAAUUUUUCUUUUUAUAUAAUACUUGAAACUAUCCAUAAUUUCUUCUCAAUCGUAAAUAAGAGGACAAAUGCGCUUAAACUCACGUCCUCCUAUUCUGACAAUAAUACCAGUACCAAAUGGACAAUUCAAUUUAAAGACGAAAAUAAAUUUUAAUAAUUCACGUACUUGAAUAAUUUUUUUUAACAUUUCCAUAUUUAAAAUAUUAUAUAUAUAUAUUAAUCAUGUUAAUUAAUAGUUCAUAUUUUAUGCUAUACUUUAAUUAUUUAUGCAAGGUUUAUAUAGUAUAAUUGUAUCUAUCGAGGUGGAUUCUCGUUAGGGCCUAGAAGUUUCUAAAAAUUUUAUUUAAAUCUAUUAAAAUUUUUGAAGAUUUUCACUAAAAUUUGUUGUUCCUCAUACAUGCACAUCAACACGUAUGACAGAAGAUCAUGGAAAACUUGAUUCGAAAACUAUCUAUACGUGUAUCAUGCCAAUGGUGAAGGACAUGCCGACCAUUAAAGUUUCGGUACAGAUUGCCGAAAUGCAAGCACGAUUCCAGUAUCGAAUAUCAUAUCGAAAGGCGUGGAUAGCUAAACAGAUGACAUUGGAGUAAUUGUAUGGGGAUUAUGAUUCGUCGUAUAAGGAGAUUGUAAUAAGCCCAAUUUACCCGGGCCCUUACAAAACAAAAAAUAAGCAGUCUAAGUUUUUACAGGCCCAAACCCCAACAGCCCACUAACUAAAUUCCAACAGGAACCCUAGCAGCAUACAACCUUCAACCCUAGCCGCCGCACAUCAGCCCCGCACCACCACCCUUUGCGCACGUACGUGUCCCACGUACAUCUCCAGUUGGCCGAAUCUGCGCAACAAACGGCAAAACAGACGCAAAGAACAAGUAAACGAAAGAGAAAAACGCAAAAAAAAGAGAGAAUAACGGAAAUACAACUGCGUUGUGUUAUUUCUUUGAUUUUUCUUCAUCUUUCGACUAUAAAAAGUCGAGGAAAAUCUGUAAAAAGGAGGGGGAUUUCACGAAUCAAAUAAAAAACAGAAAAGAAAUUGAUAUCAAGAAGAGAUUUUAGAUUGAAGAUAGAUAUUUGUUUUUUUUUUCUCUUUUUUUUUGUUUUGACUUUUUUUAAAAAAAACUAGUAAGUAAUAAGAAAAAGAAAGGAAAGGACUUACCGGAGGUCCGUGGUCUUCUCGUUGGCCAAAGAUUGCCGUCCUUGGCGGAGCAGUGGCGAAGGAGCGGCGGCACGGCGACAUAAAGAUGCUAGGGUCAAAACCCUAGCAGAGAGAAAGGGGGCAACGGUUUUUUUGUUGUUUUAGAAAGUGGGCUGUCAAAUGAUUUUUAAAACAGAAAAUUUUGUUUAAAUAAUAAGGCAAUACGGUGUCGUUUCAUUAGGCCCCCUAGACGCCCAAAACGGCGUCGUUUUGGGGGCCAACCCAUGCACCGACCCGAUCUGGUCCCAAAUCCGCGUGUUUUGUAGCAUGGGGGAAUUUGCGCAAUUGGUCCCCCUAUUUUUGCAGUGUGUUUAAAUUAAAUUUCUGAUUUCUUUUAAAUUUCACUGCACAUUCUAUUUUUACUUCAAAUCAGUCCCUAUUACUGUGCAGCGUUUUAGGGAGGCGGAUUAUUUCUCUUUUGGUCCUCCACCCUUGCGCGCGCAUUCAAUGUGAUCCUGUUUUCAAAUUUACUUCGAAUUUAGUUUUUUUUAAGUUCAAUUUAACCCUUUUAUAAACUAUUUUAUUCAUUUUUUAUAAUUAUGUUAUACUAUGACAUUAUUAUUAUUAUUAUUAUUAUUAUUAUUAUUAUUAUUAUUAUUAUAUACGCUUGUUUUAAAAUAAUACAUAUACAUUUUUUUUAAAAAGCUUUUAAUACAUACAUAUAUUUUUGUAUAUACAAACAUUUUUUUUUACUUUUUUAAAUAUGAAUAUACGUAUUUUUUAUAUUAUCCUUCAUAGAUUUUUUUACAAACGUAUGUAUAUAUGUAUACCUACAUAUUUUAAUACAUAUUUUAAUACAUUCAUUUUCUAUAGUAUAAAUAUAUAUGUUUUUUGUUUUAAAUUAUUAUAAACAUUUUUAUUAUUUUAUAUAUGCUCCAUUAUUUUAUAUACAUAUUGUACAUAUUUUUAUAUUUUUACUUUAUUUACACAAUUCUCAUAUACAUAUAUGCAUGCAUUUUUAGAAAUUAUUAUAAGUUUUUAUGUAUUUCAUUCCCUUUUUAUAUGUAUACUUAUAUAUGUGUUUUAUAUAUGCAUUAACAUUUUAGCAUGUUUUUAAAGAAAAUAUAUUUUGGUUUCGUCAAAGCAUUAAAAUCGUUUUAUUUUUCUUAAUUUUUUUUAAAUAUUUGGCAAUCGUGAUUCUCGAGAAAGAUCGUGUCCUAACUUACUGGAUUGCGAUUAUUUUUUUUGAUGAAUUUAGAAAACCAAGUAUUUAUUUUGCAAUAAAUUCAUGAAAUUUUCAAAUAAAAGCUUAUUCUCAAGAAUCCAAAAAUGUCGGGUCCUAACUUACUGGUCAUGACAUUCUGGCAUCUCGAAAUAAGAAUUUUCAAAAGCAAAAGGCAAUAUUCUGGUAUUUUGAAGAUUUAAAAAUAUUGUGCCCUAACUCAUUGGGUGUGGUGUUUUAUUUCUUUGAAAUAAGAAUGUCUUAUUAUUUUGAUUCAUUCAUGAGAUAAAAAGUUUCCUUUUAAAAUCUUUUCAAUUUUUCAACACCAAGACAUUAAAGAAUCAAUUUGGUACCAAUUUUGGGGAGUUACGAGGGUGCUAAUCCUUCCUCAUGCGUAACUGACUCCCGGACUCAUUUUCUUAAAUUUCGUAGACCAGAAUCAUUUUAAGGUGAGCCGAUCACACCUUAAUAAAGGAUCGAUGGCGUCUCCAGUUUUUGUUUUUUUUAAGUCGACAACUAAAAUUUUUGUUUACAAAAAAUGGUUUCGACAGCUUGGCGACUCCGCUGGGGACACUAGAGAGUCGAGCUAGAAAUUGAUUCAUUUUUGUCUUGUGAUCAAAAAAUUAAAUUUGGGUUUUAAAAUCAUGAUUUCCCUUCGCAUUCAUUGAUUUUCAUCAUGAUAUGUUUGUUCGAUUGGCCUAAGUCUGUUCGUAUUUGCAUUUUGCAUUGCAUAAGUUGGUCAAAUUUACCCUCUAAGUGGGAGCGAGAAACUAGUCCUUCGUGAGGUUUUCACCUCCGUGCAGGGUAGUGGACCGCUUCCGGGAUACAUCUGUACCUAUGUCUUCGUGAGAUUUUCAUCUCCAUGCAGCCAUAGGGAAAUGUAUCCCCCUGAACUGAACUCGAUUCAUAUGAGCCUAUAAUGGGCGAGGAUCGAGGAAUCUGCUGGUUCGGGUACCCUUACUCUAGAAACUAAACCUCAUAUAGUGAGCUUUAGGAACUUGCCCUAGGUAGAACUAUUCCAAAACCCUAGUGGAUUCUGAAAUAAGUGUUCUUGCUAUUUCAUGUUUGUAUUGGAUUAUAUCUUUAUGUGUGAUACUAACUUGGGUUUGUUUUUGUUUUGACUGCAUGGCAUUUCAUUAUAGAAAAGAGAUGUUGAUUCACGUUUGGUUGUUAAUAGAGAACUUGCCAUGAAAAACGGGUUUCUUGAUAAGGUGGAAGAUAAUAUGGUUGUUCGAGUAUAGUCUAAGAAAAUGUGACACGAAAGGUAAUAGCCUAACAAGAGGAGUAUACGACUUUGCUGCAUGACCUGAGGAUUCAAAUUGUCAAAGUUUAUUCAAAAGUCAUCAAAGGUCCUAAUCUUUUAAAGAAGCUAAUGAACGUGAGUGAGCAAGGAGUUACGACCUAGAUCAAACAAAAAGGAGCUCAAAUUCGCGAGAUGCAUCUUAAAAUCCGAAUGAUCGAUGACUUCUCUUGGAGUACGAGGGUGAAGCCGUAUAGAUAUAGCCGCUUUAUGUAAAGAGAUUUGUUUUCUAGUGAAGUUUUCUAGUAAAGAAUUGAACAUGAAUCAACGUCUCUUUUCGCAUUCAUUUCAUGCAUUUGCAUUACAUUACAUCAUAUGCAUCAAACACCUCUAAAUGAUCCUAAUUAAUUAAAAUCACUGCUCAGUUAACCUGGAAACCAACCAACCAAUCAAACACCAUUAUGGCACUCGAGCAAAGAUUAAAGACAUGGAUCAGAGAUUGGAAAAGCUCGAACAGCACCAGAAAGAAAUGCAAGACCAACUCCAGUUACAAGUGCAGGAGCGGUUAGACAAGAUGCAACAGGAUAUGUCAGAGAAGAUACAGGAAUCCCAAAAUAAUAUGAUGGCAAAGUUAACCCAACUGUUGAAUGGAGGAGGUGAUAAGGGAAAGGGUCCCAUGGCUGAUGUCGAAGAGGGAAAAGAGGAUGAAUCACUCUAUCCUCCAGGCUUUACUCCUUCACAUGUGCGAAGUCAAGCUGAAUAUCUGCACAAAUCUACUGUCACAAUCAGGCCUCAGCAGUUUCGGGCUAGUGUUUCAAACUUCUAAGCUGGAUCGGGUUUUAAUCCCGGAAAUAACCCUAUUAACUCUGCCAUUCCUGACUUUGAUGAAGUGGCUAAAAAAGAAAGAAUAAAGGAAGAGUUACCAAAGCAGUUAGAAGAAAGGUGCAAAUGGCUCGAGGAGAAAUUAAAGGUGAUGGAGGUCACUGAAAGUUAUCGAGGAAUUGAUGCUAAAUAGCUGAGUUUAGUUCCGAAUUUGGUACUCCCUCAGGGUUUUUUACCCAAAUAGGAUAGAAAAAAAAUACUGAAAUGGGAUGUCAGAAAAAAAAUUUACCAANNNNNNNNNNNNNNNNNNNNNNNNNNNNNNNNNNNNNNNNNNNNNNNNNNNNNNNNNNNNNNNNNNNNNNNNNNNNNNNNNNNNNNNNNNNNNNNNNNNNUAUUGUAAUAUUGUAAUUUUGUAUGAAUAUUAUAAUUUUUUAUGAAUAUUGUAAUGUUGUAUGAAUAUUGUAAUAUUAUAAUUUUGUAUGAAUAUUGCAAUUUUUUUGUAUGAAUAUUGUAAUAUUGUAAUUUUGUAUGAAUAUUAUAAUGUGGGGAUAUAUUGUAAUAUUGUAAUUUUUUGUAUGAAUAUUGUAAUUAUUUUAUAAUUAAUUUGUUAGUAAUUUGGGAAAAAUUCACAAUAUUUUGUUCACCAUUGGCGCCUCCCAAAUAGGCACCACCAUUGGCGCCUCCCAAAUAGGCACCACCAUUGGCGCCUUCCAGAUAGGCGCCAAUACUAUGUAUUAUACGGGUUAUAUACUAACCCGGAAAAGUAUAAAUUAUAUUUUAAUCAAAAAAAUUAUUAUUAUUAUUUUAUUCAUUGGCGCCUACCAAAUAGGCUCCAAUGAAAAAGUAACCUAUUUUGGUAAAAAAAUUUUCUGACAUACUAUUUCACUAAAUUUUUUUUUCUAUCCUAAUUAGGUAAAAAACCCAACUCCCUCAUAAGUUUAAGAUGCCAGAAUUCGAGAAGUACAAUGGGACGACUUGCCCAGAGGCUCAUAUCACCAUGUUCUGCAGGCGAAUGGCUGGAUACAUUAACAAUGACCAGCUAUUAAUACACUGUUUCCAAGAUAGCCUAGCAGGGGCAGCAUCUAAGUGGUACAAUCAGCUGAGCCGUACCACAAUUGGUUCAUGAAGGGACUUGGCACAAGCAUUCAUGAAACAGUAUAGUCAUGUGACAGACAUAGCUCCUGAUAGAAUUACCCUUCAAAACAUGGAGAAGAAGUCGAGCGAAAGCUUUAGGCAGUACACACAAAGUUGGAGGGAAGUCGUAGUCCAAGUUCAACCACCGCUCUUAGAGAAAGAAAUGACGAUGCUUUUUAUAAAUACAUUGAAAGCCCCGUUCAUCACACAUAUGUUAGGAAGUGCCACAAAAAGCUUUUCUGACAUAGUCAUGAAUGGUGAAAUGAUUGAAAGCGUCAUAAGGAGCGGGAAAAUUGAUGCAGAGGAGAGUAACAAGAGGUCAAUCUCAAGGAAAGAGAAAAUGAGGUGAACAACACGAGUUACUCUAAACCAGUUAUUGUGAGUCAGCCAAGAAAGGUGGCUACUAACCAACAAAGUUUAUUAAGACAAUAAUCUAGAGUGAAACCAGGUACUGAGAAGCUCCAAUUCACACCAAUUCCGAUGUCAUAUAAGGAUCUGUAUCAAAGCUUGUUUGAUGCGCAUGUUGUUGCUCCUCAUUACUUAAAACCUCCACAACCUCCGUAUCCUAAGUGGUAUGAUGCGAACGCGCAAUGUGACUACCACGCGAGAAUUAUGGGGAACUCAAUAGAGAAUUGCAUUACCUUCAAAAAGCUAGUUGAAAAAUUCAUCAACAUGGGUAUUGUCAAGUUGGGUGACUCAUCAACUGCAGAAAAUCCUUUACCCAAUCAUGAUUGAGGAUGGAGGGACUGCAAUGUAUGAAGAGGUGGUGAGGUUUUCAUAUCGAUGCCAUAUAUGCAGCCACAAAUAAAAAGGUCCUUGUUAGAUAUUCGCCUGGGAGGUGUUAUAAGUAAUGGGACUGCAGAGGAAACCCCUAUAUUAUUUAGAGUUUGUUAGAGUAAUGUUCAGAACACACUUGUUGCUUUUAGCCUAGAAGCAAUAAGAACUUCUUUGUGAAAUAGGCUCAUGUCUGAACAUUAUUAUUUUAAUAAAAUACAUCAGUGCAAUCAUCUUUGAGCAAAUGUUCUUUCAUUCUUUACGAUUCUUUCAUUCUUUUGGAUUUUCUGCCAAACUAUUCUUUCAUUCAUUCAUAAUCAUAUUAUCUAUAAAUCCAUACAUUCUUUGUGUAUUCUUUAACACCUACAAUAGGUCCCUGGAUAUCAAUGACAUGAGUGACGCUGCUACAGACUCAAAAUCUCCUUUUUGAGUGAGCCAUGUGUUUAGAGAGAUCUCACAACUUUGAAGAGGACAUGGAUUGUAGCUUAUCUCCAGACUUGAUGAGGAUGGUAAAAUAAGAGGAUAGACAAAUCCAACCUCACAAAGAAUCAUUAAAAGUUGUGAGCUUGGUAUAGAUUGGAAUUGACAUGACCGAAAAAACAAAGCAAUACGUUGUUGGGUUACUUCAAGCAUUCAAAGAUGCCUUCGCAUGGUCAUACUAGGAUGUGCCCGGUUUAAGUGUUGUCACUGCAAUCUAAACAACAGCACGAUACCAAAAUUUUACAGUAUGGUCAAGGUGAAUAUCAUGAAUGGUGCAAUGAAAACUCUACCAGGGCAAUGCCACUUUUUUCAGUUUAUCACAUUUUUUUCAUUGAAGUUGAAAUUCUUUCUCUUCGAGUUUUGGCUAAGCUGAAGUAGGAUGAAGAUCCAAUCCCGAUACAAUUAGUUGAACCUAGUUGAAGAAAAAGGCUAGAAACUAUUCAUCAGGGGCAGAUGUACCAAGAAAUGAAUGAUGCGAGCCUAUAGCAAAAGGUUUGUCCCAGAGAAUUCCACGAUGGCGACCUAAUGCUGAAGAAGAUCCUCACUCUACAAAAAAUAUAACGGAUGCCAAAUUGGGAAGAACCUUAUGUUAUAGAGAAGGUCAUUUCCAGAGGAGCUUUGAUUUUGAGGGAGAUGGAUGAUAAACCUGCAAAGUCCUGUAAACUCAGGUUCAGUCAGGAAAUACUCAGCUUAAAGAAUGAGAUGACCAAGGUAAAAACCCGUAAAUGGCACUUUGAGUUGUAAAAAAUGACGAGAUGGAAAAUGAAAAAGUGAAAAUGAAAUUUGAAAAUGGAAAAGUAAAAUGGAGAGGCUAAGGUGAAAAUCCGCAAAGGGCGCCUUAGACCAAAGGGGAUUUGAGUUGAAAACCCGAAAAGGGCGGCUCAAAUAUUGAUCAGAAUGUGGCAUGAGAUUAUCAGAGUAGCUCAAAUACUAAUCAGCAUGGGGCAUGCAGUGGUCUUGCUAUACCUGAAUCAGCAGGAAAGGGUAGGCGACAUCUUGGGGCAUCAACAAAGUACUGUAGAUCUCCUAAACACAUGUUAAACUCAGAAUGGUCUUCAGAAAGUUUGUACAGAGAAGUUCAAGCUGAGAUAUCUGGGGCGCCUAAUCCUUAUACUCUUUCUUGUUAUUCUUGGAACACUUCAUUCAUUUCCAAGAUAUGCAUUCCUAAAUCAAUUUCUUUAUUAUCCAUCUUUACUAUCUUUGAUAUUUUAUUCAUUUCGAGCUAUGCUCAGAACCAACUUUCUUCUUAUCCAUGAUCUUUUUGCAAGUAUGUUGCAUUAGAAUAAUGAUUAAUAGACUAAUAAAAUUUUCACAAGGGAAGUUAUGCUUAUUACUCUAGAAUUUUUUAAAUAAUAUAGGAACCUCAAACAGGACUAUUGUUUAGAACGCACCAGGUUGGAAAUCCGAUAAAGAAGAGUCUAAAUUAAGACUAUCCCUUUGAAUUUUCUUGUCUAAAGUAUUAAUUAAACAAAAUGGCAAGAUGUCGUGUUGGUGUCAAAGCUUCAAUGAACAAGCAAGCAAUGAUCACCGAAUAAUAAGAAGAAGUUGUUCUUGGACAAGAUUUAUUCAUUUGUGUAUGAGCAUUUCGUACAACACCUUGGGAAUGGUGUAAGAGACCAAAAAGUUUCACAUCCUGUAUCCUUGAAUUGUGAUAACAAAGGAUUGAGAAAAGGCCAAAUCUUUUACUCUUGGGUUACAACGGGAAAAGAUGAUACAAAUUUUGCAUCCCAGUGGAUCAAACUUGGAGGUUUACAGUGGGGGCAAUCUGGUCAAGUGCUUAUUGGGAUCGCCAGUUGAGCAUAAAGGCGCUAUAGUACAUUAAGUGAUAAGACCUUAAUAAACUUGGAGUAAUGAUAACUCAGGCGUUAAAAUAUCAUUUUCAUGACAUUCUACAUUCAUUCAAAUGUCAUUCAUACAUGUCUAGUUAGGAGCAUUUGAUUCAUUUUGAUCAUGCCAUCCUAAUCAUUAGGCAUAAUUAGGUUCAUUAUACAGGUUCUGUUCUCCAGAGAACAGAUCAGCGAAAAUAGCAGAUCUUGCCUUCCUGCAUUGACAGCGAAGCAGAUCGAAGAUACCAGCCUUGCCUCCCUCGAUUGCAGUGGAGCAGGUUGAUGGUGGAUUUUACCUCCCUGAGGUUACAGUGGAGUACAUUGAAACCAGUAAUUCUAUCUCCCUGGGCAAUAGUGGAAUAGAUCAAAGAUUACAGGUCUUAUCUCCCUAAGCAGUAGUGGAGCAGAUCAAAGAUGGUGGAUUUUACCUCCCUGAGGUUACAAUGGAGUACAUUGAAACCAGUAAUUCUAUCUCCCUGGGCAGCAGUGGAAUAGAUCGAAGAUUACAGGUCUUAUCUCCCUAAGCAGUAGUGGAGCAGAUCAAAGAUGGUGGAUUUUACCUCCCUGAGGUUAUAGUGGAGUACAUUGAAACCAGUAAUUCUAUCUCUCUGGGCAACAGUGGAAUAGAUUGAAGAUUACAGAUCUUAUCUCCCUAAGCAAUAGUGGAGCAGAUCAAAGCUGGCAAAAUCUACCUCCCUGAGGUUGCAGUGGAGUAUAUUGAAGCCAGUAAUUCUAUCUCCCUGGUCGGCGGUGGAAUCAAUUGAAGAAAUCAGAUCUUGUCUUCAUGUAUUGGCGUGAAGUAGAUCAAAGAUAGCAGAUCUUGUCUCCCCAUACUAGUGGCAAAGUAGAUCGAAGAAAGUAGAUCUUGUCUUCAUGUAUUACCGUGAAGUAGAUCGAAGAUAGCAGAUCUUAUCUUCCUAUACUGGUGGCGAAGUAGAUCGAAGAAAGCAGAUCUUGUCUUCAUGCACUGGCGUGAAGUAGAUCAAAGAUAGCAGAUUUUGUCUUCCCAUACUGGUGGCGAAGUAGAUUGAAGAAAGCAGAUCUUGUCUUCAUGUAUUGGCGUGAAGUAGAUCAAAGAAAGCAGAUCUUGUCUUCAUGUACUAGCGUGAAGUAGAUCAAAGAAAGCAGAUCUUGUCUUCAUGUACUGGCGUGAAGUAGAUCAAAGAUAGCAGAUCUUGUCUUCCCAUACUGGUGGCGAAGUAGAUCGAAGAAAGCAGAUCUUGUCUUCAUGUACUGGCGUGAAGUAGAUCAAAGAUAGCAGAUCUUGUCUUCCCAUACUAGUGGCGAAGUAGAUUGAAGAAAGCAGAUCUUGUCUUCAUGUAUUGGCGUGAAGUAGAUCAAAGAUAGCAGAUCUUGUCUUCCCAUACUGGUGGCGAAGUAGAUCGAAGAAAGCAGAUCUUGUCUUCCCAUACUGGUGGCGAAGUAGAUCGAAGAUACAAGUCUUAUCUCCCUGAAGUUGCAGUGGAGUAGACAGAAGAAAAUAAUCCUAUCUCCCUGAAGUUGCAGUGGAGCGGAUUAAAACCAUAGAUCUUAUCUCCCUGAAGUUACAGUGGAGUAGACAGAAGAAAAUAAUCCUAUCUCCCUGAAGUUGCAGUGGAGCAGAUUAAAACCAUAGAUCUUAUCUCCCUGAGUUGCAGUGGAGUAGACAGAAGAAAAUAAUCCUAUCUCCCUGAAGUUGCAGUGGAACAGAUUAAAACCACAGAUCUUAUCUCUCUGAAGUUGCAGUAGAGCAGAUCGCAUCAGAUUUAUCUUUAAGUUGUAGCAGAACAAGUUGAAGCUCUAAGUCUUAUCUCCCUGAAGUUGUAGUGGAGCAGAUUAAAGAUAGCAAAUUUUGUUCUUUUGAGAAGCUACAACGUAUGAAUUCUAUCUCCCCGAUAUUGCAGUAGAGUAGAUUGAAGCACCAGUUCCUAUACCUCUGAAGAUGCAGCAGGAAGGAUUGAGGCUACUUGAAAAAGAAAAGCACCGAAGAAGCCGAGGCUUAGUAAGACUGGGUACAAUUGGGCUUUUCAGUCUUUGCUCUGUUCUCGUUACACGACAACAAGCAAAAAGGGGCAACUGUAAUAAGCCAAAUUUACCCGGGCCCUUACAAAACAAAAAAUAAGCAGUCCAAGUUUUUACAGGCCCAAACCCCAACAGCCCACUAACUAAAUUCCAACAGCAACCCUAGCAGCAUACAACCUUCAACCCUACCCGCCGCACAUCAGCCCCGCACCACCACCCUUUGCGCACGUACGUGUCCCACGUACAUCUCCAGUUGGCCGAAUCUGCGCAGCAAACGGCAAAACAGACGCAAAGAACAAGUAAACGGAAGAGAAAAACACAAAAAAAAAGAGAGAAUAACAAAAAUACAACUGUGUUGUGUUAUUUCUUUGAUUUUUCUUCAUCUUUCGACUAUAAAAAGUCGAGGAAAAUUUGUAAAAAGGAGGGGGAUUUCACGAAUCAAAUAAAAAACAGAAAAGAAAUUGAUAUCAAGAAGAGAUUUUAGAUUGAAGGUAGAUAUUUGUUUUUUUUUUCUCUUUUUUUGUUUUGACUUUUUUUAAAAAAAAUAGUAAGUAAUAAGAAAAAGAAAGGAAAGGGCUUACCGGAGGUCCGUGGUCUUCUCAUUGGCCAAAGAUCGCCGUCCUUGGCGGAGCAGUGGCGAAGGAGCGGCAGCACGACGACAUAAAGAUGCUAGGGUCAAAACCCUAGCAGAGCAAAAGGGGGCAACAGUUUUUUUUUUUUGUUGUUUUAGAAAGUGGGCUGUCAAAUGAUUUUUAAAACAGAAAAUUUUGUUUAAAUAAUAAGGCAAUACGGCGCCAUUUCAUUAGGCCCCCUGGACGCCCAAAACGGCGUCGUUUUGGGGGCCAACCCGUGCACCGACCCGAUCUGGUCCCAAAUCCGCGUGUUUUGUAGCAUGGGGGAAUUUGCGCAAUUGGUCCCCCUAUUUUUGCAGUGUGUUUAAAUUAAAUUUCUGAUUUCUUUUAAAUUUCACUGCACAUUCUAUUUUUACUUUAAAUCAGUCCCUAUUACUGUGCAGCGUUUUAGGGAGGCGGAUUAUUUCUCUUUUGGUCCUCCACCCUUGCGCGCGCAUUCAAUGUGAUCCUGUUUUCAAAUUUACUUCGAAUUUAGUUUUUUUUAAGUUCAAUUUAACCCUUUUAUUAACUAUUUUAUUCAUUUUUUUUAUAAUUAUGUUAUAUUAUUAUUAUUAUUAUUAUUAUUAUUAUUAUUAUUAUUAUCAUCAUCAUCAUUAUUAUUAUUAUUCCUACUAUAUAUAUAUACGCAUGUUUUAAAAUAAUACAUAUACAUACAUUUUUUUUAAAAAGCUUUUAAUACAUACAUAUAUUUUUGCAUAUACAAACAUUUUUUUUUACUUUUGUAAAUAUGAAUAUACGUAUUUUUUAUAUUAUCCUUCAUAGAUUUUUUUACAAACGUAUGUAUAUAUGUAUACCUACAUAUUUUAAUACAUAUUUUAAUACAUUCAUUUUCUAUAGUAUAAAUAUAUAUGUUUUUUGUUUUAAAUUAUUAUAAACAUUUUAUUAUUUUAUAUAUGCUCCAUUAUUUUAUAUACAUAUUGCACAUAUUUUUUUUAUAUUUUUACUUUAUUUACACAAUUCUCAUAUACAUAUAUACAUGCAUUUUUAGAAAUUAUUAUAAGUUUUUAUGUAUUUCAUUCCCUUUUUAUAUGUAUACUUAUAUAUGUGUUUUAUAUAUGCAUUAACAUUUUAUCAUAUUUUUAAAGAAAAUAUAUUUUGGUUUCGUCAAAGCAUUAAAAUCGUUUUAUUUUUUUAAAAUUUUUUUUAAAUAUUUGGCAAUUAUGAUUCUCGAGAAAGAUCGUGUCCUAACUUACUGGAUUGCGAUUAUUUUUUUUGAUGAAUUUAGAAAACCAAGUAUUUAUUUUGCAAUAAAUUCAUGAAAUUUUCAAAUAAAAGCUUAUUCUCAAGAAUCUAAAAAUGUCGGGUCCUAACUUACUGGUCAUGACAUUUUGGCAUCUCGAAAUAAGAAUUUUCAAAAGCAAAAGGCAAUAUUCUGGUAUUUUGAAGAUUUAAAAAUAUUGUGCCCUAACUCACUGGGUGUGGUGUUUUAUUUCUUUGAAAUAAGAAUGUCUUAUUAUUUUGAUUCAUUCAUGAGAUAAAAAGUUUCCUUUUAAAAUCUUUUCAAUUUUUCAACACCAAGACAUUAACGAAUCAAUUUGGUACCGAUUUUGGGGCGUUACGAGGGUGCUAAUCCUUCCUCGUGCGUAACUGACUCCCGGACUCAUUUUCUCAAAUUUUGUAGACCAAAAUCAUUUUAAGGUGAGCCGAUCACACCUUAAUAAAGGAUCGGUGGUGACUCCAAUUUUUGUUUUUUUUUAAGUCGACAACUAAAAUUUUUGUUUACAAAAAAUGGUUUCGACAGAGCUACAAGGAUGGAUAGCUGCUAUGCGGGAGUACGUACCGUGGACUGUGAUUGAGUUAUAGACAAAACCUUAUUACGGCCUGGACGACCAGUUACAGCCAGGAAAAAGGAUUUUCCAUCGGAUGUUCUGGACGUUUGAUCCAUCUAGAGCCAAACACAUAUUUUCGACAAUGGUUGGGUACAAUAGAGCCGUGGCAAUGUGCUCAAAGUUUUGACGAGGGCUUUCGUUAUGGACAAAUGACCACAAACUUAAUGGAGGGGGUAAAUGCUGUAUUGUUGAAAACAUGUUAUCUUCCAAUUGCAUCUGUCUUCUCUACUACAUUCUACAGGUUGGCUACCUUGAUACCAAGAAUGAGUCAGCAACAAGUCGACCAGAUGGAGGCGGGACACGUGUUUGUCGAAGAUGUCAGGGAUGUAAUCAAACCGUCGGAUGGCGAUGUCCAUGAAUGUAGAAAUAUAUUCACGACGUCUGGAAACAUUUUGAGUUACUGAGACCAUCGGUCGUCGACCUAGUAUACCACCUACGUCUUAUGGAGUUGAUCUCCGAAAUAGACGGUACGAGUGUAGGAGGUUCAAAACACUUCAUUAACUAUGUGCGCAUGUCGUGGCAGCGUGUGCUAAAGUGAACCUUAAUGUUGAACAAUAUGUCGAUGAUGUGUACACGCUCGAGCGCACAUUGCGUAUCUGGGAAAAUGAGUUCCCUAUCCUACCUGACCUGUCUACGUGAGAUGUGCCUCCGAAGACUUUUGAGCUUUUCCCAGACAAAGGGCUACGCAAUAAUUCAAGAGGUCGUCAGCAAUCAACUAGAAUCCGUAAUGAAAUGGACAUUAGGGAGAAAUUCGACGGUAAGUAUUGUGGAUUAUGCAGGUUAAGUGGUCAUAGUCGGAAUAAAUGCCCUCAGCGAAACUAUCAUGUCUGACAGUCAUCAGGAUCGGGUCGAAAUUGACCUAAUGCUGUCAAAUUGUUAUGUGUAAUGUUGUAAAAAGUAUAAUUCAUUUGGAAUAAUUAAAAUUAUUCAGCUUAUGCUUAUGCUUAAAUUGCAUCCAAAUUAAGGUAUUAAAAACAUGAUUCAUUUGGAAUAAUUAAAAUUAUUCUGCUUAUGCUUAUGCUUAAAUUGUAUCCAAAUUAAGGUAUUAAAAACAUGAUUCAUUUGGAAUAAUUAAAAUUAUUCAGCUUAUGCUUAUGCUUAAAUUGUAUCCAAAUUAAGGUAUUAAAAACAUGAUUCAUUUGGAAUAAUUAAAAUUAUUCUGCUUAUGCUUAUGCUUAAAUUGUAUCCAAAUUAAGGUAUUAAAAACAUGAUUCAUUUGGAAUAAUUAAAAUUAUUCAGCUUAUGCUUAUGCUUAAGUUGUAUCCAAAUUAAGGUAUUAAAAACAUGAUUCAUUUGGAAUAAUUAAAAUUGUAUCCAAUUUAAGUUAUAAAAGGUGCAACAAAUUAAGUAAUUAAAUUUAUACAAUAAGUACAAACUUUGUAAUGUACAAAAAUAUGCAAUAAACCCCUAAAAAUGAUGGUUCGAUGGUGUGGUCCUAGGGGUAUACCUAUGCGGAGGUCGACGGUCACGUUCUGGGUGUUGGCGACGACCAACUUCCUUAUUUGGCGCAGGUGGGGGUGUGGUAAACAUAGAGGAAAAAAUCAUGUGACUCAAUCGGCAUCAUGAACUUGAACCUGAAGGGGUCCCAUGAUGCUGUAGGUACGAGCCGAGAGUGUCGUACUGCGGCGGGUAUGAUCCAAAGAGAUCAAACUCGUUUGCGUAUUCGCCCGCUGAGAAGCUUGGAAUAUAGUCAUCGCCUGCCAAAUCCGAAUGAUAGGAUUAUGAAUCCCAUGUGAAUGUAACUGCUUAGGAUCUAGCUCAGGCUCCGGGUCGGGUUUCGGCUUGGGCUCUGGUUCGGGAUCAUGAUCUGUUGCAGGCUCUACCUCUAUCGGGGUCGCUGGGUACAAUCCCCCAGAUAGCUGCAUGUGCGGGGGGAAUACAGUCGACUGGCCUCCAAGUAUAUAUGGUUUUCCGCAACUAUAGUACCAUUGUAUGUACUCUAAUGAUGGUUGCAAUGAUUAUGUCAUAACCAUCUGAGGUUUGCGACCCAUCUGAUCGUUCCAUAGCGUAACAAAUUUUCGAUGCUUAACCCGCUAAUCCAACUACAGUUUUCCCCUCCUAUUCAUGCCGUGAACCGCCCCCACUUCGCGUGGUGGAUCCGGGAUAUAUUGGAUGUAACCAAACUGUCUGCACCCGAUCCCCGUGAUACCACUCGACUACAUUGAAAUUUAUAAUUGGUGCGUUAGUGCACCACAUUUCAAAAUGAACAUAUGCAGACGAAGGUAUCACAGCUAUAAUUUUCAGGCGACGAUAUGGCAUCCAUAUAAACUGCAUGAUUAAUAACAUGGUUAUAAUUUAACACGGUGUGAGUAAGAUAUAGAAAGUAAAUGAACUAAUAUUAGAAUAGCUUACCCCUUAUCCGGCAUGUUGUUCGAUCAUGAGUCAGUAUAUUGGGACAGUGUACGACCUCUCGAUACCCGGAUAAAUACUCCACCUACAAAAAGAAAUAUAGGGUUUAUGGUUGGUAACAUCAGUCAAUAUACUAUGACUACAAAUAAUGACAAGUUAUAUUUUAUCACCUGUUCACUAGUGGAUAAACAUACGGUUGGUGAGUAGCCGAUGCCAAAAAUAACAUCCGAUAGAGCGCCCAGGACUACAGCAAUGUAAGGCAUCUGCCCAUGUCUACAACAGAAGGUUUUGUCGUCCGAUAAAGCUCCCGAUAUAACACUGCUAGAAUGGCGAAGCCCCAGCUAUAGGAGCGGACAUUGGACAAAUCAGCUAAUAGGGGCAAGUACAUCAUAUGCACAUUGUUGUUGUUUGCAACGGGCACCAGUACUCUCCCUAGGAUAUGUAUGAUGUACGCUUGAGCAGCGCACAUCAAUUCACCUUCAGUGGCAUUUGCUGAUAACUGUCCAAAUUUGGCUUUCAGCCAUGUAAAUUUCAAGCUCGUAAAAUUUUUCUCAUCGUCAUUUGGCGAGUCUUCUAGUAGCUGAUUACAUAGUGCAGCCGGAUCAGUAAAUGAACUUACUCCCGUUAUAGGACUUGCGUCGAUUGGGAGCUCAAGCUACAGGGCAACAUCCUUUAAAGUCACCAUGCACUCCCCACACGAAAAAUGAAAAGUGUGGGUCUCUGGGCGCCACCGCUUCACUAGCGCAGAUAAUAAAUCAUACCGCAAGUCGAACGUCUGGAUCAAUACUGCUGACCCAAAUCUGACUUGCUCCAAGUAUGGCAUCAAUCGUGAAUUCGGGGGAUGCUUUAAACCAUUCACCCGGCCCCUUAUUACUCAGUACGAGUCCUGAUAGUGUUAAAUUACAGAAAAAAAUUAGGAUAACAUGAUUUAUUUCUAUAUAUUACGUAUAUCCUUUUUUAAUAGAACCCGUGAUUAACAAAUAAUAAUAUAUUACCAUCUCAUUAGCCGCAUCAGAUAUGUGUGUAUCCCUACUAAUCAAUGAAGCCAUUGCGAUGCCUGCAACUUCAAAAAAAAUUUAGUAAAAAACUCUUAUUUCGGCCCUGUGUUCGUAUUUUUUUCUGAAUUUUAUUACUUUAAAAAUUAUCAUAUUUUCUAAUUUUAUUAUUUUACAUUAUUUUAGUACAUUAUGUUUGAAAUUUAAAUAAAUUUAGUGUGUUUUUUAAAUAAAUUUAAAAAAAACCCUUAUUUGGUCAUUUGCUCGUAUUUUUUUCUCGAAUUUUUUUACUUUCAAUAAAAAUAUAUUAUUUUGGUAUUUUAUUAUUUAACUUUAUCUUAGUACAGUAUGUUUUAAAUGUAUUAAUUAAUUCUGUUUUUUUUAAAUUUAGUAAAAAAACCCUUAUUUCGGCCCUUUCUUAGUAUUUUUUACUUUAAAAAAAAUCAUAUUUUCUAAUUUUAUUAUUUUACAUUAUUUUAGUACAUUAUGCUUGAAAUUUAAAUAAAUUUAGUGUGUUUUUUAAAUAAAUUAAAAAAACCCUUAUUUCGGCCCUUUGCUUGUAUUUUUUCCCGAUUUUUAUUACUUUCAAUAAAAAUAUAUUAUUUUUGUAUUUUAUUAUUUUACUUUAUCUUAGUACAUUAUGCUUGAAAUGUAUUAAUUAUUUCUGUUUUUUUUUAAUUUAGUAAAAAACCCUUAUUUCGGCCCUUAGUUCGUAUUUUUUUCCCAAAUUUUAUUACUUUAAAAAAUAUCAUAUUUUGUAAUUUUAUUAUUUUACAUUAUUUUAGUACAUUAUGUUUGAAAUUUAAAUAAAUUUAGUGUGUUUUUAAAAUAAAUUUAAAAAAACCCUUAUUUCGGCCCUUUACUCGUAUUUUUUCCAAUUUUUAUUACUUGCAAUAAAAAUAUAUUAUUUUCGUAUUUUAUUUUUUACAUUAUUUUAGUACAUCAUGUUUGAAAUGUAUUAAUUUUUUCUUUUUUUAAAUUUAGUAAAAAACUCUUACUUCAGCCCUUUGUUCGUAUUUUUUUUCUCUGCAUUUUAUUACUUUAAAAAAUAUAAUGUUUUCUAAUUUUAUUAUUUUACAUUAUUUUAUUUCAUUAUGUUUGAAAUUUAUUAAUUUAGUGUGUUUUUUAAAUAUACAAUUUUUUGAAUUUUAUUACUUUCAGUGAAUAUACAAUUUCCUUUUUUUUCUUUUCGUAUUUUAUGUUUUCUUAAACAUGUUUUUUUAUAAUUUUUUUAAUGUUAGUUUCCUAAAAAAAUAAUUACAACAUCCUAAAUUAAUUUCAUAAAAAAAAUUUUAAUCAACAUAGAAUGUACAUAACAUGAAUUUUUUCAUGCUAAAUAAAUUUCAUAAAAUAUAUAUACUAAAUAAAAUAAUAAAACACAUACAAUAUACAUAACAUAAAUUUUUUACACAAAUAUUACAAAAAAAAUUAAAUUAAUACAAAAAAAUUACCUUUACUUCUUUUUUUCCUUUCUUUUUCCUUCCUUCCCUUUUCUUCUUCUCCUUUUUUUUUCUCUUUCUUCUCCUUCCUUUUCUUUCUUUCUUUCCUCUCCUUUCCUUCUCCUUUUCUUCUCCACCCACCGGGCUGAAUGGUCCCCCCAUUAUAAGGGAAGUGGUGCCGCCUGUGGUAGUGGCACCAUCGGUGCCGCCUCUGCCAUUGGCACCAAUGGUGCCGCCUAUGGCAGCCCCUUCACCAGGGUGCUAUCACAUCCCUGUAGCUUUUUUUUAAAACUUUUUUUUGUAUUAUUUUGAUAAAUAAAAAAAGUUAAUAUUAUUUUAAUAUUUUUUUAUUUUAUUUUUAAUAUUUUAGUAAAAUACCCCAUGUUGCUUAUCCAACCUACUCUGACGUAUGACGCACCCAUUGCGUCACUGCAAACGCAAUUUUGGUCCUUCUACAUGCUAUAAUAAAGGGGGCAAUGGUUCUGGUUUAGACAAGAAAACUGAAUGCGUUGAUGAAGCUUCUAAUUCUUGCUCCAUGUUGUUUGUUCUUCAUAGCUUUAAUAAAAUUACUUUAUGAUUACCUAUGGAUACCUCUCCGUAUUCAGCAUAUGCUGAAUUCACAGGGGAUCAAAGGACCUCCUUACAGAUUCAUCCAUGGCAACAACAAGGAAGUUACCAAAAUGAAACAAAAAGCUUUAAGUAAAUCUGUGGGCUUGACGGAUGAUUUAUUUCCCAAAGUACAGCCACAUGUUUACACCUGGACCAACAGAUAUGGUAAGAUCCAUGCUUGUUUUUUUCACUAUGAUUUAUAACUUGUAGUUCUAAGAAAAGGUAGACCCUUUUUCUUUUCACGUUAUUAGGGAAGAAUUUUGUUUAUUGGAACGGUGCUCGAGCUGAAUUGGUGAUUUCAGAGCCUGAAUUAAUCAAAGAGGUUCUGAAAAAUAGUGAACAAAUUUUUCAGAAAAAGGAACUUUCAGAUAUUGGUAGAAAGUUCUUGGGGAAUGGUCUUAUAUUCAUUGAGGGGGAAAAAUGGGCAAAGCAUCGAAAGCUGGCCAAUCACACUUUCCAUGGGGAAAGUCUAAAGGUAAGGCUUCCAAAUAUAUAAACCAGGUGUAAUUAAUUUACAAGAAUUAUACAUAGACUACAAUAUUUUGGUAAAAUUUUGUAUUGUUAGCUAAAGAUAAGUUUAUUAUGGACGUUGAAAAAGUGUAGUAAAAACAUACUUUCGAAAAUUUUAACACCAUUUACUACUUAGGAGGUCAAUUUUAAACUUGAUGCUGCAAAAUAAAAGAUUGAAUCAGAGAUUUAAAAAAAGUAAUUUCAUUAAAAAGCACUCUUUUAGCUUUUAGACUUGGAUUAAAAUCUAGUUUGAAAUAAGAUUUAAUUUGAAAAGGUGUUUAUUUGUCAAAUUUUUUAAUUUGAAAUCAUGAUUUUGUGUUGAAAAGUGUUUUCCAGACUCCAAUUAUAUAUGUCACUACUACUUACAUAUUGGAGGAUUGUUUGGGCAGAACAUGACUCCAGCAAUAAUUGCUAGUGUUGAAACAAUGCUAGAAAAGUGGAAAGGCCAAGAAGGCAAAGAGAUUGAAGUGUACCAAGAAUUUAGGUUAUUAACUUCAGAAGUGAUUUCCAGAACAGCAUUUGGUAGCAAUUACAUGGAAGGGGAGAAGAUAUUUGCCAUCUUGAGAAAGUUGACAGUAAUUAUGAGUCGAAAUCUUUCCAAGACUAGAAUUCCUUUGAUCAGGUAUCUUCCCUCUAAGCUUAAUUAAUCCCAACUUUUUCCUUGAUUUCAUGUAGCUUUUGAAUGCAACUUUUAGACUUUCAUUCCCCAUGGAUUUGGUUUUCUCAUAUAUAGCUGACCCUGGUUUGCUUUUGCAGCAAGUUGUGGAAAUCUGCUGAUUUGCUAGAGUCUGAAAAACUUUCAAAAGAAAUAAAAGAUCGUGUGAUGAAGAUUGUUAAGAAAAGAGAAGACAAAGUUGUGAAUGGAGAAGUCAAUAGCUUCCGCAGUGAUUUUCUUGGAUUACUUCUAAAUGCCUAUCAUGAUUCGGAUGCGAAAAACAGGCUUUCAUUGGAAGACGUGGUAGCUGAAUGCAAAACAUUCUAUUUUGCUGGACAAGAAACUGUUAAUUCCUUACUUGCAUGGAUAGUCUUGCAUUUGGCAAUCCAUGGAGAUUGGCAAGAAAAAGCGAGAAGAGAGGUGGUUGACAUAUUUGGUAACCAAAAUCCACAUCUCGAAGGCAUCGCCAAACUCAAAAUAGUAAGAAAACUAUCUAACUGGGAAUUCAAAUAGCCAUCGACAUGAUGUAAUCUGACAUAUUUUUCUAUUUUCCAAACAGAUGACUAUGAUCAUCAAUGAAACUCUAAGAUUGUAUGGUCCAACAAGUGUCCUCCAAAGAACAGGUACAAGAGAAAUUCAGUUGGGAAAGCUACUCUUGCCCGCUAAUAUAGAUAUUCUGCCUUUAAAUAUUGGACUUCACCGGGACCCUCACUUUUGGGGAAAUGAUGUGCAUCAUUUUAAACCUGAGAGAUUCGCUGAAGGGAUUGCCAAAGCUACCAAUUACACCGCGGCUGCCUUUUUCCCCUUCGGAUUAGGACCUCGAUCUUGUGUUGGUAUGACAUUUGCAAUGAUAGAAACCAAGAUUGCUCUCUCCAUGGUUCUACAACGCUACACCAUUACCCUUUCCCCUGCCUAUGUCCACUCUCCAAUACUUAUUCUUACCCUUCAACCCCAAAAUGGAAUUCAAGUAAUACUUGAGCCGAUACAUAGUAAUGCAUGAAGUACAUAGCCGUUAAGAACUAGAGGUUUAACAUGGUUCGUGAAUUCUACUUUUAAGAGAUGAUAUUUAAUAUGUUUAAAGGUUCUAGCAUUUAUCACAAAGACAAACGACUUGUGAUAAUGUUUACUUUUCAUCUAUCAUGCAAUGUCGAUGAGAAGAUACCAUUUACCAAUUAGUUGGGUUAUGAAUUCCACUAUUUUGAAUGAUGUUACAUACUAUAGAAGUUGUGUAUCCAGUGCACCAACUUUUGGUUCUUUAUCUUAGCCUUUUACUUGCAUCAAAGUAUACGAGCCAUGCAUGCAUAGUCCAUCAUCUACUCAAGAUUAAGGUAUAUCACACUAUGAACGUCACAAGUAAAUAGAUCCAUAAAUGGAUUUAGAAUCUAUUCUCCUUAGGUCUUAUCUAAUGUACUGUCAGUCUAAUCAAUCACAUCUAUGUUUUUAUCUUUUAAGAGUCAUCUGUUCCAUUCAAGACAAAGUUUCUCCACAAUUGGGCUUGAUAGAUGACAUAUUAGUUUCUCAAUCGAUUUGCUCAUUUUCAAUUAGACUAAGGACAUAUUAUGGUUUAUCUACUAAUACAAGCUAUUUUUUCAUAUCACGAUCUGACCACGUGAUACCGCUUAGUAUUAAUUUAAACAUUAGAUAACCAAUGAGUCAACAUUUGCUUCCAUUUUGCUUUGCAUGCAAAAACAUUGAGGACAAUAUCCAAAGGGUAUUAAUUUAAUUAAUAGAUAUUAUUAAACCAAUUUGUUUAAAAAAUAUAAUUAUAUAAAACGAACAUAGUACACUUAGUGUACCAGAUCCAACAGUGGUCACUACAGCUAGCAUUGCUAUAAGCAACAUAACUUGACAUUUUUGGAGUUGAAAUCUUUUCAGCAAAAUCAGUUGGGCAACGACUUAGAUGAUUUUGUGGACAUGUGUUGGCUUAUAUUUGAAGAUCCAUUUUGUGGAAUCAAUCUUUGAAGAUUAAAUCAAUUUGAAUCAAGCAAAUCGGAUCACUUAUUUUGUGGAGAUUGGCUUGACUUAUUUGAAAAUUUAUUUUCGAAAUCUUUGAUUUAUUCUUGACUUUGAGGAUAUUUGUAAAGGUUUUUUUUACAAGGCUAUUUUUUGUGGGAUAUUGAUUCUAAUUGAUCUUUUAUCUUUGCAAACAUUAAAUUCUUAUAUAUUAGAGGCUUGUGUAAGUUAAAAAAAGAUAGAGUUUUUAUAGCACUUAUUUUUUUCAUUGAGGAACUUGUAUUUGAUAGUGCAUUAAGAGUGUAAAAUAAGUUUGCUGCUUGGUUUUACAACCAAAAUUCUCAAGGGAAGAACUUAGUGGUGAGUGAUUUGGAUAUUUAGAUACAAAAGUGAGGUUGCUAUACCGAGUUGUGAUAGGACUUUAAUAACUUGUUGUCUUGGGAUUAAAAAUAAUGGAUUUACUCACUAAGUUAAGUUCCGUAGACAUAGAAAAAUCGAUAUGCAUAAACAAUCAUUUGUGUUCUAUUUUUUGUUGUUGUGUUCAUCAUAGUGGCAUCAAAGGUUGCCACUACAACCAUCACUUUGGUCAUCAAUUACGCACUUUAUUUUAGCAAUUAUCAACUUUAUGCGCCAAGAGAAUGCUUGUUUCUAGUACUAUUGGUCAAUUUUGUAGGAAGCAUAAUGACAAAAAAGAAAAUGAUUACAAUCAACCCCUUCUAACAACUCUAUUUGUAUCUUUGCAUAUUAUAAAAAGGUGGUUGUUAUAAAAAGAUAAUUAUUGUAAACCUAAAAUAGAAUUUAUAUUGUGAAUUACUAUCAAAUCAAGAAAGUGGAAAUUAUAUUAAAAAAAGGAAAGUAGAAAUCAAAUCAACAAAAUUAAAAUAUGCAUGCAUUAUUACCUUUAUAUUUUAUUUUACAUUUUUCACAUGAUUAAUUAUGAAAUUCAUCAAUCUAACAAAUAAUUAAUCGAUAUGAGUUUAAAUUAAAUUAAAUUAAUUAAUUUAUCAUAUGUUAUUAAAUUCAAGUAAUUAAUUUAUAAGAUUAUGAUGUUCUAAAUUCAUAGUAGAAUAUUUAAUUAGAGAACUUAAUAGUUUAUUGAAUUGAUAUCUUUAAUUCCACGAAGAUUUUUUCAUGUGAAAUUUAAACAUUUUAUUAAAAUAAUAUUUUAAUUAAGAUCAUUUUUAUUUAAUAAAUUAUAAUUAAUAGGCUUGUAUAUCGGUCCAGUGUAAUUAAUAGACUUGCUUAAAUGAGUUUUAAAAUAUAUUUUUAAAUUUGAAUCUGAAUUUAAAAUUCUAUUAUUUGUUUUCAGUUUUUUUGAAUAAUGAAUUGUUACCUGCUUAAUUUAUGAAAUAUCUUUAUUGACUUAUUUGAUUGAUAGUUUAUAUUUAUGUCCGUAUUUAGUAUUUUAAAAUUUUAUAUAUAUAAUAUUUUAAAAAAAUAAUAAUAAAUCUAAAAUCACACAUCGAAACAGCUGAAUUUUGGUACAUGCGAAUACCAAUAAAAAAAAUCAACAUCCACCGAUUUACCCAUUACUUUUUGGUAUUAGGUAGUGGGAGAAUUGGUUUUUGCUUUUGUUUUUGAGAUGUUGAUAUCUUUCACAUCAUCCAUAAGAUGGGCUCUACCUGACCUUUUGUUUGUCUGUUUCCCAUGCUUUCCCAUUUCUUCUACCAUAAAAAUCACUAAAAGAAUGGGCUAAAAUGUCAAAUAAAGGCUAUUUUACCAAAAAACACUUUUUUUUUAAUAUUUACUGAAAUGGGCCGAUUUUUUUAAUUAUUUACUGGAAUUGGUCAUUUUCCGCCAAAUCGCGUCCACGUCAGCGCGAUGUUAGGGUACGCGUCAGAAAAUCGCGUCCACGUCAACGCGAUUUGCUUACGUGGACACAAAUCGCGCCUACGAGGACGCGAUUUGCUGACGUGGCAUGAACAGUUUAUGUUUCUAAGCUUGGAAAACUUUGAAAGGCCAUAACUUUUGGCUCGAUUGUCCGAUUGAGACGAUUUUUUUAUUUCGAAUAACUUUUCGAGAUCUACGCGCUGACAAACAGCCGAAGGCGGUUUGCAGCAGUUUUCAUCGAAAAAGAUCCUUUUUUGCCCCUAAAUUUUGAUUUUUUCAGUUUAAAAUUGAAUUUUGAAACAUUCAAAUCAUUAUUUCUCUUAUUUAUUUGAAGUAAACACCGGAUCUUUUUUUACAGAAUUGUCUUAUAUCAUCCUGUUAUAGGUAUAAGUAAGCUCAUUCCACUUUUGAGAAGUUCCCUAAAAUUUUUCAUUUUAUUCAAUUUAGUCCCUAAAACCUAAAUAGUCAUAUUUUCAAAUAUAAGCUUCGUUUUUCAAUUCAAAUUCAAUUUCGUCCUUCCAUAACAUCCAAAUAUUCUUAAAUACAAAAAUUUCAUGUUAAUUUUGAAAUAAUUACACUUUAGUCCCUAUACUCGUAACUAACAAAUUAUACUUUACAAAUUAGUCCCUAUUCAUCUCUAACCAGUUUGUCAGCGCGUAGAUCUCGAAAAUUUAUUCGAAAUAAAAAAAAUCGUCUCAAUCGGACAAUCGAGCCAAAAGUUAUGGCCUUUCAAAGUUUUCUAAGCUUAAAAACAUAAACUGUUCAUGCCACGUCAGCAAAUCGCGUCCUCUUAGGCGUGAUUUGUGUCCACGUAAGCAAAUCGCGCUGACGUGGAUGCGAUUUUCUGACGCGUACCCUGACAUCGCGCUGACGUGGACACGAUUUCGUGGAAAAUGACCCAUUCCGGUAAAUAAUCAAAAAAUCGGCCCAUUUCGGUAAAUUUUGAAAAAAAAGGGCUUUUUUUGGUCAUUUGCCUUCAAAUAAACUCUUCAAAAAUAAUUUUUUAAAAAAUUAAUUAAGUCCCUUAUAAUAAAGUGCACCAAAUUGAGCUUUUUAAAUCACAAUUUGCACUUAAUUAAUCCCCUUGAAUUCAUUUUCCCAUUGAAUCCCUUUACGGUCAGGUAACUGCUGACGGGGCAGGUGAUGUGGAAAAAUGAUGGUGUGUUAGUUUAUAUGGCAAGCUAACAUGGAGGGCUUAAAUGAUUUUUUAUUAUUUUACAAGGGUUUAAUUAAUUAUUUACAUAAAAAAUUAUUAAAAUUUUAAAAAUCUAAUUUUAAAAUAUAAAUUAUAAAAAUCAUAAAAAAUAUUUUAAAAAUAUUAAAAAUGAUAGAAAUUUUUUAAAUGUUAUAAAAAGUUUAUAAAAAUACAGGAAAUACAUUAUUAUAAAAAUAGCAUAAAAUUUUAGAAAUUAUUAAAAAAUACAAAGAAAUACGAAUAAGUUAGAGAAAAUUAUUAAAAAUACAAAAAAUAUUAAAAAUUAGUAGUAACUUUUAUAAAAAUUAUUAAAAUGUUAUAAAAAUUAUAGAUUUUUUUAUUGGUUUGGAGUGUUUGGCAUUUUUAAUUUUAUUUUUUUGGACCUCAUACCAAAUGCCUCCGUUUCCACUAAAGACCCUACUUACAAAAAGGGAGAGAAACAAUGAAGCACGAGACAGAGUCGAGCGUCCUUAAUCACCCACUAGAAGACACUGUAAGAGAGCAGAGGUUCAGAGCCACCUUAGACAAAUCAAAAUUAACCACCAGCGACAUUCCCAAAACAAUACUCAAACAAUGACUAAAUCGUUAAAGGUUUUGGAUCUGACAAAUAAACAGAAAAAUAAGAAAAGUAGCAUAUGGAGGCUUUAGGCACCACCACCCAUCCACCAUCUGGGAGUAGCAGUAAAACACUCACAAAAAAAGGAACACUAGCGUCAAAACACAUCAGUCCUCCUCAACAAUGGUUUGCUUGUGAGAAGAGAAAAAAAAAUAUAUAAAUAAAAGAGCCACGAAAGCUCAAACAAGGCCCCCAAAAAGGGUUUUUAAAUUGAGAGAAGGAUAUCAAAAAAUAGAGCAGAAGACAAGACCCCAAAAGAGAUUAUUAAAUCGAGAGGAUGACAUUAAAAAAUAGAGCAAAACAAGGAGGACGACGACCAAUAUCCGACAACAAGUGUUUGGCCAUCUAAAUCGAGAAACAAAAAUAUGACCUGGAGCAACAGGCAACCAAAGCAAGAGAAACAGGAAAUUGAGAAUACAAUGAUACAAAGCAACAUAGCCUCUAAUCCCUUGCUCCAUUAGCUUAAAACAAGGUCCCAAUAACACGAAAUAAACCAUUAAAACGUGGGAAUCCACAUUCUCUUGACUUUUUACAACAUGAAAAUUAGGGGUGAGUAUUCGAUCUAGUCGAGUCAAAAAAUUUUGAGUUGGUCGAGUUGAUGAACCCUAUUUUAGCAACCGAACUCAAUUUGAAUUUUUUCGAUUCGAAUCGAGUCAACAAAUUUGGAGUCAAGUUAACGAAUCCUAUUAUUUAUGCUCAAUAUUGUGUUUAUAUGGACCUAUUAUUUAACUAGUAGACGAAAUAUAAGAUUAUUUAACUAUGUAAACAAUAUAAUAGUUUUGCCUUUUAACCUAAUGAGUAAACAUUUAUCAAAAUGACAUAGCCUUAUCUUUUCUUAUUCGGAUUUUCGAAUAAUUCGAAUAUGAAUUACACAAUUCAUAUUUAAGUUAAACCGAAAAACUUAAUUUUUUUAUUUGAGUUUAUCCCAAUAAUUUGAUAAACUCAAAUAACUUGAAUCAUUAAUAACUAUUAUUUAAUGACUGAAAUCUUAAUUUUUUCUAUUUAAAAACAAUACUUGAAGUCCUCAUCUCACGUUAUGUUAUUGACAAAAAUAUUUAAAAAGUUUUAAGUCCAAAACCUAGUUUGAAUUACAAUCAUUUAAUAAUUAUUAUCAUAUUUAAAAUUAGUAGUAACUUUUAUAAAAAUUAUUAAAAUGUUAUAAAAAUUAUAAAUUUUUUUAUUGGUUUGGAGUGUUAGGCAUUUUUAAUUUUAUUUUAUUUGGACAUUAGAGUCUUUGUUUUAGUAAUAAGGAAAUGGGGAGAUUGAAGUGCGAUGAUCAAACUUGUGAGGGGUUUGAGAAACCAUGGGUUUAGUACUUGAUGGCUUAAAGUGAGCGAUCAAUAGAGGUGUUCAUGGACCUAUACUGUUCAAAAAAUAAAAAAAUGUUAAAAAAAGUUUUUCUAAAUAUUAUAUAUAUAUUAUAAUUAAAUUAAAAAUAUAUUUUUAUUAUUUUUAAAAUGGUGAAACGAAUCAUUUUGGCGAGCUAAGUCUAGUUGGGCUCAAGUCUAAAAAGUUUUAUGAAAUUAAGCUUAAGUUAUACUCAACCCAUGAACACAUCUAGUGAUAAAUAAUGAUGUUGUAUUUGAGGAAAGAUGAUGCAAAAGACAUUGAUAAGGAAGGGUUGAUAUAUGAUGUAUGACAAUGCGUGAGAGAAAACAAAAAUGUGUAAAAAUUUUAAAUUUUUUUAUAACUUUUUCUUUAAUUUUAUAUUUCUUUAUAGUAUUUGAAUAGUUUUAAUAAAUUUUAUAUAUUUUUUCUAAAAAAAUUUAUAACAUUUUAUAUUUUUCUAUAUUUUUAAUGUCUUAUAAUUGUUUAUAAAUUUAUAAUAAUUUUUAUGAAUUUUUAAUUUAUAUUUAAAAACUAGAUUUUUUUAGAAUUUAAAAAUCGAAACAAUUGAAUAGGUGGAAUCGCUUCUUUAAAAAAUAUUUUUUUAUAUUUUUAUAAUCUUUAAUUAUUUAUUUGAUCGUUGUUAGUUUAGUUGUCGAACCGAUUGAAUUAACUGGUUCAUCAAAAAGUGUCACAUCAUCAAAUUUUUAUAUUUCUCAAGUGUUUGUAUCAAAAUAGAUUAAAUUGCUAAGUUUAAGAGGCAAAAGUUAUAUUAUCCGAAAAAAUAUAGAUUAAAUUAAAAAUAAAUAUGUGUCUUUCUAUAUGUCGUUAAUAUGCUGCAACGGUAAAGAUUAAGGUAUUCUGUUUUGUAAUAUUUGUCAAUUACUACUUGGAAGACAAGGCUGAAAAUUACUUAAACAAUCACUAAAUAAUUAUUUCAGUCCUCCUCAUUAAUUGUAAGGCGGCUUAUAAUAAUAUGUUAAUUUUGAAGGCUUCAGAAAGAAAGACGACAGUCAUUUCUAUUAAAUUAUCACUUAACUCCAAAUUUAAAGUAAAACAAAAGCUGCAGAAUGGAUUCAAUAAUGGGGAACUUUUUUCAAUUUUAGAAGUAAAACCUAUCCAAUGCAUAAUAGAUUUUUUAGAAUCAGAAUUAAAUUGACACAGUAUAUAAAUAUUAAGGAUUAAAGUUGCUAUUAUAUAAAUUUUAAAAGUUGUUAUUGUUAGCCAAUCGGUGAUUAAAAAGAUAAAAUUAAAUAAUUGGGUGAUCAAAAAAAAAUUUAUUAAUAAUUGGAUGAUUACUAAUGUAGUUUACCCUAACAUUAAAAUGUAUAAAAAUAUUAAAAUAAAAUUUUGAUUCAACUGAUAAAUUUAAUAUAUUUAUCAUUUCAAUUAAAACUUUAUUAUUUUUAAUACUUUUAUUGUAUAUAUUUGUUUCAACCGCAUAAUAUAAUAUAAUAUUAAUUUAAAUUUAAAUUAAAAAAUAAAUAUCUUAAAGCCGACCCACCUGGUAAAGUUCCUCAUCAUAAUGUUUCAGGACUGCAAUCGGACAAAGGUUAUUUGCCCAAUUUUUUACUUGUCACAAUCAACGUGUUACAAGCGAAGUGAUUGUAUUUUGGCAAUAAUACUUAAAUAAUCACUGCAUAAUUACGACAUAAAAAAAUAAUAUUUAAUAUCUACAUCUUUCAUUAAUUUAAUUAAUUUUUUUAAUUUUAAAAAAUUAGUUUAUUUGUUGGAUAUGGAAAUUAUAAUAUAUAAAUACAAAUGAAAUAUCUGGAUUCAGUGGUAAGAGAAGAAAACAAGAGUGGCUUGAUGGAGCUUGUAAUUCUUGUCCCAUGGUGUUUCUUCCUCAUAGCUUUAACAAAGUUCCUUUAUCAUUACCUGUGGGUACCUCUUCGCAUACAGCAUAUGAUGAAUUCACAGGGAAUCAAAGGACCUCCUUACAGAUUCAUCCAUGGCAACAACAAAGAAGUUACCAAAAUGAGAAAGGAAGCAUUAAGCAAAGCUGUGGGCUUGACAGAUGAUUUAUUUCCCAGAUUACAACCGCAUAUUUAUUCCUGGAUCAAUACAUAUGGUGAAGUGGAUGCUUGUUUUUUCACCAUGAUUUAUUAUAACUUCUGCUUAUCUAGCUUUAAGAAAAAGAUGGACACUUUUUGUUUUUUGUUGUGUGAUUAGGGAAGAAUUUUGUCUAUUGGAAUGGCGUUCGAGCUGAAGUGGUGAUUUCAGAACCUGAAUUGAUCAAAGAGGUUAUGAAAAAUAGUGAGAACAUUUUUCAGAAAAGGAAGCUUACGGAUGUUGGUGCGAAGCUACUGGGAAAUGGGCUUGUGUUCAUUGAGGGAGAAAAAUGGGCAAAGCAUCGAAAGCUGGCCAAUCAUGCUUUUCAUGGGGAAAGCCUAAAGGUAAAUCCUCCAAAUCUAUAAAUUAGUUGUAAUUAAUUUAUAAGAAUUAUACAUAGAUUUCGUCAUUAAUCUUUAUCAUAUGUAGAAGCCCAAUUUCGCCCGGGCCCAUUUACAAAAUAAACAAACCAUUCAGACCCAAAAAUAACUAAACCCCAAACAGCCCAAAUACAAGCCCAAUUACCCAAACCCAUUUCCAGCAGCCCAAAACAAACAAAACAAAAAAUCAGAAAACCCUACCCCUAGGUGCGCCGCACCUAGGGUCUUCUGACCCUUCUGUCCACCUGCCGCCACCUGCACCGCCGCUGCCUCCAACCACCACCUGCAAAAUCAAAAAGCAAGAAGUGACAGCAUAUAGAAUAGAUUAAAAAAAUAUGUAAAAAUCGGUUAUAAAGACCGAAAAAUGAAACCUUUGUAGCUUCUUCACAAACAGUUAAUAAAAAACAACAAUAGUGAAUACAAAAAGCAGAUCAAAAGAAAAAGGUUAACUACAUCAUCUUCUUCUUCCUUUUUUUUACGUUUUUUAUUUCAUUUUUUUUAUUUUCUACAAACCUUUUUAAACAAAAACAAAAACCUUACCUACGCCGCGCCGGAGAGAGGGGAAGGUGAGCGGAUACCUCCUUUUCUUUUCGGUUUUGGCUCAACUUUCAAAGGAUUUGGCUUUGAAUACGAGUUCUAGGGGAGUUUGGCUUCAAACGGGGCUAAAAAGAGGUCUAUUUUGCACCUCCGGCCGCCGCUUGCGGCGGGGAUACGGCGGAGGUGUGCUAGCUCCUUUUGCCAGACCUAGGCCGGAGCUCAGAGGGCUGGGGAGCCUAGGAGUAUUCUCAGUUUUUUUUAGAAGCUGUUAAAAAAAUGAACUUUUAGGGGUUUUUUUUUAGGUUUUAUAAGUAUUUUAAAACGGCGCCGUUUUGAUAUUAAGGGUCAGGUGUCGUUUUGGCCCUGACUCGCGCGGUGACCCGACCCUGGGGGAGGAUCCGCGCGUUUUCACCUGGGGGGCUAUUUGUGCAAUAGAUCCCUCCACCUUUGCGGUUUGCUUCAAUGCGGUCUUUUGUUUUUUUUAUUAUUUUGGCCUGAGAAUUUUACUUCUAUUUCGAUUUGGUCCUUAGACCAUGUGCUGCCCCUAGUUGAAGCUCAGCGUUUCAGGACUGGGAAAUAUUUCCCCACAAGUCCCUCACGCUUUAAUCGCAUUUUACUUCAGUCCUGCACUAUUCCUUUUGUUUAUUUACAUAUUUAAACCCGAAGUUCGUUUGAAGUUUUAAUUUAGUCCUUUUGUAUUUUUUUAAUUUCUUAUUAAGUAAUAAAUUUGAUGUUAUACUGUUAUUAUUAAUUAUUAUUGCUGUUAUUUGCUCAUUUAUACCUUUAAAAUUUUAAAUUUUAUCAUAUAUAUAUGUAUAUACUUAUUUUUAUUUUUUAUAUUAUAUAAUUUAUAUCUAUAUAUCUAUAUACAUAUUUUUAUUCCUAAAAAUACAUACACAUACCUAUAUGUUUUUAUGUUUUCAUAUAGUUUUUAUAUACAUACAUAUUCUUAUAUACACAUACAUAUAUUUUUAUACUUUAUAAUUCUAACAUACAUAUAUAUAUAUUAUAAUUUUAUUCAUUACUAUUGUUUCAUUUGGUGUUUAUUUAUUUAUUUACAUGCUCAUUAUUAUUAUUAUUUACUUAAGUGUUUUAGUUUUUAUUUGUUUAUUUACUUUUAUUUGUGUAUACAUUGUUGAUUUCUUUUUAUUAUAUAUUUGUCAUCUUAUAUUUAUUUAUCUUUUCUUAUUUUGCUUGUAUUAUUUUAUUUGCAUUAUCAUCAUUAUUAUUAUUUUACAUUCAUUUUUUACUCGGAUUCGUCAAAAUACAGAAAAUUUUAAAAUAAAAAUCAUAUUUGAUAUUUAGGAUCCUUUAGAGAAUCGAGCCUUAACGUAUUAGGUUUUGAUUUCCUUCGUUGAAUCUAAAUAAUCAAAACUAUUUUUUUAAAACAUCUCUAAAAGCUCGUUAUUGGGAAUUCAAUAUGUCGUGUUCUAAUACAUUGAAUAUGACACGUUUUCUCGAGACGAUGAUUUUUCUUAUAAAUAUAAUAUUCAAUGUUUAAUAUUUUGAGAAAUUGUAUCCUAACGUAUUGGUUUGUAAUUUUUUCACAUGACUUAAACAAUUGAAUACCAUUUUAAAUUUUAUUCUGUAAGUUUUUAGAUAAGUUCAUUUCGGAAGAGGUAAAAUAUCGUGCCUUAACUCAUUUGGUGUGACAUUUUUUCUUUCUGAAACGAGAGGGUCUUAAUGAGUAACUUGAUCUAUAUAAGUUUUUUUUAAAUAAUAAUAAAUAAAAGAUCCUAUUUUGGAUCUCUUUAAAUUAUUUAAUUUUCGACAUUAAGAUAUUAAUUAAUUAACUAGGUAUUAAUUUUUUGAGCAUUACGAGAGUGUUAAUCCUUUGCCGUACGUAAUUGGCUUCCGAAUUUGUUUUUUUGAAUUUCGUGGACUAAAAUCGUUGUUUUAAUAAAAUCAAAUUAUUUAUUAAAAACAAUCACUUUUCGAGGUGAUUUAAUCACACUUCAUUAAAAAAGAUUGGUGGCAAUUCUUGUUUUCGUUUUCGUUUUUUUAAAAAAAAAUUUAAGUUGAUCCUGUUUUCAUUCAAAAAUGGUGUAAACAUCCUAUUAAUUAAAUUUGUUGAUUGCUCUUUUAAAGAAAAGUCAAAUCACUUUUUUAAAUUAGGAUACUAAUAAAAAACCUUAAAUUUCUUUUAGAGAUGCUGGCAUGAUAACUCAUGUGACAGUUUACAUAUAUUUCAUACUAACAUAACGUUAUUUGUUUUAUAUGUUACACUAACAAAUAAUUUAAAAGUUAUAAAAAUAUUUAAAAUUCAAAAAAUAUAUGAUAAAAAAAUUCAUAAAUAUUCAAAAAAUUAACAUGGAGUACCUAUAAAUUGUUUACAGGGUUGCAAUAUAUAAAAAUUUAACAUUUCAAUUAGUAUUUUAAUUAAAAAAACAACAAUUCAAUUUUUUUUUAAAUGUUAAAAGAUCAAAUUCGACUUUUUUUUUUAAAAAAAUUGAAGCCUAAAUUAGCUUUUUUAUGAUUUUACUACUUAAAUAUUGUUGACUAAAUCUUAUGUUGCUACUACUUAAUUUUGGAGGGUUGUUUGGGCAGAACAUGACUCCAGCAAUAAUUGUUAGUGUUGAAACAAUGCUAGAAAGGUGGAAAGGCCAAGAAGGCAAAGAGAUUGAAGUGUAUAAUGAAUUUAGAUUAUUGACUUCGGAAGUGAUUUCAAGAACAGCUUUUGGUAGCAAUUACUUGGAAGGGGAGAAGAUUUUUGCCAUGUUGAGCAAGUUGACAAUACUCGUGAGUCAAAAUAUUUCCAAGACUAAGAUUCCUUUCAUCAAGUAUGUUCCCUCUAACCUUAGUUAAUCCCUAUGGCUUUAAUUUUUUUUUUUUUUAUAUAGAGAGCUGACCUUUGUUUGCUUAUACAGCAAGUUAUGGAAAUCUGCUGAAAUGCUAGAGUCUGAAAAACUCGAAAAAGGAAUACAAGAUUAUGUGAUGGAGAUGAUUAAGAAAAGAGAAGAUAAAGUCGUGAGUGGAGAAGCUGAUAGCUUUGGCAAUGAUUUUCUGGGAUUACUAGUAAAUGCUUAUAAUGAUUUGGACGAUAAAAACAGGGUUUCAUUGGAAGACUUGGUAGGUGAAUGCAAAACAAUCUACUUUGCUGGACAAGAAACUGUCAAUUCAUUGCUUGCAUGGAUAGUCUUGCAUUUGGCAAUCCAUGGAGAUUGGCAAGAGAAAGCAAGGAGAGAGGUGAUUGACAUAUUUGGUAACCAAAAUCCGCAUCUCGAAGGCAUUGCCAAACUCAAAAUAGUAAGCAAACUAUCUAACUGGAAAUUCAAAUUGCCAUCAACAUGAUGUAAUCUGACAUGUUUUUCUAUUUUCCAAACAGAUGACCAUGAUCAUCAAUGAAACUCUAAGAUUGUAUGGUCCGUCAAAUGGCCUGCCAAGAACAGUCGCAAGAGAAGUACAGUUGGGAAAGUUAGUCUUGCCUGCUAAUAUAGAUGUUCUGUCUUUAAAUAUUGGACUUCACCGUGACCCUCACUUGUGGGGGGAUGAUGUGCAUCUUUUUAAACCAGAGAGAUUCGCCGAAGGGAUUGCCAAAGCUACCAAUUACACCGCAGCUGCAUUUUUCCCCUUUGGAUUCGGACCUCGAUCUUGUGUUGGUAUGACCCUUGCAACCAUAGAAACCAAAAUUGCUCUGUCCAUGAUUCUACAACGUUACACCAUCACCAUUUCCCCUGCCUAUGUCCACUCUCCAAUACCUAUUCUCACCAUUCGACCACGACAUGGAAUUCAAAUAAUACUUGAGCCGCUGCAUAGCUGUUAAGAACUAGGGGCUUAAUAUUGUUGGUUCGUGUAUUCACUUGUAAGAGAUGACAUUCAGUGUAUCUAAGGUGUUACAAACUUAAUAAAAAGAAAGAGGAAUGAAUUACUAUGUGAAAGAAAUAAUAUUACUUCUUAAUUUUCAUUAGGUUAGAUAAUCUAUUUAUAAUAGAAACUAGAUACACGAAUAAGGAAAGAUAUGAUAUAAAAUUGUGCUAUUAAAUUAGAUACAAAUAAGGAAAGAUAUGGUAUGAAUUACUUAUGCAAUAUUUCACAUUAACAUCCCCCUCAAACUCAAGGUGGUGUUGUAGAUCUUAGCUUGAUUUUGAAAACUAAGUCUUGAAAUCUAAUUGGAAAAUGACUUUUUAGGAAAAUGAUUGUGAUAUGAGCUGAUGAGGAGACAGAAGCAUGGUGUAUGUGCCCUAAGUAACAUGAUGUCGUACAAAUGAAAGAGAAAACCAUCAUUAUCAAAGAAAACUUCAAGGACCAAAAGAGGAGGAAUUAUCAUCGAUCAUAGAGGUGUCAGUCACCAAAGAAAACAUUAGUGCUUAUGAUCCCUCAUACUGAACGCCUCCGUUUCCACCAAAGACCCUACUUACAAAAAGGGAGAGAAACAAUGAAGCACGAGACAGAACCGAGCGUCCUUGAUCACCCACUAAAAGACACCGUAAGAGAACAGAGGCUCAGAGCCACUUAAACCAAUCAAAAUUAACCACCGCGACAUUCCCAACACAACACUCAAACAAUAACUAAAUUGUUAAAUAAACAGAAAAAUAAGAAAAGUAGCAUAUGGAGGCUUUAGGCACCGCCACCCAUAAAAGGAUCACUAGCAUCAAAACAAAUCAGUCCUCCUCAACAAAGGUUUGCUUGUGAGAAGAGAAAAAAAUAUAUAAAUAAAAGAGCCACGAAAGCUCAAACAAUACGUGCCCUAAGAUUGUAAAAUCUACUUAAACAUUCAAAAGGCCUCUCAACAAUUCAAACGUUCUAUACUUUUUGUAUUCUAAACUUUAAUUUUAAUUUAAAUAAUACCAGUUAAAUCAAUUAACAAAAAUAAGAUGAUUUUUUUUGUAAAUAUUAUAUGAAAAUGGUAAGUGAAUGUCACUUUACGGCGUAACAUUUAGCCAUUGUUGACUGAUUGCAUUUGCGGUGACGUGUGGUAGAUGGCUCCCUUAAAAUAUCCAUAAAUAUAAAAAUUUUGUAGGUCCAAUUAACUUUUGUAACUUCAAAGAACAUCAGCAUUAGCCAUUAUUUUAUUAUAAGGCGAAAUAUGUGAUUGUCGUGUAAGGCCAAACAACCAUUAUUUAAUGACUGAAAUCUUAGUUUUUUCUAUUUUCAAACAACACUUGAAGUCAUCAUCUCACGUGAUGUUGUUGACAAAAAUAUUUAAAAAGUUUUUAAGUCCAAAACCUAGUUUGAAUUACAAUCAUUAAUAAUUAUUAUAAUAUUUAAAAUAAAAAUAAAUAAAUGAUAAUUAUUUAAUUUAGGAGUAAGUAUAUAUUAAAAUUUUCUUAUUAAUAAAAAUAAUUAAUAAAUAUCUACUUAAUUUUUUAAAACAUCCCUCAAAACCAAGAUCACUAAACCCACCAUUUUAUUUUUCAAUAUAAUCAUAUUUAAUUUUUAUACUUUUUGUAUUUUGAAAUUUCAAUCUUAAUUCAAAUAAUAUCUGUUAAAUUUAUUAACAAAAACAACAUGAUUUCUUUUAAUAUUAUAUGUUAAUAUCAGUGAUAAUAUAUUUAUUGUAUAAAAUUAUUUAAAAUUAAAAUUUAAAAUUUAAAUUUAUACAAAUAAAAACCUAUAGCAUAUUUUAACUUAAUUCUAAUAUGAAAUUUCAAUCGUUCUUUUGUGAUUAUUGAUUUUCUAGCCAUUGUUGUCUAAUUGCAUUUCAUAAAUAUAAAAAUUCGAGUUUUAUUAAUAAUCAGAAGUCAACCAAAUCAAUAACCACAAAAGGCCUAAUACCCUGGGAAAUGUAGUAUAAUUAAGUUAUCAUUUUGAUAUUUUUACUAUUUUUCUCAGUUUAGUCCCUACACUUUCAUUCUAUAUAUCCCGCUAUUUCAAUCUAUUUUUGUUAAAAAAAUUAAACCAAUCAAUGACACUUGUCACGUGUAAAAAAUUUAGAAAAUACUUGAAAGUUAAAAAGAUAUUAAAAUUUUAAAAAAAUUAUAAAAAAAUUCCCCAAAUCCAAAAAUAUUAGAACUUAGAAUAUUUUAAAAUUUUAAAAAAUCAUAACUUUUUGAGUUUUAAUAUUUUUGUGGAAUUUAUAAAACUAUGAUUUUUUAAAUUUAAAAAAGUUUUUAGUUUUUCUAUAUUUUAAAAUUUUAAAGUGAAUUUAAAUAUUUUGACACGUGACAGCAUGUCAUUGAUUGCUAUAGUUUUUUUUUUAAACAUAAAUUUAGAUUGGGUCAAGGGAAAGUUGAUAGAAAUUUUACAUUACGGUCCAAUUUAAAAGCAAAACGAGCUCUGGGAUAUAAUAGAAUGCAAAGAAUUAAAGGAGUCAUAAGUCCAAAUACUAAAGAGAGUUGAGAGAAUCAAAAUGAGUGGCUUGAUGAAGCUUGUAAUUCUUGUCCCAUGUUCUUUGUUCUUCGCAGCUUUAGUAAAGUUCCUUUAUGAUUACCUGUGGAGACCUCUCCGUAUACAGCAAAUGCUGAAUUCACAGGGAAUCAGAGGACCGCCUUACAGAUUCAUCCAUGGCAACAACAAAGAAGUUGCCAAAAUGAGACAAGAAGCAUUAAGCAAGCCUAUGGCCUUGAGGCAUGAUAUAUUUCCUAGAGUGCAUCCACAUAUUUACACCUGGAUCAACAAAUAUGGUAAGAUCCAUGCAUGUUUUUCACUAUGAUUUCUAAAUUCUAGUUCUAAGAAAAGAUUGACCCUUUUGUUUAUUUUAUUUGGUCAGGGAAGAAUUAUCUUUCUUGGGAUGGUGUUCGAGCUGAACUUGUGAUUUCAGAACCUGAACUAAUCAAAGAGGUUCUAAAAAAUAGUGAAAAAGCUUUUCCCAAAAGGAAGCUUACAGUUUUCCUUACCAAGCUAGUAGGGAACGGGCUUGUGACAGUGGAGGGUGAAAAAUGGGUGAAGCAACGGAAGUUGGGGAAUUAUGCUUUUCAUGGGGAAAGCUUAAAGGUGAGACACUCUUAACAUGUGAAUUAGUUCUCUAAAUCUUGCUUACAUAUGUUGUUGCUUACAUGUUGAUGGCUUGUUUGUGCAGAACAUGACACCGGCAGUUAUUUCCAGCGUUGAAACAAUGCUAGAAAAGUGGAAAGGCUAUGUGGGCAAAGAGAUUGAACUGUUUGAAGAAUUUAGAUUAUUAACUUCAGAAGUGAUAUCGAGAACAGCUUUUGGUAGCAGUUACUUGGAAGGGCAGAAAAUUUUUUACAUGUUGAGCAAGUUGGCAAUAAUUGCGAACCGAAAUCUUUUCAAGACCAGAAUUCCUUGGAUCAGGUAUGUUCCCUCUAAGCUUAAUUUAUCCCUAAUUUAAAAUUGUUGAUUCCCAUGGAUUUCGGGUUUUUUUUUUUCCCAUAUAUAGACCUAACCUUGGUUUCCUUUUACAGCAAGUUAUGGAAACCUGCUGAUGUUCUUGAGUCAGAAGAACUUGCAAAUGAAAUACAGAGUUGUGUGAUGAAGAUGAUUAAGAAAAGAGAAGACAGAGUUGUGAAUGGAGGAGCUGAUAGCUUUGGCAAUGAUUUUCUAGGAUUACUUGUAAAUGCCUAUCAUGAUUUGGACGACAAAAACAUGCUUUCAUUGGGAGACUUGGUAGAUGAGUGCAAAACAUUCUACCUUGCUGGACAAGAUACUGUUAAUUCCUUACUUGCUUGGACAAUCUUCCUUUUAGCAAUCCAUGGAGAUUGGCAAGAGAAAGCAAGAAGAGAGGUAAUUGACAUAUUUGGUAACCAAAAUCCACAUUCUGAAGGCAUUGUCAAACUCAAAAUUGUAAGUGUCUUCCAUGAAUUUGAAUAGUGACAGCAACAUUAAAUUAUGUGAUGUAAUCUGACAUAUUUCUAUUCUACAAACAGAUGACCAUGAUCAUUAAUGAAACUUUAAGAUUAUAUGGUCCAGCAAAUGGCCUAAUGAGAAAAGUUGGAAGAGAAGUUCAGAUUGGAAAGCUAGUGUUACCUGCUAAUAUAGAUCUUUAUAUUGUAAAUGUUGUACCUCAACAUGACCCUCAACUAUGGGGAGACGAUGUGCAUCUUUUUAAACCAGAGAGGUUCGCAGAAGGAAUUGCCAAAGCUACCAAUUACAAUGCAGCUGCAUUUUGUCCCUUUGGAAUUGGACCUCGGUCUUGUGUUGGUAUGAGCUUUGCAACCAUGGAAACAAAGAUUGCGCUCUCCAUGAUUCUUCAACGCUAUACCAUUUCCCUCUCCCCUGCUUAUGUCCACUCACCAAUAUCUGUUGUCACCAUUCAACCAGAACAUGGAAUUCAAGUAAUACUCAAGUCACUGCACAGCAAUGUUUAAUGUACAUGGUUGCUAUGAAUUCAGGGUUUAACCUUGCUGGUUUAGGAUUUCUUGUUUAAGAGAUUGCAUUUAAUAUGUUAAUUAAAUGCUUACUUUACAAUUUCGUGUGUUACAAAUCACCUACUUAAAUUGUCUACGCUGUAUCUUUUUAUCUAGAAAAAAAAAUCUCCCCCAACAAGAUGCUUUGCAUACCGAAUGGUGAGAACGAUGUAGAAGAUUCAAGAAAUAAGUCAUUAAAAAAUCGCGGAAAGGACUAAAUUGAAAUCGCGGAAAAAUCGUGGGGUAAAAUUAAAAAAAUAAAAGUACUUGGUUGUAAAGCCAUUAAAAAGCAGAAGGGCUAAAGGUACAAUUAAUCCUCCAACAAAACGGUCGGAUCCUUGGCGGUUCGGUCGGGUCGAUCCGAUCUAGGUCAAAACGACGUCGUUUUGGGCGUUUUGGAGCUGGGCCAAAACGGCGCCGUUUUAUGCGCCUAUAUAAGCCAAGUUUUUUUUUUUUAAUUUCAUUUUCCCUUUCUUUAAAAAAAAAAUUCAAAAACACUCUCCCCUUUCCUCUCUUCCCCAGAAAUCGGCAAGCCUUCGGCAAGGGCUCCGUCCAUCGGCCACCGACCGACAGCCGGGGCUGCCGUACACGGCGGCGGGGAGCCAAAAAAUUUUAUUUUUUUUUCGAUGCACUGCCUUGGCUACCUUGAGCAACCACCGAUGAAAGUAAAAAAAAAUCUUUCCUUUUUCUUUUAUUUAAUAUUUCGAAAUAAUAAUAAUAAAAAUAAACGAAAACAAAAAUAAAAAAAGGCACCUUUAGUUUUUUUUUUUUUUGAAUCUCUUUUUCUAUUUCUCCAAAAAAAGAACCCCCUUUUACAAUGUUCGAAUGACUUUAUAUAUAGUCAUUUUACAAUUUUUGGUUCUAUUUAUUUUUGCUGUCCUUUCUUUCUGAUUUUGCAGGUGCAAGUGGCGGAACAGUUGGGCGGUGCAGGUGGCGGCAGCAGGCCUAGGGCGUUAGGGACGUGCGGCGCCUGAGCUAGGAGGCAGAAGACCCUAGGUGCGGCGCACCUAGAGUUUUGUUUAUUUUUUGUUUUUUCUGUCAUGUGGGCUGCUAGGGUUUAGGGUAUUGGGCCUGCUGUAAUUUGGGCUCUUUUAUUUUUGGUCUGAUUUGGGGUUUGGGUUUUAAUUAAUUUGUUUGAAUCUUAUUGGACCCCGGGCAAAAUUUGGGUCUUACAAUAUUAAUUAAAUGCUUACUUUACAAUUUCGUGUUUUACAAAUCACAUACUUAAAUUGUCUAUGUUGUAUCGUUUUAUUAAAAAAAAAAAAAACUCUCCCACAACAAGAUGUUAUGCAUACCGAAUGGUGAGAACGAUGUAGAGGAUUCAAGAAAAGGGUAAAUUUUGGGUACACAAAUGAUAAUGUUGGCACUAGAGGUGUCCAUGGGCCGGGCUCGGGCCGGGCCCAACAAAAAAUUUCAGCCCGCUUCCUAGGCUCGGGCCCGGCCCGGCCCGAAAUAUGGGCCUGAGAUUUUGCCCAGGCCCGGCCCGGGAAAAAAAUAUGGAACCCGAGCCCGGCCCGGCCCGCUUUUUAAUUAAAAUUAAAAUUAUAUUUUUAUUAAAAUUAAAACUAAUUGUUAUUAAAAUUAAUUGUUAUCAAAAUUAAUUAUUAUUAAAAUUGUAUCAAAUUAUAUAUUUUUUGUACCAAUCAACAUUUUGUAAAAUCUAACAUUUUGUUAGUAAAAUUAUUAAUUGUAUUAAUUGUUACUAAAAUUAUCAAAUUAUAUCAAAUUAUUAAUUAUUAAUUGUUACUAACAUUUUGUUAGUAAAAUUAUUAAUUGUUAAUUGUAUUAAUUAUUAGUAAAAUUAUCAAAUUACAUCAAAUUAUUAAUUGUUAAUUGUAUUAAUUGUUGUAACAAAAUCUAAAAUUUUGUAACUUAAAAUAAAACUAAAACUAGUAUAUUUUAAAAAUAAAAAAUAUAUAUUUAAUAUAUUUUCGGGCCGGGCCCGGGCCAAAAAAAUCUUGCCCGAGGCCCGGCCCGUUUUCUAAACGGGCCUCGUUUUUUGCCCAAGCCCAUACUUCGGGCCUAUAUUUUUACCCAAACCCUCCCAUAUUUCGGGCGGAGAUACAACCCAAUGCCAUCAAUAUUUUCCCAACCAUUGAUUUUGAUGCGUGAGUUUUGUAAAUCAUUCCAUUCCUUCAACCACAACAUAGAAUUCAAGUAAUACUUGAGCCGCUGCAUAGCUGUUAAGAACUAGGGGUUUAACAUAGCUGGUUCGAGUAUUCACUUGUAAGAGAUGACAUUUAGCAUGUCUAAGGUGUUACAAACUUAAGAAAAAGAAAAAGGAAUGAAUUUCUUCGUAAAAGAAAAAAUAUUACUGCUUAAUUUUCAAACUUUGUUUUUGGAAUUUUGGAUUACCCAAUCCAAGUUCAAUGUAAACCUUAUGCAUAAAAAAUACAAUAUAUAAUUGGUCACACCAACACAACGAUCCAAAAAAACACUCACAUAUUUUAAUAAUAAUUAUAUUUAUCUAAAUAAUCAUAUCUCUUAAUUAUUAAUCAAUAGAUACAAUUAUACUUGUUUUAAUAAUUAAAAAAAAAAUAACUUUUCACCAAUAACUGGUCAGCUAUAAUUUGGAACGUUUCCAUUUGGUCAAAUUUCGUAAUUAAACUAAUUUGCUGAAGUGAACAAAGCGUUAUAGGCAGUGAUGUUUGUUAAGUUCUAAUAUAAUAUAAAUUUAUGUAAUAAUAUUCAUACAAAAUAUAAUUAAAAUAAUAUUUAUUCUAUGAAAUUAAUUUUAAAUAUUUUAAGAAAAAUUUAAAAGUUGAAUUCAAAGUAGAAAUAAAUAUAUAAAAAUAAUUUAAGAAAAAUUUGAAGUCAAAUUCAAAAUAUAAUAAUAUAAACAAUAAAAAUAUAAUCUUUCUAUUUAAAAUUUCUAAAGUCAAUUUAGUCUUAGUCAUCCUCAUUCUAUGUUUUCUUUUUUUAUUGUUAGUGUCAGUUUUUCUAUCUAACUCCGUAAAUAUAUUAUUGCAAGACUUGCAUUGUCUUGUACCAUUCGAGAUAACAUGCAGCACUUGAUGAAAGUCAUUUCCAAAAAAAUUUUAUACUAAGUGGUAGAAAGAGUCAAAAUUGGUUGCUCAUUCUUUCAAUAAAUCCCUUAUUCAUAGGUCUAAUUAACUUUUGUAACUUCAAAGAACAUCAGCAUUAGCCAUUAUUUUAUUAUAAGGCCAACACUAGUCUUAAUUUUUUCUAUUUUCAAAUAAUACUUGAAUUCCCCAUCUCACGUUAUGUUAUUGACAAAAAUAUUUUAAAAGUUUUUAAGUCCAAAACUUAGUUUGAAUUACAAUUGUCGAAAUCUUUUUUUUUAAAAAAAUGGGGUCGACUUGGAUUUUGAAAACGAAACGAAUAUAGAAGUCGCCAUCAAUCUUUUUUGAUGAUGUGUGAUCGGGUCACCUCGUAAAGUGGUUGUUUUUAAUAAAUGGUUUAGAUUUAUUAAAACAAUGUUUUUGGUCUGCGAGAUUCAAAAAAAUGGGUUCGGGAGUCGGUCACGUACAAGGAAGGAUUAGCACCCUCAUAACGCCCAAAAUUGGUACCUAGUUGAUUAAUUAGUGUCUUAGUGUCGAAAAUUGAAAACUUUAAAGAGAUUUAAAAUCCGAUCAUUUGCUAAAAUAUUGAAAAUUUUCAAGAAAGAGCAUAUUUCACGUUAAUCAAGAAAGAGAAUUAUGUCCCGUAAGGUAGGAUACAAUGUCUUAAAUUCCCGAUACGAGAAUAAAUACCGAAAAAUUCACUUAUUUGAAAGAUAUUCGAUUAUCUCGGUUUUAAAAAAAGAUCAUAUUCCGUAAGUUAGAACACGAUCUUUUAUUAAUUCCCGAGAUUAUUAAAAAUUUAUGCUUAAAAAGGUUCGUGUAUUUGGAUUUGUCGAGAAAAUCGAAACCCCGUAAGUUAGGGCACGACCUUUUCGAAUCUCAAAAUACGAAGUUUUACUUAUUUUAAAGUCAUAAUUUAUGUAUCGAGUAAAAUUAAUGUAACACGAAUUGGUAGAAAUAAAGUACGGUGUUAAUAUGUAUAACGAAAAAUAAUAAAUGCGAUAAAAUAAAUAUAAAUAAUAUGAGUGAAAACAAAAAUAAGAUAAAUAAAUAAAUAAAUAAGGACAAAUCAAUUAUGUAUAUACAAUAACAAGUAAAUAAAAAAUAAAACAUUUUUAAAGAAUAAUAAUGGACACAUAAAUAAAUAAGUAAAUUAAUUUAAUAAUAAUAGUAAUAAAAUAAAAAUAUAGAAACAAAAAAAGUACAAAAAAAUAAAGAUAGUUUUAAACACUAAAGUACCAAUAAAUAGUAACUAUGUAUUUAAAAAAAAUAGUAAAAAUAUGAAAGUAAAAUAAAACAAAAUCUAUAUAAAGAAAAUAAUAAUAGCAUAAUAAUAUUACAUUAAUUAAUUUAAUAAAGAAAUAGCCAAAAUAACAAAAAGGACUAAAUUGAGCUUUAAAACAAAAUUUUGGGGCAAAUCAGAAAUAAAUAAAAGGAUAAGGGCUAAAUUGGAUGAUCAAAUAACAAGGAGGGACCAAAUGGGAAAUAUUCCCUAUCCUCCAAAACGCGCAGUUCCAAUAUGGACUAAAAUGAAACAGGUGCAAAAAUUACGGGGUAAAAUUAAAAGAAAAAAGGCAAAGAGGACUAAAUUAAAACAACCCAAAAAUGCCGAAGGACCAAAAGAGUAAAUAACCCUUUUUACACAAAAACACGCGGAUCCUCCUGGAUCGGGUCGGGUCACGCGCGGGUUGGCCCCAAAACGAUGUCGUUUUGGCGGCUGAAGCUAUGGCCCAAAACGGCGCCGUUUUACAUGCCUAUAUAAAUCAAUUUUUUUAAAAAAAAAACUUCAUUUUUGCCUUCUCUUAAAAAAAAACUAAAAUCUCUUCUCUCUUUUUUUCAAAAUCCUCUUCACCCUUCCCAGAAUCCGGCCAUCGGCCGCUGCGCCCACCGCCGGCCACCGGCGACGGUGCCACCAUACAUGAUGGCCGGAAGUCCAAAAGGUACGCUUUUUUAUAUAUUUUUUUUGCUAUAUAUACAUAUAUAUAGUUUUUUUUUUUAAAAAACAAAACAAAAGUAAAAAAUAAAAGGUUUCAGAAACUAAAAGAAAAAAAGGAGAGACAUUUUGCUCGCUCUCUUGUUUUCCUUAAAUAUGCUUGUAAGACCCAAAUUUCACCCGGACCCAUACCAGCAAAACAAAUACAGAAACCCAAUAACCUAGACCAAAACCCAAAGCCCAACAAAAUAAGCCCAAACCCGAAUCAGGCCUAAAACAAUUAGUCAAACUAGGGUUUCAGCUUUUCUGAAAGCCUAGUGCCGCCGCCGUCAUCACAUCAACAAGGCAAGUGGUGCGUUUUCCCUUUGCCAUCGACCUACCCACUGCCACCUGCUCCAUCAACGUCAAAUACCUGUAAACAAGCAAGAAGAAGAGGGGUAGCAACAACAGUAGAAAAUAAAAAAUUUUGUAACAAAUCAGCUAUAAAAAGCCGAAGGUAAUCUCUGAAAAAGGGUUUUUUUUAUGAACAUCAGAGCAUAAAAAGCAACAUUUUAGAGGUGAUCCUCUACUGUUCUUUCAAUAUUAGUUUGAUUUUUUUUAUUUGGUCUUUUUUUGUUUCUUUGUUAUUUAAAUAAUAAAAUAAAAAAUGGAAAAGGAGGACUCACCGGGGAACCCUUGUAACCACAUCGCCGGAUGGGGUCUACGCCACCGUUGGGGCCGCAUCCGAAAGGAGGCUGGGGCUCUCCUCUUGCGUUUCGGCGUUGAGAGGGUUCAACCCCUGAGAGCGCUGUGAAACGAAGGCUAAAAAGCCCAUUUUCUCCAUCGCUGUCCCCGGCCAUGGCGGUCGGGCGGCGGACGGACGGUGGAGCCUUAGGCCGAAAAGGGGUGGGGGUGAGAGAGAGAUGGGGAUUUUUGAAUAUUUUUUUAAAAAAAAACAUAGCAGAAAUGAGGCUAUUCAGAAAAUUUUGGUAUUUAAGGAGGCAUUAAAUGGCAUCGUAUUUGGACUUAGGGUUUAGAGGCCAAAACGACGUCGUUUUGGCCUCUGACCUGCGACCCGACCCGAUGGCCCUGAGGAUUUGUGUGUUUUCGUAAAAGGGGCUAUUUGCGCAAUAGGCCCCUUCGCCUUUGCAAAGUUUUCGAUGCGGUCUUUGUUGCAUUUUCUAAUUUUGGCCACAUAAUUUUGUUUCUUUUUUUAUUUGGUCCAUAGACCAUGCAUAGGUGCCUCCUUGGGGCGACGCCGUUUUGCCGACAUGGGAUAUUUUCCCAAUUAAUCCCCACUUUUCUUUGGGCAUUUGAAAUUGGUCCCUUUAUUUAUUUAUAUUUUAAUCUAUCCUGCUAAUUUAGUUUAAGCUACAAUUAAGCCCUUUUUAUCUUAAUUCUUUAUUUAUUCAUUUAUUUAUUUGUUUGCUUAUUUAUAUCUUUAUUUAAAACUUUGUUAUACACGUACAUACACACAUUUUUAUAAUAUACAUACGCACAUAUAUUUUAUGUUUUAUAUAUUUAUACAUACAUAUGUUUUUUAUAUUCUAUAACUUUAAAAUAUAUGUAUAUAUACAUGCAUUCUUCUAAUAUUUAUGUGUUUUACAUUUUAUAACUCCUAUAUAUAUACAUACAUAUAUUCUUUUUUUUUGUAUAUACUUUAUAAUCUUAAAAUAUACGUAUACUUAUACACAUUUUAUAAUACAUAUAUGUACAUAUAUUUUAUCAUUUAUAUAUACAUAUAUAUUUGUUAUAUUUUUGACAAUUUUAAAAUAUAUAUAUAUAUAUAUAUGCACACAUAUUCUUAUACUCUUUAUAGUUUUAUUAAAUUUAUUUAUUGCAUUUUUGUUUCACUCGAUGUUAAUUUAUUUAUUUGCGUAUAUGUUCGUUAUUAUUUGAAAGGAAUGCCUUAAUUAUUCAUCUAUUUAUUUGAUGUGAUAUGAUCGAUUUGUCUCUCCUAUUAUUUAUCUCGUUUACUAUGUCGUGCGUAUUAUUUAUGCUUACAUUAUCGUGUUCAUCAUUGUUUGCUACGCACAUUAAUGUCAUGCUCUACUAUUCGGAGUUAGAUUAAUUUCAAUGCAUAAAUUACGAUUUUUUGAAUAAGCAAAAUCUCGUGUUUAGAUUCGAGAAGGUUGUACCCUAACUUACGGGGUUUCGAUUUUCACAAUAAAUCUAAAUACAUAAAUCUUUUCAAACUCAAGUUUUAAACGAUCUUGGGAAUUAAGAAAAGAUUGUGUCCUAACUUACUGGGCAUGAUCCCUUUUUUUUUUAAUCCGAGAUAGCUAAAUAUCUUUUAAAUAAGUAAAUAUUUGACAUCUAUUUGCGCAUCGGGAAUUCAAGACAUUGUAUCCUAACUUACUGGAUAUAAUUUUCUUCCUCGAUUAACGUGAAAUAUGCCAUUUUCUCGAAAAUUUUUAACAUUUCAAUAAAGGAUCGUAUUUUUAAAAUUCUUCAAAAUUUUUAUUCUUCGACACUAAGACACUAAUUAAUCAACUAGGUACCAAUUUUUGGGCGUUACGAGGGUGCUAAUCCUUCCUCGUACGUAACCGACUCCCGAACUCGUUUUCCUGAAUUUCGUGGACCCAAAAUCAUUGUUUUAAUAAAAUUAAUUUGUUUAUUAAAAACAACCACUUUUUGAGGUGGCCCGAUCACACCUCAUCAAAAGAGAUUGGUGGCGACUCCCAUUUUCGUUUUCAUUUUCAAAAUCCAAGUCGACCCCGUUUUACAAAAGAAAUGGUGUCAACAAUGCUUUUGUUGCUUUUUGUUCUUUUGUAUAUUUGAAUUUUUGUAUUCAAAAAUGAAAAUUCCUAGAGAGAUACAAUGUUCUUGCUUGGCUUCUUUUAUAGCCAUUUUACACGAUUUUUUUUAUUUCUUGCGUUCACUGUCUUUUCUCUUUGAUGUUUUACAGGUGGCGGUGAAAGUGGAGGGCUUUGACCGACGUGACAGUGGAGAUGGCAACAGGCUAGGAGACCUAGGUGAGGCGCACCUAGGGUUAGGGGGUAUUAGGGUUUUUUGAUGAUUUUGGGCUAUUGGGCUUAAUUGGGUUUUAAUUUUUGUAUUUGGUUUUGUUUGAGUUUUAUUGGGCCUCGGGCAAAUUGGGCCUAUUACAGCUGCCCCUCUUUACUCAUUGUCGUGUAACGGGAAUGGAGCAAAAACUUCAAAAAGAGCCAAUUUUGCCCAAUUUAGCCAAAUCUUGACUUAUUGGUGCUUUUCUUCUUCGGUAGCUUCAUUCCAGUCCACUGCGUCUUGUUACUUCGAUCCAUUCCACUACAACUUCAGAGGAUGAGAUUUGUGGUUUUAGUCUGCUCCACUGCAAUGUUAGGGAGAUAAGACUUGUAACUCCAACCUGCUCCACUGCAAUUGUAGGGAGACCAGAUUUGCUGUCUUCAACCUGCUCCACUGCAACUUCAGAGAGAUAAGAUUCACUAUCUUCAGUCUACUCCACUACAACUUCAGGGAGAUAAUAUUUUAUAUGAUCUGCUCUACUGCAAUUUUAGAGAUAUUAGAUCUGCAAUUUAUAGCUUCAAUCUGUUCCACUGCACUUCAGGGGAAUAAGAUUUGCUAUCUUCAGUUUGCUCCACUGCAACUUUAGGGAGAUAAGACUUACUAUGGUAGAUUUAAUCCGACCUACUGCAACUUUAGAGGUAUAGGAUUCAUCGUUUUAAUCCGCUCCACUGCAACCUUAAGGAGAUAGGAUUAGUAGCUUCAAUCUACUCCACUGCAACUCUAUAAUUACAUCAAUCUCAAAACUCUAUAUUUUUAGAUUUAAUAGCAAAACAAAUAUACAUAAAUAUAAAAAUUUUGUAGGUCUAAUUAACUUUUGUAACUUCAAAGAACAUCAGCAUUAGCCAUUAUUUUAUUAUAAGAUAAGGCGAAAUAUGUGACUGCCGUGUAGGGCCAAACAACCAUUAUUUAAUGAUGAAGUCUUAAUUUUUUCUAUUUUCAAAUAAUACUUGGAAGUCCUCAUCUCACGUUAUUUUAUAUAUUGACAAAAAUAUUUAAAAAGUUUAAGUCCAAAACCUAGUUUGAAUUACAAUCAUUAAUAAUUAUUAUAAUAUUUAAAAUAAAAAUAAAUAAAUGAUAAUUAUUUAAUUUAGGGGUAAAUAUAUAUUAAAAUUUUCUUAUUAAUAAAUAUCUACUUAAUUUUUUAAAAGAUCCCUCAAAACCAAUAAUUUGAUCAUCAAACCCACCCUUUUAUUUUUCAAUAUAAUCAUAUUUAAUUUUUAUACUUUUUGUAUUCUAAAAUUUCAAUCUUAAUUCAAAAAAUAUCUGCUAAAUUUAUUAAUAAAAACAACAUAAUUUCGUUUAAUAUUAUACGUUAAUAUCACAUUAUGUGUGAUAAUAUAUUUAUUGUAUAAAAUUAUUUAAAAUUAAAAUAUAAAAUAUAAAAUCUAAAUUUAUAAAAAUAGAAACCUAUAACAUAUUUUAACUUAAUUCUAAUAUGAAAUUUCAACCGUUGUUUUGUGAUUAUUUGUUUUCUAGCCAUUGUUGAUUAAUUGCAUUUCAUAAAUAUAAAAAUUUGAAUUUUUGAUAUUUGUACUAUUUUUAUCAGUUUAGUCCCUAUAUUUUUAUUCUAUAUAUCCCGCUAUUUCAAUCUAAUUUUCUGUUAAAAAAAUUAAACCAAAAUAAUGACACGUUGUCACGUGUAAAAAGUUUAGAAAAUACUUGAAAAUUAAAAAGAUAUUAAAAAUUCAAAAAAAUUAUAAAAAAUUCCCCAAAUCCAAAAAUAUUAGAACUUAGAAUAUUUUAAAAUUUUAAAAAAUCAUAACUUUUUGAGUUUUAAUAUUUUUGUGGAAUUUAUAAAACUAUGAUUUUGUGGAAUUUAUAAAACUAUGAUUUUUUAAAAUUUAAUAAGUUUUUAGUUUUUCUAUAUUUUAAAAUUUUCAAGUGAAUUUAAAUAUUUUGACACCCGGGAGCAUGUCAUUGAUUGCUCUAUUUUUUUUUUUAACAUAAAUUUAAACUGGGUCGCGGGAAAGUUGAUAGAAAUUUUACAUUACGGUCCAAUUUAAAAGCAAAACAGCUCUGGUAUAUAAUAGAAUGCAAAGAAUUAAAGGAGUCAUAAGUCCAAAUACUAAAGAGAGUUGAGAGAAUCAAAAUGAGUGGCUUGAUGAAGCUUGUAAUUCUUGUCCCACGUUCUUUGUUCUUCGCAGCUUUAGUAAAGUUCCUUUAUGAUUACCUGUGGAGACCUCUCCGUAUACAGCAAAUGCUGAAUUCACAGGGAAUCAGAGGACCUCCUUACAGAUUCAUCCAUGGCAACAACAAAGAAGUUGCCAAAAUGAGACAAGAAGCGUUAAGCAAGCCUAUGGCUUUGAGGCAUGAUAUAUUUCCUAGAGUGCAGCCACAUAUUGACACCUGGAUCAACAAAUAUGGUAAGAUCCAUGCAUGUUUUUCACUAUGAUUUCUAAAUUCUAGUUCUAAGAAAAGAUUGACCCUUUUGAUUAUUUUAUUUGGUCAGGGAGGAAUUAUCUUUCUUGGGAUGGUGUUCGAGCUGAACUUGUGAUUUCAGAACCUGAACUAAUCAAAGAGGUUCUAAAAAAUAGUGAAAAAGCUUUUCCCAAAAGGAAGCUUACAGUUUUCCUUAGCAAGUUAUUAGGGAACGGGCUUGCGACAGUCGAGGGUGAAAAAUGGGAGAAGCGACGGAAGUUGGGGAAUUAUGCUUUUCAUGGGGAAAGCUUAAAGGUGAAACACUCGUAACAUGUGAAUUAGUUCUCUAAAUGUUGCUUACAUAUGUUGUUGCUUACAUGUUGAUGGAUUGUUUGUCCAGAACAUGACACCGGCAAUAAUUGCCAGCGUUGAAACAAUGCUAGAAAAGUGGAAAGGCUAUGUGGGCAAAGAGAUUGAAGUGUUUGAAGAAUUUAGAUUAUUAACUUCAGAAGUGAUAUCGAGAACAGCUUUUGGUAGCACUUACUUGGAAGGGCAGAAAAUUUUUUACAUGUUGAGCAAGUUGGCAAUAAUUGCGAACCGAAGUUUUUUCAAGACCAGAAUUCCUUGGAUCAGGUAUGUUCCCUCUAAGCUUAAUUUAUCCCUAAUUUAAAAUUGUUAAUUCCCAUGGAUUUCGGGGUUUUUUUUCCAUAUAUAGAGCUAACCUUGGUUUCCUUUCACAGCAAGUUAUGGAAAUCUGCUGAUAUUCUUGAGUCAGAAGAACUUGCAAAUGAAAUACAGGGUUGUGUGAUGAAGAUGAUUAAGGAAAGAGAAGACAGAGUUGUGAAUGGAGAAGCUGAUAGCUUUGGCAAUGAUUUUCUAGGAUUACUUGUAAAUGCUUAUCAUGAUUUGGAUGACAAAAACAUGCUUUCAUUGGGAGACUUGGUAGAUGAGUGCAAAACAUUCUACCUUGCUGGACAAGAUACUGUUAAUGGCUUGCUUGCAUGGACAGUCUUACUUUUAGCAAUCCACGGAGAUUGGCAAGAGAAAGCAAGAAGAGAGGUGAUUGACAUAUUUGGUAACCAAAAUCCACAUCCUGAAAGCAUUGUCAAACUCAAAAUUGUAAGUAAACUAUCAAACCAAUUCAAUAUAUAUCUUGUCUUCCAUGGAUUUGAAUAGUGACAGCAACAUUAAAUUAUGUGAUGUAAUCUGACAUAUUUCUAUUCUACAAACAGAUGACCAUGAUCAUUAAUGAAACUUUAAGAUUAUAUGGUCUACAAAAUGGCAUAAUAAGAGAAGUUGGAAGAGAAGUUCAGAUUGGAAAUCUAGUGUUACCUGCUAAUAUAGAUCUUUAUAUUGCAAAUGUUGUACCUCAACAUGACCCUCAACUAUGGGGAGACGAUGUCCAUCUUUUUAAACCAGAGAGGUUCGCAGAAGGAAUUGCCAAAGCUACCAAUUACAAUGCAGCUGCAUUUUGUCCGUUUGGAAUUGGACCUCGGUCUUGUGUUGGUAUGAGCUUUGCAACCAUGGAAACAAAGAUUGCACUCUCCAUGAUUCUUCAACGCUAUACCAUUUCUCUCUCCCCUGCUUAUGUCCACGCGCCAAUAUCUGUUCUCGGCAUUCAACCAGAACAUGGAAUUCAAGUAAUACUCAAAUCACUGGACAGCAGUGUUUAAUGUACAUGGUUGCUAUGAAUUCAGGGUUUAACCUUUCUGGUUUAUGAAUUCUUCUUUAAGAGAUUGCAUUUAAUAUGUUAAUUAAAUGCUUACUCUACAAUUUCGUGUUUUACAAAUCACCUACUUAAAUUGACUAUGUUGUGUCUUUUUAUUAAAAAAUAAAACUCUCCCACAACAAGAUGUUAUGCAUACCGAAUGGUGAGAACGAUGUAGAAGAUUCAAGAAAUGAGUAAAUUUUGGCUACACAAAUGAUAAUGUUGGCAUCAAAGGACGGAGAUACAACCCAAUACCUUCAAUAUUUUCCCUACCAUUGAUGGUAACAUUUGUGACUUCUUGAUUUUGAUGCGAGAGUUUUGUAAAUCAUUCCAUUCCUAUUAUUAUAUAAUACUACACAUGAUGCUACAAUUGUAAGGUCAACAAGUAUUACUAUUUGAAAGGUAGUACAUUUCAGACACGUUUUGUGAUUUUUAAAAUUCAUCAAAAUUAUAAUAUUUUUAUUUUAAGAAUAUAAGAGUGAGUCGUUGUAGAAUAUUUAAAAAAAAAACUUAAAAACACCAUUUAAGUCGAUUCUGAUGCAGAUUUUCGUUAAAGUUUAAAGAUUCCCAAUUGAUUUCUUAGGAGAUUAAAAUGAGUUUUUUUUUCCUUCGGUUAUACUGUAUCUAGGAUGUUUUUAUUUUCAAACAUGAACUAAUUUUCUAAACACCUAGGGAGAUGAACCCUAUGAUGAAUUCUGUUGUUUGAUUUUUAUUUUACGCAAUAAAUACUUAGUUGUUUAUUGUCAAUUAUGUGUGCCUAAUUCUUAGUUUAAUAUUUCCAAAUUAUUUACCUAAAUCAAAGGAGACAUAUACCCCUUUUAAGAGUAAAUCUUGUGUAAUUGAGUGGAGUUGCAUGUAAUCCUAGAAAUAGGACGAAAUAAACCUACCAGAUUAGAGUCAAAUCUAAUAAGGGAAUCCAUAGCACGAGUUAAUGCGAUAAUAGGAUUUUUAAUUAGAAAGAAAUUUCAAUUAAUCAAUCUAAAGUCAGUUGCUCUUACUCUCGAAAGAGAUAUUAGCAUAAUUUAAGGAUUUUUACAAAUCAAGUUACUAAGUAAAGAAAUUACGUAAUUUAGAUUGAUAGCGACCGAUGAAAGCUAGGUGAAUUCUUUCCUAGGUAUUGUUUCCCUUCUUGGUUGUUAAUAGUUUAUUUUCUUGAUUUGUUAUUUGUCGUUUUCGUUAAUUAAUUUAGUUAAUUUUAGUUUUUAAUCAAUCACUUAUUUAUUCAGUUAAAUAGUAGAAAAACGAUAAUUACUAGUACUUUUAGUCUUCCUGGAAACGAUAUCUUUACUCACUAUAGCUAUAUUAUUAAUUGAUAGGUACUGCACUUACCUCAAUCAAAUUUUUAGUUAACUCACGACGCAUCAUUUAUUAAAUAUUAAUUGAUAGGAGAUCAAAAUCAAAGUUUGUUUUUGGAAUUUUGGAUUACCCAAUCCAAGUUAAAUAUAAACCUUACGCAUAAAAAGUACAACCAACACAAAUAGUAACAUAUUUUAAUAAUAAUUAUAUUUAUCCAAAUAAUCAUAUUUCUUAAUUAUUAAUCAAUAGAUACAAUUAUACUUGUUUUAAGAAUUAAAAGAAAUAACUUUUCGCUAUAAUUUGGAACGUUUCCAUUUGGUCAAAUUUCGUAAUUAAACUAAGUUGCUGAAGUGAAGAAAGCGUUAUAGGCAGUGAUGUUUUGUGUACGUGAUUAUUGUUAGGUUUUAAUAUAAUACAAAAUAAUAUUCAUUCUAUUAAAUUAAUUUUAAAUAUUAAAAAUAAAAUAUUUUAAGAAAAAUUUGAAGUCAAAUUCAAAAAUGUUAAUUUUAUAAUAUAAACAAUAAAAUACUUAUAGAAAUCUUUCUACAUCUUAAUUUUUCUAUUUAAAAUUUCUAAAGUCAAUUUAGUGUUAGUCAGAUAUGUUUUUUUAUUUGUAAAGGAUCAUCUUCAAUUACACAUUCUUCUUUAUAUGUCUUCUUUUUGCAAGACUGGCAUUGAUUGUUUCUACUCUUGUACCAUUCGAGAUAACAUGCAUCACUUAAUAAAAUAUUAAUAGUUUUACAAAUUUCGGUGAUAAAAAAUCUCAAGUUAGGUGACAUAACUACAAAUUUUCAAAAAUAAAAGGACCAAAAGUGUAAUUUAUUUAAAAUUAUGAUUAUUUAAAUAGUAUAUAUAACGUACGUCUCUCCUUUUUAUCGAAUAUAGCUUGUUCACGUAAUAAUAUAUAAUGAUGAAUGAAUAUAUAAUUGGGAGCAUCUCUUAUAAUUUAGAAGUAAAAAGGACAAAAUAGCGUCAAACAUCAGGUUGUAAUUCAGAAGCAAGAGCAGAAAAAUGAGUGGCUUGAUGAAGUUUGUAAUUCUUGUCCCAUCUUCUUUCUUCCUCGUAGCUUUGAUAAAGUUCCUUUAUGAUUACUUGUGGAUACCUCUCCGUAUACAGCAUAUGCUGAAUUCGCAGGGAAUCAAAGGACCUCGUUACAAAUUCAUCUACGGAAUCAACGAUGAAGCUACCCAAAUGACAAAGGAAGCAUUAAGCAAACCCAUGGCCUUGACGCAUGACAUAUUUCCCAGAGUGCAGCCACAUAUUUACUCAUGUAUCAACAGAUAUGGUAAGAUCUGUGCAUGUUCUUUCACUAUGGUUUCAAUCUUCCAGUUCUAAGAAAAGAUGAACCCUUUUUGUUUUUUGUUUGAUUAGGGAGGAAUUUUCUUUAUUGGGACGGUGUCCGACCUGAACUUGUGAUUUCAGAACCUGAACUAAUUAAAGAGGUUUUGAAAAAUAGUGAAAAAACUUUUCCCAAAAGGAAGCCUACCAUUUUCAUUAACAAGCUACUAGGGAACGGGCUUGUGACAGUGGAAGGUGAAAAAUGGGUGAAGCAGCGGAAGUUGGCGAAUAACGUUUUUCAUGGGGAAAGCUUAAAGGUAAACCCCUCGAAAUAUAUGGAUUAGAUGUAAACUAAUGUAAAAGAAUUUUAUAUUAUUGGAGAAUUCUUUGGGCUGGACAUGAGACCAGGAAUAAUUGCUAGCGUUGAAACAAUGCUAAAGAAGUGGAAAGGCCAAGUAGGCAAAGAGAUCGAAGUGUUCCAUGAAUUUAAAUUAUUGACUUCCGAAGUGAUCUCGAGGACAGCUUUUGGUAGCAGUUACUUGGAAGGGGAGAAGAUUUUUGAAAUGUUGAACAAGUUGUCAAUAGUUCUGAGCCGAAAUCUUUCCAAUACUGGAAUUCCCUUAUUCGUGUAUAUUGCCUCUAAGCUUAACUGAUCCCUCAAUUUUUCCAAGAUAUAGAGCUAACCUUGAUUUGCUUUUACAGCAAGUUACAGAAACCUGCUGAUAUGCUAGAGGCAGAAGAACUUGCAAAAGGAAUACAGGACUGUGUGUCGAAGAUUGUGAAAACGAGAGAAGACAAAGUUGUGAAGGGAGAGGCUGAUAACUUUGGCAUUGAUUUUCUAGGAUUACUUAUAAAUGCCUACCAUGAUACGGACGAAAAUAACAAACUUUGAUUGGAAGACUUGGUAGAUGAGUGCAAAACAUUUUACUUUGCUGGACAAGAUACUGUUAAUUCCUUACUUGCUUGGAUGGUCUUACUUUUAGCAAGUCAUGGAGAUUGGCAAGAGAAAGCGAGAAGAGAGGUGAUUGAGAUAUUUGGUAACCAAUAUCCAAAUUCUGAAGGCCUUUCUAAACUCAAAAUUGUAAGUAAACUGUCAAACCCUUUCAAUACAUUGUGUAUACCCGGCAUUUAAAUCAAAGUCAUAAAGGCUGUUAGUACAUAAAAAAUCCUGGUCUAUACUCUUUAGUCUACUCUGACAUAUUCCUAUUCUGCAAACAGAUGACCCUGAUUAUUAAUGAAUCUCUAAGAUUGUAUGGUCCAGCAGUUGGCCUAUUGAGGAAAGGUGGAAGUGAAGUUCGGUUAGGAAAUCUAGUCUUGCCUGCUGAUAUAGAUAUUCUUAUUGCAAAUGUUGCACUUCACCAUGACCCUCAACAAUGGGGAGAUGAUGUGCAUCUUUUUAAGCCAGAGAGAUUCGCCGAAGGGGUUGCCAAAGCUACCAAUUACAACACAGCUGCAUUUUGUCCCUUUGGAUUGGGACCUCGAACUUGUGUUGGUACAACCUUCGCACUCAUGGAAGCGAAGAUUGCAGUCUCCAUGAUUCUACAACGCUACACCAUUUCCCUCUCCCCUGCCUAUGUCCACGCGCCAGUAUCUAUUAUCACCGUUAAACCACAACAUGGAAUACUCGAGUCACUGCAUCACGAUGCUUAAACUACACGGCAGCUAAGGGCUCAGCGUUCAACUCAGUUUGCUCAUGUAUUCUCAUUUUAAGAGAUGACAUUUCAUAGAUCGGGGGCUUUUGCAUUAGCAGCCACUUCCCUAUUUAUGCGCUCCUUCGUGCAUAAAUAACUGCAAAUAUCUGCUCAUUUCCAAGAUGGUAAGGCAUGCAAUAAAUGAAAAUGAAACACAAUUUAUCAUUUUAAUAAUUUAUAUUUUUAAUUUUUAAAUGAUUAAAUUAAAUUUUUAUUAUUUUUUAAUGUUCAAGUUCGAACCUAAUUCAUAUUGUAAAUGAGACUAAUUUUUUUACCUAAACUCAUUUUUUGGGCUUAAUAUUUUUACUCAAAAUAUAAAUAGAUGAUAAUUAUUUAAUUUAUGAGUAAAUAUAUAUAUUAAAAAUGUAUUAACAAUAGAAGUAAUUAAUAAAAAUCUACUUAAUCUUUCAAAAAAGCCUCUCAAAAUCAACUAUUUGACCAAUAUACUAAUCAUUCUGUUCUUUAAUUUAAUCAUUUUUUAUACUUUUUGUGUUUUAAAAUAGUAAAUUUAUUAACAAAAAUAACAUUGUUUCUUUUAAUAUUAUAUAAAAAUAACAAGUUAAUGUUAUAUUUCGCACGAAAAUUUUGAAAUUUUAUUUUUAACAUAAUUUUAGUAAGAAAUUCCUAUGGUUGUAUUGUGAUUAUUGUUUUUGCAGCAAUUGUUGACUAAUUUGCAUUUGUGAUGACGCAUGGUAGAUGGCUCCCAAUAAAAUAUUCAUAAAUAUAAAAAAAUCGAGUUUUAUUAAGAUAAUUUUAAUUGAUAAAUUAUGUGUAAAAUAUUAUUUUUAGCCGAAGUAGGUGGUAUGCCAACUCAUUUUAGGGACCACAUGACCCCACUAUCCCAAAAAUCUAUUAUUUUUAAAUUUUUUAAUGUUCAUAUAAUCAAGAUGAUGAUUGGAUUAUCAAAACAUAUAUAUACAAUUUAAUUGCAAGAGCACAGAGUGUUAUUGGACAACAGUUAGAAGAGGUGAGAUUCUUGCACGUGUCCUGUAUACUCGGUGGGACUAAAUUGGAGCCUACGUUUAUUAGUGCUUUGCUAGAAAGAUAGAGACUCGAGACACACACAUUUCAUUUUCUGUGCGAUGGUGAUAUGAUUACACUUGAGGAUGUGAUAUUAGAACUUGGUCUAUUGGUUGAUGGGCCAAUAAUUUAGGGAAAUUUGAAUAAAAAUAAUACCAAACAUAUUUAGUAAUUUAGGGAAAUUUUAAUAGCUUCACAUUCUUCAGCCUAUAAAUAGUGGAUUCAUGUCAUGAGUUGCAGGUCAAAGCUCAUGAUGAAUGCACACAAAGCGUCUUAUGGAGGUCACCAAUUUUGGUUGACACUAGAAAUGAAAAGAAAAUGUAUAUUUUUUAUAAAAGAAUACUAGGUGGCAUUUUUUGAUUGGCCACCAAUUUUUUUAAUGUUAAAAAUUGGAUUAAAAUUUAUAACGGAUAAUACUUUAAGUACUAAAUUAAGUUAAAAAAACUUUAAGUACCAAAAUUACUGGUGAAUUAGACAAAAAUUAGUGGUGAGAAUGGAGGUUUAGAGAGAAAUAAUGCUUCAUUAUUUUAUUCAUUCCCAAUAAGCAUGGAUAUGUAAUCAGUACAUAAGUUAAAGAAACCGCAAAUGCCAAAAUCACUCAACACGUAUAGCCUCCUAGUUCAGCUGAUGCCGACGCUUUUAAGGUCAACAAGGAAAACAAUUUGGCAAGUAUGGUACAUUUCAGCAGGAAAGUUGCACACGUUUCUUAUACACACUUAUGAACUAUUGUAUGGAAAAUGUCUCACGAAUACGUCCAACCUACUUUGAACGAGAACGAGGAUUGCAAAUGCAAUUUUGCUCCUUCACCACUUUUGGAGUGCUCCUAAUGAUGCUAUUAUGAAUGGGAAAAUGGUUAAAGUUUAGAGACGAAAAAUGAGUGCCUUGAUGGAGCUUGUAACUCUUGUCCCAUGUUGUUUCUUCUUCAUAGCUUUAAUAAAGUUCCUUUAUGAUUACCUAUGGAUACCUCUCCGUAUACAGCAUAUGCUGAAUUCACAGGGGAUCAAAGGACCUCCUUACAGAUUCAUCCAUGGCAACAACAAGGAAAUCGCCAAAAUGAGACAAGAAGCAUCAAUCAAACCUAUGGCCUUGACGCAUGAUAUAUUUCCCAAAGUGCAGCCACAGAUUUACUCCUGGAUCAACAAAUACGGUAAGAUCCAUGCAUGUUUUUCACUAUGGUUUCAAUCUUCUAGUUCAAUUAAAAGAUGGACCCUUUUUUUGCUUUUUGUUUGAUUAGGGAGGAAUUAUCUUUUUUGGAACGGUGUUCGAGCUGAACUUGUGAUUUCAGAACCUGAACUAGUGAGAGAUACUAAAAAAUAGUGAAAAAACUUUCCCGAAAAGGAAGCCUACCAUUUACCUUAGCAAGCUACUAGGGAAGGGGCUUGUGACGGUUGAGGGUGAAAAAUGGGCGAAGCAGAGGAAGCUGGCGAAUUACGCUUUUCAUGGGGAAAGCUUAAAGGUGAACCCCUCGAAACAUGUGAUUAGUUGUAAACUAAUGUUAAAGAAUUUUAUAUUGUUGGAGAAUUGCUUUUGCAGAACAUGACACCAGCUGUAAUUGCUAGCGUUGAAACAAUGCUAGAGAAAUGGAAAGGCCAAGAAGGCAAAGAGAUUGAAGUGUUCCAUGAAUUUAGAUUAUUGACUUCAGAAGUGAUAUCAAGAACAGCUUUUGGUAGCAGUUACUUGGAAGGAGAGAAGGUUUUUGCCAUGUUGAACAAGCUGUCAAUAAUUAUGAGUCGAAAUCUUUAUAAUACUAGAAUUCCUUUGAUCAAGUAUGUUCCCUCUAAGCUUAAUUAAUCCCAAGUUUUUCCUUAAUUGUGUUUUCCACCCCCAUGAAUUUAUUUUUCUCCUUAUAUAUGGCUAACAUUAGUUUUCUCUUCUAGCAAGUUAUGGAAACCUGCCGAUAUGCUAGAGUCUGAAGAACUUGCAAAAGAAAUACAAUAUUGUGUGAUGAAGAUGGUUAAGAAAAGAGAAGACAGAGUUGUGAAUGGAGAAGCUGAUAGCUUUGGGAAUGAUUUUCUAGGAUUACUUGUAAAUGCCUAUCAUGAUUCGGACAAAAAUAACAAGCUUUCAAUGGAAGAUCUGGUGGAUGAAUGCAAAACAUUCUAUUUUGCAGGACAAGAUACUGUUAAUGCCUUGCUUGCCUGGACAGUCUUGCUUUUAGCAAUCCAUGGAGAUUGGCAAGAUAAAGCAAGAAGGGAGGUGAUUGGCAUAUUUGGUAACCAAAAUCCACAACCGGAAGGCAUUGCAAAACUCAAAACUGUAAGCAAACUUUCUAACCAUUUAAGACCGCACGCAUUGUGUUACAGUCAAUAUUUUGUAGUUUCGACUCUUUCUACAUUGAUAUUCAUUGCUAAUAUUUACCACAAUUAAUUGCGAUAACAUCCAUCAUAUACAACACUGCCAUAAUUUAAAUCCCCGGUGUAUGCUAGCAUGAGUUUAGAACAUUAGAUUAUGUGAUGUUAAUCUUAUAUAUUCCUAUUCUGUAUACAGAUGACGAUGAUCAUUAAUGAAACUCUAAGAUUGUAUGGUCCAUCAAAUGGAAUGUUGAGAAGAGUUGGAAGAGAAGUUCAAAUGGAAAAGGUAGUCCUCCCUGCUAAUAUAGAUAUUCUAAUUGCAAAUGUUGCACUUCACCAUGACCCUCAACUGUGGGGAGAAGAUGUGCAUCUUUUUAAACCAGACAGAUUUGCGGAAGGGAUUGCCAAAGCUACCAAUUACAAUACGGGUGCAUUUUUUCCCUUUGGAUUGGGACCUCGAACUUGUGUUGGUAUGACCUUUGCAACCACAGAAACCAAGAUUGUUCUCUCCAUGAUCCUACAACGCUAUGCUAUUACCCUUUCCCCUGCCUAUGUCCACUCACCAAUACCUAUAAUCAGCCUUAAACCACAACAUGUAAUUCAAGUAAUGCUCAAGUCACUGCAUAGCGAUGCUUGAUGUUUCAUCGCUGUUGUUAUCAACAAUCUGAAAAAGAUGGGUAUGAAUGCAUUUAAUACGUAUUAUCGAGUUAAGGGUUAUGAAUAGUUUAGGCAUUAAAUAAAAAUAAUCUACAUAACCAUUAGGAAUUUAGAGUUUAAUAAAAAAAAUUAUUUCAUGUCUAUUAUCUCUUCUUUUACAACCACUUUCUCCUUUUCUCUAUCUAAUAUGUGAUCUAAUUGCAAAUACAUACCAACCAAGUCCCCUUACGUACACAAUUUAUUAUCAAUUUAAUCCCUUUAUUUAAUUUCCUUUUCCAUUCAACACAUUUAAGUUAAAACAGUAGUGCUAUUUAAAUAACACGUUUUAUAUUAAUUUUAAUUGGUAAAUAAAUUCAUUAUAAAUUAUUUUAUUACAUAAUAAAUCUAUAAAAAAAUUUAUUUUUAUGUAAUAAAUAGAUAUAUAUUUAUUGAAAAAUUAAUAUAAAUUAAUAAAAUUAACAUUACAAGAAAAAAAUUAUUAUAAAAUCAUUAUAUAAAAUAAAUAUAAUUUUAAUAAACUUUAAUUAUUUAUUACUUUCAUAAAUUUCUAAUAAAUUGAAAUUUUAUGAUAUAAGUCUAAUUUAACAUUCUUAUUUUUUGCUCUCUUUAUUCUCACUUUAUUAUAUUACUACAAUUAAACACAUAUUUCAUUAUUGAUUUUAAUCUCAUUUUUUCAAUAAUUUAUCUCAAUAGAUAAAUUCUGUCCUUCUUAGUCAUUUGCAGACCAUGGGCCUACUCACACUUCUCCCUCAUAGCUGAUGUAGUUGAUACAGUGAAGUUGGCCGGGCGGAGCUGGGUACAACAAAAAAUCUAAUUCCGAUUCCAUUGAAAAAUAGGUUUAAAAUAUUACACAAGUUUAAUUUGGAUAAAAAUAUUAAAAUUUAAGUUCGAUUCAGUCUGCCCAUAUUAUCUUUUAUAUAUAUUUUUAAAAUAUAAUAUAUCAAAAAUAUUAAAAAUAUUAAAAUAAAUAUUUUCUAAUAAAUUGAAAAUAAAUUUUAAAAAAAUUGUGUAUACUUAAAUAACACUAAGAUAAGUGCAACUUAACAAACAAAUAUGAAAUACCUCUAAAAUAGUAACAAAAGUAAUAAUAAAACCAGAGUUAUACAAUAUCCAACUAAUAACAAAAAAAAUAAUAGCAACAUAAUUAUGAAAUGGUAAUAAAAUAGUGAAAAAAAAAACAACCAGAAAAUAGCAAGAAAAUAGUAAAAAAAAUGGCAGUUUCUUUUUUGCAUAUUCGGGCCGAGCUCUGGCAAAAAAAAUCUUACUCGAGACUUAAUCCGUUUUCUAAACAUGCCUUCUGUUUUUGCCAAACUCAUUUUUCGAGCCUAUAUUUUUACCUAAACUCUCUCACUUUUCAAGCAGACCUUCAAAUUGAACUGAAUAACCCGACUCAUGAACAAAUUUAAAGUAAAGGCCACCAAAAAAAAUAAAAAGGCAAGUUUGAGACUUUAAGGAGAGUGAAUUGUUGAGGGAGGUAGAGGUUAUAUACUAAGACUAUUUCUCUUAAUCGUAAUUAAAAUAUUCAAUAUUAAUAACAGUGAUUAAUCCUAUAAUUAAUCAUGAAAAAUAUUUUUUUAUGAGCGAAAAUUCAACCUCAAAUCACUUAAUUAAAGGUUAAAAGAAUAAAAUCAAUAUAUUAUGAUUGGAUACAAAAAAGAUAAAGCUCACAAAUAUCCAAAUACAAAGUUGAAAUCCACAUCAUCAACAUAUAUCAUACAACGGAUCUUCAAAGGAAUGAAAAUAUUAGUAUAUAAUGAAUAAAGAAAUCAAGGAAACCCCAAAUGCCAAAAUCACUCUACACGUACAGCCUCCAAAUGCAGCUAAUGCCGACACUUGUGUGUUGAGAUAGUAAAUGAUGUCGACAAAUGUCAAAAAAAUUAUUUAUUGAUGUAUAUGUAACUAUUUUUUUGUCAAGGUAAUAGCUAUAAAUAGUUAUCGACUCUGUAUGAUCAUUACGCUUCAAUUGGAUUAUUCUAUUCUAUCUCUUAGAACGAAAAGAACUUAAAUCAAAAUAUUUAGUAGCAUGGCGAUACAUUUAUACAAAACUUCUACCACGGGCGCAUGCAAUGGAGCCGUAGUCAGUCAAGUGAAAUCUAAUCCACGAAAUAAUUUGAUCUAUGGAUAGUAUUGUUAUGGUAAAGGUUGUAAUGCUAGAGGAAUCAUUACCGCAAGGCAUAGAGGAGGAGAUCAUAAGUAGGGUGAGCAAAACUCGAUUCUACUCGAAAAAAUUGAAAAAAAAAUUCGAAUUUCGAGUUAAACGAAUCAAGUUAUUCGAGUUAAUCAAGUUAUUCGAAUCAAGUCGAAUUUUUUUUCGAAUUUCGAAUUCGAAUCAAGUUGAGUUUUCGAAUUCGAAUAAUUCGAAUAUCAAACUAUAAUAUUUUACAUUUUUAACCCAAACUCCUAAACCUUUUUACUUUUCCCUCAAAACUUUUACUCCUUCCCACUUUCCCCCCAAAACUUUUACUCCUCUCCCCUCCCAACCCCCCAAUCUAUCCAAAAUCAAUUUCCCACCAAAAUUUUACUCUCCCAUUUACUUUUUCUCAAAAUUUUACUCCCAAAAACCCUCAAAACCUUUUAUUUUCCCCCAAAAUUUUUAUUCCUUCCCACUUUUCCCCUAAAACUUUUAUUCCCUUCCCAUCCCACCUCCCAUCUACCCCAAACCCUCCCCCCUCCAAUUUUUUUAAUAUUUUCCCUCCAAAAUUUUACUCCCCCUAAUUACAUUCCCUCAAACUUUUAUUCCCUAAAACUUUUUAUUUUCCCCCUAAACUUUUACUUUUCACCCUUUACUCUCAAAUAAAAAAUCAAAAUUAUCCAAAAAAAUCACUAAACAUAAAUAGUAAUAAUUUUAUUUAUAUCUACUAUUUAUAUUAUUAAAUUAAAUUUCACAUUUUAUAUUAUUUAUAUUAUUGAAUUAUUUAGUCAUAUUGAAUAUUUAUAUUAAAAUUGAAUUAUUAAUUAUGCCAUAAAAUAUUCGUGUUAAAAUUUUAUAUUGGUAUCAAUUUCACAUUUUAUUUUUAAAAUAACUUUUAUUAAAAAAUCAUAUUUUUACAUUUAAUAUAUUUUUAAUUCUAAAAUAUAUAGUGACAAGAAUCUGAAGACAAUUGAAACAACUAAGCAAGCAAAGAAGCUAACCAAUAUAUAAAAAAUUAAUAAAUAAAUUAUGAGGUGAUGAAAGUUAAUAAAAAAUUUGAUUAAGGUGGACAAAUUUUAUUACGAUAGGUGACAGUGGUUACAAGAACCCAAAAUUAUUUUUUAAAUUUUAACUCGAACAAAUAUAUUCGAUUCGAUUCAAUUCGAAUUUCAUCUCACUCGACUCGAUUCGAGAAAACUUCAAAUAAAGUUAGGAUGAUAAAAUGAGAUUCGAAAACUCGAUUAACUCAAAAAUUUUCUAUUCGAUUCGAUCGAAUGCUCACCCCUAAUCAUAAGCAUCUAUACUGUAAAAUUAAUCUUCGACGAAAUGGAAAAGACAUAUAUAAUAAAAUCGUAACCAUAAAAUACAACCCUAAUCGAAAUGCAUAUAUUUAUCUCAAUAUCUCUCUCAAUUCGAUCACUCUGUACAAUACUCAUUCAUAAGAAAAUGUUUUAUAUUUUGGAACUUAUUUUAUUUGAGUUUUUAUUAGUUAUCAUGAUUUGAAGUGAGAAUUAAUACUCGUAUAUUUUACAUCAAUUCGCUAAUGAAAAUUAAAUAAAUCAUCUUUUUUAAAAGAAGCAACGUUUAAGAAUUUUAUAAAAUGAAAAAUCAUUAAAUUCUUUAAUAAAUAUUUAUAUAAUAUUUUAUAUUUCACACCAUAAUUGAUUAUAAUGAUCUAAUCGAACAUGUCAGUCGAUUAAUAUAUUUAAAUAAAUAAAUUUCUAAUUUAUUAUACUAAUAUAUAUAAUAUUAAUGAAAACAAAUUGUCAAUAGAUACAAAUUGUCUAAUGAUACAAAUCUAGGACUUCAAUUGAAGAUGAUCUUCAAAGAUCAUGAAAGUCGCAUUCUGCACCAGUUGACUUUCACAAAUUAAUUAGUUGUUUACACGUUCAAAGUUGCUUCUUUUUUUAAAAAAAUAAAUAAGUAAAUUUCUAAUUUUAAAAUGAUAAAAACGAAAAAUUAGUUGUCAAGACCCUACAAAUUGAAUAAAAUAAUUCUAAAUCUCUCUUUUACUAUGCAAUAAUUGUCAACCUAAACUCACCAUAAAUAGAAAGCUAAAGGAGCAUUUCAAUUCGUUGUUGAGAGAAGAAAAAAAUGAGUACCUUGGUGAAGCUGGCAAUUCUUCUCCCAUGUUCUUUCUUCCUCGUAGCUUUGAUAAAGUUCCUUUAUGAUUACUUGUGGAUACCUCUCCGUCUACAGCAUAUGAUGAAUUCACAAGGAAUCAAAGGACCUCCUUACACAUUCAUCCAUGGAAACAACAAAGAAGCUACCAAAACGACAAAUGAAGCCUUAAGCAAACCUAUGGCCCUGAGACAUGAUAUAUUUCCCAGAGUGCAGCCACAUGUUUACUCAUGUGUCAACAGAUAUGGUAAGAUUCCAUGCAUGUUUUGCACUAUGGUCUCGAUCUUCUGGUUCUAAAAAAAGAAUGACCUUUUUUUAAAAAUUUGAUCAGGGAGGAAUUAUCUUGCUUGGGACGGUAAGCAACCUGAACUGGUGAUUACAGAACCUGAACUUGUCAACGAGGUUCUCAAAAAUAGUGUGACAACUUUUCCGAAAAGAAAGCCUACUUUUUUUCUCACUGGGAUAUUUGGGAACGGGCUUGUGACAGCUUUGGGUGAAAAAUGGGUGAAGCAACGGAAGUUGGCGAAUUAUGCUUUUCAUGGGGAAAGCUUAAAGGUAAAACUCUCCAAACAUGUGAAUUAGUUGUCUAAUUAAUCUUCUUAUAUGUUGGAGUAUUGAUUGUGCAGAACAUGACACCAGCUGUUAUUGCUAGUGUUGAAACAAUGCUAGAAAAGUGGAAAGGCUAUGUAGGCAAAGAGAUAGAAGUGUAUCAUGAAUUUAGAUUAUUGACUUCGGAAGUGAUAUCCAGAACAGCUUUCGGUAGCAGUUACUUGGAAGGGGAGAAGAUUUUUGACAUGUUGAACAAGUUGUCAAUAAUUAGGAGCCGAAAUCUUUUCGAAACUCGAAUUCCUCUGAUCAAGUAUGUUCCCUCUAAAAGCUUAUUUGAUCCCUCGGUUUUGUCAUAUUACUGACCUUGGUUUACUUUUACAGCAAGUUAUGGAAAUCUGGUGAUGUGCUAGAGUCUGAAGAACUUUCAAAAGGAAUACAAGAUUGUGUGAUGAAGAUUGUUAAGAAAAGAGAAGACAAAGUUGUGAAUGGAGAAGCCGAUAGCUUCGGCAAUGACUUUCUAGGAUUACUUGUAAAUGCCUAUCAUGAUUCGAAUAAAAAUAACAGGCUUUCAACGGAAGACUUGGUGGAUGAGUGCAAAACAUUCUACUUUGCUGGACAAGAUACCGUGAAUUCCUUACUUGCAUGGAUAGUCUUCCUUUUAGCAAUUCAUGGAGAUUGGCAAGAGAAAGCAAGAAGAGAAGUGAUUGAGAUAUUUGGUAACCAAAUUCCGAAUUCUGAAGAGAUGUCUAAACUCAAAAUCGUAAGUAAACUGUCAAACCCUUUCAAUAUAAUAUUUUGUUGCAGCUAUUAUUUAAUUUUUUUAAUGCAAUGUGACACGUUCCUUUUCUGGAAACAGAUGACCAUGAUUAUUUAUGAAACUCUAAGAUUGUAUGGUCCAUCAAAUGGCAUGAUGAGAAGAACUGAAAGUGAUGUUCAGUUAGGGAAGCUAAUCUUGCCUGCUAAUCUUGAUCUUCUAGUUAUACAUGCUGCACCUCACCAUGACCCUCAAUUAUGGGGAGAUGAUGUGCAUCUUUUUAAACCAGAGAGAUUCGCAGAAGGGAUUGCCAAAGCUACCAAUUACAAUGCAGGUGUAUUUUGUCCCUUUGGAUUGGGACCUCGAAAUUGUGUUGGUAUGAACUUUGCAACCACGGAAACGAAGAUUGUGCUGUCCAUGAUUUUACAACGCUACACCAUUUCCCUCUCCCCUACCUAUGUCCACUCACCAAUAC
Molecule: long non-coding RNA, 227743 nt
Filed under: Gossypium raimondii (Peruvian cotton)
Lineage: Eukaryota; Viridiplantae; Streptophyta; Magnoliopsida; Malvales; Malvaceae
Description: long non-coding RNA (GRAI_LNC003405)
Source: RNAcentral